CAAUAUUUUCAUGGAGUUCAGAGUAGCAGGGUCUUCAGGUACUUACACUAUUCCAGCAACCUGUAUUAAAAAAAUGUUUGGUAUUGGAGCAUUUUCUCUUGAUUAAUUCUUAUUGUGGAGGUUGAGUCUAUAUAUAUGAUGUUAAAAACGGACAUGGCUAUUCACCACAUCACAUGGUAUUGUAUCCAUUUGUUGCCUAAGGUCUGUUUAGUAAGAUAGCACUUGUGAUGAAAGUGCACGGUGGGCAAUACACAUUUGAUAUGAGUAAUCAAUGGACAGGGGCAUUCAUCGCAGACAUAGGCACCCAGAUUCAGGCUCCUUAUCUUCUCACGAAGGUCACGAUAGUACUCACUGGUAUCAUCUUUGAUGAACGAAGCGUAAAGUGUGAGUUAAUGAAAGUUAAUGGCAAUCUUUUACUGUAGUGGAAGGCAAUCUGUGAUCACUAAGAUUGCACUGCACAAAACCAUAAAAGUCGAACCUGCCAAAAUUUACCAGAGACACUGCAUAGGAAGCACAGUUCUGUAGACUAAAAUAAGAAAGAGUAUAUGCUCGUGGAGGUGAUUUUUCAAAGUGGGCCUUUCAAAAGUGCAUGAAAUGUUGAAGUCAUAGUCACAUUCCAUGCAGUGAAAGACAGAGCGUCAACACUCUUCACGACGUAUGUCAACAACGCUCCUUCCUCAUAUGAGAAGAAAAAGGAUGUGUGGCGUAAACAGGUUGUUGCAUAACUGAGGGCAAUUCAGCACAUGAUUUAUGGAGCAGAAAAGAGCAGCUCUGCUCCAGCCAGCGAUAGGUUAAACAUCUGACAGAUUCAUCACAAGCCUUGCAUGGACCAUCCUUCAUAUGACAGUUCCAGCAGCAGAGGAUGAUCGCGCAGGGAAGAAAGAAGAGGCAAUCAAGACAACCAUAGACCUCACCUGGUAUGUUCUCUUCACAAGCUUUGCACCUGAUUCUGCUUUUGAGUUUCAUGUAGAAGACCAGUGAGUGCUGAUGGUCAAAAUUAUAAAAAAAACCAAGUCCUUCUUGCCCUCUAGGUCUUGUGAACAUAGAGUUAAAGCCGUGCAGUCCAUGUUGAGGCUGAAUUUGCAUUCACUGCAGUAGGAAACCAUGGCAGGUGUUACAUUUGGCUCCUUCAAUUGAUUGAAAGCAAAAGAGAGAGAGAGGGUGAUCAUGGAGAGACAGGUGUUGCAUCUCUGGGGGAGAUUCGGUGCAGCUUUUGUGGAGAAAGAAUAUGCAUGCAUAGCAUCCAUAGACCUCCCCCAAGAUUGCUUGCUCGCAGGCUUUGCAUUUGAUUCUAUUUUUCAUCCCGAGAUGAUGGGAUGUCAGCGGAUGCUCAUGAGCAUUUGUUGGAUGGCCACAUGCUGAGAGUCCUCAUUGGGAGGACAAGCAAUCUUGGGCCCGUGCACUAAGAAUUGACGGAUCCGACUGUCAAGAGAAGGUUGUCAUAUAUAAAUGCAAAAUAUUGAUUGAAAUAUAUAUAUAUAUAUAUAUAUAUAUAUAUCAAUCACUAGACUAGUGAGGUCACGUAUUUCCUUGUGACCAAGUUUGUUAGGAAUAUGGACGAGCCUUGAUAAGCCAUUCCCUCUCGGGUCCAUCCGAGAGGGAAGCCUGCUCACACGCAUGGCAACUCCAAUGAUCCUCCUCAUCGUUGGCCGCUAGGCAGUCAAGUCGGGCAGCGGGUGAGACAGGUGUCCUAGUGGGGACAGCAUGCUAAAUUCGGCAUGACUCAUAAAAGAAGAAACGACACGAUUCACAGUGGUGAGCUGAGCUGCGCAUUGGAGAUCAGCACGCAUGACAGUCCAAGCAAGUACAGGCUUCUUCGCUCAGGUUUCGGAGAUAUCAAUACAUGAUCACCAAGGCAAAUUAGGAAAUAAAAAUGCGUUUUGUAUGGAGUUAUAGUUGUUGAGUGUUGUCGACACGAAGUAAAUGUGGUGAAAUUAAUUUUACCCCACUCCCGCAUCAUUUGAUGUUGUGUUUCAGUGCUAAUUUGUACAAUUCUUUUUUAUUUUUUUUUAUGCUAUGAUGCAAUGGUUAAUGAAACUAAAGUAGCCCAUGAAAAAGUUUCAUAUCUUGUUCAUUUAAAAUCAGCUGCAAUCCGACCAAAAAAUAAAAAUCAGCUGCAACUAUAAUUUAAUUUUCCAUAAAUUAACCAAUAAAUAAAACUCCAAACAUUGGUUAAGGUCGUAAAGGUGCAUCACCUUGGGCUAGUCCAUACAUAUAUUAGAAAUUCUUAUCCAACUUACUAUGAAUGCUACUUACUUAAGACAAUAGUGCGAUGACUUUUUAUAAAUUACUAAAGUAGGUGUACAUAACCUAAUAGCUUAUAAAACUAAAUUCACCUUAUAUGUAAAAGUAACGCUUACAUUGCCUAUUAAAAUGCAAUUCGUACAACUAGUAUGAGCCAUAUCUACUUUUUUUUAUAGUUACCAAUUUAUCUAUAAAUGCACAUGUUCUGCAGCAAUCUUGAAUUCCACAUUAUUAAAAAAAGAGUUACGUAUACCAUGAUGCUUCGUAAGCAAUGAUGAUAAGGUUCACCAAAGCAAUAAUUGUAAUUAAACCUGUAAUUUUCUGUUAAAAUCUUUGAAUAGAACUCAAUUGUCCGCAUUGGUUAUCCUUGAAAAACAAAAAUAUAGAUUGAAGUGGUUACAAACCCACUUCAUAUUAUACAACCUAGGACUUCAACUAGCUAAACUGAAUUUAGAUCCACACGGAAAAAGUUAGCAUUCGUAUAAACUAUGAAAACUAAGACCCAGAAGAACAUUUCUAGAAAGAACAAACAAAAGAGAGGUACUACUCCAAGUAAUUCUAAGUAAACCUGUCCAAACGGUAGUACUAAAUUUGCAAAAAGGAAUAUCAGAGCUGUGUAGGGCUUAUAUCGAUAGGUUCUUGGAAGCCGUUCUAUUCCAACCUAACUUGAACAUUUCUAGAAAGAACAAACAAAACAGAGAGAUACUCUUCCAAGUAAUUAUAAGUAAAUCUGUCCAAAUGGUCGAAUGAAUUAUAUUUGAAAAAAGGAAAACCAGAGCUGUGUAGGGCUUAUAUCUUAGGUUCUUGGAAGCCGUUCUAUUCUAAAUUUACUAGGAACUAGAACGGUCAGAUUGCGAACCAAAUUCAACUAGUACAAUUCGUUUUGCUGCAACUGUCGCCUAAGUCAUCAUCCAAAAUGCACAACCAUCUGAAUAAGGUACAACAACAAAGUAAUUCUUCAGGUUGGUAACAACUGGAAAGCAGGCAAAAUCAGACAACCGGAAAAUAUUCUAAGGUCUAAACCAACAACAUAAUUAAAGGGUUCAAAUGAUAUAGGUCACACAGUCUGUUGAUCAUGCAAUCAGACUAGUCUGUAUUCAAGCUUAAAUCAAACAAUGUCACUCUACAAGCGAGGCGAACGUCCCCAAGUUACAUGAGCACCCAUCUACUUCAUUUGACUAAUGGGAGGUGAAUGUAGAACUGAAGGCUGCAGGUAGCUCAAACCAAACUAUGUCGACUAGCUUUGAAUAAAUUACAAUCAGUAAUGUGCGUCCAGGUCAAAGCUACCAGCUAAAUAUUUUGGCGCACAUCCAAAACUUCGUUCUCACCAGUAACAAUUUCUCUUACUGACCUCAUAUCUAAUACAAAGUUCCGCAUCUGUCGCAUCAGGCAUGGCCACAAUCUACCGAUAAUUUCUUCCUCUUCCACGUCCACCCCAACCCCUUCCUCUUCCUCUCCCACCACCACGCCCACCCUGGGACAAACCUUCAAAUGCUCUAUUAACAAGCUGGUUUUGCAUACCACCCGCCCCACGUCCCUUUUUUGAUGCCGCAUAACCGGAACCAUUCACAGCACUAGCGGGUCGUUUUCCUCUGCAUAAAUGAUGAUAUCAAUAAGAUGAUAUUCGAGAAGAGACCCCAUUGAUCAUCACAACAGAAGAUAAAGCUAACAUAUGCAAGUCAUUCUCAACAAUCAGUCAAAUUUUGAUAACCAAAAUAUGAAGACAUUCACAUCAAUUUUCCAUGAACAUAUUCGACGGUGACCAACAUAAUUACAGUGAUUUCCUAGUGUAGAUGUAGACCUGUCACUAACGAGGGAAGUAGCUAAAGUAUCAGCAAGUAGAAUCGAUAUAUAACCCACCACAAACAAAUCCAAUAACAAACUUGUUGAGGAAUAAAAAAAACAUAGGGCUCAGUAUUUCUCCUACCCAGUCCCCGUAUUUGUUGCAGGUGCAGAAGCUUUGACUGCCUCUUUCCAGGAGAGGCUGAUGCUCUUGUCUCCAAUAAAUGAAGGUGUCUUUGAAUGCAAUGGCUAAAUCAAUAAACCACAAUGAGUUAGUUCUCACAUGCCAUGAAGACAAAAACAGUCAGUAAUAACUUGACUUAUUCACCUUAGUCAUGGCAAGGAUAUUAUUGCAGGUUCGCAGUCCGGAUGUAGUGUUCUGCUUCUGAGUUUUCUGCAUAAAGUACGCGGUGUCAGUUGCAUGAAGCAGAACAAUUUAAUAAUAAAAGAUGCAAGCAUUAUGAUGACAAACAGACAAUGGUAUUCUUCUCCUCAUCGGUCUUGGCAGCUGACAUUGCUUUAUUGUGCUCAGCCAUUCCCUGAGUUAGCUUUUUCAUGGUGGUCCUAGUUAACUCCUCAACAGUAGUUAAUCUGCAGCAAAAAAGCCAUGGAAAGAUCAGGAGGCAAAUUACACACUUCAAAACACCAACUUACUCGAAACAAGUAAAUUGCAAUGAAUAUCAGAACUCCUGGAUCAAAUUAUUCCCUCCAACUUAUCAUUCAUGAGGAAAUGAAAGGCAAGAGAAGAAUAAAAAAUGCUAUGUGGCCAUAGCAAAACUAAUUGCAAGGUAACAAGUUAACAAGGAACAUGCAAGAGCAAUUUAGCAUAAAUGUUGCAGUACUUUCGGCUAGUUUCAGGGAAAAGUCAAUCCUUCAACUAAUAUAGAAGCCAUCAUAGAAGCUAUGGGAAAAGUGUUGAAAAAGUCCUAAACCUUUUUUUGGUACUAAUUAAGUCCUAAAUCUUUUUACGUUGUGUCAAUUUAGUCAUUUCCGGCCAAUUUUGAUCGGAUUUUGCUGACUAGACGCUGGCCGACUGACGUGGCCUGAUCGACGCUGACGUUGACAACUUUUAAUAAUAGUUUAAUAUUUUUAAAUUUUCUUUCUUUCUUCUCCUUCUUCCUCCGGCUAGUCGCCGGACCUCGGCGACCAGCCAGAGGUGACGGCCGGCGAGGUUGAGGUCGACCUUGUUGGCCACCUCGCCAGUGACCGCAAGGGCGGCGAGGCUUGCCCAUGGCCAGCAAGGCUCGCCCAUGGCCGGCGAGGGUGAGCCCCACCAGCUCGGUGCGAGGCCAGCUCGGCACAAGGCAUUCCACGUAAGUAAAAUUCAUUUCUUUUAAUGUCUUUCUUCGAGGCAUGUACUUUUGAAAGAAAAACAUGAUAAGUAAGAUCCGAGAUAUACACAUAAAACCUAUGUUACAAACAAAAUGCCAGUGUUCUGUCUAGUCAAUAUUGCAUCAAGAUAACUAACAUAUCCAAUGCAUUUUCAACAUAAAUUGGAAAUUACAAAGACAGGAAGAAAUACAUUUUGGAAGAUGAUCUCUAGAUAUUGUCUAACGGCUAGUUUGGUAGUGGAGAAGUAUUUAAGAAGACCAAUGAUGGAGAAGUAAGAGACAGAGCCUAGAAUUUAGAUUUCCAAAGUUUGAGCGAAUUUCGAUCAUAUACUUGUCUUUCUUGAGCUUAAACGUUUGUAAUCAUGAGAAAAAUACCAAAAGAGUAAUUUAGUGAGAUAGUGUAAUCUACCAUUGAGUGUCUGCGCUCAAAGUUAUAAUCUCUUGUGGAUCAUAUAGUAGAAUCCAGCUAGUAUGCUGUUAGAGUGCAAAAGUGGACGUAGGCUUGAUUUAAGCCGAAUCACUAUAAAUUUUGUGUGUAACAUUCUCUUCCCUUAACUCUCAUUAUUAUUUAACCACUGGGGAUUCGCCCCAGUGGCCACCCUUCCAACAUGGAAGGGGGAGGUGAGGGGUUCAAAUCCCCACCUUCUCGGGGGGAUGGGGGUAGGGACGCGUAAGUUUGAGAGUGGGUUGCGACUCCCACGCCCUGCAAGCGGCAAGGCACAAGUCUGCAAGUGAGUGUAGAGUAGCAAUAGAGUAGGACUGACCAAAAAAAAAAAAAAAAAAAAACUCUCAUUAUUUAAGUCUAUUGUACACUUACAAGUUAUUUUAGAAAUCUAUUUCAUCGCAUAACAAAUUCUGAACAUCUAAUAAAAGUAUGGUGGCUCGUUUAUUAGAUUUUGAUCCUUACUCAGACUUUGGUCGCAACUUAUUUUAUUUCACAUUUACUUGUCAAGACUUCUUUCAAACACCUAUUCACUCCUUUUAGGUGUUUAUACUGACAUUAUCACACCAAAGUAAUAGGUGUAAUUAAACUUGUAUUUUUUUGUUAAAAUGUUUGAGUAGAAGUCGAUUUCAUUUUCAAAAUUAAAUAAUCAUUUUGCAUUGAGUAUCCUCAAAAACAAAAUAUAGAUUGAAGUGGUUAUAGACCCAAUUCAUAAGCUAGUUAUACUGAAUUUAGAUCCACAGGUCAAAAGUUAGCGUUUGUAUAAACUAUAUAAAGACUAAGACCCAGGAGAACCUAUCUAGAAAAAAAAAAACAAACAAAACAGAUAUGUACACCUUCGAAUAAUUAUAAGAAAACUUGUCCAAAUGAUAGAAUGAACUGCAUUUGCAUAAAAUAAAAUUAUGAUGCAUGCACAUUUUUCAUCUAUGGUGAUCAUGUUCAUUCCACUAAUUUGUACAUUCCUUUUGUUAAAAAUUUGAAUUUAUUAUACUAAUUAAAGUUACGGUUGGUCCGACCUUAAUUGUGGACUGGGUCAUGUCCUUUUUCUGAGGGAAAAAAAAAAAGCUCUCUCUGUAUGAGAGAGUUCCCAAAGGGGCUCAAGGGAGGCUUUGAUGUUUGCACAAAUAUGGUUGGACCAUGCAGUAUUACAUGAUAAUCCUAUGUCUACUCGUGGGUAAAAAUGGGACUACCGUGAAAGUUGGGGAUUUUUUUAAAUAAAAAAAAAAUUCGAGGCAAAAUUAAGAUUUUCCUGAAGUUUUGCUCUGCGACACUUUAAAUUUCUUUACAACAUUAUUUCACAAUUUAAAAACCUCUAGAAUCAGUCCAACAACGUAAAAUCCAUACAAAACCUAAUUUACAGUUAAACUAAGAAAACUUCUUCAAUUAGAUAAAUAAAAGUUUAAAAUCCUUACCAAUUAUUAAGAAAUAUAAAUAAUCCGGCUUGACCCAGCCUCUCAAACGUGCAUGUAGCGAGAGCCCCUCGUCUCAUCUUUGUCUUUCUGUCUGUUUCUCCGGAUUCUGGUUUCCUCCUUCUUGGCCAGACUCUGUUCUCUCUCUCUCUCUCUCUCUCUCUCUCUCUUUCUGCUCUAGUAAUUCCUUUGCAAUGGCAUCAACUGAACCAAGACCAAGGAAAGUGCUAAACGAGACACUUGGGCUUGGGCUUAAUGUUUUGCUCUUAUUUAUUAUUUUUUGCCAGCCUGGUUAUUGCAACUUUAAUAGGAAAGUUCAAAGGCGUUCCUCCACUCCAGUGGUGAAGGCAGGGCAGCAGACUGGCGUAAAAGACGACAGCCUGAAACUGGAGGGAUCACUGUCAAUUUGGAGUCUGCUCCGGUUUCAGACAGUCGUCCUUUAUGCCAGUAUGCAUAAAAAGAACCACGAAUGAUGUCCUGCCUUCACCCCUCUCGGCGUCAUGGAUUUUACCUCCAUUGUCUCUAUCCUGAUCGACUUCAUCGAAUUGAAAUGCCAGGGGAAGUUAAUUUCUUGCUGCUGUGUUCCCAUAAUCGGGCACCACCAUCUAGCGGCCACGCACCUCCUUGUGAUGGAGCAUGCACCUCCUCAUCGACUUGGCCAGUUCUAUAUCGGUGACUUUGCUCGUGUGGUUGCUGCUCCACGACUUAUCCCACUCCAUCCUAGGUUGUUUGUGCUGCUCCUGUUGCUUUUCAUGAGUCUGUUGCACGAACAUAAAAAGAAAGGAGAGCAGGGAACAAGUACAAAACCACCUUUGUCUCUUUCCUAUUCCUAGCCAUGAAUGGUCAUGCACCUAAUAGCAACUAAAUUUGAUUAAGAUAGCUAAGUCCACAAAAGAAAUUACAAUCUUUUGUUAUGGAAGAGAUCGAAGAUAACCUCAACAAUUGUUACUAGAAGAAGAAUGGUCAAUUGUAGUAGCUAUAUUAAGCAAAUAUUAUUCUUGACAUUGAAGCUUCUAACCUCUUUGAAAACAUUAUGAGUGUUGUAGACUUCCUUCUUUUUCCAGUGAAUUUCUUGGGAAAAUUACAAAAUAAUAAUAAUAAUAAUAAUCUUAACUCUUUUAAUAAUUUGUCAAUUUAGUUUUUCAGCUGAUUUAGCUUGAAAAAUGCUCACGUGAAUGUCAAAUAAGUAAUGCCCAUCCUACUUGGCCGGACUGGCAGAUGGCCGUUGCUAAUGUAAUCACAGAAAAACAAAACGGUGUCAUUUUUCACAAUAAUUUAAAAAGAAAAAAAUAGUCGCUGUGCUAUUUUCUUGCCCAAAUCCUCAAACACUCACCCAAUGCCCUUGUCCAAAGAAGUCUAACUUGAAUUCAACCGAGAUCUUGCUCAAAUCUCUUCAAAUCUCAACUCAAAUCGAACGAUUCUUGCUCGAGCCCGAGUCGUUUCUUUCCACAAUUAGGAGAAAAUGUAGAUGUUUUCUCCCAUCCCAAAAGAGUUAUUUUAUGUAUAACCCCAUAAUUGCUUCGCUGAAUUAGAGCAGAUUCUAAAAUGUGAGGCUAUAAUGGUAAACAUGCGAUGAGACAUCAAAAUUUGAGAUUUUGUUCAUACAGAAUAUUGAUAGAUAAAAUAGAAAGACGAAUAAUCUGCAGCAUUAAUUUUUUUACUUUUGAGAAUACUUUUAUCCCAAUAAAAAGAAAAUUGAAAAUUCUCAAUAUGAAUAGAAAUUUUAAAAUCAAGCUUGAUUGUAUGCCAAUUUGAACAUUUUGACAAUAACCGGUGCUGUUUUUCCUUUUGACCGAACCAUUUUUCUCACGGCCUUUCUCGUUCUAAAAGAUGCAUUUGCAAAACUGAAAUUGAUUCCCAAAAGAGCAUGGAAAAAAGCGUUUUCCGAAGGAUUUCAUCAAUAUACGAAAAUCAACGGUCGCGAUUGUUUUGGUGUAGGAACCAAGAUUGGAGACAGCAUAUACGGUGGUAUGGUAUGGGAAGUCGCCACGUGGCGCGCCGUGGAUCUUUUGCUCGGCCUUUCAGUUUCUCUGCUGGGGUACUUCUGACUCUGAGAGAGAGAGAGAGUGCUCUCCGGACGCUGGUGGUUGGCGACGGCGGAAGAGAGGAUGGCCGCGGCGGCGAGCCUCUGCAACCGCAUCCCCUCUCCGUUCCUCGGCCGCUUCCCUCCUCCUCCUCCUCAUCCCCUCGCUGUCGGUCUCUCUGUCUCUGUCUCUGUCUCUGUCUCUGUCUCUGUUCUCUCUUCGUUUCUAGAGUUUCGAGCUGACUGCGCGUCUUCCAUGGAGUUCGCUUUUUACUGUCUUCAUGUUGCGGAAUCUUCUUGAACGAAUCCGAAUGUUUUGCCAGAAAAGCUGAUUCCUUUCUUGUGUUUCGCGCGCCUGCUUCUUCAAUCUCACGACGAUUUCUCAUUUUCUCCUUCUUCUUCUUCUGCAACUGCGUUUUUGAAUGGAGGAGUUGUCGGUUGAUGAACGGAGAAUGUGAUGCUGUCGCCCCAAAUCCAAACCCCUCGCUCGCUCGCGCAGUCGCCCAAAUCUCCCCCGAACCUCAACUCAAAUCUCCCCGAAACCAUAGGAAGCACAGUUCGGAAGAUCAAAAUUAAGAAAGAGUACACGCUCGUGGAGGAGAUGUUUCGAAGUGGGCCUUUCAAAAGUGCAUGGAAUGUUGAAGUCGUAGUCACUUUCCAUGCAGCGAAAGACCAGAGGGUCUACACUCUUCACGGCAAAUGUCAACAGCGCUCCUUUCUGAUGCAAGAAGAAAAAGGAUGUGCGGGGUCAUUAUCGAAAAACAAUUACGUAUAAUAUGAUGCACCGUAAGCUAUGUGGAUAAGGUUCACCAAAGUAGUAGUCACAAUUAAACUUGUAUUUUUAUUAUCUAUGAAUAAAACUCAAUUUCAUUUUCAAAAAUUUAAUAAUUGUCCACAUUGUUUAUCUUGAAAACAAAAUAUAGAUCUAAGUUGUUAUAGACCUAGUUCGCAUAUACAACCUAUGGCUUCCGCUAGUUAGACUAAAUUUAGAUGCAUAGGUCAAAAGUUGGCAUUUGUAUAAAUUAUGGCAACUAAGAUCCAUGAGAACAUUUCAAGAAAGGACAAACAAAAUAGGGAGGUACUCUUUCGAGUAAUUAUAAGUAAACCAAUUGAAAUGUUAGAAAGAACUACAUUUGAAAAAAGGAAAACCAGAGCAGUGUAGAGCUCAUAUAAAAAGGUUCUUGGAAACCAUUCUACUCUAACCUAACUUUACUAGGAACUAUAAUAGUAAGAUUGUGAACUAAGUAGUCCUAACAAUGACACACGACACACAACAUAUCAUUUUUCAAAAAAUAGAGAAUUUCCACAUGUCAUGACAUGUUGUAUAUAAAAUGAUAACUUUUUCUUCAUUAUUUUGAUUUGAUAAAUUCAAUUGCAUUCCAUUCCAAUAAUCCAUAAAAGUUGAAGGAAGAAAAAUCAAACAAUCCACAUUCCACUAUUAAAUUUAAUAUUUAACAAAAAGUAGAAAAAUAAUAAUAAUACACGUUCCACCAUCAAAUAUAACAAGAAGUCUUUCUUUCCCCAUUUUUUUUAUUUUUUUAUAUAUAUAUUUACAUUUUGACCUAUCAUUUAUUGAAAAUUUUGAAAUUAACCUCGUGCAUAUCAAAAUCACGUGUCGAAAUUCCAUACUCACAUGUCAAGAGACUUGACCAUGUGUCGGAUUUUUCGACACUCAUUCAUCACGUGUUGGAACGUAUCGGAGUGUCAAACACAACACGAAGACUUCAAUAUUUCUUAAAUUGUGAACCAAAUUCUAGUAGUACAAUUGCUUUUGCUGCCAAUGUCAUCUCAGUAGCAGAAAAGCCAUGGAAAGAUCAGGAGGUACAUUACAUACUUCAAAACACCAACUUAUCCGAAACAAAUAAAUUGCAACGAAUAUCAGAACUUCUGGAUCAAAUUAUUCCCUCCGACUUAUCAUUCACGAGGAAAGGAAAGGCAUGAGGAGAAUCAGAAACGCAAUGUGGUCAUAGCAAAACCAAUCGCAUAAUGACAAGUUAACAGGGAACAUGCAAGAGCAAUUUAGCAUAAAUAUUGCAGUACUUUCGGCUAGUUUCGGGAAACGAAACACAUUCCAGAGAACAUGAAGCAUCCCAGAACGUCUUAUUCUCUUUUGUUGUCUACACUGCAUAAUCUGAAUAAUCAUAAUUUACGGCUUAAUUACGAAAAUUCCUGCACUUAGAUAAAUAAAAGUUGUUGCUACCAGCUAGAAUUAAUCCGUCUUGUCGAGUUCUCCCAAGCGUGCAUGGAGGGAAAGCCCCCUUUGUUUCCUCUCUCUUUUUCACCGUUUCUUUCCUUCUUUUCUUUUCUUUUCUUUUUUGUUCUUCUUGGCUAGGCUCCGUUUUCUCUCCUUCUUUCUGCUCUUGUAAUUUCCCUUGCAAUGAAGCAAGACUAAAGAAAGGGCUAAAACGAAACACUUAGGCUUGGGCUUAGGCUUGGGCUUAAUGUUUUGCUCUUAUUUAUUAUUUUUUGCAAGCCCGUUUCUUGCAACUUUAUUCAUGAAGAUAAAUAUAUUAGGGUAUUAUGUGCUGAUGGAUCCUAUGCGAAGUGAGGAUAAGGUCACUCGAAAUUAAAGUUGGGCAUAUAACUUUUUUAUGAAAAAUCAUAAAUCUAUUAUAUGUAUGUCAAUUCAGUCCUUUUGACUAAUUUUCAUUAGAAAUUACUGAUAUGGACAUUAGUUGUCCUGCAUGGCACACCUUGCCCUAAUAUGGAUAAUUUUUAUAGUAAUUCAAUUUUUUUAUUUGUUAUUCUUUUUUUUCUCUCUUUUUUCUCAUCACCCAGUUCUUCCAUCACCAUGUUCCAAGACAUGGAUUUUUCUUCUCUUGCAUGAGAAAACUCGAAACUUUCAUUCCCUGCUCUAGAAGAAUUCAUCCAUCCACAAGGCAGAUAUCGACAUGCUCCCAAAAUACCUACCUCCACUGAUGUAGACGAACAUGGAAAACAAAAAAGGACUCAUGUUACUGAAGCCAUCUUGAAUUGGCAAUUGGAGACUUUGUUGGCACACAACAAUGCGUUCAAAAUCACCUAGGUGAGGGUCGCCGUUGCCCACCAUAGGCUAGGCUAGGCUAGGCCAAGCGAGAUCGAUCCUAAGAAAGACUGCCUUGGCUUGGGCAAGGCCUUACGAGGGUUAGCCUCGCCUAGGCCAAAUUUGGUGAGGCUAGCUCGCUCGGCUAUUGCCUAUGAUUAGCAAAAGGAGGAAGAAAGGAAAAGAAAAAAAGAAAAAAAUUAAAGAAAAUAAAAAAUAUAUAUUAAAUUAUUAUUAAAAUUUUUCCAUGGCCAUCCAAUCAGUAUUUAGUCAAAAUUAACCAAAAUAAUUAAAUUUAUACAAUUAUAAGGUUUAAGACUAAAUUAAUAUAAAUGCGAUAAGCUUAUGGCUUUUCUCCCUUGUCAAUAUAAACAUUUGAUAUUUAUUUUUUUCAUGGAAAGUGGCACGGAUAUCAAUUUAAUAAUCUUUCUUUUGACAUCAAUCUAAUACUCUUUAUUUUUGAACGUCCCCCAUGCAUUCACGUGCUUCAAAGUUGUGUCUCGACUUUUUUUAUUUUACUUCUUCGAGAAAAUAUUAUAUAAACUUAUAAGUAAUCCGAUGGAUGGAAGAAAUCAAUUAAAAUACGUUAUUAGUCUUUUUCAGUCCUAAUUUAUAUUGAUUACAUAUAUCCGUGAAACGUAAUUAUUUGAUCUAGCAAACUUAGUUUAUGUAAUACUUGCCCGCGGGAUAAUUAUAAAAAGGGUUUUAAAUCUAUUGUACUUAUGAUAAUUUAGUUUUAAACCUUUGAAUUUAACUAAUUAAGUCCUCAACUUUUUGACAAUUUGUCAAUUCAGUUCUAAAUAUUUCAAUCGGGUCAAUUUAGCUCUAGUCAUUUUGAUAGUCACAUCGAUGUUGCCUAAAUCUCGAUGUCAACGAUUUCCAAUUAAAAUGGUCCAAAAGGAUUAAAUUGGUCAAUCGUAAAAAAAUUUAUGACUCUAUUAAUACAAUAUAAAGGCUUAUGAUUUAAUUGACACAAAUUUAAUAAGUUUGAACUUUUUUUUUUUUUUGGUAACUUCUCCCUUGCCCGUACUUCUUACAUAUUCCUCUCCCUCGAGAUAACCUUAAAAAUGUUAACGAUUAAAUAAGUGUAAGUAUCAGCUUUCCAACAACUUAGUGUCGUUGGCAAAAAAUAAUAAAAUACUAACUAAAAAAGUGAGUGUGACCGAACUACAUAGCUUUUGGAUCUUAGGCAGCUUUUUCCGUGUUGGCAUCUUAUUUUAAGUUUUGCGGCUAUAAAUAAUUCAGACGGUAUCUUCUUUACCAAAAAAAUAAUAAUUCAGACGGUAUCUUGACCCAUUGGAGUCGCCUGGAGACAUCACAUGCUCUUCUGUAAGGGCAGCACGCUUGUGAGCUGAGAGAAAGAUCCAAUCUCUAGGCCUCGAACGCGGAACAGUACUGAGAAUAUUUCUCCCGCUUAUAUCUUCUUCUGCUCAUGAUUAGAGAAAUAUUCCUACAUCUAUAUCUUUUACGAAUAGGUUAUAAAUUAUCAAAAUUACGGGAAAAAUACCAAAAUAAUCCUAAACUUUUUGCAUUGGUACCCAAUUCAGUCAUAAACUUUUUAAUUGGAUCAUUUUAGUCUCAAAUAUUUUUGUAUUGAUACCAAUUCAAUUUAUCCGGCUAAUUUAAACCGUAAAUUGUUGACGUAGCUGCCAGCGGUCUUAUGUGGCGCCAUGUGGACAUUUAUAUAUUUUUAUAUUUUUUUCAGAUUUUUUAAAUUAUUAUUUUCCUUUCUUCCUUUUUUUCUUUUUUUCUUUUUUUUCCUUUUCUUUUCUCCUUACUCCUUGGUCCGCGAGGUCACUGGCCAGCCGACCAUCAUCAGCCAUAGGUUGGUUGGGGCGAGGGGCCUCGCACCCUCCCUAGCCCCCGCCCAAAUCUAGGCGAGGGCCUCUGUGCCCUCGUUGGCCACAGACGAGGGUGCAGCUAGGGGUGAGCAUGGUCCGGGUUGGUCCGGGCCACCCCCUAACCCUAGGACUAACCCGUAUAGUGUCGGUCCUCAAUUUUUAGGACCGAUGACCGACCCUAUUGAGCCUGGGACCAAGGACUGGACUGACCCAAUGGGUUCGGUCCGGUUCCAGGGUUAACCCGGAACCGAUCGAUAAUUUUUUUCAUCUUUUUUUUCAUACUUCCUAAAAAAGUAAACCUACAAAAGUAUCUCAAUCAGUGUAUGAAAUCAACAAUGUGGCAUAUAAGACGAAAAGAAGUAUCUCAAUAAUUUUUUUUCGUCUUGUAUAUACAUAACUAGAUCUAAUGAAUUUUUUUCAUCAUGCAUAUACAUAACUAGAUCAAACACAAAGCUUCCCAGGUUCUUUUCCAACAGUAGAUAAGCCACUAGGAUAGAAGGAAAAAACAGGCCUAACGUCUAUCUAAAUGCCCGCAUUCCAAAAUUGCAAGAGCCAAAGUGAUUUGAAUAGAAUAUACAGCGCAAGUCCCCCUGUUGUAAGUGAGAAACUUAAAAAACAAACAGAAAAAUGCGUUCCCAAGUGAGUAAUUAAAACAGAUAAAAAUGCCAAGGAAUGUACCUCCAUUGAGAGCCAACCUAUUGAUCAGCAAAGUAAUUCAAUUGCUGCACUGGAAAAGACAACGGAAUUUACAUCAUAUGGGCUUGACUAUGAUGAAGUUGAUUGUUCUUCUCAAGACGUCUAGCAUUGGGAAUGUUUGACAAUGGCGUUCAUGUUCACCCAUCAUCAAAUGCUUUUCAGAAAAUCCUUUGCAGAGCAAAGGAGAAGAUACUUCAGGUAGCUUUCAUACACUUGCAGCCAUGUUCCUCAGUCAGCAAGCCGUCCCUCCGUUAUUUGCAUGUAAGAAGCAGAGCAAAUAAACCAAAUAUGUAAUCGACCUGUGGUGAUAAUCUGAGUACACAGCUCAACCCAAAUAUUCUCCACUACUGAUUCAAAUACCAUCCACUUCAAGCUAUGCCUCUUCUUUGAAAUAUCUAUGGUGAAUAGGACAUUGUAAGGAUUAGAUUGUGAAAAAAGAAGGUGUAUAACAGAAAACUAGGAUCUCUCUCUCAAAGCACAUACACAAUAGGCUAAUCAGGAUUUAUGACAUAAUAUACUUCAUUACAAAGUAAAGUUAUUGCUAUUAACAUCUAUUUAAUUCAAUAUCAUCCUUAGACUGCUUAAUCAUUUGUAUGAAUUUCACCUAUUUGAAUAACAUUAGGCACCAAAAGCACUAACAAACGAGUAUACAUACCAGUUAAAUACACAGACUUCGUACCGAACCUAGAUAUAUGAGGAUCAAAAUCCACCUUCCACCUGUCCAAAUAUUUGCUGUCUUGGCAGGUUCGAUAUAGUGAACUGUCUCCCAGAUUUAAAACAACUUCAUUAAUGGGACAUGAGACUCAGUGAGAUGACGAUUGGAAGGAAACUUGGCAGUAAUCUGAUUUACUCUGCAUCACAUUUCAGAUGAAAAAGUGGACAGAUCUCAGAGACAAUGGAGAGUUCUUCUAGAAAAGGAAGAAGUUCCAUCUGUCACGAGAUAUUUGACCCAAAAUUCCAUCGUUGCUACAUCUGCAGAAAAACCCCUUUCAACCAUUUCACCGACAAGUUGCGUGGCUCUAGUAUUUUUGUUAUCUCUUAGUAGUCUUUUGGAUGAUUGUGUUAUAAGUGACCCCAUCUGGGAGGUCAUAGGGACUAAUACCCAGCCAAACCAAUCACGUACACGAAGCAAACAUGGAAAAAAAAAAUCAACACAAAAUCAAGAGCAUACAUGAGGUUGAAGAUCUCAAAUGAAGCACAAAGUAGAACUCACUAGCCAAGUUGUGUUCGGAAAGCAAGGGCAAGCCGAGCGUUAGGGUUUCUAAUUAGGGAUUCUUCUUUUUCCUUCUGNNNNNNNNNNNNNNNNNNNNNNNNNNNNNNNNNNNNNNNNNNNNNNNNNNNNNNNNNNNNNNNNNNNNNNNNNNNNNNNNNNNNNNNNNNNNNNNNNNNNNNNNNNNNNNNNNNNNNNNNNNNNNNNNNNNNNNNNNNNNNNNNNNNNNNNNNNNNNNNNNNNNNNNNNNNNNNNNNNNNNNNNNNNNNNNNNNNNNNNNNNNNNNNNNNNNNNNNNNNNNNNNNNNNNNNNNNNNNNNNNNNNNNNNNNNNNNNNNNNNNNNNNNNNNNNNNNNNNNNNNNNNNNNNNNNNNNNNNNNNNNNNNNNNNNNNNNNNNNNNNNNNNNNNNNNNNNNNNNNNNNNNNNNNUCUGAUUUACUCGGCGAUAAGCGAGGUGACCGGCGCGAGUGGCGAGCGGCAAGUGCGAGCAUCGAGUGGGGCGAGCGUCAACUAGCGAGCGGCAAGAGUUGAGCGAGGCCAGCGGCGAGCGGCGAGCGUUAAGCAAGGCUAGCGGUGAGUGGCGAGUGGCGAGGGUUGAGCGAGGCUAGCAACGAUAGCAAAGGGCGAAUAGCAAGCGGCGAGCGGCGCGAGCGGCUCGGGCAACCAGAGGCGAGCAAGGAUGUCGCUACUUUUGAUUUUGGCAAAUUUGAAGAACAAAUAAGACAAAAUGGAAGAGAACAUACUUUGGAGAAGGAAGCCGCGAGGAGAUUUACAGCGUAGACUUUGCAGUUUGGACCGUUUUGGACGUUGCAAGUCCGUGACUGUGAAGACUCCUUGGUCUUCACAGUGAAGAACACUCUGGAUUGUGGACUCUGGAGAACAUACUUUGUAGUUUGGACUGUGGAGGAGGACGCCGUGAAGACCUUGACGGCAUAAAAUUCACGCCUUUUGGAUGCCGUUUGUUCGUGACAGUGAGCUGAGGAGUCAACAACUUCAACAUAAUUUUACUUAGAUUUGACCGUUUGAAUAUAUAAAAGAAUUAUUCCUUACCAAAAAAAUAUAUAAAAGAAUUAUAAAUAAUAUACAGGGUUGGUCCGGGUUGGACCGACCCAAAACUCUUAGGACCGAGGACCAAUCCGCACAGUGUUGGUCCUGAAAUUUCAGGACCAAAGAUCGACCCAGUCCCCUUGGGAACCGGACCAGGACCGGCAGGGUUGGGCCGGUCCAGGAUCGGUCUAGGGUCGACCCUAAACCGCUGCUCACCCCUAGGCGCAGCAGCCCUCACUCUUGGCAGGCGAGGGUGCAGCGGCCCUAGCCCAGAUCCAAGCGAGGGCACGACGUCACAGGCGAGGCCGCCAUGGCCCUUGCCUGGAUCUAGGCGAAGGCCCAAUGGCCUCGCUUGUGGCGAGCAAGGGCCAUGAAGGCCUCACUUGUGGCGCCAUGCCCUUGCCUGGAUCUGGGCGAGGGCUGAUGCACCCUUGCCUGCCACAGGCGAGGGCUGUCGUGCCCUUGCCUGUGGCCGAGGAGGGCGCAAAGGCCCUCGCCGACCAAUAGGUGAGGGUUUGGACCCUCGCUUGGAUUUGGGCGAUGGUUAACGCCCUCACUUGUGGCCGAUGAGGGUGCGCGGCCCUUGCUAGUGCAGGUGAGGGCGCGGGCCCCUCGCCUGACUAGCCUGUGCCGGCAAUGGUCGCCGGUGGACGACCUCAUCCGGCCAGGGUAGGAGAANNNNNNNNNNNNNNNNNNNNNNNNNNNNNNNNNNNNNNNNNNNNNNNNNNNNNNNNNNNNNNNNNNNNNNNNNNNNNNNNNNNNNNNNNNNNNNNNNNNNNNNNNNNNNNNNNNNNNNNNNNNNNNNNNNNNNNNNNNNNNNNNNNNNNNNNNNNNNNNNNNNNNNNNNNNNNNNNNNNNNNNNNNNNNNNNNNNNNNNNNNNNNNNNNNNNNNNNNNNNNNNNNNNNNNNNNNNNNNNNNNNNNNNNNNNNNNNNNNNNNNNNNNNNNNNNNNNNNNNNNNNNNNNNNNNNNNNNNNNNNNNNNNNNNNNNNNNNNNNNNNNNNNNNNNNNNNNNNNNNNNNNNNNNNNNNNNNNNNNNNNNNNNNNNNNNNNNNNNNNNNNNNNNNNNNNNNNNNNNNNNNNNNNNNNNNNNNNNNNNNNNNNNNNNNNNNNNNNNNNNNNNNNNNNNNNNNNNNNNNNNNNNNNNNNNNNNNNNNNNNNNNNNNNNNNNNNNNNNNNNNNNNNNNNNNNNNNNNNNNNNNNNNNNNNNNNNNNNNNNNNNNNNNNNNNNNNNNNNNNNNNNNNNNNNNNNNNNNNNNNNNNNNNNNNNNNNNNNNNNNNNNNNNNNNNNNNNNNNNNNNNNNNNNNNNNNNNNNNNNNNNNNNNNNNNNNNNNNNNNNNNNNNNNNNNNNNNNNNNNNNNNNNNNNNNNNNNNNNNNNNNNNNNNNNNNNNNNNNNNNNNNNNNNNNNNNNNNNNNNNNNNNNNNNNNNNNNNNNNNNNNNNNNNNNNNNNNNNNNNNNNNNNNNNNNNNNNNNNNNNNNNNNNNNNNNNNNNNNNNNNNNNNNNNNNNNNNNNNNNNNNNNNNNNNNNNNNNNNNNNNNNNNNNNNNNNNNNNNNNNNNNNNNNNNNNNNNNNNNNNNNNNNNNNNNNNNNNNNNNNNNNNNNNNNNNNNNNNNNNNNNNNNNNNNNNNNNNNNNNNNNNNNNNNNNNNNNNNNNNNNNNNNNNNNNNNNNNNNNNNNNNNNNNNNNNNNNNNNNNNNNNNNNNNNNNNNNNNNNNNNNNNNNNNNNNNNNNNNNNNNNNNNNNNNNNNNNNNNNNNNNNNNNNNNNNNNNNNNNNNNNNNNNNNNNNNNNNNNNNNNNNNNNNNNNNNNNNNNNNNNNNNNNNNNNNNNNNNNNNNNNNNNNNNNNNNNNNNNNNNNNNNNNNNNNNNNNNNNNNNNNNNNNNNNNNNNNNNNNNNNNNNNNNNNNNNNNNNNNNNNNNNNNNNNNNNNNNNNNNNNNNNNNNNNNNNNNNNNNNNNNNNNNNNNNNNNNNNNNNNNNNNNNNNNNNNNNNNNNNNNNNNNNNNNNNNNNNNNNNNNNNNNNNNNNNNNNNNNNNNNNNNNNNNNNNNNNNNNNNNNNNNNNNNNNNNNNNNNNNNNNNNNNNNNNNNNNNNNNNNNNNNNNNNNNNNNNNNNNNNNNNNNNNNNNNNNNNNNNNNNNNNNNNNNNNNNNNNNNNNNNNNNNNNNNNNNNNNNNNNNNNNNNNNNNNNNNNNNNNNNNNNNNNNNNNNNNNNNNNNNNNNNNNNNNNNNNNNNNNNNNNNNNNNNNNNNNNNNNNNNNNNNNNNNNNNNNNNNNNNNNNNNNNNNNNNNNNNNNNNNNNNNNNNNNNNNNNNNNNNNNNNNNNNNNNNNNNNNNNNNNNNNNNNNNNNNNNNNNNNNNNNNNNNNNNNNNNNNNNNNNNNNNNNNNNNNNNNNNNNNNNNNNNNNNNNNNNNNNNNNNNNNNNNNNNNNNNNNNNNNNNNNNNNNNNNNNNNNNNNNNNNNNNNNNNNNNNNNNNNNNNNNNNNNNNNNNNNNNNNNNNNNNNNNNNNNNNNNNNNNNNNNNNNNNNNNNNNNNNNNNNNNNNNNNNNNNNNNNNNNNNNNNNNNNNNNNNNNNNNNNNNNNNNNNNNNNNNNNNNNNNNNNNNNNNNNNNNNNNNNNNNNNNNNNNNNNNNNNNNNNNNNNNNNNNNNNNNNNNNNNNNNNNNNNNNNNNNNNNNNNNNNNNNNNNNNNNNNNNNNNNNNNNNNNNNNNNNNNNNNNNNNNNNNNNNNNNNNNNNNNNNNNNNNNNNNNNNNNNNNNNNNNNNNNNNNNNNNNNNNNNNNNNNNNNNNNNNNNNNNNNNNNNNNNNNNNNNNNNNNNNNNNNNNNNNNNNNNNNNNNNNNNNNNNNNNNNNNNNNNNNNNNNNNNNNNNNNNNNNNNNNNNNNNNNNNNNNNNNNNNNNNNNNNNNNNNNNNNNNNNNNNNNNNNNNNNNNNNNNNNNNNNNNNNNNNNNNNNNNNNNNNNNNNNNNNNNNNNNNNNNNNNNNNNNNNNNNNNNNNNNNNNNNNNNNNNNNNNNNNNNNNNNNNNNNNNNNNNNNNNNNNNNNNNNNNNNNNNNNNNNNNNNNNNNNNNNNNNNNNNNNNNNNNNNNNNNNNNNNNNNNNNNNNNNNNNNNNNNNNNNNNNNNNNNNNNNNNNNNNNNNNNNNNNNNNNNNNNNNNNNNNNNNNNNNNNNNNNNNNNNNNNNNNNNNNNNNNNNNNNNNNNNNNNNNNNNNNNNNNNNNNNNNNNNNNNNNNNNNNNNNNNNNNNNNNNNNNNNNNNNNNNNNNNNNNNNNNNNNNNNNNNNNNNNNNNNNNNNNNNNNNNNNNNNNNNNNNNNNNNNNNNNNNNNNNNNNNNNNNNNNNNNNNNNNNNNNNNNNNNNNNNNNNNNNNNNNNNNNNNNNNNNNNNNNNNNNNNNNNNNNNNNNNNNNNNNNNNNNNNNNNNNNNNNNNNNNNNNNNNNNNNNNUACAGUUCAUGAAUGCAAAGCCAUAUUGAUAGGAUGCAAAAGCUUGAGUCUAGUCUGUUCAAACUACACCUGUCUGAUAUUCAUUUUCGAGGAAAUAAUAAGACCGGCAAGCUUCCUGACGAGUUGAUUCACAAUCAACUCAUGCAUCCCAAUUUUAGUGCAUUAAUUCAUAACAUGAAGCAAACAAGUCUCAUACCCAAAAAUAUGAUAUUUAUCUGCUUUUGAUGCAGAGAAUAACAAUAUCAGAUGUCGAGUGUUAGUAGUGAUUCUGAUUGACUUGCUUGAGAACGUAAGUUGAACUAUCAAACAGGAAGGCUGUCUCCUGCCUCCCCAAUUCUUUUCCUCUGGAUAAGUGCCUCCCCAACUCUGCAACUACAUGCACUUUGCUUGCAUCUUUUUGAGACCAGCAUUGCCCGUUAUUUUUUUUUUUCAGUACCCUCAGUUGUGUGCUCACUCUCUCUGCUUUUCCUGCAGAAUUGCAAUUUUUGUAUCUAGUACAGCAAUAGCAAGGACUUCAGGUAGUUCCAUUACUUUAAAAAAAAUUUGGUAUUACCAUAUUUUCUGUUUUUUUUUUUUUGGUAAAUACCAUAUUUUCUGUUGAUUAUAACUUAUUGUGGAGAAUGAGUCUAUCUAUGAUGUUAAAGAAAGAAGAAAGAACAGGGCUAUUCACCACAUCACAAGGCAGCAUCUUGUAUCUCUUUGUUGGCUAAUUGUCAGUUUUGUGAGAAAGCACUUCUUUGAUGAAAGCAUACCAUGGGUAAAACGCAUUAGAUAUGAGUAAUCAAUGCACAGGGGCAUUCAUCAGAGCUGGAAGCACCUAGAUUCAGUCUUUUUUCUCUCAAAGGUCACAAUAGUACUCACCGGCAUGAUCUUUGAUGGACGAAGUGUAUAGUGUGAGUUGAUGGAGGUGAUGGUGAUCUUUUAUUUUCGGUGGUAAUUGUGGAAGGCAAUCAUGAUUGACAUUAAGACUGCACUGCACAAGAAUGUGAAAGUUGAAAGUGCAAAAUUUACCAGACAAUGCAUAGGAAGUGCACAUCAGUAGAUCUAAUAUAAGAAAGAGCAUAUGCUCUUGGAGGUGAUGUUUCAAAGUGGGCCUAUUAAAAGUGCAUGGAAUGUUGAAGUCAAAGUUGCAUUUUACGCAGAGAAAGACAGUGUCAAUGCUCUUCACGACAUGCGUUAGUGAGCGUUCCUUCCUGAUAUGGGAAGAAGUGGCUGUGCCAGGGCGAACGGGGUGUUGCAUAACUGAGGGCAAUUCAGCACAUGAUUUAUGGAGCAGAUGAGAGUAGAACUGCUCCAUCGGCAGUGGAUGAUCGUGAAUUGGAGAAAGAAGAGGCAAUCCAGGCAACCAUAGACGUCACCUAGUAUGCUUUGCACUCGAGCUUCACGUGGAGGGACGCCAGUAGAUGCUGAUGGGCGAAAUGGCAAAAAAACUGCACCUUUCUUGCCCUCCAGGUCUUGUGAACCUAGACUAUAGCCGCACAGUCCAUGUCAAGGCUGAAAUUGCACUCGCUGCAGUGGGAGACUAUAUGGCAGGCAUUACAUUGGAGGUCUACCAAUUGACCGAAGGCAAGAGAGAUGGUGAUCAUGGAGAGACGAGCAUUGCAUCUCUGGGGGGAGAUUUGGCCCAGUUCUCAUGGAGAAAGAACACACACGUGUACCAUCGAUAGACCUCCUCGCAGGCUUCGCAUUUGAUUCUACUUUUCGUCUCCAAGAUGAUGGGAUGUGAGCAGAUGCUAAUGAGCAAAACGUUGGAUGGUCGCAUUCUCAGAUUCCUCAUCAGGCUUAGAGUUGUGACUAGGUAGACGAAGCAAUAUCAGGCCGUGCAGCAACGCUUAACCAUCCGAACAGCAAGAAGGAAGCCCGCUCACACGCAUGGCAACUCCGACGAUCCUCCACAUCAUCGCCUACUGGGCGGUCAAGUCGGGGCAGCGGGUGAAACGGGGGUCCUAGGGCGGACAGCAUGCCAAAUUCAGUGCAACUGGUGAAAGAGAAAUUGACACGAUUCACGGCAGCGGGCUGAGCCACGGAGCGAAGACCAGCACGCGAGACAUUCCAAGCAACUACAACUUCCGCUUAGGUUCCGGAGACUCAAUGCAUGAUCGCCAAGGCAAAUUAGGAGAUAAAAAAAACGUUUUAAAUGGAGUUAUAGUUGCGUGAUGUCAACACGAAGUAAAUGAGGUGACAUGAAUUGUACCCUACUCCCGUAUUAUUUGAUGUUGUAUUUCAGUGUUCAUUUCUACAUUUUUAUUUUAUUUUAUUUUAUUUAUGCUUCAACGCAAUAGUUAAUAAAACUAAAGUGGCCCAUGAAAAGUUUUAUAUCUUGUUCAUUUAAAGUCAGCUGCAAUUAUAUGAGGUCUUAAAAGUGCAUUCACCUUGGGCUAGUCUAUACAUUCGUCAGAGAGUUCUUAUCUAACUUACUCUAAAAGUUACUUACGUAAGACAAUUUUGUGAUAACAGUUUUGUCAUAAUUGUUUAAAAAACCAAAUUCACCUUCUUCUUUUUUUAAAAAAAUUUUACAAGUUAUUUUUUUUAAUUUAUUAGUUGAUUGCAUUUACAUGUAAAAGUAAUGUUUACAUUUGCCAUUAAAUGCAAUUUGUACAAGUAGUAUGAGCCGAAUCUACUUUUUUCUAGUUAUCAAUUUCUCUAUGAAUGCACAUGUUCUGCACCACCCUUGAUCUGUAAACUAGGUCGAUAUGGCUCAUUGAAGCAGCAAUUGUAAUUAAACUUGUAAUUUUCUUUUAAAUCUUUGAAUGGAACUCGAUUUUAUUUUCAAAAACUAAAUAAUUAUCCGCAUUGGUUAUUUUAAAAAAAAAUGCAGAUUGAAAUUGUUACAGACUCUAUUCACAUAUACAACCUACAACUUCAACUAAUUAAACUGAAUUUAUAUCCAUAGAUAAAAGGUUGACAUUUGUAUAAACUAUGAAGACUAAGACCAAGGAGAACAUUUCUAGAAAGAGCAAAACAAAAAAGAGAGGUGCUCUUUCGAGUAAUUACAAGUAAAUCUAUCCAAAUUAUAGAAUGAACUACAUUGGAUGAAAUAAAGAUUAUGANNNNNNNNNNNNNNNNNNNNNNNNNNNNNNNNNNNNNNNNNNNNNNNNNNNNNNNNNNNNNNNNNNNNNNNNNNNNNNNNNNNNNNNNNNNNNNNNNNNNNNNNNNNNNNNNNNNNNNNNNNNNNNNNNNNNNNNNNNNNNNNNNNNNNNNNNNNNNNNNNNNNNNNNNNNNNNNNNNNNNNNNNNNNNNNNNNNNNNNNNNNNNNNNNNNNNNNNNNNNNNNNNNNNNNNNNNNNNNNNNNNNNNNNNNNNNNNNNNNNNNNNNNNNNNNNNNNNNNNNNNNNNNNNNNNNNNNNNNNNNNNNNNNNNNNNNNNNNNNNNNNNNNNNNNNNNNNNNNNNNNNNNNNNNNNNNNNNNNNNNNNNNNNNNNNNNNNNNNNNNNNNNNNNNNNNNNNNNNNNNNNNNNNNNNNNNNNNNNNNNNNNNNNNNNNNNNNNNNNNNNNNNNNNNNNNNNNNNNNNNNNNNNNNNNNNNNNNNNNNNNNNNNNNNNNNNNNNNNNNNNNNNNNNNNNNNNNNNNNNNNNNNNNNNNNNNNNNNNNNNNNNNNNNNNNNNNNNNNNNNNNNNNNNNNNNNNNNNNNNNNNNNNNNNNNNNNNNNNNNNNNNNNNNNNNNNNNNNNNNNNNNNNNNNNNNNNNNNNNNNNNNNNNNNNNNNNNNNNNNNNNNNNNNNNNNNNNNNNNNNNNNNNNNNNNNNNNNNNNNNNNNNNNNNNNNNNNNNNNNNNNNNNNNNNNNNNNNNNNNNNNNNNNNNNNNNNNNNNNNNNNNNNNNNNNNNNNNNNNNNNNNNNNNNNNNNNNNNNNNNNNNNNNNNNNNNNNNNNNNNNNNNNNNNNNNNNNNNNNNNNNNNNNNNNNNNNNNNNNNNNNNNNNNNNNNNNNNNNNNNNNNNNNNNNNNNNNNNNNNNNNNNNNNNNNNNNNNNNNNNNNNNNNNNNNNNNNNNNNNNNNNNNNNNNNNNNNNNNNNNNNNNNNNNNNNNNNNNNNNNNNNNNNNNNNNNNNNNNNNNNNNNNNNNNNNNNNNNNNNNNNNNNNNNNNNNNNNNNNNNNNNNNNNNNNNNNNNNNNNNNNNNNNNNNNNNNNNNNNNNNNNNNNNNNNNNNNNNNNNNNNNNNNNNNNNNNNNNNNNNNNNNNNNNNNNNNNNNNNNNNNNNNNNNNNNNNNNNNNNNNNNNNNNNNNNNNNNNNNNNNNNNNNNNNNNNNNNNNNNNNNNNNNNNNNNNNNNNNNNNNNNNNNNNNNNNNNNNNNNNNNNNNNNNNNNNNNNNNNNNNNNNNNNNNNNNNNNNNNNNNNNNNNNNNNNNNNNNNNNNNNNNNNNNNNNNNNNNNNNNNNNNNNNNNNNNNNNNNNNNNNNNNNNNNNNNNNNNNNNNNNNNNNNNNNNNNNNNNNNNNNNNNNNNNNNNNNNNNNNNNNNNNNNNNNNNNNNNNNNNNNNNNNNNNNNNNNNNNNNNNNNNNNNNNNNNNNNNNNNNNNNNNNNNNNNNNNNNNNNNNNNNNNNNNNNNNNNNNNNNNNNNNNNNNNNNNNNNNNNNNNNNNNNNNNNNNNNNNNNNNNNNNNNNNNNNNNNNNNNNNNNNNNNNNNNNNNNNNNNNNNNNNNNNNNNNNNNNNNNNNNNNNNNNNNNNNNNNNNNNNNNNNNNNNNNNNNNNNNNNNNNNNNNNNNNNNNNNNNNNNNNNNNNNNNNNNNNNNNNNNNNNNNNNNNNNNNNNNNNNNNNNNNNNNNNNNNNNNNNNNNNNNNNNNNNNNNNNNNNNNNNNNNNNNNNNNNNNNNNNNNNNNNNNNNNNNNNNNNNNNNNNNNNNNNNNNNNNNNNNNNNNNNNNNNNNNNNNNNNNNNNNNNNNNNNNNNNNNNNNNNNNNNNNNNNNNNNNNNNNNNNNNNNNNNNNNNNNNNNNNNNNNNNNNNNNNNNNNNNNNNNNNNNNNNNNNNNNNNNNNNNNNNNNNNNNNNNNNNNNNNNNNNNNNNNNNNNNNNNNNNNNNNNNNNNNNNNNNNNNNNNNNNNNNNNNNNNNNNNNNNNNNNNNNNNNNNNNNNNNNNNNNNNNNNNNNNNNNNNNNNNNNNNNNNNNNNNNNNNNNNNNNNNNNNNNNNNNNNNNNNNNNNNNNNNNNNNNNNNNNNNNNNNNNNNNNNNNNNNNNNNNNNNNNNNNNNNNNNNNNNNNNNNNNNNNNNNNNNNNNNNNNNNNNNNNNNNAAUCUCGAUCACUUUCAAAACAUGGAGCUAUAAAUUUGUAGAGAAUAACACACCCCUAAAUAAAAUCCAAUCGAAAGUUAUGCCGCUCAAAAAGUUUCAAAGUCCUAUCAAAGAUUAACUAAAUGUCAAACUUACGUGUCAACUAACCUCGACUAAAACUUUAGUAGGCGAUACCAUAUUCUUGAGUCAAAUCAUCCACUUGACAAAAGACCUUUGAACAAUUACUUUGCAAAUAGAGUCGAUCUCAUUUAAAACUCCAAUUCAAGUGAGCUUACUUUCAAUAGAAAACUCUUUCGAAUUACUAAGAGAUCAUAAAGCCAAAAGAUGGUCGGAGAAGGGUGAAAUCCAUUGCCAAAUACAGUUUUGAAAACUAUUUCUAGCAAUGUGCAAAAUUUUAAAAAUUUAUCCCAAUCAAAUCAUAAACCUAUAUUGACUUUCCUAAAGUCCUAUUAUGCAAUACCCUAAAAUUUCUUUACAACAUAAUUUUAUAGUUUAAAAAUCUCUAUCAACCUAGCAACAUAGAAUCUGCACAAAACCUAAUUUACGAUUUAAUUAUGAAAACUCCUUUAAUUAUAUAAAUAAAAGUUUUGAAUCUUUAACGAUUGCCAAGAAACUGAAUUAAUCCGGUGCAUGCAGCAAGAGCCCCCUUUUUGUCUCCUCUGUCUUUUUCUCGAUUUCUCCGGACUCUGCUUUCCUUCUCUCUCUCUCUCUCUCUUUUCGUGUUCUUCUUGGCAGACUCUGUUUUCAUCUUUUUUCUCUCUUUUCGCUCUAGUAAUUCCCUUAACACGGCGUCAACUGAGGCAAGACCAAAGAAAGGACUUUAACGAGACACUUGGGCUUGGGCUUGGGCUUACUGUUUUGCUCUUAUUUAUUAUUUUUUGCCAGCCCGGAUAUUGGAACUUUAUUCUUGCCCAUGAAAGUCCCUGCUUUCAUUCCUGCUUCUAGCACUACCAAGGAUUCUCGUCCCUCGAUUCAUUUUUCAAGCAUAACCUGCGAUUCAUUUUUCUAGCAUAACCUGCUUUCAAGAGACGAGAAUCCUUUGCCCUGCGAUUCAUUUUUCAAGCAUAACCUGCUUUCAAGAGACGAGAAUCCUUUGCCCUGCGAUUCAUUUUUCAAGCAUAACCUGCGAUUCAUUUUUCUAGUAUAACCUGCUUUCAAGAGACGAGAAUCCUUUGCCCUGCGAUUCAUUUUUCAAGCAUAACCUGCUUUCAAGAGACGAGAAUCCUUUGCCCUGCGAUUCAUUUUUCAAGCAUAACCUGCGAUUCAUUAUUCAAGCAUAACCUGCGAUUUUUUUUCAAGCAUAACCUGCUUUCAAGAGACGAGAAUCCUUUGCCCUGCUUUCAAUUGAGAGGCAAUUGAAAGGAUUCCUGCUUUCAUUCCUGCUUCUAAACUCUACAAAGGAUUCUCCUCCCUGCUUUCGUUCCUGCUUCUAAACACUACAAAGGAUUCUCGUCCCUGCUUUCAAGGAUUCUCUUGCAUUAACUCUUGCAUAAAAGAACCACAAACGAUGUCCCUACCUUCACCCACCCCGCGCCAUGGAUUUUACCUCCAUCGUCUCUAUCCUGAUCAACUUCCUCCAAGUGAAAUUCCAGGGGAAGUUGACUUCGCCCUUUGAAACUCACCCCGUUGCCACCGGAGUUGCCAUCUGCAGCUUGCUCCUGCAUUUUCUGUUGAUGCAUCUCACUAAUCGGGCACCCCCGUCUAGCAUUUUCUGUUGAUGCAUUUUGUGAAUAAGAUUUGUCCUUUAUAUAUUGUCACACCCCAACUCUAUAAAAUAAGGAAAAUGACACCACCAUGCUCUUACCCAAAGGACACAACUUCAAAUUAUCAAAAUAUAUAUUCAUCUAUAUACUUAACAAAUAGUCGUUUGGUUACAAAAUUUUAAGAGUUCUAAAAUUCAUUAAAAAAAAAAGUGGGUGUAUCUCCAAACUCAAUUAAACCCCAAAAAUAUCAUUCUAGACAUAUACAAGUAUCUAAACUCAAAUCUCAAUGCAACUGUAAAAAAAUUUCCGCUAAUUAUGCUCACGUCCUACUUAGCUUACUUGAAAAGAAUUUGGAAUGAAUAGUGUGAGCAAUCACAGUUUUUCGUUGCUAACCCAAAUCUCUCAUAAAUAGAUCAAGCAUCCGCUAUAAUAAAGUAAUACUAGAGAUUCAUUUACCCAAAUCCAAUAUAUAAUGUACAAUAAAAUCCAAAUAUUAGUAAUAUCACCUCAACGCAACUUUAUACUAAUCAAUUAUACUCAUUCAAAUUUCAAAUAUCAAGAGUAGUAAAUGCUCCAUCCAGUUUUAUGUAACAAAUAUGUCUUAAGCAUUACUUUUUCUAUUUUAACAAAAUCAUAUUGUGGAAUGUCUUUCACAGCUUAUAAUAUAUCAAAUCUUCAAGAUAUGAACUUACCAAUUUAUAGAGGAUAACAACCCCUAAAUAAAAUCCAAGUUGAAAGUUACACCGACUCGAAAAACUUCAAAGUCCUAUUAAAGAGUAACUAAAUGACAAACUUACAUGUCUCCUAACCUUGACUAAAACUUUAGUAGAUAAUGCCAUAUUCUUGAGUCAAAUCAUCCACUUGGCAAAAGACCUCUGAACACCUACUUUGCAAAUAGAGUCGACCUCUUAUCUCGGAACUUCAAUUCAAAUGAAUUUACUUUCAAUUGAAAACUCUUUCAAAACUAAGAGACCAUAAAGCCAAAAGAUGACCGGAGAAAGAUGAAAUCCAUUGCUAAACACAGCUAUGUGAAAACUAUUUCUAGUAGCGCGCAAAAUUUUAGAAAUUUAUUCCAAUUAAAUCAUAAUCCUAAAUUGACUUUCCUAAAGCCUUGUUUUGAGACACCCUAAAAAAUUUUCAAAACAUAAUUUUACAACUGAAAAACCUUUAUAAUCAACUCAGCAACGUAGAGUCCAUAUAAAACCUAAUUUACAGUUUAACUACGAAAACUUCUUCAAUUAGAUAAAUAAAGUUUUGAAACCUCACCGAUUGCUAGAUUCAGAAAUAAUCCGCCUUAAUCAAGUCUCUGGACCGGGCAUGCAGCGAGAGCCUACUUUGCCUCCUCUUUCUAUUUUUGUCCGUUUCUCCGAACCAUGCUUGCCUUCUUUUCUUUCCUUUUCCUUUUCUUUUCUUUCCUCGGCCAGACCCUGUUUCACUCUUUCUGCGCCCGUGAACUCCCUUGGAGCGGCAUGAACUGAAGCAUGACUGAAGAAAGGGCUUACGCGAGACACUUGGCUUGGGCUUAAUGUUUUGCUCUCGUUUAUCAUUUUUUGCCAAAGCUCGGUUACAGCAAAAAUCUGUAUAGGUCAGUAUACUUGAAAGAUUGUAACUCUGUAAUAUUUCGGAUUCAUAAUAGAUUCUUUUGGUUCUUGACUCCCACCGUGAAUUAAGUACCAAAAUUUGGGCUGAUCGAUUUGAAACUCCAACGCUCCUUACAAUUCCUCGUUGAUUUUAUUAUCAGCUUCCCUGUUUUUUUGCCACUAUUCCCGUUACUUAAUCUCAAUUUUUUCAUAGAACUAAAUAUCAAAAAGGGAACGAAGGACAAAUAUUAAUAUUAGUUUCCAUCUACGUCAUCAUCGUCGGGCAACGGGACUGCAGUGACGAAGCUCGAAGUCCUCAACACGCAUCCCCUCUCUUAUGGUUAUUUUAAAUUAUUUAUUAUUUGCACAUACAAGUUGCUAUAUUAUUUUCAUUAUAUUUACCAUCGCGAUCCCAUCCAAUGUGGACCAAACACACGUGUAAUAUAUGUCGGCAUCCGGUUCCUUAUAAAACAUCUUCUUCUUUUUUCUUAUGGAACGAAAUCUACCGUAAACUAUAAACUAUACUCACUUGUUUUUUUUUAUGUGACAUCAAAAAUUCCAAACUUAUGUCUAUGUAAGACAUUUACCUUCCAUCAAAAUUUUGUCAUUAUUAAAAUUUUGUCUAUAUAGACAUUAGAUGGCAAAUAGUAUUAACAUGAUUCCAGUAUAGCUAAAGUGAAAUAAAAACAAUAUUAUUUUGAUCUAAAAUCAUCCAAAAGAACCUUCAUGGAGGGUAAAAGUAUCACAUAGGUAUAAGUUUGAUGUUAUUCAUGUCAUAAGAAAUUUUUUUAUAUUAAAGGUGUCACAAUGGAUAUAAUUUGAUAUUUUUGAUAUCACAAAAUCAAGUUGAAGGUAGAUGUGGGGCAUAUUUUAGGGAUUUUUUGGUGAUUUUUUUCCCUUUCUUAUAUUAUCUCGUUCUAUCCAAUAUGAAUAUACAUAUGACCACACAAAUUUAACAAAUUAAAGGUUUUUUGAAAUCAUAUUUUGUUGUUAGCAUUUAUUGGUUUGGUGUAGGAAAGGUGACCAAAUUUGAAUCAAAUGAGUGCCACGGACUUAGAUAGGGGCAAGAGUAAGAGAAGAUUUUCUUUUUAAAAAUUUUUACUAGCAAUGUUCUCUCUAGAAGUCCUUAUCUUAUUACCAAUCGAGAUGAGCAUUAUCCAAUCAAUCCUAAACCUAUUGUGUGGAUCCCAAUUCAGUCAUAUUUAUUUGAAAUUUUAAUGUAAUCCUUUUGGUUAAUUUUUGCCGAUAUGAUCAUGUAUCACGUAGGAUGACCGACAAUGAUUGAAUUAUCACGUUAGUGAUUUCUAGGAAAAAUUGACCGGAAUAAUUAUAUUAAAAUUUCGCGCAAAGAUUUAGGACUAAACUAGAAAAAUUGGAAACUUUAUGCCUAAAUCAAUAUCCAUACAAUAAAUUUAAGAUUGAUCAAGUCAAUUUUCCCAAUUAGUUGGACUUAGAAGAAAAUUAGGGGUACCCAAAACGCAUAUUAUUCCACACCAAAUCAUAGUUAUAAAGCAUGUGCGAAUUAUGUCAUCAACCUAAAAACUUGGCCAUGUGAGCCGAUUGAGCUCGGAUCUUCUGCACAAAACCAGCGAUACACACCCCCAUCAGCUCCUCUACAAAUUCCGGCUAUGGAUCCCUCCAAUCUGCUCUCUGCCAUGAACAGUCCACGUUGAUCUUCCAUGCGCCUGGAUCUGGAGGUACCCAUGAGUAUCGUUCCGAGGUAAUCGCUGUCCUUUGUGGUUGCCACUUCUCGAAUAGUUGCUGAGCUAGGCGAGCUUCACUGAUUAUCUUGUUUUGUUCUAUUUUCCGGCCUUGAAAGAUCAGGCCAUUUCGUGCUUUCCAUAUGUACCACAGAGUGGUCGCGAAGGUCGCCUUUUGACUUGCUGAGUUGCCGGAGAAGAGGUAGUUGCAUACCCACUGAUCUAUUCUUGUAACUGAUGUCGGGGAGGUGCUGAUUUGAUCACUGGCAUAGGAUAAAUAGGUGCUCGGAGGACUCCGGAUACUCGCGACAGAACGGGCAAGUAGGCUCAGGUAAGAUUUUCCUCCGGCACAGGUUGAGUCUCGUAGGAAGGCUUUCGUUACAUAAGCUCCACAUGAAAUGCUCGAUUCUGGGAUUAGUAUGUAGGUGCCAUAUUUCCUUCCAUAGUCAGUUGGGGACUUGAAAAGAAGAUGAUGCCUGAUUCUCUGUGUUUGUUUUGGUUGCUGCUCGUAGUCUGUGGUACCCAUGUUUGAUUUUGUAGUUCCCCGAGUGAUGCCCUGUCCAUAUUAAAUAGUCAGGUCUGGUGUUUAUGCUGAGUGUUGUUUGCUGGAUCUCCUCUGAGAUGUUACUGUCAAAAAGCUCAUUAAUGAGUUGAUUUUUCCAUGUACGCGAGUGUGGAUCAAUAGUAUCUGCAACUAGCUUCGGGUCAUUUUGAUUCGCCGGUCCUCCAAUUUUGCCUGACAUGAGCCAACGAUCUUCUCUUAAGUUUAUAGAUUUGCCAUCCCCAACCUCCCAUUUCAAAUCAGGUUCAAGAGUAUCUCGGCCAAGUAGGAGGCUCUGCCAACCCCAUGAUGGUCUGGCGCCCUUAGUAGCAGUCCAUAGGCUACCAUUAGGGAAGUAGAGUCCUUUAAACAUUCUGCUCCAUAAGGCCUCUGGAUUUUGAUUGAGUCUCCAGGCUUGUUUCCCCAGCAUUGCCUUGUUAAGUUCCAUUAAAUCUCUAAAUCCCAAUCCACCUUGGUCCUUUCUCCUCUUUAAGACAUCCCAACUUUUCCAAUGAAUACCUCUCUGUACUGCAUUCUUCCUCCACCAGAAAUCUGAAAUUUUCCUUUCAAUCGGUCGACAAAUGGACAGGGGUAUUUUGAAUAUAUUCAUGGCAUAUUGGGGAAGAGCCUGAACAACCAUUUUUAUUAGUACUUCUUUCCCCGCCUUCGAAAUUAACUGCUCCUUCCAGCCCUCCAGUUUUCUGUCCACUCGUGCCAUGAUCCAAUUGAACAUCUGUUUUUUUGUCGGACCCCAAUCGGAUGGUAUCCCCAAGUAUUUUCCAGUUUUUUCUAAGAUAGGAACCCUCAGUUCAGAUGCUAUGUUUCUUUUUAAAACCUGUGGACAGCUUUCCCCGAAGAACACCCCAGAUUUGUUAUGAUUAAUUGACUGGCUCGUCGCAAAGUAAUAGCAAUUCAGUAAGUUUGCAAGGUUUUGAGCUUCUCUAAGUGUUCCAUCCAGAAAGAAAAUAGCAUCAUCUGCGAAAAAUAAGUGGGAAAGAGUGGGGCAGCUAUCCGGCGUUCGCUCGAGUGGUUGAAGGAGAAGAGAACUGAUCUGUCAGAACCACUUUCAACCGCACGAACUAAAGCUGCUUUCUACGUAUCAAGCGACUGCUUCCCUGCUGUUCAGUCUAUUCUGGGCCGCACAUAAAUUCCAUGGGCCUCGCGGCCCUUUGUCCUUGACUGCCGACAGCUGCUGGGCCAAAUGAAGGAUGUCUUCUUGCAGUUUGAACCGCGUGAGUCCAACCGAGCCGCGGACUGGAUCGCUAAAUCACACAAUUCUGGUUCCUUACCGGGUAAUUGGGUUACUAAUCCCCCGCACGAACUCUUUCUUAUCUUAUGUGUUGAUUUUCCUACUACUUGUAUUCCACCUACUUAGUAUCAAUCAAAGCGUUUUCACUUCGACCAAAAAAAAAAACCUAAAAACUUGGCACUUCCCAUGAUCUUCCACGAUUGUGUAACAUGCUUUGGAAUUGGACUCCAUCCCCUUAAUCAGCAGACAAAAAUAAUUCAAGAAAGAGAAAUUUUACCUCUUUUCUAUGAGACAAGUCUAUGAGACAAGCUCGAAGUCAAUUUUAUUUUUUCUUUCGGAGGUGUGACCACAGAAGAGUCUAAAGACAUGCAAUCGAACGGGGGCAUGCAUGUGUAGCUCAUGUGCAAUAUUGACAAUGAUUUAGCGGGUGAAUUAGGUGAAGCAAUCAUGCAAAUACUUUCAUGUAAAAAUUGAUUCAAUUUAUAUUUUUCUUAAAUUCUCCUAGACAAUACCUGAUUUUGGUCCCCCACCCUCGUCGGUCGGUCAAAAUUGUCGAAUUAAGGAAAAGGAAGGAAAGAGGUAAUUGGCGAGUUCAAUUAUUUUUCUUGCGGUUGUCGUACGGUUAUAAUGAUGGCUUGAGAAGAGAGUCAACGCCGCUCGGCACAGUUUCUACCGUUGGGUCUUUCGGUUGGUAAGGAAAAAAAAGGGAGGCAAAGCACGAAGCUCCAACCCCCCUUUCUUUUCCUUUUUUCUUUUUUUUCUUUUUUCCAUUUAUUUGCAAGUAAAUAUUUUAGAAGAUCAAAGUUCAAAGUGAGGGCGGCCCACCAACAUUCUUUUUAUUUGACAAUAUAUUUUUAUAUUAAUUAUUAUAAAAUGAUUAUAUUUUUGGCCCAAUGGAGACCCAACCGGUUGGGAAUUUGUGGCUUCUGGGUCCCUGCACGACGAUGCUUUCCCAACAAAACCCAGAAGCAUUGCGGACAUAUGAAAUCAUUUCAUAUAGUAUAGUUAUUUAUUUAUUUAUUUGUUAUGGAUUCGUCGUAGAUACAUCAGCUGAGUAAAAUAUUGCUGGGGGGGUUUCAUUUUCUUCGGUUGAGCUGUUGGUUAAGCCGUUGAUAUAGUUACACUUUUGGCGACUGCCUAUAUUUCAAGAUCAAUGGUUGCAGAUCUAAUUUGGUAAAGGGUCUUUUGAGCAACGGCAAUCCCGCCCUUUAGGGAUCACAUUCUUGGAAUUUUGGAGUCUCCCGAUUUACUUGUUCAAAGAAUGCCACAUAAGAAGUACAAAUCAGAUGGUCAAUGUUCAUCGAUAUCAUCAAAUAUUCACAAUAUUAAUCCAACCAACUUGAGGAUUUUAUCUUGUGGCUCAAGUUUUAGCUAAAAUUUGAACAAGAAUCUACCGGGACAUAAAGAUGUCCAAAAAGACUAGGCUAAAAUACUUCAUUAAUUAGUAAAAAAUUCUUCGCAAUCAACUCCUUGUUGAGGCAUUUACAUUAGAACCAAAUCACAUAUAUCUGAUAUUAUUAUCAUUCUUUGAUAGUUUUCCUGUUAAUUCAUCAUCUCACGUUUGAUACUGAAUUUGACGUUUUGUUAGUUUUCGUGCUAUAUUACAACAAAGGGUCACCUAACAUGUAAACUGUUCUAAGUCACGGCCAUUUCACAUAGAUCAAUGAUUUUGACUUCAUUGGUUCGUAGAACUUGCAAGAUAUCUCAUAAGCCUUCAGAUAGUAAAGUAUCUACACUAAUGCUCCUAAAUUAUUAAGAAAAAGAAGAAUUAUGACCAAUCAAUUACACACAAAAUAUCUAACUCUAACAAGCUAUCUUAAAUUUUUAGCAUGGUAUGAAAAGGAAAUUUGAACAUGAUUCAACACGUGAAAAUUUAAAUUGAGAGAGAAAGAGAGAGGCGUGUUCUUUUUUCCUUCCAAUAUUUGACUAAUUUUUUGGCCAAUUUGAUCCACGUUCCAACAAUGAGUUGAUUUUAUUGAAUUGGAUAAUUUACUAGAUAUGUACUCUACAUACCAUGAUUAGAAAUUUAGGAGAAAUAAGGAUGUUUAAUUUCAAGCGCGAAGUUCGAACCCCUACCCCCUGCUGACAGAGAUAGAAAAAAAAAACAAUAGGACAGAUCAAAUUCUCUUCUUAAUUUUUUUUUUAACACAAGAAAAAAUUAAUCGGAUGUUUAAAGGCCUUCCUCCACUCCACAACGUGACGAGGGGUGAAGUCAGGAACAUCAUCGAAAUAUUUUAUGAAAAAAUAAGUACCGUGGGAUAGGGAUAUUAUUUAUACAUCAUAUAUUUUCAUGGAAAGGUCUGUCAAUUCGACUCGGAUGGGGAAUGAUGAUAUGAUUUGUCCAUCACAUACUUUGUGUCAAUUCUGCCACCCUAGAUUCGACCAAGGAUAUAUCACAUACUUUGUCAUAAAGUAUGUGAUAUAUCCUUGGUCAAAUCUAGGGUGGUAGAAUUGACACAAAGCAUGUAGAAUUGGUGGACCCAUAUCAUCAUUCCUUUUCCAUGAAAAUAUAUGAUAUAUACGCGAUGCUCCAGUCUGCACCCCUCCCCGCGCCAUGGAUUUUACCUCCAUUGUCUCUAUCCUGGUCAACAUCAUCCAAGUGCAGGGGAAGUCGAUUUCACCCUUUGAAACCCACCCGGUCGCCACCCGGGUUGCCGUCUGCAGCCUGCUCCUACAUUUCUUUUUCGGGCGUGUCACUAAUCGGGCACCCCCGUCUCGCGGCCCUGCUUCUUCUUGUGAUGGAGCAGCACACCUCCUCUUCCACUUCACCGGUUUGAUAUCGGUGUUUUCGCUCGCGUGGUUGCUGCUCCACGACUCCUUCCACUCCGUCCUCUGGUUCGUGCUGUUCCUGUUGCUUUCCGUGCGUCUGUUGCGGGGCCUCAUUCAAAAACUUUGGCUGUGGUUUUACUGCAAACUCGUUCUCAUGAUUAUCCGUGCGGCGCGCUCCCGUGUAUGGCAUGGUGGAAGAGCACGGCCACAUUUGCCAUGCCCGGUCGUGGAUCUGCGUUCCAUGCCAGAAGUCCAAGCGCCGUAGUUGUUCGACUGAAUGUUCCCUGUUUGGAAGAAGUAAUUUAAAUUGUAUGACCACUUUAAAUCAAAUGAUUAGUACGUUAGGAACCUAAGCUAGUUUUGUAUAAGAUGCACUUGGGGUUCUCUUCUCUUUAUCUGGAGCCAAAGCCGUAAGGAAUUCCCAAGCCUUCAGCGUCAAAUUAUCUCCCGAUCAUAAGAAAGGAGAGCAGGGAACAAGUAAAAACUACCUAUGUAUCUUUCCUAUUCCUAGCCAUGAACGGUGAUGGACCUUGUAGUGAAUACAUCUGUUUAAGAUAGGCUAAGCCCUCAAAAGAAAUUUGGAUCUAUUGUUAUCGAAGAGAUUGAAGACGACCUUAACAAUUGUUAUGACGAGUAGAAUGGUCAUUUCUACUGGCCAUAUAAGGGGUAGUAAUGGUUCUUGAGGUUAAAGCUUCUGACCUCUUUGAAAACGUUGUUGAGUGCUGCAGAUUUUUCCUUCUUUUUUCGAUGAAUCUCUUUGUAGGUUUCUGUUUGGCCAGUGGAUGGAUAUGUGUCAUUUUACGUUCUUUGUUGGUGUACUAUGGUUUUGCUUAUAUGAACUGGGAUAAAUUGAUGCCUUGGAGAUGCGAGCACAGCUGCAAUUUCAAAAGCUUUGAUCUAACACUAACAUCAUUGAAUGAUCCAAAUCAAAAUGAAAGAUGUCAGCUUUUUCAUCUCUCUCGCAUAUACACUGUUACUGCUUACUAGCUAUUCCAACGAUAAUAUAGUUGUAGUUUGUCAUUGCAGAAUGUGGGAAUGGUUACAUCAUAUGGUCUUCAUUUGAGCUAUAAGAGGUGACAACUACUAGAUCUUUGCUGUGGCAAACGUGUUAACUUGCAAUCUAAGACUUCAUUGUCUAGCUGGCUGAUUGACAUUCAAGUUGCCAGGGCCAAGGGGAGAAAAGAAUGCUGAAAUGUCGAUUUUUUUUCUGUAGGCUUUAGUUCAAGAUUACUAAAUUUUGGCAAGAUUGUAGAUGUUAAAACCGAAAUUUUCCCAUCUUCAUGUGCUAAAGAAUUUACGGUUCAUGUGUGCAAUGCUAGAUAGAUAGUAUGCAGAUGCUUGAGACAAUUCUGUACAAACUACACGCAUCUGAUGUUUGUAUCUGUGGAAAUAAUUAGACCAGCAAGCUUCCUGCCAAGUUGAUUAACAAUCAAAUUAUGCAUCUCAAUGUCAGCACGUCAUCUCAUUACAUAGAGCACUCGAGUCUUGCACUUCAAAAGUAUGAUAUUUAUCUGCUUUACUGCAGAGAACAACAGUCUUGGAUGUCGACUGUAGCAGUGAUACCAAUUGACUUGCAUGACAUCAAACAGAAAGGAAAUUCUUUUCAUAUUGAUAAGUGCCUCCCCAACUCUGCAACUGCAUGCACUUCACUUGCAGUUUUUCGAGACCAACAUUGCACAUCUUUUCUUGAGGACCUCCAAUUGUGUGCUCAUUCUUCUCACUUUUACCUGCAGAAUUGCAAUAUUUUCAUCUAGUUCAGCAAUAGCAGGGUCUCAGGUACGUUCACCAUUCCAGCAACCUGAUUUAAAAAGUGUUUGGUAUUGGAGAAUUUUCUGUUGAUUACUACUUAUUGUGGAGGAUGAAUCUAUAUAAAUGAUGUUAAAAAGGAACAUGGCUACUCACCACAUCAUAUGGCAUUGUAUCCAUUUGUUGCCUAAAGUCUGUUUAGUAAGAGAUCAUUUCUGUGAUGAAAGCGCACUGUAGGUGAAACACAUUUGAUAUGAGUAAUCACUGGGCAGGGGCAUUCAUUGCAGAUGUAAGCACUCAGAUUCAGGUUCCUUAUCUUCUCACAAAGGUCACAAUAGUACUGGUAUCAUCUUUGAUGAAUGAAGCGUAAAGUGUGAAUUGAUGAAAGUUAAUGGCAAUCUUUUGCUGUGGUGGAAGGCAAUCUGUGAUGAUUAAGAUUGCACUGCACACAACCAUUGAAGUCAAACCUGCAAAAUUUACCAGAGACACUGCUUAGGAAAUACAGUUCAGUAGAUCUAAAAUAAGAAAGAGUAUAUGCUUGUGGAGGUGUUGUUUCAAAGUGCGCCUUUCAAAAGUGCAUGAAAUGUUGAAGUCAUAGUCACAUUCCAUGCAGUGAAAGAUAGAGAGCCGACACUCUUCACGACAUAUUUCAACAGCGCUCCUUCCUAAUAUGAGAAGAAAAAAGGAUGUGUGGGGUGAACAGCUUCUUGCAUAACCGAGGGCAAUUCAGCACAUGAUUAAUGGAGCAUAAGAGCAGCUUUUUUUUUCCACCAGCAAUACGCUAAACAUUUGACGCUUUACGACAAGCCUUGCUUGGACCAUCCUUCAUAUGACAGUUCCAGCGGCAGACGAUGAUUGUGCAAUGGAGAAAGAAGAGGCAAUCAAGACAACUAUAGACCUCACCUGGUAUGUUCUGUUCACAAGAUUUGCACCUGAUUCUGCUUUCGAGUUUCGUGUGGAAGACCAGUGGAUGCUGAUGGUCACAAUUGUAAAAAACCAAGUCCUUCUUGCCCUUCAGGUCUUGCAAACAUAGAGUUGAAGCCACGCAGUCUAUGUCGAGGCUGAAUUUGCAUUUACUGCAGUAGGAAACCAUGGCAGACGUUAUGUUUAGCUCCUCAAAUUUAUUCAAAGCAGGAGAGAGAGGGUAAUUAUGGAGACAGGUGUUGCAUCUCUGGGGGAGAUUUGGUGUAGCUUUUGUGGAGAAAGAAUAUGUACGCAUAGCAUCCAUAGGCCUCCCCCAAGAUUGCCUACUCGCAGGCUUUGCAUUCGAUUCUAUUUUUCAUCCCGAGAUGAUGGGAUGUGAGCAGAUGCUCAUGAGCAUUUUUCGGAUGGCCACAUUCUGAGAAUCCUCAUUAGGAGGACAAGCAAUCUUGGGCCGUGCAGUAACAAUUGAUGGAUCCAACUGGCAAGAGAAGGUUUUCAUAUAUAAAUGCAAAAUACUGAUUGGAAUGUAUAUAUCGCUAGACUGGUGAGGUCAUGUAUUUCCUCGUGACAAAUCUGUUAAGAAUAUGGAUGAGCCUUGAUAAGCCAUUCCCUCUUGGAGUCAUCCGUUGAUCACAUUUAAGUUCUACCUUAAGACUUAGUGUUCCAGACAAUGAGUGACUAAGUUUGCUAGGAAAUAAAAUGAUAGCCAAGAUAAGCAUUUAUAGAUACCUUUCAGUGAUUUUAGAGUGCUCAAAACGAGCAGUUUCUCAAGAACAGAUCAGAGAAAACAUGUAACCUUGGAGCAUAAUCAUACAUGUCAUCAUUUGAAGGGCUGAACAGAAAUAUGGGAUGUGAUUUGAGGACUGAACCGAUGAUUUAAAUGCAAAUGGUAAUAAAUUCUUUUCUGCAGACUCUGAAAGUUAGCCAUUUUGUAUGCGAUGUGCGGGAUUGCAGGUAUCAUAAAGCAAAUCAAAUUAUGUCAGCAAAAAAAUUCGGUACUAUCAUUUCCAAUGAAAGCAAUAUGUGUGAUAAAUGUUAUUGGCCAUGGAAGCUGGAAAGAGCAAUAGAUGAUUCAUCUUCAGUGAAAGCAUGUGUCACAGACAACAGUAUCUCUCUUCUUGGUUGACCAUUCCUCCUUCUCAGGCAACUGUUUCUAUCUACUCCAUCAAUUAUGUAAGCUACCCUUUAAUCCAUAGGAACUUCUCAUCAGUUGCAGGGUUUGGUUGCCCAAAAUCGAAUUGGCUUCGCCAAAACUCCCCUUCUCUAGAAGCCUGGCUGGCAAAGUGUCCUGCUGGCAGUGGAGUGCUCAACUUCGCCUUGCUUUUGUGACAUGCAUUCCAUAGUCAAGGGUGAGUCCCAUGCAUCAGUUUGUGGAUUGUGGUCUCAAACACCAAUCUCUACAAAUUCCUGUGGGAGGUCCAAAUUAUAUGCAUUUUAAUUUUCAUGCGGGUUCGUUCAUCAUUUGAUUUGACCUUGCAGCUGAUUUUCUUCUCACAUAUAUCUACAAGCCUAAAUGCUUAUUGCAAAAAAUAAUUCCCAGGAGAGUUAUCAUGAUACUAAGUCAAAUAAUGAAGCUAAGAAGUUGAUCAGCAGUAUGACUUUAGAUGGCAAGACUGUCAAAUGCUUCUGCUAAUUCAGUAGCAGAUACUUCAAAUUGUUACCAUCAACAAAAGGGCAAAUGUUAUUGAAAAGACCAAAAAUAAUUUGAAAAUUAUUGCGACUAGAAGAAUGGGGAGAUAUUUCAUUGUUUGCUUCCAGUUUACCUAAGAUCCUACUGGACCAAAAGAUUUGGAAGUUUUUUUUUUCACUGAAGAGAGAAAAAGAGGGACAUUCAUGAAAAAAGGCACUUUUACUAGCAUUUUUGGAUACCAACUCCUUAUCAUCACAUUGCCACGUGUCAAGCAUUGUCAUAUGGUUGGUACUAGUUGCCCAAAUAAAGUCAAAAUUGUUCUUGAGGUUAAAGCUCCCGAAUUCUUUGAAAAUAUGGCAAGCGUUGUAGUUUUGCUUUUCUUUUUCUGGCGAAUCUCUUUGUAACUUUCUGUUUGACCAUGGAUCUAUAUGUGUUAUUUUACAGACUCUUUGACCAUAUGCAAUGGUUUUGCUCAUUUAUCCAUAUGAACAAGGAUAAAUAGAUGCCUUGGAGACAUGAGCACAGCUGCAAUGUUAGAGCCUUGUUCUAUUGCCAUAGAUCUAGCAGAAUCAAAAUGAACAAUGUCAGUCUUUUCAUCUCUGUCCCGUAUGCACGGGUACUGCUUACUACCUAUUCUGAUGAUGACAUUGCUUGAGUUUGUAACUGCAGAAUGACAGAGUGGUUACAUCAUAUAGUCAGCAUUUUACCUCUGAGAGGUGACAACUAGAUCUUUGUUGUGGCGAAUGCGUUAACUUGCUCUGGCAAACAAGAUUUAUAAAGACACUUCUUCUGUGGUGUAUCCUGUAUGUAUCAAGAAGCUCAUGGAUCUGAAUUAUGCAAUGACUAUGUUGUCUCUCUGCCCGAUUGGUUUUCAGCCAGGAGCUAGAAUUGUUGCUUCGGUUGGAGAUUCAAGUUGCCUGGGCCAAGGUGAGAAAAGAACGCUUGAUUUCUUUUUUGAGAGGCUUUAGUUCAACAUAACUGAAUUUUGGUAGACCGCAGAUGUUAGAUCUGAACUUUUCACAUCUUCACAUGCUGGAAAAGAAUUUACAGUUCGUGAAAGCAAAGCUAGAUAGCUAGUAUGCAAAAGCUUGAGACAAGUCUGCACAAACUACACACAUCAGCUAUUCAUUUUCAGGGAAAUAAUAAGACUGGCAAGCUUCCUAACAAGUUGAUUUGUAAUCAAGUUAUGCAUCCCAAUGUUAGUACUCCUAUUCAUAACACAGAGCACACAAGUCUUAUGCUAAAAAAUAUGAUAUUUAUCUGAUUUUUGUUCGUAAAAUUCUAAACGCAAGUACACGUAUCGAACAAGUAAUAUAAUGAUGAGAUAAAGUAUCGUCCCACGGAGAUCGAUGAUUAAUAAACUAAUUAAAUACUAAAAUAGAUUAAUUCUAAAAUUUAUCUAACAGAUCAAAAUAUAAUUAAGAAUAAAUUAAAAACGAAACUUGAAGACUUUGAAGACUAAAUGCAGUAAAAUCAAUCAGAUAAAUAUGUUAGAGCAUCCGAUUUCACCAUAAUCACUAGAUAUGAAUUUCAUAUUAUUAUGAGUACAAGAACGAUAUCAAACAUAUGAUAGCGGAACUUCCUAAUCUAUUUACUAUCCUAUCUCUAGGUAUAGCAAACUUACUCAGCUUAUUAAUCCACUAUAUCUCUAUGUGAAUUAAAAUAAACAUGAGCGCAUUAAAAACUAUGAAUAUUCCCGGUUUACAAUGAGUCUUUUGGAUCACCUUAUCACUGAAAACUACACAAAUAACGCAGUAUAUUUCUAUCCAUGUUUAAUUCAUGGUUAUAUAUUAUAAUGAGCAAUUGCAUAUUAUCACCUCUCAGUCUCAAACAUGCACAUCAGAUCAUUUGAGUGGUGGCUAGUUACUCAAAAGCAUUAAACACAAUAAUAUAUAACUCACAUGAAUGAAAUCGAUUGUAAAACAUAAAAAUCAUGAAAUUCACAUCAUCAUGGUUAGGCUACAUCGUAGCCCUAACAAAAGAAAAUUAGAACAUAGUAGAAGAAAAAGUAAAAAUAUAAAUCAAACCCAGCAUCUUGAAUCAAAGAACAAGAAUUCCGUCACCACUUUUGUCUUCUCUUUAAAAUACUUGAAAAACUCUCAGAACAAUGGAAAACGAUCUAACUCUCCCCCUAAAACCCUAGCUGUCUCUCUCUAUUUCUAUUUAUAGGAUAUAUCCAAGAUAUCUAUCUCCCAACGCUUGCAAAUAACAUUAGGGAACAAAAUCAAGAAUUUCCCGAUUUGAUAUCCAUCUUUCACUGCUGCUUUUAUUUGAAUUUCUGAUAGUUACCAUUCUUUUUCUUAUCCUCUUCAUAUCUCAUUAUUCUGCAUAAACAAGGAAAAUUCAAAUAAUCAGAAGGAAAUCCAAAUAUUUUCUCACCGAUAAUGCAUUAAUUACUGUCUAAAAUAGGUAAAAUAACCCUAUUUUAAAGAGUUAUCAAUUUUGCUGCAGAAGAUAAAAAUAUCGGAUGUCAAGUGUUAGCGGUGAUUCCAAUUGACUUGCAUAAGUGGGUAAGCUGAAACAUCAAACAGAAAGGUGGUCUCCUGCCUCCCCAAUUUUUUCCUUCUGGAUAAGAGCCCCCGCAACUCUUCAACUACAUGCACUUCGCUUGUUGCUUUUUGAGACCAGCAUUGCAAGUCUUUUUUUGAGUUCCUCCAAUUGUGUGCUCACUGUCCACUUUUUCCUGCAGAAUUGCAAUUUCUUCAUCUAGUUCAGCUAUAGCGGCGCUUCAGGUACUUCCAUUACUUCAAAAUAAAUUUUGUAUUACCAUAUUUUCUGUUGAUUAUAUUUUAUUGUGAAGAUUGAGUCUGUAUAUGAUGUAACAAAAGAAAAAAGAACAGGGCUAUUCACAUCAUGGGGCAGCAUCUUGUAGCCGUUUGUUGGCUAAAGUCAGGUUAGUGAGAGACCACUUCUGUGAUGAAAGCAUACCGUGGGUAAAACGCAUGUCGAUAUGAGUAAUCAAGGGCAUUCAUUGCAGCCAGAAACACCCAGAUUCAGGUCUUUUUUCUCUCAAAGGUCACAGAGGUACUAACUGGCAUCAUCUUUGAUGGACGAAGUGUAAGGUGUGAGUUGAUGGAGGUGAUGGCCAUCUUUUAUUGUUGGUGGUAACUGUGGAAGGCAAUCAUGAUUUACAUUAAGAUUGCACUGCGCAAAAACGUGUAAGUCGAAUGUGCAAAAUUUACCAGACUGCAUCAGUCGUGCAGGUCAAUAGAUUUAAUACAAGAAUGAGUAUAUAUGAUCGUGGAGGUGAUGUUUCAACAUGUGCCUUUCAAAAGUGCAUGGAAUUUUGAUGUCGAAGUUGCAUUCUGCGCAGCAAAAGACAGCGUCAAUGCUCUUCAGAAUGCGUCAGUGAGCGUUCCUUCCUGAUACGGGAAGAAGUGGAUGUGCAGGGUGAACAGGGUCUUGCAUAACUGAGGGCAUUUCAGCACAUGAUUUAUGGUGCAGGAAAGAGCAGCACUGCUCCAGCGGCAGCGGAUGACUGUGAAUUGGAGAAAGAGAUGCAAUCCAGACAAACAUAGACCUCACCUAGUAUGCUUUGCACUCUGAUUCUGGUUUCAAGCUUCACGUAGAGGACACAAAGCAGAUGCUGAUGGGCGAAAUGGCAAAAAAAAGCUGGGCCUUUCUUGCCCUCCAGGACUUGUGAACCUAGGACUUAUAGCCGCACAAUCCAUGUCAAGGCUGAAAUUGCAUUCGCUGUAGCGGGAAACUAUAUGGCAGGCAUAACGUUGGAGGUCUACCAAUUGAUCGAAAGGAAGAGAGAUGGUGAUCCCGGCGUUGCAUCUCUUGGGGGAGAUUCAAUAAUUAUAAAGCUGAGUUGAAAACAAAAUAGAGAGGUGCUUUUCUGAAUAAUUACAAGUAAACCUGUCCAAAUGAUGGAAUGAACUAUAUUUGGAUGAAAUUAAAAAUUAUGAUACAUGCGCAUUUUUCAUCUAUGGUGAUCAUCUUCCUUUCACUAAUCUGUACACUUCUUUUGCUGGAACUUUGAAUUUAUUAUACUAAUCAAAGUAACGAUUGGUCCAACCUUGAUUUUGAAACGGGUCAAAUCCUUUUAGUGAGGCAAAAAAGGAAGAAGACAGGAUGCUCUCUUUUUUAUCAUAUUUAUUGUCUCAUGCUAAGGUGUUUGCGUGUAUAUAUAAACCUCUUUUCAACUACUUUUCAAUCUCCUUUAAUGACUCUCAUGACUCUCUCUCUCUCUCUCUCUCUCUCUCUCUCUCUAAGAGAGUUUCCGAUGGGUCUUAGGGGAAGCUUCAGUGUUCACAUUGCAAAGAUUGGACUAUGCGGUGUUACAUGAUGAUCCAAUGGCCACUCAUGGGCAGAAGUGGGGCUUUCAAGAAAGUUGGGAUUUUUUUUUUUAAAUCAAGGUAGAAUUGCGAUUAAAAUUAAAAUUUGAGAUUUUUCUUAGGAGAUUAGCCCAUAAAGUUCAUACUUCCAUCAACAAUCCAAGGUGUCUCAAACCGAAGAAAAUGCAAUAUUUUGUUAAAAUGGAAACCAUUUUUAGCAAUAUUUCACCAAGAAAAAAUGCCCGCUGCUUCAAAAGUACUUUAAUAGGAUUUUGUAUAUCCAACAAUUAUAGAAAUAGGUGAGUUCGUGCAUAAAACAUGGGGACACGAGAAUGCUCAUGUUGUGAUAUAUUAUUUGCACAGUAAAUGGAUAAUUAGAGAAAGAGAGGAGCGGCUAUUAUUGCAAUAUAAAAAAUUAAUAAGAUUAUAAUGAUAUAGAAAAACAAUAAUGAUAUAUUGAUGUAUGUUUUAAUUUUGUUGACUUUGUGAAUAAGAUUUCUACUUUAUCUAUUGUUAUGACACCACCAUACUCUUUACCCAAAGGAUGCAGUAUAAAAUUAUCAAGAUAUAUAUUCACCUAUAUACUUGAUAAAAUAGUGAGUUAGUUACAAACUCCAGAGAUCUAAAAUUCAUUAAAAAUAAAAGUAUGACUGUAUCUCCAAACUCAAUUAAACCUCACAAAUAUCAUCCCAAACAUAUAUAAGUAUCUAAACUCACAUCCAAAUCCAACUUUUGAUAAUUUCCCACUAAUAACGCUCAUGUCCUACUUUAGCUUACUAGAAAAAGAUUUGGAAUGAAUAGUAUGAGUAACCACAUCUUAAUGACUAGUCCUAAUAUCUCCUAAAUAGAUCAAGAAUCUACUAUGAUAAAGCAAUACUAGAGAUUCAUUUAUCCAAAUCCAAUAUAUUAUGUACAAUAAUAUCAAAAUAUGAAUAAUGUCACUUUAAAGCAACUUUAUACUAAUAAAUUAUAUACCAAAAGGGUAGUUAAUGCUCCAUUUGAUCCUUUUUCUUGCCCAACCACCUGCUGCAGAGGAGUCUGUGACGGUUGAUGAUCCUCAAUCGCAAGGUCUUAAGGAUAUGCAACAAAUAUAUUUCAAACAUUACUUUUUCAUUUAAAAAAAAUCAUUUUGUUCAAUGCUUUUCACAACUUAUAAUAUAUCAAAUCCCUAUCACUUUCAAGACAUGAGCUUACAAAUUUAUAGAGGAUAACAACCACCCCUAAAUAAAUUGCAAAUCGAAAGUUACACCGCUCGAAGAGUCUCAUAGUCCUAUCAAAGUUUAUCUAGAUGUCAAACUUACAUGUCAACUAACCUCGACUAAAACUUUAGUAGGCAAUACCAUAUUCUUGAGUCAAAUCGUCCAUUUGACAAAAGACCUUUGAACAAUUACUUUGCAAAUAGAGUCGACCGCAUUUUAAAACUCCAAUUCAAGCGAGCUUACUUUCAAUAGAAAACUCUUUCGAAUUACUAAGAGAUCAUAAAGCCAAAAGAUAGUUGGAGAAGGGUGAAAUUCAUUGCCAAACAUAGUAAUUCGAAAAAUGUUUUUAGCAAUGCGCAACAUUUUAAAAAUUUAUCCCAAUCAAAUCAUAAACCUACAUUAACUUUUCUAAAGUCCCAAUAUGUAAUACCCUAAAAUUUCUUUACAACAUAAUUUCAUAGCUUAAAAAUCUCUAGAAUCGACCUAGCAACAUAGAAUCCAUGCAAAACCUAAUUUACAAUUUAAUUACGAAAACUCCUUCAAUUAGAUAAAUAAAAGUUUCGAAUCCUUAUUGAUUGCCAAGAAAAAAAAAAUUAAUCCGGUGCAUACAGCAAGAGCCCCCUUUUGUCUCCUCUGUCUUUUUCUCGGUUUCUCCGGGCUCUGCUUUCCUUCUCUCUCUCUUUCUUUCUUUCUUUUUUCGUGUUCUUCUUGGCAGACUCUGUUUUCAUAUUUUUCUCUCUUUUUGCUCUAGUGAUUCGCUUACCACGGCAUCAACUAGGGGUGAGCAGCGGUCUAGGGUCGACCCUGGACCAACCCUGGACCGGCCCAACCCUGCCGGUCCUGGUCUGGUUCCCAAGGGGAUUGGGUCGGUCCUUGGUCCUGAAAUUACAGGACCAACACUGUGCGGGUUGGUCCUCGGUCCUAAGAGUUUUGGGUCAGUCCAACCCUGGACCAACCCUGUAUAUUAUAUUAUAUUAUAUUAUAUUAUAUUAUAUUAUAUUAUUUAUAAUUCUCUUAUAUAUUCAAACCUAAGUAAAAUGUCUGUUAUAUUAUAUUAUAUUGAAAUGUUCUAUCAAUAGUACUAAUAGUAAUUUCAAUUUAAAACUUUUGUUGAGUAUUAAUUAAGUGUCGUUUGUUUUGUUUUCAAGUGUUUAGAAGUUCAAGUGAAUUAACAAGAUGUGAAGUUAUAUAUUCAUGGUUUAUAUUAAGUAUUUUGAACUUUUUAUUGUUUAAUUGUAUUUUACUAAUGAAUUUCAGCUGCACUUUGCUUUUCAAUUUGUGUCAAAUGGUAGAAGUUUUUGAAGAGUAGAGUAGUACUGUAGUUGCUACGGUGAUUUGCUAGUCAAGUGGUGUGAAGCUCAUUUUUUGGUUGAGUGUACUCUACAUGAUCAAAUGCAGGAAAACGCUUUUGCAUAUGAUGUUAUGAAUAUUAAAGAUAGAUGAUUACAAAAACUUUCCAUCUUGUCCCAUAUCUCGAUGAGCGGUUAGCAAGUACGAAAUUUCUAUUAUUGUGUCAUCUUAAAUUUGGUAAAUAUGUAUUGGUAUUUAUAAUUUAGUUGCACAAUGUCGCAUUAUUGAUGGAUGUGUAAUUUGAAUUUGUAAGUUUGUUUUUUUAGGGAGUAUAAAAAAUAAGACGAAAAAAAUUAUCGAUCGGUCCCGGGUUGACCCUGGAACCGGACCAAACCCAUUGGGUCGGUCCGGUCCUUGGUCCCAGGCUCAAUAGGGUCGGUCCUCGGUCCUGAAAAUUGAGGACCGACACUGUACGGGUUGGUCCUAGGGUUAGAGGGUGGCCCGGACCAACCCGGACCAUGCUCACCCCUAGCAUCAACUGAGGCAAGACCAAAGAAAGGACUUUAACGAGACACUUGGGCUUGGGCUUACUGCUUUGCUCUUGGUUAUUAUUUUUUGCCAGCCCGGUUAUUGGAACUUUAUCCUUGCCAGUGAAUCUUCCAGCUUACUACGUAUUGAUGUAACUUUGCGGACACACUGCCGAGAAAACAGAAAGGAGAAUUCAAUCAGCACCGAACAGAGUCUUUUUUUUAUAGCACCAGAAAAAAUAAAUAGGAAAGUUCAAAGGCCUUCCUCCACUCCAGUGGUGGGGGUGAAGCAGGGACAUCCUUCGGGGUUCUUUUAUACAGAGUGGCAUUAUUAUUUUAAGGUGAAGGUGGGACAUCAUUCGUGCUUCUUUUAUUGCGAGGGUGAAUGCGGAUUAGAAUCCUGCAUUAUUAUUAUUUUAUAGUUUGAGCUCGAGUCUUAGUACUGGAUUAUUAUUGUUUUGAAGAAUAGUUUGAACUCGAUUCUUCAGACCGCAUUAUUAUUGUUUUUAUAGUUGAAGAUCGAUGCAUUGUUAUUGUUUUAUAGUUUGAAGAAUAGUUUGAGCUCGAGCUCAAACUAUAAAAUAAUAAUAAUGCAGGAUUCUAAUCCGCAUUCACCCUCGCAUAAAAGAAGCACGAACCAUGUCCCUACCUUCACCCACCCGGCCCGGCGCCAUGGAUUUUACCUCCAUCCUCUCUAUCCUGAUCAACUUCAUUCAAGCGAAAUUCCAGGGGAAGUUGAUUUCGCCCUUCGAAACUCACCCCGUUGCCACCGGUGUUGCAAUCUGCAGCCGCUCCUGCAUUUCUUGUUGCUACAUCUCGUUAAUCGGGCACCCCUGUCUUGCGGCCGCACUCCUCCUUGUUAUGGAGCAUCAUUGCACCUUCUCAUUGACUUCACUGGUUCAAUAUCGGUGGCUUCGCUUGCAUGGUUGCUGCUCCACGACUCCUCCCACUCUGUCCCCUGGUUGUUAGUGCUGCUCCCGUUGCUUUCCGUGAGUCUGUUGCGCGGCCUCAUUCAAAAACUUUGGCUUUGGUUUUACGACAGAAUCUUUGCCAUGAUUUUCUGUGUGGUGCCGUCUCGUCUAUGGCAUGGUGGAAGAGCGCAGCCACAUCCAUCGCGCUCAGGCGUAGAUCUGCGUUUAUUGCUGGAAGUCUGAGCGCCCUAGUUAUUCGACUGACUGUUCUCUGCUUGGAUAAAGUAGUCUAACCACUUUAAAACGAAUGAAUAAGUACUUUAGGAAGCUAGCUAGUUUUGUUUAGGAGGCACUUGGGCCUUGUUGCGACCAUAUCUGAAUCCAUAAGAAAAUCGCAAGCCUAAAAACCACCUGUGUAUCUUACCUAUUCCUGGCCAUGAAUGGUCAUGCACCCUGGGCCAACUAAAUCAGAUUAAGAUAGGCUAAGCCCUCAAUGGAAAUUGCAAUCUAUUGUUAUCGAAGAGAUCGAAGACGACCUCAACAAUUGUUACCAAGAGAAGAAUAGUCAUUUCUAGUAGCCAUAUAAGGGAUAGUAAUUGUUCUUGAGGUUAAAGCUUCUGACCUCUUUGAAAGCAUUGCUGAGUGUUGCAGAUUUCCUUCUUUUUUUGGUGAAUCUCUUUGUACCUUUCUGUUUGGCCAGUGGAUCCAUAUGUGUCGUUUUACAUUCUUUGCUGGUGUACUAUGGUUUUGCUAAUAUAUCCAUAUGAACUAAGAUAAAUAGAUGCCUUGACAACGUGGGCACAGCUACAAUUUCAAAAGCUUUGAUCUAACACUAACAUCAUUGAGUGAUCCAAAUCAAAAUGAAAGAUGCCAGCUUUUUCCAUCUCUCUCGCAUAUACACCAUUACUGCUUACUAGCUAUUCCGAUGAUAAUAUAAUUGUACUUUGUCAUUGCAGAAUGUGGGAGUGGUUACAUCAUAUAAUCUUUAUUUUACCUCUUGAGAGGUGACAACUAGAUCUUUGCUGUGGCAAAUGUGUUAACUUGCAAUUUAAGACUACGCCAUCUCGCUGGCUCAUUGACAUUCAAGUUGCUGGGGCCAAGGUGAGAAAAGAAUACUGAAAUGUAGAUUAUUUUUCAGGAGGCUUUAUUUCAAGAUAACUGAAUUUUGGUUGACUACAGAUGUUAGAACCGAAAUUUUCCCACCCUGCGUGUGCUAAGAAUUUACAGUCCAUGUAUGCAAAGCUAGAUAGAUAGUAUGCAGAUGCUUGAGAUAAGUCUGUACAAAAUACACACAUUUGAUGUUCGUAUCUGAGGAAAUAAUUAGACCAGCAAGCUUCUUGACAAGUUGAUUCAUAAUCAAAUUUUCCAUUUAAUGUUAGUACUUUGAAAUAUGACAGAGCACACAAGUCUUGCACUUCAAAAAUAUGAUAUUUAUCUGCUUUUUCUGCAGAGAACAAUGAUCUUGGAUGUUGACUGUGGCAGUGAGUCCAAUUGACUUGCAUAAGAACGUGACUUGAAACAUCAAACAGAAAGGUAGGUUCUCCUGACUCCCGAAUUUUUUUUUCUUCUUGGUAAGUGCCUCCCCAACACUACAACUGCAUGCACUUCACUUGCAGCUUUUAGAGACCAGUAUUGCACGUCUUUUCUUGAGUACCUCCAAUUAUGUGCUCGUUCUUUCCGCUUAUUCCUGUAGAGUUGCAAUUUUUUUCAUCUAAUACAGCUAUAGCAGGGUUUUCGGGUACUUCCACUAUUCCAGCAACCUGUAUUAAAAAAUGUUUGGUAUAAGCGCAUUUUCUGUUGAUGAUUAAAAAAUGUUUGGUAUUGUGGAGGAUGAGUCCAUACAUAUGACGUUCAAAAAGGAAUAUGGCUAUUUACCACAUUAUAUGGCAGCAUCUUGUAUCCAUUUGUUGGCUAAAGUCUGUUUAGUAAGAGAGCCCUUGUGUGAUGGAAGUGCAUCGUGGGUCAAACACAUUUGAUAUGAGUAAUCAAUGGGCAAGGGAAUUCAUUGGAGUCCUAAGCACCUAGAUUUGGGUCCCUUAUCAUCUUGCAAAGGUCAUAUUAGUACUCACUGGUAUCAUCUUUGAUGGACAACGUGUAAAAUAUGAGUUGAAGGAAGUUGAUGGCAAUCUUUUACUGUAGUGGAGGUUAAUCUGUGAUGAUUAAGAUUGCACUGCACACUACCAUAAAAGUCAAACCUGCAAUAUUUACCACAGAUGCUGCAUAGGAAGCAUGGUUUGUUAGAUCUAAUAUAAGCACGGUUCUGUCCCCUCUGCAUUCCACAGGCAAGGGUGAGUCCCAUGCAUCAGUUUGUGGAUCGCGCUUUCACACACUAAUCCCUACAGAUUCCUGUGGGAGGACCAAAUCCUAUUGAUUUGAAUUUUCAGCAGGUUCCUUUAUCAUUUGAUAUGAACUUGGAAGUUCAUCUUCUUCUCAGGUUUAUAAAAUCCCGAAUGCUUAUUGUGGAAAACAAUUCCCAGGAGAGUUAUCAUUAACCUAAGUCAAAUAAUGAAGCUAAGUACAUGAUCUACAGAAGAACUUAAGACUGCAGGACUGUCAAAUGCUUCUGCUAAUUCAAUAGCAGAUACUUAAAAAUUGCAACCUUUAACUGGAGUGCGAAUGUUACUGAAGAGACCAAAAAUACUUUGAUAAUCAUUGCAACAAGGAGGUUGGGGAGAUGUUUCAUUGUUUGUUUCAAGGUUACCGAAGAUCCUACUAGACCAAAAGAUUUGGAAGUUUUUUUCUUUACUGAAAAGAGAAAAAGAGGCACGUUCAUGAAAAAUGGUGCUUUUACUAGCAUUUUCAGAUAUUGACUCUUUAUUAUCACAUUGGCACGUGUCAAAUGUUGUCAUAUGGUCGUUUCUAGUUGCCAAAAUAAAGUUAUGAACUAGGAUAAAUAAGAUGCCUUGGAGACGCGAGCACAGCUGCAAUAUAGAAGUUUUGUUCUAUCGUGACACAGUUAUGCAUAUCAAAAUGAAAAAUGUCAGUUUUUUCAUCUCUGUCCCAUAUGCACGGGUACCGCUUCUUGGCUAUUCUGAUGAUAAUUUUGUUUGAGUUUGUCAUUGCAGAAUGACAAGAGUGGUUAUGUCAUAUAGUCAGCACUUUACCUCUCAGAGGUGACAACUAGAUCUUUGUUGCUGCGAAUGUGUCAACUUGCUUUGGCAAAUAAUAUUUAUAAAGGCAGCGACUUCUUUUGUGAUAUAUCCUGUUUGUAUCUGGAAGCUCUUGGAUCUGGGUGAUGCAAUCUAAGACUAUGUUGUCUCACAGGCUGAUUGGUUUUCGUGGGGAGCUAUAAUUGUGGCUUCAGUCAGAGAGUCAAGGUGCCAGGGCCAAGGUGAGAAAAGAAUGCUGAAAUAUGGAUUUCUUUUUUGGGAGGCUUUAGUUCAAUAUAACCGACUUUUGGUAGACUGCAGAUGUUAGAACUGAACUUUUCCCAUCAUCAUGUGCUGGAAAAGAAUUUUUGCAGUUCAUGAAUGCAAAGCCAUAUAGAUAGUAUGCAAAAGCUUGAGACUAGUCUGUGCAUACUACUUACAUCUGAUAAUCUUUUUUUGAGGAAAUAAUAAGACCCACAAGCUUCCUGACAAGUUUAUUCAUAAUCAAAUUAUGCAUCCUUUUGUUAGCACUCCAACUCAUAACAUAGACCAAACAAGUCUUACACUCAAAAAUAUGAUAUUUUUGUGCUUUUGCUGCAGAGAAUAACAAUCUCAGAUGUCGAGUGUCAGCAGUGAUUCUGUGUAAGUUGACACAUCAAACAGGAAGGUGGCCUCCUGCCUACCCAAUUCUUUUCUUCUCGAUAAGUGCCUUCCCAACUCUGCAACUACAUGCGCUUUGGUUGCAUCAUUUUGAGACCAGCAUUGCACAUCUUGUUUUUAGUACCCCCAGCCAUGUGCUCGCUCUGUCCUCUUUUUCCUGCAGAGUUGCAAUUGUUUCAUCUAGUUCAGCCGUAGCAGGGUCUUCAGGUACUUCCACUUUUCCAGCGACCUGUAUUUAGUACUAGCAAGUUUUCCGUUAAUUAUUACUUAUUGUGGAGGAUGAGUCUAUAUAUAUAUGACGUUAAAAAGGAACAAGGCUAUUCACUGCAGCAAAUGGCACUGGCGGCAUCUUAUAUCCAUUAGAUGGCUAGAGUCUGUUUGGUAAGAGAGCACUUCUGGGAUGAAAAUGCAGUGUGUAAAACUCGUUUGAUAUGAGGAAUCAAUGGGCAAGGGCAAUCAUUGCACUUGUAAGCACCCGGACUCAAGUCCCUUAUCUUCUUGCAAAGGUCACAAUAGUAGUCACCGGUAUCAUCUUCGAUGAAGGAAGCGCGUAGAGUGUGAGUUGAUGGAAGUUAAUGGGAAUCCUUUACUGUAGUGGUAGGCAAUCUGUGAUGAUUAUGAGUGCAAUGCUCACAACUGUAGAAGUCGAACCUGCAAAAUUUACCACAGACAUUGCAUAGGAAGGACGGUUCGGUAGGUCUAAAUUAAGAAAGAGUAUUUGGUUGUGGAGGUGAUGUUUCAAAGUGGGCCUGUCAAAAGUGAAUGGAAUAUUGAAGCCGUAGUCACUUUUCGUGCAGUGAAAGAGUGUCGACAAUCUUUACGACAUAUUUCAACAAUGCUCCUUCCUGAUACUAAAAGAAAAGCAUGUGCGGGGUGAACAGGUUAUUGCAUAACGGAGGGCAAUUCAUCACAAGAAUUAUGGAGCUGAAAAGAGCUGCUCUGCUCCAGCCAGUGAUAGGCUAAACAUUUGACGCAUUCAUCAUGAGUCUUGCACGGACCAUCCUUCAUAUGACAAUACCAGUGGCAGAUUUUGAACGUGAGAAAGAAGAGGCAAUCAAGACAAGCGGAGACCUCACCUGGUAUGUUCUCUUCGCAAGCUUUGCACUGGAUUCUGCUCUCGAGCUUUGUGUGUAAGACCAGUCGAUGCUGAUUGUUGAAAUGGUUAAAAACCGAGUCCUUAUUGGCUCCAGAUCUUGUGAACGUAGCCGUGCAGUCCAUGUCGCGGCUGAAUUUGCAUUCGCUGCAGGAGGAAACCAUGGUAAGCAUGACAUUUACCUCCUCCAAUUGAUCGAAAGCAAGAGAGAGAGAGGGUGAUCAUGGAGAGACGGGUAUUGCAUCUCUGUGGGGGAUUCGGCGCAGCUUUUGUGGAGAAAGAAUAUGCACGCAUGGCCUCAAUAGACCACCCCCAAGAUCGCUUGCUCGCAGGUUUUGCAUUUAUUUCUACUUUUCAUCCUGAGAUGAUGGGAUGUGAGCGGUCUUGAGCAUAUAUUGGAUGGCCAUAUUCUGAGAAUCUUCAUCGAGACGGCUUAGUUGUGACUGGGCAGACGAAGCUAUAUCGGGCUGUGCAAUAACAAUCGACCCGUUCGAAUGGCAAGAGAAGGUUUUCAUAUAUAAAAGGCGAAAUAUUCAUUGGAAUAUAUAUAAUAUCUAUAUCACUAGACCGGUGAGGUCGUGUAUUUCAUCGUGUCGUGAUCAACUUUUCUAGGAAAAUAAAAUGAUACUGUUUAUGUAUGCGUGUUAUGCUUGGGUGAAUCAAGGCGGCGACAUAAAUGGAUGAAAAGCAUCUCUGAAAGACGACAAGCAAGCGGUGACGACUUAUGCCCUUCUCAUUCCUCCCUUCUUUUACUCAUUUCUCAUCCCCCGUUUGUCCCUUUGACGUGGCCUCCCCCCAUUUCCCUCUCCUCUCUAAAAGUUUCCACAAAUAUUCCUCAAUUCCUCAUUCUUUCUCUGUCACGAAAAGAUGACAUUUAUGAUGCAAUUUGGACGGAACAAAGAUUAUGAUGCAUAGGCAUUUUUCAUAUGUGGCGAUCAUCUUCAUUUCACUAGUUUGUAUGAUUUUUUUUAGCUAAAAUUCUAAUUUAUUAUGCUAAUCAAGGUCUGACGAACUGCGCAGCAAUGGUUGGACCAUGCAGACGAUCAUAUGUCCCCAUGGGGGCACAUAUGAGAUCUCAAUUGAAGUUGGAGAUUUUUUUUAAGAAAAGAAAUUGAAGUAAAAUUGAGAUUAGAAUUAAAGUUGUGCAUCUUUUUAGGAAAUAAGCCCAUGAAGAUUCAUGCUUUCAUCAAAUCAAUCCAAAGUGUCUCACAUGAAAGACAGUGGGAUCUUUUUUCUUUUCUUUUUUGGUUCUACUCUUGGCCAGACUCUGUUUUUGUGGCAUCCCAAAAAAUUUUAACGACCUCUAGUUACAUUAAAGUUUAUGAAUAGGUGAUGGAAGUACCAUCAAGUUAUUUUAUGGCCAUUUAAUCCAUAAUUUGCAAUAAGAUAUAUGGCCAAGCUUUUAAGGGAUAAUUAUGUGAUAGGAAAGAAAAUUCUAUCAUUAGCCAUGUGCAUCAUAAAUUGGAAUUUAGGGAUUUGUGACUAUAAGUUUAAUGGCCUUAUUAUUUAUGCAAUUAGAUGUUUAUUUAAACGAUGAUUAAGAUAUAUUAUAAAAAUAAAAUAAAAUAAACUUGGGCCAUUUAAGUUUGGGCUUUAGGCCCAAGUGAGAUGGGCCUAAAGUGGGCCAUAAGCCCGGCCCAUUGUCGCGCAUGGAGGGGGAAGGAGGAGUCACAUGGCUUCCUCCAAGUGUCUUCAACCAAGGAGACACUUGUCUCCUUCUUAGGGACAAGUCUCCACCACACAAAGAGGGGGUGCAUGCAAUAUAAAUACAACCAAAAAGGAAGAGAGAGAGGGAGUGGCUGAUGGUUGAGGGUUGUCAUCCAAAAGAGGUGCCGAGAGAGAGGAGAGAAAGAGAGAAAGAGAGGAAGAGAGAAAGGAAGGAGCUCGCUCGUCGCCGCCCGCAUGCCAUUCGUCCGUCGCCGGUGUGCCGCCGUUCGUGUGGUCUAGAGGCAAGUUGGGAUUGAUUUCCACCCUUGCAUGUGUGCCUUGCAUGUAUGAUUUGUUAGUGGUGAGUUUCGGAUGUUAGGGUAGGCGAAACCGAAGCAAAAUGUGCUUUGUUCUUGAAUAUGCUUGCUGUUUUCGCAUGAACCGCCUGAGUCAGAAACUUGUGAGAGCUUGCAUGCAUGUUUAGAGUUCGAUUUGGACUUGGAUAUCUUCAUAAAAGUUGUAGCUAACGUCUUAAACUACAACAUAAUAAACUUUGGUGGAAAAUUAUGGAUAUUUGAGGGGUCAAACUCUCAUCUUACGGAGAUGUCAGAUCUGGAAUGUUUUCGCAUGAAUCCGCUCGAGUCAGAAUGUUGUGAGAGCUUGCAUGCAUGUUUAUAGUUCUAUUUUGGCUUUGGUCUCUCAUAAAAGUUGUAGCUAACAUCUUAAACUACAACAUACUAAAAUUUGGUGGAAACUGAUGGAGAUUUAAGGGGUUAAACUCUCAUUCUACGGAGACCUCAGAUCUGGAACGAUUUCACUGACAUCUUGAUGAAUUUGUGGUUGCAUGUUGAUUUGUACUAAGAAUAUCUCUUCGAUUUCUUCAUGAAAGUUUUAGGGGACAUCUUAAAAUACAACAUACUCAAAUUUUAAGUGAAAUGAACAAGUAUAACCUGGUAAAUCGACUAGAUCUUGAAGACGGUAGUUCUGGAGAUGUAUUACAGGACACCCGAGACUUCAUGGACCUAAAUGACGACUAUACUCUGGUUAUUUGACUUAUAUCUCUUCAUGAAACUUGUAGAGGACAUCUUUAUGUAGAACAUAUCCAAAUUUAAAAUGAAACGAAGAAGAAUAGGUAGGUCAAAACUCAGUAUUUCGGAGAAGCAUGUACUGGACGAUUUGGUGAUGGAUCCAGAAGCUUCGUGAGACUGUAGAAAUUAAUCUAAAAAGAAUCUGACUUGGAAACCUUCAUGAAAGAUGUACGAACAUGUCUUGGCCGUAACUUGGUAGAAUUUCGUAAUUUUUGGAGGUCUUAUGGAUAUUUUAAUCGAAUUUAUUCGGAAACUGUGCAUUCUGGUUUCAUCCGAAAAUUACAUGCUGUUUUGUGUAAAUUAUGGAUUUGUGUGGAUUUCUCAUUGGCCGUGUAUUUUGCAUGAAAUCAUUAUCCUAUUGUCUUAUUUAUUACUUGCCUUAAUUUUAUGAUUUUUGAGAUUAUAUAAAUAAUUAAAUUUAAUAUUUUUGAAAAUGGCACAAGCUGGAAUUUAAAUAAAUGUAAAAAAGGGCAUGAUAAAUGGAUUAUUUUAAUUGGCAUAAAUUCCAUGAAUUUUAUUCUUAUAAAUAAUUGCACCAUGUAGUAUGUGUGAUGAGGUCUUGAUGUAUGCAUUGAGAUGAAUGCGUGAAUUCAAUGUUGAACAUGAUUUUUGGUUGCCAUUGCAUCAUAUGCCAUGCUAAAUUAAGACCGAAAUUGGUGAACAUGAGUAAUGUUAAAUGAGGGAAUUGAUGUGGUGGAUGAUAAUGCCCCGGGAGUGUCGGGAUGCCCGGUGGUAUACGGUACGUAAUUCCAGGGGAGGCCUGGUGGUAUAUCGGUACGUAAUUCUGGAAGCCUUGUCGGAGGUUUUUGCCCGAGGGGAUGCCUCGCGAUGCCAGGAUUGGGGUGCGAGAUGCCCGACCAGGGAGUGUAAAUGCCGGAAGCCCUGUCGGAGGUUUUUGCCCGGGGGGAAUGCCUCGUGAUGCCAGUUGGGAUGCGAGAUGCCCAGAAUGUGAGGGGCCGGAUGCCCGGUGGCCUGGAAUGGCUGAAUGCCGGAAGCCUCGAAGGUCUUUGCUCGAGGGGAUGAUGAAAUUGAUGAUUCGAGGAAUGGGUAAUGUGGUGAUCAAAUUGAGAGUUAAAAGUGGAAAUUAAACCAUGGCAUGAUGAUAUGCAUGAUGAUGAUGAUGAUCACCCAUGGCAUGAUGAUAUGCAUGAUGAUGAUGAUGAUAUAUGAUAUGCAUGAUGAUGAUGAUGAUAUAUGACAUGGCAUGAUGAUAUGCACGAUGAUGAUGAUGAUGAUGAUGAUAUAUGAUAUGGCAUGAUGACAUGUGUAAUGUGAUGAUGUCAUGAUGAUGAUGACAUGAAUAUGAUUAUAACGAUGCCAUGAUAAUGAUGACAUGUAUGGUAUGAUGAUGUCAUGUAUAUGAUGAUGAUGACAUGUGUGUAAUAUAAUAAUGCCAUGAUGACGACUAUAUGAGUAUGACAUGAUGAUACACAUGUAUGUGUUAUGAUUGUGAUGAUGAUGCAUGAUAGUAUGCGCAUGGCUCCAAGGUAAGUAUUGCCUGAAAUGCAUGUAUGACUUGUAUGAUGCAUUGAGUGGUUAUUGGAUUCCUUUACCUGCUGAGUGGUUGUACUCACCCCUUUUGGGGACCAACAUUUCAUAUUAGUAGAUGGAUUGAGCGGUUGGAUAUGACCGCGAGGAGAAGGAUAGUAAAGGAGGGAACUUUUGGACGUCGACACUGAUUGAUGGACUUUAAGUAUUCGAUUGUUGGAGAAGAUGUCGGUCAUCUUUUGAAGUAUAGCCGAGUAUAGAAACAUUGGCAUUUCGAUGUACCGACUAAAGAUGUCCAUCUGCUUUAUGUAAAUAAACGUGUUCGGCUUUAACUUAUAUAAGAUGUUUAAUAGGUGUGCAUCGUUUUCUAAAUAUAGGGAAGGGAGCUUGUUGGAUGUGCUUCCGUAUAUGAAUUGCGCAAGGGACCUAUAAAAAAAAGAGUGUAAACUCCCUAUGUUGUAUGGACUCGCUGCAAUUGAAAUGGUAUCAGAGUGACAUGUUAAUAAGGAAAGUGAAAAGUAAGCGAACUGUGGCGACCCUAACGGAUCGGGAGCCGUCGAGGGGUGGCACAAUUUUCAUCUUUUUUCUCCCUUUUUGCUCUAAUAAUUCCCUUACCACGGCGUCAACUGAAACAAGAUCAAAGAAAGGGCUCUAACAAGAUACUUGGGCUUGGGCUUACUGUCAUGCUCUUAUUUAUUAUUUUUUGCCAGCCCGGUUAUUGAAACUUUAUCCUUGCACAUGAAUCUUCCAGGUUAAUUGCACACUCCGCUGAAACACAAUAAAAAAUAAAUAGGAAAGUUUAAAAGCGUCUCCCCACUGUCCACCCCAACGGUGGGGUGAACGCAGGGGCAUGGUUGAUGUUUCUGCUUCUUUUAUUCGAGGUGACAUUUGCAUCUAUUCAUGCUGUGAAUAUGAAUGAUGUCCAAAUUUCACUUCGAAUAAAAGAAGCAGAAGCGAAGCAUCAAUGAUGUCCCUGUCUGCGCCCAACAUGGCGCCAUGGAUCUUACCCCAUCGUCUCUAUCCUCGUCGAUUUCAUCCAAGUGAAAUAUCAGGGUAAGUUGAUUUCGCCCUUCGAAACCCACCCCGUUGCCAUCGGCGUUUCCAUUUGCAGCCUGCUCCUGCAUUACUUGUUGCUGCGUCUCACUGAUCGGGCACCACCGUCUAGCGGCCGUUCUCCUUCUUGGGAUGGAGCAUGGCACCUCUUCAUCGACUUCGUCAGUUCGAUAUUGGUGGCUUCGUUCGCGUGGUUGCUGCUCCAUGACUCCUCCCACUCCGUUCCCUGGUUGUUCGUGCUGCUCCUGCUGCUUUCCGUGAGUCUGUUGUGCGGCCUCAUGCAAAAACUGUCUGUGGUUUAACGACAAAAAUCAUCCGUGCCGUGCAGCGUGGUCUCCUGGUCGUAUCAGCGUUUAAGGCCGCAUGUCUAAGCUAGUUUUGUAUAAGAUGCACUCGGGCCUUUCUUCCGUUUAUAUGAAAACAUAAGGAGUCCCCAAGCCUUCGGCAUCAUCAAAUUAUCUCCCAAACCAUAAGAAAGGAGAGCAGGGGACAAGUACAAACCACCUAUGAACGGUGAUGGACCUUGUAGCGACUAGAUCUGAUUAAGAUAAGCUAAGCCCUCAAAAGAAAUUGGGAUCUACUGUUAUUGAAGAGAUCGAAGAUAACCUCAGCAAUCGUUUUGACGAGUAGGUCUACUCUAGUAGCCAGGUAAGAGAUAGUUAUUGUUCUUGAGGUUAAAGCUUCUGACCUCUUUGAAAACAUUGUUGAGUGUUGCAGAUUUUCCUUCUUUUUCUGGUGAAUCUCUUCGUAGCUUUCUGUUUGGCCAGUGGAUGGAUAUGUGUCAUUUUACAUUCUUUGCUGGUGUACUAUGGUUUUGCCCAUUUUUCCAUAUGAACUGGGAUAAAUUGAUGCCUUGGAGAGGUGAGCACAACUACAAUUUCAAAAGCUUUGAUCUAAUGCUAACAUCAACGAGUGAUCCAAAUAAAAAUGAAAGAUGUCAGCUCUUUCAUUUCUGUACCAUAUACACCAUUACUGCUUAAUAGCUAUUCUGAUGAUAACAUAGUUGUAGUUUGUCAUUGCAGAAUGUGGGAGUCAUUACAUCAUAUAGUCUUCAUUUGACCUCUGAGAGGUGACAACUAGAUCUUUGCUGUGGCAAAAGCAUUAACUUGCAAUCUAAGACUACAUUGUCUUGCUGGCUGAUUGACAUUCAAGUUGACAGGGCCAAGGUGAGAAAAGAAUGCUGAAAUGUUGAUUUUUUUUUCUGUAGGCUUUAUUUCAAGAUUACUAAAUUUUGGCAGACUGUAGAUGUUAAAACCAAACUUAUCCCAUCUUCAUGUGCUAUAGAAUUUACAGUUUAUGUAUGCAAAGUUAGAUAGAUAGUAUGCAGACGCUCGAGACAAUUCUGUACAAACUACACAUCUCUAAUGUUCGUAUCUGUGGAAAUAAUUAGACUGGCAAGCUACCUGACAAGUUGAUUCAUCGUCAAAUUAUGCAGACCAAUGUUAAUACUCCGAUUCAUAAAAUGGAGCACACAAGUCUUGCACUUCAAAAAUAUGAUAUUUAUCUGCUUUUACUGCAGAGAACAACAAUCUUGGAUGUUGACUCUAGCAGUGAGUCCAAUUGACUUGCAUAAGAAUGCAAGUUGAAAAAUCAAACAGAAAGGUAGGUUCCCCUGACUCCCAUAUUCUUUUCAUCUUGUUAAGUGCCUUUCGAACUCUGCAACUACAUGUAAUUUGCUUGUGGCUUUUGGAAACCAGCAUCGCACGUCUUUUCUUGAGUACCUCCAAGUAUGUGCCCACUUUUUUCUGCAGAAUUUUAAUUUUUUUCAUCUAGUUCAGCAAUAGCAGGGUCUUCAGGUACUUGCACUAUUCCAGCAACUUGUAUUAAACACUGUUUGGUAUUGGCACAUUUUCGGUUGAUUAUUACUUACUGUGGAGAUUAGUCUCUAUAUAUGAUAUUAAAAAGGAACAUGACUAUUCACCACAUUGUACGGCAGCAUCUUGUAUCCAAUUUUGGCUAAAGUCUGUUUAGCAUGAGAGUUCUACUGUGAUACAAGCGCACCAUGGUAAAACAUAUUUGAUAUGAGUAAUAGAUGGGCAAGGGCAUUAAUCACAGUCAUAAGCACCCAGAUUCGUGUCUCUUAUCUUAUUACAAAGGGGACAAUAGUACUGCUAACUGGUAUUAUCUUUGAUGAACAAAGCAUAAAUGUGGGUUGAUGAAAGUUAAUGGCAAUCUUUUACUGAAGUGGAAGGCAAUCUGUGAGGAUUAAGAUUGCACUGCGCACAACUGCAAAAACCUAAUUUACAGUUUAACUACAAAAACUUCUUCAAUUAGAUAAAUAAAAGUUUCAAAUCCUUACCAAUUGCUAAGAAACACAAAUAAUCUGGCUUGACCAAGCUGCUCAAAAGUGCAUGUAGCGAGAGCCCCCUGUCUCACUUUGUCUUUUUGUCUGUUUCUCCGGACUCUGCUUUCCUCCUCUUUUGGGGUUCUUCUUGGCCAGACUGUUUUUUUAUUUUCUCUCUAUCUGCUCUAGUAAUUUCGUUGCAAAGGCAUCAACUGAAGCAAGACCAAAGAAAGUACUUAAACGAGACACUUGGACUUGGGCUUACUGUUUUGCUCUUAUUUAUUGUUUUUUGCCAGCCCGGUUAUUGAAACUUCAAUAGGAAAGUUAAGUUCAAAGGCGUUCCUCCACUCCAGUGGUGGGUUGAAGGCAAGGAUAGCAGAGUGGCAUAAAAGAUGACAGUCUGGAACCGGGAGGAUCACUGCUGUCGCGAUCUCCCCGAAGCGGGUUGGACCACCUAAGGGUUUGGCUAAUGGAUUGCUAAGCCUAGACUUAGCUCGAGCUCUCCCAAGCCCAUACCAAUUUGCAACUUAGGGUUUAAGUUCUUAAUAUGCAAAUGAUUUUUAUCAUGGAGUCGCCACUAAUCUAUUUUUGGUGGGUCGAUUAGAAACCCAAGUAAAGUAAUGGGAGAAUUACUUUACUCCUACAAACCAGAGAUUAAAUGAGUUCGGGGACUUGAUUACGCUAGAUUUCUCUAACGCCCUUUCGGUACCUCUUCUCUUUUACUUCAGAAAAAAAAUGUUUUGCAGGCAGUUUGAAUUGAUUUUAAAUCUAUUUCCCUAACAUGUGAGGUGAUCAUGCAGGUGCGCAAACCACCAAUUUAACACCCAAGAAAGCGAUGAAUAAAUUGCAGGACUUACCUCAUAACAACGAAAGCAUCUGCAAGGUUAAAUCAGAAUUCACAUCAACAAUCCUAAAUAUGAUUUCUAAUUAACACGCAAUUUCUUCUUUUUGGUUUUCACUUUUUUUUUUAAUGAAAAUCAUGCUUUAUGCAGCAUACUACUAAUUUAACAUGAAAUAAUAUGACAUGAUAAUAUGACCUAAACUAUAUGAUGCAAAUGCGAUGUUUUUGUGUUUUCUUAAUAAGCAUGCAAUCUAUCCUAGAAAAUAAAACUAAUUUAUUCUAAGACAUCUUUUUUUGUGUAUUUUUCAUGAAAUUCGGAAUUAGAAAAAUGUGAAAAUUAUCUAUCUAAAUUAAAAUACCAUCUAAUUUGUAUUAGGAAUGAGGUUAAACCAAAUCAUAAUUUAAACUAGAAUGUUAUUCUAAUUUAGAAAUUUCUAACUAAAAUGCAAUCUAUCUAAAAAUUUUCUUAAAUUAAAAAAACUAUUAUCUAGAAUUAAACUAUAUGAAAUUUUACCCUAAAAUGCAAUGAUAUGCAAAGAGUGCCAAAAUUCUAAUAAUUUUUUUUUAUGUUUUUGUAUUAAUUUCGAAAUUAAAAAUUGUCAAGUAAUUAAAUAUGAAACCUAAGUUAAAACUAACAACCUAAAUUGAUCGAUUUGAUUUUCUUAUUAUUUUUUUUAAAUUCGAAAUAAAAUUCCUAUUCUAAAUAUGCAAACCAUAAAACAAGAAAUAAACCUAAUUCUAACCUACAUGAAAUGCAAAUGCAAUUUUUUUGUAUUUUUUUUUUAGAUAAACAAAACAAUUAAAAGAUACCAAAUCCUCCAUGAUUGUUUCGCUAAUAAAAUCAAUAAUUUGAUCUUAAGCCUUAAAGACCAAAAUAUCAAUUUUAUUCCCGCGUGAUUAAUUAUUCCAUCUAAAGCCUUAUAGAUGAAAUAAAAAAAAUCAUUGUGCGGUUGCGAAUUGGGUGGUACGUACCGGAUUUUCAAACAUGCAUCAAGAAAUAUUUCAAAUAAAGAGAUAAAAUAAAUCUAUCUAAUUUGGUUCAAGAAAACUACCUAGUUUUUGAUGAUUCGUUUCCAAAACAGGAUCGGCAACAAGGGACUCACGAACGACAGCGAUUACACGGCCACGAAGCUUAGGGACCUGCGAUUUAGUUGCUCGCCAGAGGCUCUACGGGUGGCUUGGGAUAAGCUGCAGUGUUUGGUUCGAGCAGGAAACGUCUUUCUCCAAAAGGCAAGGGAUGACCAGCAACACAAAAUUUACGAGGAAGGAAAGUCCUCGUUGAAAGCAUAACUACAGGACUUCACCAGCCCACGUGAAUAUCCUGCAAAGAAAAGGAAAGUGGUCUUUUAUUCCUUUUUUUUUUAUUUGCUCUUUAUGUGCCCCCCCUUUCUCUACGUUGGUGGACUUCAGAAGAACGCUGAUUCGCCGGUACUGCAACUUCUCAGUUUAGAAUGGUCAGGCUCGAGCUUGGACAGCAGCUCGCCGUUAUUGCCGGGGAUUCCGCGGAUGGCUUAACAGGCCGUAUGGAUGUGGCUCACGUCUGGGAAUGACAGCUCGGACUCGGAGGCACCUUACAGCUGCAACAAGAUCGCCAGGGCUCUAAACAUGGCUCGUAGGGCUGGGACUUGACGCCAGGGCAGUGCAGGCGGGCGGCGUUGCUGGUGUAGGACACGGGCAGCGGCGGCGGCAGGAGCUGUGACGGGCGAGAAGAGGCGUGGCUACUGGUGCAGGCGUCGGGCGGAGGGUAGCAGCGACAGAGAGGACUCGGCGACGGGUGCUGCAGCUUGCGGGCGUCGCUCGUUGCUUCAAGCUGCAGGAGGCGAGUGAGCGGAGGCGACGGUGACAGGUGCGUAGACGGCGUUCGGAGGCAGAUGCUCGCGGCGUCGGACGACGGGGGGAAGGGUGACGCGUUGCGGGGCGCGGUCGUCGGAGGGUGGUGCUCGAGCGGAGACGCGGGCGUCGCAGGUUGGAUCUGAGGGCGUCGGGCGCUGGGUUGCAGGCGCGGGCAGUGGUGCGGCGACGGCGUGAGGUUGCUGCGGAGGUGCAGCGCGGAGGUGCGGCGCGGGCAGCAGAUCGUGGGCCGACGGGUGAGGGAGCGAGCGGUGCCGAACGGUGGCGCGGCGUCGGGGGCGCGGGCUGCAGGCGUAGAGGCGGGCGCUCGUGGCGUCGGGUGCUCGGAGGCAGCAGUGACGAUGAUCAGGCUGAGGCGCGGUCACGGACGAGAAGAGGAGCGGAGAUGGCGACGGCGUUCGGAGCUCCUGCGACGAACGGCGGUGCGAUCACGUGGGUGGUGCUCGCACAGGGGAUGGCCGGCGGAGUGGCGGUGACUGGUGGUGCGGCUGGGUAGACAGCAACAGUUUUGCUGCUGAGGUCGAACGGCGUAGGAGCAGAAGCUUCGUCGCGGCUAGGGGCGAAGUGGGCGGCGGUGGUCGUCGCCGCAGGGGACCGGAGCAGAAGCAGAGCUGGCCGUCGCAGGGAGGCGGAGUGGAAGCGGGUCGGUCGGCGCAGGGGGCAGCCGAGCGGCUAAGGAAACUCCGAAGAAGAUGAACAGUAGGGGUCUUUUCCUCUCUUUUUUUUUCUUUUUUUUCACUGCUGUUCGGUCACUUCUUUUCUCUGUCUCUCUCUCACGUCUCACUCUCUGCAGUCUCUCUCUUCUGCUUUCUCUCGUUUUUUUAAUCUCCUCCCCCUGACUUCAUCUUUUCUUCUUUCUCUCUACGAGAGUCUCUCCCCUUUCUUCUCUCAACUCAUGUGUCUCCACACGGGCUCUCUUUUUUAAUAGCUCUCACAAUCCUCUCAAGGGAAUUUUUUUCGUUCUCCUCCUCCUCCUAAACCGAGGAUCCUUGCUUAUUUAUAGGCAACAACUGACUUUAGCGUGAACAGGUGAACAGGAGGCAGCCGCAACUUUUCCUUGCUUGUUCAAGUUUGGUUCUUUUUUUUCAAAUAUCUGCUCUCUAGGAAAGAAAGUAUUAUAAAAUGUCAGCCCAUCCUUUUGCAUGCGUCUUAGAAUUUUCACGUCCCCCACUCAUGCGUGCAUGUGCAUGCAUUAAUGAGGGGAAGAAAAUGCAGGUUCAUGGAUUCUUCUUUCUUCUGCAUGCUUGGGUUUCUUAUACGGCUACUUGUCCCUCCCUUAUAUAGGAUAGCCACAACUUUUGACUUUUCUUUGCUUGUUAUUUGCUUCCUCCUUCAGCAAAUUUCUCGUUGCUUCUCCUGACAACCCACACUUGAGAGAGAGCAUAUUAUAUAAUAUUAUAUCAUGGGCUCAUUUUGCUUCUCUGAGGAUUCCUCUAGCAUCCGCACGUCCGCCGAAUUUGUGCGUGCAUGCGCAUACAAUAAUGAGGGAGAGACAAAGGACGUGCAAUAACUUCCUUCCUCUCUUUUUUCGCUCUUUUGCGUGCUCAGACCAGCAAAGAGAGCGAUUACUACGAGCAGCUGCGUCUUGUCGCGCUUUUAGUACCGAUGCAAAUGCGACUACAUGAAAUGCAAUUUUACUAUUUUUUCUUAGAGGUUAAAGAUUAAUCCCUAAAUUUUUAUGCAAUUAAUUACUAAAUGAUUAGACAAAAUUUAGGUGUCAACAACUGCCAUUGUCAGUUUGGAGUUUAGUUGCUACAAGGUGCAUUCCCAUUCAUGGCUAGGUAUUGGCACGAUACAUGGGUAGUUUUUACUUUCUUAUGGUCGGAAGAUAAUUUGAUGAUUCCGAAGGCUUGGAACUCCUUAUGGUUUCAGAUAAAGAGAAGAAAGCCCCAAAUGCCUCUUAUAAAAUACUAGCUAGCUUCCUAAGGUACUUGUCACUUGUUUUAAAGUGGCCAUAUAGAACAAGAUUACUUUUUUCCAAGCAGGGAACAGUUGAACAACUAUGGCACUCAGACUUCCAACAUGAAAUGCAGAUACACGACUGUGCGAGGCGAAUACGGCUGCGCUCUUCCACCAUGCCAUACACGAGACUGCACCGCAUGGAUUAUUAUGAGAAUGAGUUUGCAGUAAAACCACAGCCAAAGUUUUUGAAUGGGGCCUUGCAACAGACUCACCGAAAGCAACAAGAGUGGCAUGAACCAGGGAACGGAGUGGAAAGAGUCGUGGAACAGCAACCAAGUGAGUGAAGCCACUGAUAUCGAACUGGUGAAGUCAAUGAGGAAGGAUGAUGCUCCAUCACAAGAAGGAGCAUGGCUGCUAGAUAAGCGAAACGCAGCAACAAGAAAUGCAGGAGCAGGCUGCAGAUGGCGAGGAUGGUGGUGACGGGGUGAGUUUCAAAGGGUGAAGUCAACUUCCCCUGGUAUUUUAAUUUGAUGAAGUCGACCAGGAUAGAGACAAUGGAGGUUAAAUCCAUGACGCCCUCAGAUGAAGGCAGGGACAUCAUUUGUGGUUCUUUUUAUGGGCAGUGGCCCUCAAAAGAAAUUGGGAUCUAUUUGUUAUCAAAGAGAUCAAAGAUAAUCUCAAAAAUUGUUACAAGGAGUAGAAUAAUCGUUUCUAGUAGCCAUAUGAAGCGUAGAAAUUGUUCUUGAGGUUAAAGCUUCUGACCUCUUUGAAAACAUUGCGAGCGUUGCAGGUUUCCUUCUUUUUCUAGUGAAUCUCUUUGUAGCUUUCUGUUUGGCCCUCUGAUCAACAUGUGCCAUUUUACAUUCUUUGCUAGUAUACUAUGGUUUUGCUCAUAUAUCCGUAUGAACUAGGAUACAUAGAUGCCUUGGAGACACGAGCACAGCUGCAAUUUCAAAAGCUCUGUUCUAACAUCACUGAGUGAUCCAAAUCAAAAUGAAAGACAUCUGUUUUUUCAUCUCUGUCCCACAUACCCCAUUACUGCUUACUAGCUAUUCCAAUGAUGAUAAAGUUUUAGUAUGUCAUUGCAGAAUGAAAGUGGUUAUAUCAUAUAGUCUUCAUUUGACCUCUUGAGAGGUGACAACUAGAUCAUUGUUGUGGCAAAUCAUCUACUUGCAAUCCAAGACUACUUUGUCACUAAUCCCUGCAGAUUCCUGUAGGAGGACCAAAUCAUAUUGAUUUUAAUUUUCAGCAGGUUUCUUCAUCAUUUGAUAUGAACUUGGAAGUUGAUAUUCUUCUCGGUUUUAUAAAAGCCUGAAUGUUUAUCGUGGAACUUGCAAUCUAAGACAACUAGAUCAUUGUUCUCAGGACUGUCAAAUCCUUCUGCUAAUUCAGUAGCAGAUGCUUAAAACUUGUAACCUUUAACUGGAGUGCAAAUGUUACUGGAGAGACCAAAAUACUUCAACAAUCACUAUGACAAGGAGGAUGGGGAGAUGUUUCAUUUUUUGUUUCAAGGGUAACCAAGAUCCUGGUAGACCAAAAGAUUAAGAAGUUUUUUCUUUACUGAAAAGAGAAAAAGAGGCACGUUAAUGAAAAAUGGCGCUUUUACUAGCAUUUUCAUAUAUUAACUCUUUAUUAUCGCAUUGGCACGUGUCAAAUGUUGUCACAUGGUCGUUUCUAGUUGCCAAUAUAUAGUCGUGAACUAGGAUACCUUGGAGACGCAAGAACGGCUACAAUAUAGAAGCUUUGUUCUUUCAUGACAGAGUUAUCCAUAUCAAAUGAAAAAUGUCAGUUUUUUCAUCUCCGUCCCAUAUGCACAGGUAUCGCUUACUAGCUAUUCUCAUGAUAAUUUCGUUUGAGUUUGUCAUCGCAGAAUGACGAGUACUUACAUCAUAUAGUCAGCACUUUUCCUCUCAGAGGUGACAACUAGAUCUUUGUUGCUGUGAAUGCGUCAACUUGCUUCAGCAAAUAAUAUUUAUGAAGGCAGCGACUUCUUUUGUGAUGAAUCCUGUAUGAAUCUGAAAGCUCUUGGGUCUGAGUAAUGCAAUCUAAGACUGUUGUCUCACUGGCUGAUUGGUUUUCGUCAGGAGCUAGAAUUGUAGCUUCUGUCAGAGACUCAAGUUGCCAGGGCCAAGGUGAGAAAAGAAGGUUGAAAUACAGAUUUCGUUUUCCGGAGGCUUUAGUUUAAUAUAACUGACUUUUGGUAGACUGCAGAUGUUAGAAUUGAACUUUCCCAUCUUCAUGUGCUGGAAAAGAAUUUUUGCGGUUCAUGAAUGCAAAGCCCUGUAGGUAGUUUGCAAAGGCUGAGACUAGUCCAUGCAAACUAUUCACAUCUGACAUUUAUUUUUCAAAGAAAUAAUAAGACCGGCAAGCUUCCUGACAAGUUGAUUCAUAAUCAAAUUAUGCAUUCCUAUGUGAGUAGUCCAACUCAUAACAUUGAGCACACAAGUUUUACACUCAAAAAUAUGACAUUUAUCUGCUUUGCUGCAGAGAAUAACAAUCUCAGAUUUCGAGUGUCUGCAGUGAUCCCUGUAAGUUGAAACAUCAAACAGGGAGGUGGUCUCCCACCUCCGCAAUUCUUUUCUUAUCGAUAAGUGCCUACCCAACUCUUCAACUACAUGCGCUUUGGUUGCUUCUUUUUGAGACCAGCAUUGCACAUCUUUUUUUUAGUACCCUCAGUUGUGUGCUCGCUCUGUCCUCUUUUUCCUGCAGAAUUGCAAUUGUUUCAUCUAGUUCAGCCACGGCAGGGUCUUCAGGUGCUUCCACUAUCCCAGCAACCUGUAUUUGGUACUAGCAAGUUUUCUGUUAAUUAUUACUUAUUGUGGAGGAUGAGUCUAUCUAUAUGAUGUUAAAAAGGAGCAAGGCUAUUCACCACAGCAAAUGGCGCUGGCAGCAUCUUGUAUCCAUUAGAUGGAUAAAGUCUAUUUGGUAAGAGAGCACUUCUGGGAUGAAAAUGCACCGUGGGUAAAACGCAUUUGAUAUGAGUAAUCGAUGGGCAAGGGCUUCCAUUGCAGUCAUAAGCACCCAGAUUCAGGUCCCUUGUCUUCUUGCAAAGGUCACAGUAGUACUCACUGGUAUCAUUUUCUCGAAGCGUAAAGUGUGAGUUGAUGGAAGUUAACGGGAAUCUUUUACUGUAGUGGAAGGCAAUCUGUGAUGAUUAAGAUUGCAAUGCAGACAACUGUAAAAUUCGAACCUGCAAAGUUUACAGCAAAGCAUCGACACUCUUCAUGACAUGUCAACAGUGCUCCAUCCUGAUAUGAGAAGAAGGUAGGAUGUGCAGGUGAACAGGUUGUUGCAUAACUGAGGGCAAUUCUGCACAUGAUUUAUGGAGCAGGAAAGAGCACCUUUGCUCCAGCCAGCGAUGGGCUAAACAUUUGAUGCAUUCAUAAGAAGCCUUGCACGGACCAGCCUUCAUAUGACAGUUCCAGCGGCAGAGGGUGAUCGUGCAGAAAGAAAGAAGGGGCAACCAAGACAACCAUGGACCUUUGCACCUGAUUCUGUUUUAGAGCUUCGUGUGGAAGACCAGUGGAUGCUGACGGUCGAAAUGGUAGAGAACCGAGUCCUUAGUGCCUCCAGAUCUUGCGAACAUAGAGAUAAAGCCAUGCGUGCAAUCCAUGUCGAGGCUGAAUUUGCAUUUUGCAGUCGGAAACCAUGAUAAGCAACUAAUGAUGAUUUGGUAACAUUUCUGUUCUAGGAAACAGUUUUUUUUCGGAAGCACUUUUUUCUAUUUUUGUUCUCGAGAACAAUUUCUGAGUAUUUUAAGACGUUUAGUAAAAAGAAAAAAAAGAAAAGAAUAGGAAGAAAAGAAAGAAAGAAAAAACUUGUUUCUUAUUUCUAGAAUUGUUUUCUAGAACAAGAAACAAUUUUAUUUUUGUUUUUUGUUUCCGUUCUAAAUCUAUUCUCAGGAACAAAUUGUUUCCAAUAAUAAAAAAAUUACUAAAUGUGAUUCUAUUAUAUUUCUAUUUCAGAGAACAAAAAGACAAAAAUACUGUUUCGGAGAGUGUUACCAAACCCUCCCCAAGCAUUAAAUUUAGCUCCUCCAUUUGUUCGAAAGCAAGAGAGAGUAUCAUCUUCGUGGGAGACUCGAUGCAAGUUUUCUGGAGAAAAGUAUGCACGCAUAGCACCACAGACCUACCCCAAGAUCGCUUGCUCGUAGGCUUUGCAUUUGAUUCUACUUUUAAUCCUGAGAUGAUGGAAUGUGAGUAGAUGCUAUUGAGCAUUUGUUGGAUGGCCACAUUCUGAGAAUCCUCGUUAGGGCUUAGUUGCAACUAGGCAGAUGAGGCUACAUUGGGCCAUGCAUUAACAAUAUACACAUCCGAAUGCAAGGGAAGGUUUUCAUAUAUAAACGUGAAAUAUUGACUGGAAUAUAUAACUACAUAUAUCACUAGACUGGUGAGGUCGCAUAUUUCAUCAUACCGUGACCAAGUUUGUUAGGAAAAUAAGAUGAUAUUGUAUAUACAUACACCUUAGGGUUGGGCGAAUCAAGACACCAACAUAAAGAUAUAAUGGAGAAAAGUAUCUUUUGAAGACGACAGGUGAGCGGUGAAGACAAUGACCAAUUUAAUGUAGUUUCUUCGUAAUUGGACCUAGUCAUCAGAUGUGUUCCCUUACAACCUUCUCAUUCCUCCCUUCUUUUACUCAUUUCUCAUCCCUAGUUUGCCGCUUUCACGUGCCCUCCCCCCAUUUCUCUCUCUUCUCUAAACGUUUCCACAAAUAUUCCUCAUUGAUAACUUUUUAUUUUCAACCAAAAAGAAAAUACCUUAAUUUUUCUCUAUCUCGAAAAGAUGAAACUUAUGUACGAUGCAAUUUGGAUGAAAUAAAGAUUAUGAUGCGCACACAUUUUUCAUCUAUGGUGAUCAUCUUCGUUCCACUAAUACGUAUAUUCCUUUUGCUAAAAUUUCUGAAUUUAUUAUCCUAAUAAGGGUCAAUCCUUGUUUGAACCAGGUCACAUCCUUUUUCCCAAGCCAAAAAGAGGAAGAAGAUAGAAUUCUCUCUUUUUAUCAUAUUUAUCCUCUCCUACCGAGGUGUGCGCGUGUAUAUAUAAAAACCUCUCUUCAACAACUUCUCAGCCUCCUUUAUUGACUAGACAAAGCCGGGCAAAGCCAUUAUCUCUCCAUGGGAGCGCUUGGUAAUUUCUGUGACAACGAUUCCAUCUCUCUCUCUUUGAGAAGUAAAAGUUUCAAAUCCUAUUGAUUGCUACAAAACAAAAAUAAUUGGGCUUGAUAAAGCCUCUCAAACGCGUAUACGUCGAGAGCCCCUUUGUUUUGAGAAAAUAUUGAUUACAUUAGGGAGGCUAACUCAACAAAUUACUAGUUCAUUCAUUGAGCGGUACAUAUUGCGUCGGGCCCACCUUACAUUAAGUUUCCUCUCUCUGUCUUUUUGCUUUCCUUUUUUUGUUUUUUUUUUUUCCUUUAUUUUGUUUUUGGGUUCUUCUUGGCCAGACUAUGUUUUCUUCUCCGUUUCUCUCUUUCUGCCAUGGAAAUUCCCUUGGGACGGCAACAACUGAAGCAAGACCGAAGCAAGACCGAAGAAAGGAUUUAAAUGAUACAUUUGGGCUUGGACUUACUGUUUUGCUCUUAUUUGUUAUGGUUUGUAAGCCCAGUUAUUGAAACGUUAAUUAGGGAGAUAAAUCUAUUAGGUUGUUAUGUAUUGAUGCAAAACUAUAUGAAAUGAGAAUAAGGUGAGUUUGCUCGGUGGUAAGAAAAUUGAAUGGGAUGAGGCAAAUAAUUUUAGAACAAAAACGCACACAAACGCGUUUCUGUUUCUUUUUUGUUCCAGGAACAAAAAAACAAAAAAAUUGUUUAAAAACAGAAAAAAAAAAUGCAAACAAACGACAGCCUUAGACUUAUUCCAGUUGAUGCGGUCGGCUUCAUGAAAGAAUUCAAGUUGGAUAAAACCCAAGUCCUUUUUCUUUUUUAACCCGAGAAAAAAAUAAAUAGGAAAGUUCAAAGGCGUUCUUCCACUGUCCACUCCAGUGGCGGGGUAAAGGCAGGGACAUCAGUUCCUUUUAGUUAGAGCUACUUUGAGUAAAAGAACUGAUGUCCGUCCCUGCCUUCACCCAACGCGGCGCCAUGGAUCAUGGAAGUGAAAUAGCAGAGGAGUUGAUUUCACCCUUUGAAACCCACCCCCUCGCCACCCGCAUCGCCAUCUGCGGCCGCCUCCUGCAUUUCUUGUUGCUGCGUUUCGCUAAUCGGGCACCACCGCCUCGCGGCCCUGCUCCUUCUCGUGAUGGAACAACGCGCCUCCUCUUCCACUUCACCGGUUUGGCAUCAGUUAUUUCGCUCACGUGGUUGCUGCUCCAUGACUCCUUCCAUUCCGUCCUCUGGUUGUUCGUGCCGUUCCUGUUGCUUUCUGUGAAUCUGUUGCGUGGCCCCCAUUCAAAAACUUUGUCUGUGGUCUUACCGCAAACUUGUCCUCGUGACUAUCCGUGCGGCGCACUCUCAUGUAUGGCAUGGUGGAAGAGUGCAGCCACAUUUGCCAUGCCCGGCUGUGGAUCGGCAUUUCACGCCAGGAGUAGCACCGUAGUUGGUCGACUGUUCCCUGCUUGGAAAAAGUAAUUUUAAUUGUAUGACGACUUUAAAUCAAAUAAUUAGUACUUUAGGACGCUAGGCUAAUUUUGUAUAAGAUGCACUUGGGGCUUUCUUCUCUUUAUCUGAAAACAUGAGGAGUCCCCAAUCCUUCGGCAUCAUUGAGUGAUCCAAAUCAAAAUGAAAGAUGUCAGCUUUUUCAUCUCUGUCUCAUGUACACCACUACUACUUUCUACGUAUUCCGAUGAUAAUAUAGUUGUAGCUUAACAUUGCGGAAUAAGAGUCGUUACAUCAUAUAGUCUUCAUUUUACCUCUGAGAGCUGACAAUUAGAAAUUUGCUGUGGCAAACGCGUCAACUUGCAAUCUAAGACUACGUUGUCUCACUGGCUGAUUGGUUUUUGGCUGGGAGCUUGUUGCUUCAGUUGGACAUUCAAGUUGCCGGGGCCAACGUGAAAAAAGAAUGCUGAAUGUAGAUUUAUUUUUAUUUUUUUCAAGUGGCUUUAGUUCAAGAUAACUGAAUUUUGGCAGACUGUAGAUGUUAGAACAUAACUUUUCGAAUUGUCAUGUGCUGGAAAAAAAAUUUCCAGUUCAUGAAUGCAAAGCUAGAUAGAUAGUAUGCAGAAGCUCAAGACUUGUCUGUACAAACUACAGACAUCCAAUGUUCAUAUUUGUGGAAAGAAUUUAACCAGCAAGCUUCCUGAUAAAUUGAUUCAUAAUCAAAUUAUUCAUCCCAAUGUUAAUACUUCAAUAUAUGACACAAAGCACAAAAGUCUUCCAGUUCAAAAAUAUGAUUUUAAAUGUGUUUUCACUGCAGAGAACAACAAUCUUGGAUGUCAACUGAAGUAGUGAAUCCAAUUGACUUGCAUAAGAACGUAAGUUGAAACAUCAACCAGAAAGGCAGGUUCCCCUGACUACUGUAUUCUUUUCAUUUUGGUAAGACCCUCCUCAACUCUGCAACUACAUGCACUUUGCUUCCGGCUUUUGGAGACCAGCAUUGUGCGUCUUUUCUUGAGUACCUCCAAUUAUGUGCCCACUUUUUCCUGCAGUAAUUUUUUUCAUCUAGUUCAGCAACGGCAGGGUCUUUAGGUACUUGCACUAUUCCAGCAACUUGUAUUAAACACUAUUUGGUAUUAGCGCAUUUUCUGUUGAUUAUUACUUAUCAUGGAGAUGAGUCUAUAUAUAUGAUGUUAAAAAGGAACAUGGCUAUUCACCUCACAUGGCAGCAUCCUGUAUCCAAAUUUGGCUAAAGUCUGUUUAGCAAGAGAGCACUACUGUGAUUCAAGCGCACCAUGGUAAAACGAUUCAAUAUGAGUAGUCAAUGAGUGAGGGCACUGAUCAGAGUCAUGAGCACCUAGAUUCAUGCUCUGUCUUAUUGCAAAAGGCACAAUAGUACUACUCACUGGUAUUAUUCUUCAAUGAACAAAGCAUAAAGUGUGAGUUGAUGGAAGUUAGUGGCAAUAUUUUACUGUAGUGGAAGGCAAUCUGUGAUGAUUAAGAUUGCACUGCACACAACUGCAAAAACCGAACCUGCAAAAUUUACCAGACACUUCAUAGUGGCACAGUUUGGUAGAUUUAAAAUGGGAAAGAGUAAAUGCUUGUGGAGGUGAUGUUUCAAAGUGGGCCUUUCAAAAGUGCAUGGAGUGUCGAAGUCCUUGUCACUUCUUUGCAGUGAAAGACAGAGCGUCGAUGCUCUUCACGACAUACGUCAACAGUGCUCCUCCUGAUACGAGAAGAAAAAGGAUGUGCAGGGUGAGCAGGUUGUUGCAUCUGAGGCAAUUCAGCACAUAAUCUAUAGAGCAGAGAAGAGCAGCUCUGCUUUGCCUGGCGAUAGGCUAAACAUUUGACACAUUCAACACAAGCCUUGCACACACCAUCCUUCAUAUGACAGUUCCAGCGGCAGAGAAUGAUGGUGCAGUGGAGAAAGAAGAGGCAAUCAAGACAAUUAUAGACAGACCUCACCUAUAUGUUCCCUUCACAAGCUUUGCACUUGAUUUUGCAGUCGAGCUGCAUGUGGAAGACCAGUGGAUGCUGAUGGUCGAAAUGGUAAAAAACCGAGUCCUUAGAGCCUCCAGAAGCACAACGAGCUAUUCUUAGCUAUUCUGAUGAUAAUAAUGUUUGAGUUCGUCAUUGCAGAAAGACAGAUUGGUUACAUCAUAUAGUCAGCAUUUUACCUCUGAGAGGUGACAACUAGAUCUUUGUCCCAGCGAAUGCAUCAACAAGCAAAUAAGAUUUAUAAAGACAACGACUUCUUUUGUGAUGUAUCCUGUAUGUAUCCAGAAGCUCUUGGAUCUGAAUAAUGCAAUCUAAGACUAUUUUGUCUCACUGGUUGAUUGGUUUUCGUCGAGGAGCUAGAAUUGUUGCUUCAGUCAGAGAUUCAAGUUACCAGGGCCAAGGUGAGAAAAGAGCGCUGAAAUAUAGAUUCGUUUUUUGGGAGGCUUUAGUCCAAUGUAACCAAAUUUUGGUAGACUGCGGAUGUUAGUACUGAACUUUUCCCAUCUUCAUGUGCUGGAAAAGAAUUUGCAGCUCAUGAAUGCCGAGCCAUAUAGAUAGUAUGCAAAAGCUUGAGACUAAUCUGCACAAACUACGCACAUCUUAUAUUCAUUUUUCGAGGAAAUAAUGACCUGCAAGCUUCCUGCCAAGUUGAUUCAUAAUCAAUCUAUGCAUCACAAUGUUAGUACAUUAAUUCAUAACAUGAAGCAAACAAGUCUCACACUCAAAAAUAUGAUAUUUAUCUGCUUUUGCUGCAGAGAAUAACAAUUUCGGAUGUCUGAGUGUUAGCAGUGAUUCUGAUUGACUUGCUUAGGAACCUAAGCUGAAACAUCAAACAGAAAGAUUGUCUCCUGCCACCCCAAUUCUUUUCCUCUUGAUAAGUGCCUCCCCACCUCUGCAACUACAUGCGCUUUGCUUGCGUCUUUUUGAGACCAGCAUUGCCCAUUAUUUUUUUAGUACCUUCAGUUGUGUGCUCACUCAGUCCGCUUUUUCCCGCAGAAUUGCAAUUUUUUCAUCUUGUUCAGCAAUAGCAGGGUCUUCAGGUACUUCCAUUAUUAUUAUUUUUUUAAAAAUUGAUAUUACCGUAUUUUCUGUUGAUUAUAAUUUAUUGUGGGGAAUAAGUCUAUAUAUCAUGUUAAAGAAAGAAAAAAGAACCGGGCUUUUCACCACAUCACAAGGCAGCAUCUUGUAUCUCUUCAUUGGCUAAUGUCAGUUUAGUGAGAGAGCACUUCUGUGGUGAAAGCAUACCGUGGGUAAAACGCAUUCAAUAUGAGUAAUCAAUGCGCAAGGGCAUUCAUCGCAGCUGGAAGUACCUAUCUCAAAGGUCACAAUAAUGCUCACCGGCCUAAUCUUCGAUGGACUUAGUGUAAAGUGCGAGUUGACGGAGGUGAUGGUGAUCUUUUAUCGUUGGUGGUAAUUGUGGAAGGCAAUCAUGAUUGACAUUAAGACUGCACUGCACAAGAACAUGAAGGUUGAAAGUGCAAAAUUUACCAGACACUGCAUAGGAAGCGUGGGUCAGUAGAUCUAACAUAAGAAAGAGUAGAUGCUCGAGGUGGUGAUGUUUCAAAGUGGGCCUUCCAAAAGUGCAUGGAAUGUUGAAGUCGAAGUCACGUUCUGCGCAGUGAAAGACAGCGUCAAUUCUCUUCACCACAUGCGUCAGUGAUCGUUCCUUCCUGACAUGGGAAAAGUGGAUGUGCCUGGGUGAACGGAGUGUUGCAUGCCUGAGGGCAAUUCAGCACAUGAUUUCUGGAGCAGAAAAGAGCAGCUCGGCUUCAGGCAGUGACGGGCUAAACCUUUUCAUAUUCAUUACAAGCCUUGCCCGCACCAUCUUUCAUAUGACCUGGCUCCAGCGGCAGUGGAUGAGCGUGAAUUGCGGAAAGAAGAGGCAAUCCAGACAAGCAUAGAACUCACCUAGUAUGUUCUCUUCAUAAGCUUUGCACUAGAUUCUGGUUUCGAGCUUCACGUGGGAGGACACCAGUAGAUGCUGAUGGGCAAAAUGGAAAGACGGGGGUUGCUUCUCUGGGGUAGAUUCGGCGCAGCUCUUGUGAAUUAAGAAUAUGCACCGUGUAGCAACCAUAGACCUCGCAGGCUUUGCAUUUGAUUCGACUUUUGGCGCCGACAUGAUGGGCUGUGAGGAGAUGCUAAUGAGCAAAAUGUUGGAUGGUCACCUUCUUAGAAUCGUCGUCAGGCUUAGAGUUGUGACUAGGCAAACAAAGCUAUAUCGGGCCUUGCAGUAACGCUCAACCAUCCAACGAUCCUCCUCAUUGUAAUAUAUGGGCUUUAAAAAAAAAAAAGGAAAAGAAAGGGUUGAGAAGUCAAAAAAGGAAGCUGAGGGAGAACUGUGGAACCUUCUGCUGUUUUAAAGAGAGGAGAGAAGGAGGUCUUCAGCAGAAACGAAAAACAGGGGAACGAAAGAAACAGGGGAAAAGAGAGAAAGAAGAGAGAAAAAAAGGAAAAAAAUUUGGCACGUUUGUGAUCCGGACGCCUCAUCAAGCCGACUCAAGUGUGUUUUGCAAAGCCGGUAAGAAAUCGAAGCCUUUAAUCACUUACUUGAAGCAAUUGCCGCAAUUAGGGCUCAAAAUUCGGAUUUCUUGGAUAUUCCGAAUAUUUGUGUGGCGAAGCCCCAUUUUUGAGUCGUUGAGCUGUAUAUUUUUGUAGAAAUGGUACUUUGGGAUGUUGUGAAGCUAUAGCAUAUUUCGGAUCAUGAUUUAAGUUGCGGUUUGUCCGGAACGGAAUUUUGAAGUUGGGGGCGCAUUCUGGUACUGUAGCGAAUGGUAGCUUCAAGCCUCUUUUUUUUUUUUUUUUUGUACUGUUUUGGGGCGGCUGAGUUGGGGUUAUUGUUGUACAUUAAGAGAGCUUUCUAAAGACUGUAAGACGGCUUGAAACGGAUUUUUGUGAAGGAAGUUAUGGCGUGAUGAAGUUGGCACAUGGGCUGCACCUAGCGGGAAAUGUUGGGCGAGCUUUUAUGGCACAUAGGUGUCGUUUUAUCAACAAAUAGGCCUAGUAUAGACGAGUCGUUAUGCGAAUAUCCUUUUUACUUGGUUUUUUUAUAUUGUUUCCGUUAAUUGUCAGGAAUCCGAGUGCGUUGGUUCGAGUGAGCGUUGUAAUCGAUUUUUGGCUUUUCUCAAGUGAGUGAUGCUAUUUCUUCUUUGUAUUUUAAACUCAUGUUUUGAGCAACGGGGUGGAUUAUAUAUUCUAUGAGUUGAUAAAAAAGCAUAUUUUGUUGCAUAAAACAAGAUCAAGUUAUUACUGCCAUUUCGUUAUUUAAAAGACCGAGUUAUAUUUCGAAUUCAAUUUAAAUGGUUGUUUGAAAAAGGAUUUGUGAAAUCAUUUAUGAAAGAAUCUUGAAAUGUUUUGGAGAAUGUUUUGAUAUUUAUAUAUGUUGGAUUACUAAAAAUUGUGAUUGGCGAUUGAUGCUCAAUAUCUCUGUGGACCCUAAGGAGUGUGUGGGUAUGCGCAUACUAGUCUAGGAUAUCCUUGUGGGCCGAGCCACCGGCUAAUAAUAGGUGGAGACCUUGCUAAGGGGGGAAUCUUGAUCGUCUUGUCACGGGCGUUACGCGUAACCAUGGUCCGAUAGUUGAGCAUGAAUUGAUCAAUGGAGUGGACCAUUGAUGUGUGAUUUGCGUUUGGUCGAUGGAAUGGACCAUCGAUGUGAUUUGAUGAGAUUAAUCAAUGAAAUAAACCAUUGAUACAUGUUUUAUGAGAUUGACUAAUAGAUUGGACGAUUGGUAUCUUCGGUAUUUGAGUUAUGAUUAUAUAUUAUGUUAAAGUGAGUUACAGUUGUGUUUUAAAUAUACAUAAUGAUUUCUCGAUCCGCUUAGAAAAAAUGUGUUACUCACUUAGCCGUAGUAGCUCACUCCUCUUUUAUACUUGUUUUUCAAGUUCUUCAGCGAGUUGCGAGUAGGCGUGAGCAUUCGUUCGAGAAGGACUUUUGUGGUGGAAACUUUUUGGUAUGACUUGUGUAUAGUUAAUAGGGUUAUAAGUUAGUAUUUGUAAAAGGUUUAUGUUUUGAUUUUGUGGAUUAUAGAUAUACUCUGAUAUUGUAACCAAAUGUCAUUUUUGUCAUAUAUGUGUGUGUGUGUGAAUGUAUAUAUAUUGAUAUCAGGUUAAAUUUUGGUUAUGUUGAGGCUGUGUCCUUUGGUAAAAGGACGGCCAUGUCAUGCCUCUUUUUCUUGUGAAUUGGGGUGUGACACUCAUCGUCCGCCUACUAGGUGUUCAAGCAGGGGCUGUCAGUGAAACGGAUUUUUCUUGGGCGGACAGCAUGCUAAAUUCGGGGCGUGACUCGUGAAAGAAGAAUCGACACAAUUUACAGCCGUGGGGCUGAGCUGCAGAUCGGAGACCAGCACGCGAGACAUUCCCAACAAGUACAACCUUCCACUCAGGGUGAGGAGAUUCAAUGCCCGAUCACCAAGGCAAAUAAGGAAAUAAAAAGGCACUUUGAAUGGAGUUAUAGUUGCUGAGUGAUAUCAACAUGAAGCAAAGGGGGUGAAAUGAAUUGUGCCUCACUCCCGUAUUGUUUGAUGUUGUAUUUUGGUGCUAAUUUGUACAAUUUGUUAUAUUAUUUAUGCUUUAAUGCAAUAGUCAAUAAAACUCCAGUGGUCCAUGAAGUUUCAUUUCAUUUUUCAUUCAGUGUUCCGAAGAUUCAAUGCAUGAUCACCAAGGCAAAUUAGGAAAUAAAAAGGCGUUUUGAAUGGAGUUAUAUAGUUGCUGAGUGAAUAUCAACACGAAGCAAAUGAGGUGAAAUGAAUUGUACUGCACUCCCAUAUAAUUUGAUGCUGUAUUUUAAUGUUAAUUUGUACAGUUUUAUUUUAUUUUACUUACGGUUUAAUGCAAUAGUUAAUAAAAUUGAAUUGGCCCAUGAAAAGUUUCAUAUCUUGUUCCUUUUCCAUAAAUUAACUAAUAAAUAAAACCCAAACAUUGUAUAAGGCCAUAAAGGUGCAUUCACAUUCGUCUUAUGUAUACGUUAAUUAAAAAGUUGUUAUCCAACUUACUAUAAAGGAAUAAACGUUAUGAAAGUCCUAAAACUUGUCGCGAAAAUGUAAUUGAGUCCUAAAACUUGUCAAAUUGGUUCAAUCAAAUCCUAAAGUUAACACCUUUAAUCUUUUCUGUUAAAAAUGCUGACGUGACAUUUAAAAUUAAUUUUUAUUUUUUCAUGUGGCUUUUUUUUAAUUAUUUUUUAUUCAUUUUUAAAAUAGAUUUAAAAACUAAAAAAUUAGAUUUAUUCAUUUUAUCUUAUUUUCACCAAAAAAAAAGUGAAAAUUUAUUUUUAAAAAAUAGUUCCAAAAAAAAAAAAAAAAGCAACCUCGUCGGAGGGGCUAGCGAUAGUCGUUGGCCCUCGCCUAGCCAGAGCAACGCCUCACCUGAGCUUAGCGAGGGUCGCCGGCCCUCACCUCGACCCUCGCCAAGCUUGGGCGAGGGUGCCCAAAUCUAGGCACGUCGACCCUCGUGGGGGGCCGGCAGCCAUCGCCCAGCUUGGGCGAGUUGUUGUUGGCCCUCGUAGGGGGCCAGCGAUCAUUGCUCAGCUUGGGCGAUGCCUCAUCAGCCCUCGCUCGGGGCCGGCGAGGCUCGCCAGAUCUGGGCGAGGAUCGCCGACCCUCACGGGGGAUGGCAUGCCCAAAUCUAGGCACCCUUGCCCGAGCUUGGUGAGAGUCACCAACCUUCGCCUGGGGCCGAGUGAGGGCCGGCCACCCGCACCCAAGGCUGGCGACCGUCGUCAACCCCUCUGGUGAGGCUGCCAUUUUUUUUUUUUUUGAACUGUUUUCUUUUUUAAAUAAAUUUUCACUUUUCUUUUUUUUUUAAUUUUUAAAUCUAAUUUAAAUAUAAAAAAAUUUAAAAAACCACGUGGAAAAUAAAAAUUAAUUUUAAAUGCAACAUCAGCAUUUUUAACGGAAAAGACUAACAGUGUUAACUUUAGGACUCAAUUGAAACAAUUUGACAAGUUUUAGGACUCGAUUACACUUUUUGCAAGUUUUAUGACUCAAUUGCAUUUUCGUGACAAGCUUUAGAACUUCCGUAACACUUACCCCUACUAUAAAAGUAACUUACUUAAGACACUAUCGCAAUAACAGUCCUAUAAAUUGCUAAAAUAAAUGUCACUUGACAUAACUUAAUAGUCUAUAAAACUAUAUUCACCUUUUAUGUAAAACUCAUGUUUACAUUUGCUAUUAAAUACCAUUUGUACAAAUGGCAUGAACUGAAUCUACUUUUUUGUAGUUAUCAAUUUAUCCGUAAAUGUAUAUGUUCAGCAACAAUCUUGAAUCCCACAUUAUCAAAAAAGAGUUACUUACAAUACAAUGGUCUGUAGGCUAUGUUGAUAUGGUUGAGCAAAGUAGAAAUUUUAAUUAAACUUGUAAUUUCCUUUGAAAUCUUUGAAUACAACUCGAUUUCAUUUUCAAAAACUAAAUAAUUAUCUGCUUUGGUUAUCCUCAAAAACAAAUUAUAUAUCAAAGUUGUUGCAAGGCCGGUUCAUAUAUAUCCAAUCCACAACUUCAGCUAAGUUAAAUUGAAUUUAGAUACAUGGGUGAAAUGUUGGUGUCUGUAUAAACUAUGAAGACCAACCCUGGAGAACAUACCUAGAAAGAACAAAAUAAAAUGAAGAGGUUCUCUUCCGAGUAAUUAUAAAUAAACCUAUCCAAAUGAUAGAAUACAUUCAGAUGAAAUAAAGAUUAUAAUGCAUGCGCAUUUUUCAUCCAUGGUGAUCAUUUUCAUUCCACUCAUUUGUAUAUUCCUUUUGCUAAAAUUUUGAGUUUAUUAUACCAAUCAAAGUUACAAUUUGUAUGACCUUAAUUUUGAACUGGGUCACAUCCUUUUUCAAAGGCAAAAAAGAAGAAGAUAGAAUCUUCUCUUUUUAUCAUAUUUAUUCUCUCCUACUAGGGUGUGUGCCUGUAUAUACCCCCCCCCCCCCCGGCCGCAACUUUUCUAUCUCCUUUAUUGGCUUCUCUCUCUCUCUCUCUCUCUCAGUUUUCCAAAGGGUGUAAGGGGAAGCUUCAGUGUUCACAUAGGAUUGGUUGGACGAUGUGGCGUUACAUGAUGAUCCUAUGUCCAAUCGUAUAAGUUUCCAAAGGGUGUGAGGGGUUAGGGGAAGCUUCAGUGUUCACACAGUAUUGGUUGGACCAUGUGGCGUUACAUGAUGAUCCUAUGUCCAAUUGUAGGCAGAAAUAGGGAAGUUGGAAUUUUUUUGUUUUUUGUUUUUUUUUUUUUUAAGUUAGAGGUAGAAUUGAAACUAAAAUUAAAAUUUGGGAUUUUUUAAAAUAAAUUAGCCCAUAAAAAUUCAUGCCUCCAUCAACAAUCCAAGAUGUCUCAAACCGAAUAAAGUGCAAUCUUCCGUUAAGAUAGGAAUCUAUUUUUGCAAUAUUUUAGCAAGAAAAAAUGUUCACUACUUCAAAAGUAUUUUAGUAGAAUUUAGUAUAUCCAAUAAUUAUAGAAAUAGGCGACUUCAUGCAUAAAACAUGGCAAGACAUACCGAAAUAAUAGGAGCAACCUAAAUUGGACUCAUUCGGUGGGUCUAGGUAGUGACUUGAUGAGAGAAUGCUCAUGUCACGAUAUAUAAUUUGCUCUAUAAAUGGGUAAUUAGAAAAAGGGAUAGGUGGCUAUUAUUGCAUAAUGAAAUUGGUAAGAUUUUAAUGAAUUAGAGAAACAAUAAUGAUAUAUUGAGUAUGUUUUCAUUUUGUUGAUAUUGUGAAUAAGAUCUAUCCUUAUCUUUUGUCACACCUCAACUUUAUAGAAUAGAAAAAUCAACACCACCGUGCUCUUACUCAGAGGGCGGCAGAAGAACACCACAAGUGCCAUAACUUGGCACGCCGGGACACUUAAGUGCCAUAACUUCCAAACGGUACACUUAAGUGCCACUUUUUUUUUCAAGUGGGACACUUAAGUGCCACCUCCGGCGACCCUUGCCGGAAAUCAUACGUGGCACUAUUUUAUUACUAUUUUUGCCAACGUGGCUCGCCGGAGAGCUGAGUCGGCGCUCAGUCACCAGAAACGACGUCGUCUCCAUAAUAAAAGCCCCAAAUCUUCCAAAAACGACGUCGUCUCCCCAAAUGCCCCAAAUCUAAAACCCUAAAUCGGCCAAAAUCCCUAUUGAAGUGCUCGAAUUGAAGUCUCGAACCCUAAUUUUCAUUUGCCCAAAAUUCCUUCGUCGAAUCUUGGAAAUGGAGAGCAGGACUCGCAGCAGCGCCUCAAUUUCCUCUCAUCGAAGCGAAGGAGAAGGCCAGCGUUUCUGUUUUUGUGGGUUACCGAGUCCAAGAAGAACAUCGUGGACUCAAAUCAAUCCUGGGAGAAGAUUUUAUGGAUGCGCCCGAUAUAAAGAAGCGUCGAAGUGCAAAUACUUCAAAUGGAUUGAUGAGAAGUUCUCUGACCGAGCCACAGAGGUGAUAUUGGAUCUACUUCAUAAAAGACAGCAAUCUUCAUCUGUGUUCGUGGACGACUUGGACGAUGUUGACUCAAUGCAAGCUCAAGUGUCUUCAGUGAAACUUUCGAAGAAUGAAGUGUCAAUGCACGCUUAAGCAUCUUCAACUAAACCUUUCAAGAAUGAAGUCCCAAUGAUGAAGAUUGAACGAAAGUGUUACCAAGCGUGUAUUAUGGUGUUGUUUUGUUGUCUAUUGUACUUUAUGAUGAAAUGUAAAGUACUUGAGAAUGAGAAAAAGUUUCUGCGACUGCCAUAGUUAAAAAUGGUGUUGUUCUGGAUUAAACGUUGGGUUUUUUCUUUUUGAAAGAUGCGAAGAAGUUUGUGUUGUGGAACAAGAUCAUUGUUGCUUUGUUGUCGUUUGUGCUGUGGUAUGGACUUGCCAUAAGUUUACCAUCAUCUUCUCUGUUUUGAUGCAGAAUCAUCUUCUCUGUUUUGCAAUGCAGAAUCAUGUUCUCUGUUUUGAUGCAGACCGACAUAUACACAAGACAAACAUGAGUCAUUACCCGAGUGCCAUAAGUUGUAUUCAGUAAUCACGUAAGUGCUAGUCGCGAUGAAAAAAUGAUCACUUUAGUGUCAAGUUAUUGUUAAAGUGAUCGGUUAAGUGUCACUUGUAGUUAAAAGUGAACAGUUAAGUGCCAAGUUUUUUUAGAAUAGGAUCAGUUAAGUGCCANNNNNNNNNNNNNNNNNNNNNNNNNNNNNNNNNNNNNNNNNNNNNNNNNNNNNNNNNNNNNNNNNNNNNNNNNNNNNNNNNNNNNNNNNNNNNNNNNNNNNNNNNNNNNNNNNNNNNNNNNNNNNNNNNNNNNNNNNNNNNNNNNNNNNNNNNNNNNNNNNNNNNNNNNNNNNNNNNNNNNNNNNNNNNNNNNNNNNNNNNNNNNNNNNNNNNNNNNNNNNNNNNNNNNNNNNNNNNNNNNNNNNNNNNNNNNNNNNNNNNNNNNNNNNNNNNNNNNNNNNNNNNNNNNNNNNNNNNNNNNNNNNNNNNNNNNNNNNNNNNNNNNNNNNNNNNNNNNNNNNNNNNNNNNNNNNNNNNNNNNNNNNNNNNNNNNNNNNNNNNNNNNNNNNNNNNNNNNNNNNNNNNNNNNNNNNNNNNNNNNNNNNNNNNNNNNNNNNNNNNNNNNNNNNNNNNNNNNNNNNNNNNNNNNNNNNNNNNNNNNNNNNNNNNNNNNNNNNNNNNNNNNNNNNNNNNNNNNNNNNNNNNNNNNNNNNNNNNNNNNNNNNNNNNNNNNNNNNNNNNNNNNNNNNNNNNNNNNNNNNNNNNNNNNNNNNNNNNNNNNNNNNNNNNNNNNNNNNNNNNNNNNNNNNNNNNNNNNNNNNNNNNNNNNNNNNNNNNNNNNNNNNNNNNNNNNNNNNNNNNNNNNNNNNNNNNNNNNNNNNNNNNNNNNNNNNNNNNNNNNNNNNNNNNNNNNNNNNNNNNNNNNNNNNNNNNNNNNNNNNNNNNNNNNNNNNNNNNNNNNNNNNNNNNNNNNNNNNNNNNNNNNNNNNNNNNNNNNNNNNNNNNNNNNNNNNNNNNNNNNNNNNNNNNNNNNNNNNNNNNNNNNNNNNNNNNNNNNNNNNNNNNNNNNNNNNNNNNNNNNNNNNNNNNNNNNNNNNNNNNNNNNNNNNNNNNNNNNNNNNNNNNNNNNNNNNNNNNNNNNNNNNNNNNNNNNNNNNNNNNNNNNNNNNNNNNNNNNNNNNNNNNNNNNNNNNNNNNNNNNNNNNNNNNNNNNNNNNNNNNNNNNNNNNNNNNNNNNNNNNNNNNNNNNNNNNNNNNNNNNNNNNNNNNNNNNNNNNNNNNNNNNNNNNNNNNNNNNNNNNNNNNNNNNNNNNNNNNNNNNNNNNNNNNNNNNNNNNNNNNNNNNNNNNNNNNNNNNNNNNNNNNNNNNNNNNNNNNNNNNNNNNNNNNNNNNNNNNNNNNNNNNNNNNNNNNNNNNNNNNNNNNNNNNNNNNNNNNNNNNNNNNNNNNNNNNNNNNNNNNNNNNNNNNNNNNNNNNNNNNNNNNNNNNNNNNNNNNNNNNNNNNNNNNNNNNNNNNNNNNNNNNNNNNNNNNNNNNNNNNNNNNNNNNNNNNNNNNNNNNNNNNNNNNNNNNNNNNNNNNNNNNNNNNNNNNNNNNNNNNNNNNNNNNNNNNNNNNNNNNNNNNNNNNNNNNNNNNNNNNNNNNNNNNNNNNNNNNNNNNNNNNNNNNNNNNNNNNNNNNNNNNNNNNNNNNNNNNNNNNNNNNNNNNNNNNNNNNNNNNNNNNNNNNNNNNNNNNNNNNNNNNNNNNNNNNNNNNNNNNNNNNNNNNNNNNNNNNNNNNNNNNNNNNNNNNNNNNNNNNNNNNNNNNNNNNNNNNNNNNNNNNNNNNNNNNNNNNNNNNNNNNNNNNNNNNNNNNNNNNNNNNNNNNNNNNNNNNNNNNNNNNNNNNNNNNNNNNNNNNNNNNNNNNNNNNNNNNNNNNNNNNNNNNNNNNNNNNNNNNNNNNNNNNNNNNNNNNNNNNNNNNNNNNNNNNNNNNNNNNNNNNNNNNNNNNNNNNNNNNNNNNNNNNNNNNNNNNNNNNNNNNNNNNNNNNNNNNNNNNNNNNNNNNNNNNNNNNNNNNNNNNNNNNNNNNNNNNNNNNNNNNNNNNNNNNNNNNNNNNNNNNNNNNNNNNNNNNNNNNNNNNNNNNNNNNNNNNNNNNNNNNNNNNNNNNNNNNNNNNNNNNNNNNNNNNNNNNNNNNNNNNNNNNNNNNNNNNNNNNNNNNNNNNNNNNNNNNNNNNNNNNNNNNNNNNNNNNNNNNNNNNNNNNNNNNNNNNNNNNNNNNNNNNNNNNNNNNNNNNNNNNNNNNNNNNNNNNNNNNNNNNNNNNNNNNNNNNNNNNNNNNNNNNNNNNNNNNNNNNNNNNNNNNNNNNNNNNNNNNNNNNNNNNNNNNNNNNNNNNNNNNNNNNNNNNNNNNNNNNNNNNNNNNNNNNNNNNNNNNNNNNNNNNNNNNNNNNNNNNNNNNNNNNNNNNNNNNNNNNNNNNNNNNNNNNNNNNNNNNNNNNNNNNNNNNNNNNNNNNNNNNNNNNNNNNNNNNNNNNNNNNNNNNNNNNNNNNNNNNNNNNNNNNNNNNNNNNNNNNNNNNNNNNNNNNNNNNNNNNNNNNNNNNNNNNNNNNNNNNNNNNNNNNNNNNNNNNNNNNNNNNNNNNNNNNNNNNNNNNNNNNNNNNNNNNNNNNNNNNNNNNNNNNNNNNNNNNNNNNNNNNNNNNNNNNNNNNNNNNNNNNNNNNNNNNNNNNNNNNNNNNNNNNNNNNNNNNNNNNNNNNNNNNNNNNNNNNNNNNNNNNNNNNNNNNNNNNNNNNNNNNNNNNNNNNNNNNNNNNNNNNNNNNNNNNNNNNNNNNNNNNNNNNNNNNNNNNNNNNNNNNNNNNNNNNNNNNNNNNNNNNNNNNNNNNNNNNNNNNNNNNNNNNNNNNNNNNNNNNNNNNNNNNNNNNNNNNNNNNNNNNNNNNNNNNNNNNNNNNNNNNNNNNNNNNNNNNNNNNNNNNNNNNNNNNNNNNNNNNNNNNNNNNNNNNNNNNNNNNNNNNNNNNNNNNNNNNNNNNNNNNNNNNNNNNNNNNNNNNNNNNNNNNNNNNNNNNNNNNNNNNNNNNNNNNNNNNNNNNNNNNNNNNNNNNNNNNNNNNNNNNNNNNNNNNNNNNNNNNNNNNNNNNNNNNNNNNNNNNNNNNNNNNNNNNNNNNNNNNNNNNNNNNNNNNNNNNNNNNNNNNNNNNNNNNNNNNNNNNNNNNNNNNNNNNNNNNNNNNNNNNNNNNNNNNNNNNNNNNNNNNNNNNNNNNNNNNNNNNNNNNNNNNNNNNNNNNNNNNNNNNNNNNNNNNNNNNNNNNNNNNNNNNNNNNNNNNNNNNNNNNNNNNNNNNNNNNNNNNNNNNNNNNNNNNNNNNNNNNNNNNNNNNNNNNNNNNNNNNNNNNNNNNNNNNNNNNNNNNNNNNNNNNNNNNNNNNNNNNNNNNNNNNNNNNNNNNNNNNNNNNNNNNNNNNNNNNNNNNNNNNNNNNNNNNNNNNNNNNNNNNNNNNNNNNNNNNNNNNNNNNNNNNNNNNNNNNNNNNNNNNNNNNNNNNNNNNNNNNNNNNNNNNNNNNNNNNNNNNNNNNNNNNNNNNNNNNNNNNNNNNNNNNCACUAUUGUUUUCACAAACACUUUCGCCUCUUCGCCAUGAAGAUAAUGAUAUAAGACAUCCCUAAAACCAUUAUCAUCUUCCAAAACUCUCAAACCAUCUCUCAAGCCUUUCCCAGGAACACAGUACAGUAACUUUUGUACUCUACAAGGCAAAAUGUCACUAUAUUCCUAACAAAUCCAAUAUAAGAUGCCUUCUUUAUAUCUACAAAGAUAGUACCCUCAUUCCCCCCCUCAUACUCCCACUCAUCCUCCCCAAUCACAAAAUCUCCACCGUAGUAAACGAUGACAGCAACAUAGUCUUUAUGCGCCAUUUCUGCAACAAAAGAGGACAAAUAUACAAUUAACUAUUUUGGGACCACAUUCACAAAGAACAGACAAUUGCAAGUGGAGGUCCCCACACUCUUUAUUAAAGAAAAGAAAAGAAAAGAAGAAGAGAGAGGGAAGAUGCGGUCGUCGACAGCUGCAGCUUGAAAACAACAGGCCUCGGGACAAGGACAAAUAAAAAUUAAGAUGGGACCCGACAACUGCUUUGAUUAUGCCGUCGCAUUUCUUUAAAAUAUGGAGAGAUUCCUCAGCAUGGGUCCUCAACAAUGCAAUUUAUUAAACAAAUAUCCAGAAGUCCCCAUCCCCACAACCUUCGAUUCUCACAUGUGCAAAGUCCAAUACUCUGAACCCUAACAAUCACCAAUCAUCGCACAUUUCACAUCCGACCACUACAAAUUACUUUCGCACAUCACAAUUCAACACCCUGAAUGAAUCACACAUCACAGUGGAUGAGGCGACGUCGAGCCCUACACUGAGCCCUAAUUUCCCCCCCCUCGAGCCCUACACCGAGCCUAUAUUUCAAUGCCGCUCCUAAACUGUCAAUUUGAACCCCCCAAUAGGAUUGUAGCACUACAUCUCAGCCAUUAAAUCUCACAUCAAGCCUGACCUUUCCCAGCCGACCCCCAAAUUUGAAGUCCGAGCCCUAAUAAACGAGUCGGAGCCCUAAUUUCACCACAGGGGAGAGGAAGAAGAGAAAAAACCUGAGCAAAUCGACGACGGCGAGCGAUGACAGCGCUCGACGACGGCGACCGACGACGCCGACCGACGACGGCGACCGACAAAGGCGAGCGACGACGGCGAGCGAUCACCUGCGAACGGCGAGCUGUGAACGGCGAUGGAUGGAUGGAGAGGACGUCAGACCUACUGUGAACCGACAAAAUGUUAAAUUCCAAAUAAACGAACGACGUCGUUUUGUUUGGCCAAGUGCACAGUGGAUGGGGCGACGUCGUUUUCCUCCUCCACGUCUGCUUUUUUUUAAAAAAAAAAUUGCCACAUCAGUUAAGCUUGUCGCCGGAAAAUGCCACGUCUGCAUUUUGGCCGGUUUUUCGCCGGAUUGGCACUUAAGUGUCCCAUUUUACUCCGAUGAUGGCACUUAAGUGUACCAUUUUAAAGUUAUGGCACUUAAGUGUCCCGGCGUGCCAAGUUAUGGCACUCCAGGUGUCCCGACCUCCUCAGAGGGCAUAGCCUCAAUUACAAACUAAUGUAAACAUGUUGUCAAAACAUACAUUCAUCUAUGUACUUGAUAGAACAGUGAGUUGGUGACAUAAUCAAGAAUUCUGAAAUUCAUAAAAAAGUGUAUCUCCAAACUCAAUUAAACUCCACAAAUAUCAUCUCAAACAUAUACAAAUAUCUAAACUCAUGUUUAAAACGCAACUGUAAAAAAUUUCCCGUCGAUAAUGCUCACAUCCUACUUUAGCUGAAGAAAUUUAAAAAGAUUUGGAGUAAAUAGUGUCAGCAAUCACAAUUUUGUAAAUAACCUAAUUUUUUCCUAAGCAGAUCGAGCAUAAAUUGUGCAAGUAUAUAAAGUAAUAUUAGAGACUCCUUUAUCCAAAUCUAGUAUCUAAUGUACAACAAAACCAAAUAUGAGUAAUAUUAUUUCAAGCUUUAUACUUAUUGAAAAUAUUCAUUCAAAUUUCAAAUAUCAAAAGAGCAGUAAACGGUUUGUCUAGUUUUAUGCAGCAAAUAUAUUUGAAACAUUACUUUCUUGUUUUUACAAAAUUAUAUCGUGCAAUGCCUUUUACAACUUCUAAUAUGUCAAACCCAUAUCACUUUCAAGAUAUGAGUUCACAAAUUCGUGAAAGUUCACAGCUCACCCCUAACCAAAAUCCAAAUCAAAGGUUACGCUCUCAGAAAGUUUCAAAGUCCUAUCAAAGAUUAACUAAAUGUCAAACUUACGUAUCAACUAAAAUUGACUAAAAUUUUAGUCGGUGAUACCAUAUUCUUGAGUCAAGAAACCUAUGAACAGCUACUUGCCAACAGAGUUGACCUCAUCUUAGAACUCUAAUUUAAGCAAGCUUACUUUCAAUAGAAAACUCUAGAUAAGGCUUGGGCUGGCAAUGCUUUGAUGAGGUCGCUAACCCUUGACGAGGUUGCUGACCCUUCUCUAGUCGAUUGAUGGCCAUGGCCAGCAACAUGCUAAAUGAAGAAAAAGAAGAGGAAAAGGAAAAAAGAAAAAGAAAAGAAAAAUGUAAUAAAUUAUUUAAAAUUUAACAGAAAUUCUAAAUUACUCAAGAUUUCGAAAGUCGUAUCAAAUGCAUUUCUAUUUCAAAAAUAGAAAUUUUAAAUAAUUACCAAACAUCUUCUAAUAUUAAGAAACUCUCCUAGGGAAUAGAAUUAGAAAACGAGAGUAGAAUAAUUACCAAACACAUAUUAAGAAAUCAUAAAACCAAAAGAUGGUCAGAGAAAGGCGAAAUCCGUUGCCAAACACAGUAAUUCAAAAAUUAUAUCUUACUAGUGCGCAAAACUUUAAAAAUUUAUCCCGAUCAAACCAUAAACUUUAGAAUGGGGGAGGGGAACGUGGCACGUGGUAGUCGAGCCCAGUGCGUUACGUUUUGGAUCCAGUCUCCAAAAAUAGUAGUAAUGCAGCCCACGUUGUUCCCCUUGCUUCGCCAUCACUAUCACAUGCGUUCGAGCCCAAGUUGCUGCUGGCCCAAGCCAUCUCCCAUCUUAAAGAGGAAUUUUUGUUCACAAGGUUGCUGAGUACAAGGACAAAAAAAGGAAAUGGUAGUCGUAUUCGAUUGCGGUAUCUAUCUUGUUCUUUUUCUUUUUCUUUUUCUUUUUCUUUGGGGUUCUUCUUGGCCAGGUUUGCUCUAGUAAUUCCGUUACCACAGCAUCAACUGAAGCAAAAAUAAAGAAAAGGCUUUAACGAGACGCUUGGGCUUGGGCUUACUGUUUUGCUCUUGUUCAUUAUGUUUUGCCAGCCCGGUUAUUGAAACUUUAUUCGUGCGCAUGAAUCUUCCAGGUUAUUGCCUUUUGAUGCGAACCAUGUCAGACAAGGGCGCACUCUGCUGAGAAAAGAGAGGAGAGUUCAAGUGGGACAGAAGAAAAUCCUUCUUUCUUUUCUAAUCCAAGGAAAAAUAAAUAGGAAAGUUCAAAGGCUUUCCUCCACUCCAGUGGUGGAGGUGAAGGCAGGGACUGCAAAAUGGAAUAAAAGACGACAGUCUGAAGCCGUUAAAAAGUGGAGAAGUCUCCACUUUUUCACAGCUUUCAAAGUCACAGCUUCAAACUGUGGUAUUUAAGAACCACCAGGGAUGUCCCUGCCUUCACCCCUCACGGCACCAUGGAUCUUACGUCUAUCGUCUCUAUCCUGGCCGACUUCAUUGAAGUGAAAUACCAGGGAAGUUAAUUUCGCCCUUUGAAACCCACCGCGUCGCCACUGGUGUCGCCAUCUGCAGCCUGCUCCUGCAUUUCUUUUUGGAGCGUGUCACUAAGCAGGCACCACCUUCUCGCAGCCGUGCUCCUUGAGAUGGAACAGCACGCCUCUUUUUCCACUUCAACGGUUUGAAAUUGGUGUUUUCACUCGCGUGGUUGCUGCUCCAAGACUCCUUCCACUCCAUUCUCCGGUUCCUGCUGCUCCUAGUGCUUUCCGUGAAUCUAUUGCACGGCCCCAUUCAAAAACUUUGUCUGCGGUUUUACCACAAACUUGUCCUCAAGAUUAUCCGUGUGGCAAGGUCUCGUGCAUGGCGUGAUCGAAGAGCAUGGCCAUUUUCGCCGUACCCGGUCGUGGAUCAGCGUUUCAUGCUGGAAGUCUGAGCGCUGGAGAGUUGUGACUAGGCAGACGAAGCGAUGUCGGGCCAUGCGGUAAGGCUUGACCAUCCGAAUGCCGAGAAGGAAGCCUGCUCAAAUGCAUGGCAACUAGGACGAUCCUCCCCAUUGUCCGCCUACUAGGUGUUCAAGCGGGGGCCGUGGGCGAAACGGGUUUUCUCGGGCGGAAAGAAUGCUAAAUUCGGGGCUCACUCCUGAAAGAAGAAUCGACACAAGUUACAGCAGUGGGGCUGAGCUGCGGAUCGGAGACCAGCACGCGAGACAUUCCAAGCUAGCUUAACCUUCCGCUCAGGUUCCGGAGAUUCAAUGCAUGAUCACCAAGGCAAAUUAGGAAAUAAAAAGGCGUUUUGAAUGGAGUUAUAGUUGCUGAGUGAUAUCAACACGAAGCAAACAGGAUGAAAUUGUUAAAAUGGAUGUAACUUGACAUAACUUAAUAGUCUAGAAAUCUAAAUUCACCUUAUAUCUAAAAGGAAUGUUUACAUCUGCUAUUCAAUAUAAUUUGUACAAAUGGAAUGAGCCAAAUCUACCUUUUUCUAGUUAUCAAUUUAUCCCUAAAUGUGCAUGUUUAGCGGCAAUCUUGAAUUCCACAUUAUUGAAAAACAGUUGCACAUAAUAUGAUGCUUCGUAAGUUAUGUUGAUAAGGUUCACCAAAGUAAUUACAAUUAAACUUGCAAUUUUAUUAUCUUUGAAUAAAACUCAAUUUCAUUUUCAAAAAUUUAAUAAUGGUCCACAUUGUUUACUCUUGAAAACAAAAUAUAGAUCCAAGUUGUUACAAACCCAAUUCACAUAUAUAACCUACGACUUCAGCCAUUUAAACUUAAUUUAGAUCCAUUUGUAUAAAACAAUGAAGACUAAGAUCUAGGAGAACAUUUCAAGAAAGAACAAACAAAACAGGGAAGUACUGUGACAGCCCAAGCGGCGGUGUGCGGAGAGAAGGGAUGGUGGUGCAUCCGCACCUCGGUUUCUGGACGUGCGCAAGGAAGAGGUUCCUGUCUUGUCCCACAUCGCUUAGGGGAGAGUCCUGGGCUAGCUUAUAAGGCUUGAGUCCAUCUAACUGUACACACUCUACCCUUGCAAUACGCAUUUUCUUGGGGUACUAUAGGCUGCCCCGAGAAGAACAAAACCAUGAGGACUCAGUAUCCAAAGUGGACAAUAUGUGUACAGUCCCACAACAUGUGGGGCCAUAGCGAUGACACUAUGCUCCUAAGGGGUGGAGAGUGUGACAGCCCAAGCGGCGAUGCGCGGGGAGGAGGGAUGGUGGUGCGUUCGCACCUUGAGAGAGGCUGCGCGACUCUGAUGGAGGGCGUAUGUACCAAAAGAGGACAAUAUAUUGGCUUGAGAAAGGGAUGGCGGUGUGUCCAUGCCUCUGCCUCUACAAUACACGUUUAGAUCACCAUCAAAAUUCAAAUAUCAAUGGUCAAGUACAUUGUAUAAUCUCCAUCAAAAACACAUAUCAAUGAUCUAUCCAUUGAUUUAUCUCAUAUCAAACACACGUUGAUGGUCCAUCAAUCAACCAAUCUUUUUCUCAAUAUUUAACCAUAGUCACUACUCAACGCCUUGUGACAAGGCGACCAAGAUUCCCUCCUUGGCAAGGUCUUCACCUAUAAAGCCGGUGGCUCGGCCCAGAAAGAUAUUCUAAACCUAAUAUGCAUAUCCCAAAAACCCCUCACUGGGUUCACAGUCAUAUUGAGCAUAAAUAAUCAUUCUCCAAUGCCAGAAAUCCAAUCCAUAAAUCAAUAGCUUAAACCAAACAAAUAACAUUUGCGGCAUAGUCCAUCAUCCAUUUCAUAUCAAUUUCUCAAAUCAUCAUAAACAUUUCCAUAAAUCAAUCGCAAAGAAUAUAUAUUACCACUCACCUCGUCGUCUACGACCAAACAACAAAUGAUACUUGUAUGGUCAAACUCAAGUCCCUAUCAAAUAAUCGAGGAAUAAUGUUAAAAUAUAAUAAAACUCUAUUUCAACUAUGAAACAAUUAAAUUACGCCUUAAUUCUACCAAAAGGACUUCCACGUUCUAACAAAUCGCAUAACCAAGGCGAUUGUUCAAGCCAUUCACAACACGGAGUUUAAGCACAAAACUUGAUCGCACAUUAACUUUCUCCUUCGAAUCCCGAACCGAAUGUACUUAUAAUCAAUAGAGAGCCCUUCACACAUAUUACAAGAAUCCCAACUUGACCGUCCCAAAAUCAAGCCAAAAAAUGACAAAAUACGGGCCCAAAGCUGCUGGACACGUAUUGCUCACUGCGCACGGGAAACUUUGAAAUUUUGUUUCGGACAAACCAUAAGCUCAAAUCAUGAUCCGUAAACUCUCACAGCUCCACAAUACCCUAAACUACCAUUCCUACAAAAAUAUGCGGCUCAACAACCCCAAAAUCGGACUUCACCGCUCAAUUUUCCAAAAAUUCCGAAUUUGAGUCAUAAACCCAUAAAUUACUUCAAUUGGACGAAUGAGAGGCCUAAUCUCUUACCGGGUGCUGCGUUAUGGAGUCGAGUCGGCUUGCGAGGCAUCCGUGGCGUGCACGUACCAAAACCCGUUUCAUUUCUUCCCCUUUCUCUUCUUCUUCUUCUUCUUCUUCUUCUUUUCUUUCUUAUCGAGGGACCUCUCAGCUUCUAGGCAAAAGAACGCUUCAAGUGCCAUAACUUUGGCCAAAGGGACACUUAAGUGCCAUAACUUACGAAAGGUACACUUAAGUGCCAAAUUCGAAAAAAAACGGAUCACUUGAGUGCCACUCCGGCCAAAGUCCGGCCAAAACGCCAACGUGGCGUAUUUCCGGUGAAGCGCGCCCAAAACGACACCGUUUUGCACGCUGACGUGGCCAAAACGGCGUCGUUUUGGGCCGACGUGGCAAAAAGAAAAUUAAAAAAUUAAUUAAAUUAAUUUUAAAAUUAAAUUUAGUUAAAAUAUUUAAAAAUAAUAAUUUUAAAAUUAAAUUUAUUUAAAAUGUUUUAAAAAACUUUAAAAACCUUUAAAAGUAUUUUUAAAAAUUAAAAAAUUAAAAAUUAAAAAAAAAAAAAAGGGAAUGGGGGGAGGCGGCUGAGGGAUCAGCCCUCAGCCGCCGCCGCCGCCGCCGCCGCCGCCGCCGCCCCGCCGCCGCCGGGAAGGGCCGGCGACGNNNNNNNNNNNNNNNNNNNNNNNNNNNNNNNNNNNNNNNNNNNNNNNNNNNNNNNNNNNNNNNNNNNNNNNNNNNNNNNNNNNNNNNNNNNNNNNNNNNNCUUAGCCGCCUCCCCUGUUCCUUUUUUUUUUUUUUUAAUUUUUUUAAUUUUUUUAAAAGUUUUUUAAAUUUUAAAUAUUAUUUUUUAAAAUAUUUUAACUAAAUUUAAUUUUAAAUUAAAUUUAAUUAUUUAUUUAUUUAUUUUGUUCCACGUCAGUCGAAACGACGCCGUUUUGGCCACGUCAACGUGCAAAACGGCGCCGUUUUGGCCGCGCUUCGCCGGAAAAACGCCACGUUGGCGUUUUGGCCGGAUUGGCACUCAAGUGAUCUCUUUUACUCCGAUUUUGGCACUUAAGUGUACCUUUCGUAAGUUAUGGCACUUAAGUGUCCCUUUGGGCAAAGUUAAGGCACUUGAGGGGUCCGCACGUCCAGCUUCUAUUUAGCUGAGCCCUCUCCCCUCUCAUUUUUGCUUUAUUGACUUUUCAACUUCUUUUUAUUUUUCUUCUUUCGGGGCCCACUAGCCUAAUAUUACAUUCUACCACCUAUAAGGACCCGGGCCUCCACUGUACACAUAUUGUCCGCUUUGGACACUAAGUCCUCACGGUUUUGUUCUUCUUGGGUAGCCUAUACUACCCCAAGAAAACGCGUAUUGCAAGGGCAGAGGUGCAGACGCACCGUCAUCCCUCUCCCAAGCCAGUAUACUGUCCUCUUUAGGUACAUACGCCCUCCGCCAUCCCUCUCCCAAGCCAAUAUAUUGUCCUCUUUAGGUACAUACGCUCUCCAUCAAAGUCGCGCAGCCUCCCUCAAGGUUUUGUUUCCUAUGGGUCACCUACACUAACAAGGACGCACCUCCAUCCCAACAACGGUUUUUUUCCUCAUAACGCGUAUGUACAGUUAGAGGGACCCAAGCCUUAUAAGCUAGCCUAAGACUCCCCCCCCCCCCACUAAGCGAUGUGGGACAAGAGAGGGACCCCUUCCCUACAUACGUCCGGGGACCGAGAUGCGGACACACUAUCAUCCCUCCUCCCCGCGCACCGCCGCUUGGGCUGUCACAAGUACUCUUCCAAAUAAUAAUAAGUAAACCUAUCUAAAUGAUAGAAAGAACUACAUUUGGAAAGAGAAAAACCAGAGCUGUGUAGAGCUCAUAUCAAAAGGUUCUUGGAAGCUGUUCUAUUCUAACCUAACUUUAUUAGGAGCUAUAAUUGUCGGAUUGUAAACCAAAUUCUAGUGGUACAAUUGCUUUAGCUGCUACUAUCACCAGUAGCAAAAAAAGCCAUGGAAAGGUCAAGAGGUACAUUACAUACUUCAAUACACCUGAAACAAGUAAAUUGCUACGAAUAUCAGAACUCCUGGAUCAAAGGCAAGAGGAGAAUAAAAAAACGCUAUGUGGCCAUAGCAAAACUAAUUGCAAGUUAACAAGGAACAUGCGAGAGCAAUUUAGCAAAAAUGUUGUAGUGCUAGUUUCGGGAAAUAAAACACAUUCAGAGAACGUGAAGUAUCCUGGAAUGUCUCAUUCUCUCUUGUUGUUUGCACAACAUAUUUGAAGAAUCAUAAUUUAUAGCUUAAUUACGAAAAUUCCUCCAAUUAGAUAAAUUAAAAUUGUUGCUACCAAAUAUAGUUAAUCAGUCUUGUUGAGCUCUCUCAAGCGUGCAUAGAGCGAAAGCCCCCCUUUGUUUCCACUCUCUUUACUCGAUUUCUCCGAAUUCUGCUUUCCUUCCUUCUUUCUUUUUUUAUUCUUCUUGGCCAGGCUUUGUUUUCUUUCUUUCUACUCUUGUAAUUUAUCUUGCAAUGCAGCAAGACUGAAGAAAGGGCUAAAACGAGACACUCAGGCUUGGACUUAAUGUUUUGCUCUUAUUUAUUAUUUUUUGCAAGCCCAUUUCUCGGAACUUCAUUCAUGAAGAUAAAUCUUUUAGGUUAUUAUGUACUGAUGGAUCCUAUGUGGAGUAAGGAUAGGUCACUUGAAAUUAAAGUUGGGCACAUAACUUUUUUUUAAUAAGAAAAAUGUCAGAAAAAUUCUAAUUCUAUUGUAUUCGUGUCAAUUUGACCUAGUAUCAAUUUAAUCAUCUCAACUAAUUUUGAUAAGAAAUUACUGACACGGAUAUUGGCUAUCCUGCAUGACAUGCCUACCCUAACAUGGAUAAUUUUUUUUAAUAAUAAUUCAAUAUUUUUUAUUUACUGUUAUUAUUAUUAUUUUCUUUUUUUUCUUCAUUCUUUUUUGCCAUUGUUGGGCGGGCUGGCGUCACCUAGGCGAGGGUUGCCAUCACCCACCAUUGGUGAGGCCUAGCCAAAAGAGAGUGAUCCCAAUCAAGCUUGUCACUUCGUAUCAUUCCUGGAAAAGGUUGAGCCCUCACCUGUGACUAGGCGAGGCCUUGCAAGAGUCAGCCUCAUCCAUGCCAGACUUGGUGAGGUCAGCUUGCUUGGUCAUUGCCUAUAACCAGCAAAAGGAAGAAGAAAGGAAAAAAGAAAAAAAAAUAGAAAAAAGAUAAAUAUAUAUUAUAUUAUUAUUUAAAAAUUUCCACGGCCCAAAUCACUUUUUGGUGUCCGGGAAGGGAAUCAAGGUCCGCAGACAUCCAAAUUGACUUUUGGUGUCUUGUAUCAAAUUUUGGAGUCCAGUGUUUCGGCAAAACAUCGCACCAAAAAUGAAUUUGGAUGUCUACAGACCAUAGCCAAAUCACCGCAUCAAAAGUGAAUUUGGAUGUCUGUGAACCAUGAUUCCCCUCCGUAUAAAUAGAAGUAUAAACGAUGCUCCUGUCGUCACCCCUCACAACUCCAUGGAUCUUACCUCCAUUGUCUCUAUCCUGGUCAACUUCAUCCAAGGGAAACACCAAAGGAAGUCGCAUUCACCCUUUGAAACCCACCCCAUCGCCACCCGUGUCACCAUCUGCAACCUGCUCCUGCAUUUCUUUUUCGGGCAUGUCACUAAUCCGGCACCACUAUCAAGCGGCCCUCCUCCUUCUCGUGAUGGAGUAGCACACCUCCUCUUUCACUUCACCGGUUUGAUAUCGGUGUUUUCGCUCGCGUGGUUACUGCUUCAUGACUCCUUCCACUUCGUCCUUUGGUUCGUGCCAUUCCUAUUGCUUUCCGUGAGUCUGUUGCAGGGCCUCAUUCAAAAACUCUGGUUGUGGUUUUACUGCAAACUUCUUCUCAUGAUAAUCCGUGCAGCACGCUCCCACUUAUGGCAUGGUGGAAGAGUGCAGCCACAUUUGCCAUUAUCUAACAUAAAAACUAAUCAAACCGAUUUACAAUUUUCAUUUUUUUAAUUAAAAAUUAAAUAUAAUAUAUAUUAUCGGUAGUCCGGGUGGACGGCUCCACGUCUAAAAUGAGAACCAAACCAAUUUCCUUAGAAAUCAUUGGUUCUCGGGCUAUCUAGACAGUUUUUGAUUCAUUUGCAUGACCCUAUUCCUCGUCCUCUACUGUGCUUUCACAUGGCCUCCACCCAUUUCUCUCUCCUCUUUAAAAGUUUCCACAAAUAUUCCUCCUCAAUACCUUGUUUUUUCUGCUCAAAAAGAUUAUAUUUAUGAUUCAAUUUGGAUGAAAUAAAGAUUAUAAUGCAUGCACAUUUUUCAUCUAUGGCGUAUCAUCUUCAUUCCACUAAUUUGUAUGUUCCUUUUGCUUAAAUUUUGAAUUUAUUAGACUAAUCAAGGUCCUACGUUGUUUAACCUUUUUCAGAGGCAAAAAAAAGAAAAAGAGAAGAAGACAAAGUUCUCUCUUUUUAUUUAUUCUCUCCUGCUAGGGUGUGCACGUGUAUGUAUAUAUAAACCUCUCUUCAAAAACUUCUAAGUCUCCUUUUUUAACUAUCCCAAUGUAGUUUCUUUGUGAACAAGACUUAGGGCGUCACGUUUGGUAACCCUUCUAUUCCUGAGAACAAUUUUUGAUCAUAAAUUAUUCUUUUUUAUUCCGUUCCCGAAAUCUAAAUAUUUUAAGUAGUUUGGUAACUAUCCAAAAUUUCAAUUCCCGGAAUAUAAUUAUAUUUGGCACUGUUCUCAAAAUUUCUACUUCAAAUCAUUUUCUUUUAAUUUUUAAAUAAUUUUAUUACUUUUUUUCUUUUUUCUUUUUUUUUUCCUUUCUUCUUCUUGGCCACAUGAGGGCCAGCAACCUCACCGGAGGUCGAGCCUCGCCCAGCCAAGCGAGGCUCGCUGAUGGCUGGGGAGGCUCGGGCGAGGCCUCCUUGGCCACCGACGAGGCUGAGGCUCACCGAUGGCUAGGCGAUCCUCCGAUGAGCUUGCCGGACUUUACCCAACUGGUUGACGGCGCACACCCUACCAGGAGAGAAUAAAUAUUAUAAAAAGAGAGAACUUUGUCUUCUUCUUCUUCUUCUUCUUCUUCUUCUUCUCGAUGAUGGCUGGGGAGGCUCGAGCGAGGCCUACUUGGCCACUGGCGAGGCUGAGGCUCACCGGUGGCUAGGCGAUCCUUCGAUGAGCUUGCCAAACCUUACCCAACUAGUUGCCGGCGACCAGUGACCGACGGCAAUGGGUAGCGAGCGGCGGCAGUGGCGGUGACGACAGUUAAAGAAGAAGAACAAGAAAAAAGAAAAGAAAAGAUAGAAAAUAAGUUGGUUGAUUUUAGAAUUGUUCCCAGGAACAAAGAAUCAACUCUUUUUUUAUUUCUCGAUUUUGUUCCAAGUCUAUUUCCGUGAACUAAAAAAUAGAAAUUUGUUCUCGGGAACAAAAAUUUUACCAAAUGGAUUUGUGUUCCAAAUCUAUUUUCGGGAACAAAAAAAAAUAUAAAUUAUCACUAUUUGGCAAGUUGCCAAACAAACCCUUAGUCAUCAAAUUUUCACUCAUGCCCUUCCCUGUUCCUUCCCCCUUUUUACUCAACCCUCAUCCCCUACUGUGCUUUCAUGUGGCCUUCCCCGAUUUCUCUUUUCUUUAAAAGUUUCAACAAAUAUUCCUCCCCUAUACCUUGUUUUUUCUAUUUUCUCAAAAAUAUGAUAUUUAUGAUUCAAUUUAGAUGAAAUAAAGAUUAUGAUGCACACGUAUUUUUCAUUUGUGAUGUAUCAUCUUCAUUCCACUAAUUUCUAUGUUUCUUUUGCUAAAAUUUUGAAUUUAUUAUACUAAUCAAGGUCCGAACCUUGAUUUGAACUGGUUCAAGUCCUUUUUUGAGGCAAAAGAAGAAGAAUUCUCUCUUUUUAUCAUAUUUAUUCUCUUCUACUAGGUAUGCACACAUAAACCACUCUUCAAAAACUUCUGAGUCCCCAUUAUUGACUACACCUCUCUCUCUCUCUCUCUCUAUGUUUUCAAUCUCAUUUAUUGAAUCAAACAGAGCCAAAUAAUCUCUCUCUCUCUCUCAGAGUUUCCCAAGGGGAGGCUUGGAUGCGACCGCAACAAUGGUUGGACCAUGUGGCAUCAAAUGAUGAUCCUAUGUCCAGGUGCGCGUCGUAUGAGAUCUUAAUUAAAGUUGCGAAUUUUUUUAAAAGAAAAUGAAGGCAGAAUGAGAUUAAAAUUAAAGUUGGGCAUCUUUUCAGGAAAUUAGCCCAUAGUUCCAUCAACAAUCCAAGGUGUCUUAAACCUAUUUUCACAAUAUUUCAUCGAAAAGACAUCCAGCUGCUUCAAAAGUAUUUUAGGAGGAUUUAAUAUACGCAACAAUCAUAGAAAUAGAUGAGUUCGUGGUUAAAACAUGGCAACAAACAAAUGUUCAUGUCGCAAUAUAUAUUGCGAACUAUGCUAGGGGUGAGGAUAAGUCAUGGGGAAAAGGUUGGCCAGAUCAAGGCCUCUUUAAUGGAGAAAAAUGUUAGAAAAGUUUUAAAUCUAUUUCAUUUGUGUCAAUAUAAUUUUAAACCUUUAAAUUAUAACAAUUUAAUCAUAAUUUUUUAUUAAUUCAAUCAUUGAGACUAAUUUUAACUGAAAAUUACUUAUAUAAACGCCAACUAUUCAACGUGACUCAACCGGGCAGGUUGGCCUCACUUAGGCGAGGAUCACCGGCCUGACCAGGCGAGAGCGAUCCUCGAUGAGGCCGCCUUGGCCUGGGCGAGGGGAGCCCUCGCCCUCACCCUCACCCUCGCCUAGGCUAGAUUUGGUGAGGCCACCCCGCUCAGCCAUUGCCUAUGAAUGGCAAAAAGAAGAAUAAAGGAAAAAAAAUUGUAAAAAAUCGAAAAAAUAUUAAAUUAUUAUUCUAUUUUUUUUCCAACCGUCCACAUAAGCAAUAUUCAGACAAAAUUAAUCGGAAUUAAUAAAUUGGCACAAUUAUAAGAUUUGUGGCUAAAUUUGGAUAAAUGCAAUAGGCUUAUGGUUUUCUUUGGUACUUUUCUUCCUUUUGANNNNNNNNNNNNNNNNNNNNNNNNNNNNNNNNNNNNNNNNNNNNNNNNNNNNNNNNNNNNNNNNNNNNNNNNNNNNNNNNNNNNNNNNNNNNNNNNNNNNNNNNNNNNNNNNNNNNNNNNNNNNNNNNNNNNNNNNNNNNNNNNNNNNNNNNNNNNNNNNNNNNNNNNNNNNNNNNNNNNNNNNNNNNNNNNNNNNNNNNNNNNNNNNNNNNNNNNNNNNNNNNNNNNNNNNNNNNNNNNNNNNNNNNNNNNNNNNNNNNNNNNNNNNNNNNNNNNNNNNNNNNNNNNNNNNNNNNNNNNNNNNNNNNNNNNNNNNNNNNNNNNNNNNNNNNNNNNNNNNNNNNNNNNNNNNNNNNNNNNNNNNNNNNNNNNNNNNNNNNNNNNNNNNNNNNNNNNNNNNNNNNNNNNNNNNNNNNNNNNNNNNNNNNNNNNNNNNNNNNNNNNNNNNNNNNNNNNNNNNNNNNNNNNNNNNNNNNNNNNNNNNNNNNNNNNNNNNNNNNNNNNNNNNNNNNNNNNNNNNNNNNNNNNNNNNNNNNNNNNNNNNNNNNNNNNNNNNNNNNNNNNNNNNNNNNNNNNNNNNNNNNNNNNNNNNNNNNNNNNNNNNNNNNNNNNNNNNNNNNNNNNNNNNNNNNNNNNNNNNNNNNNNNNNNNNNNNNNNNNNNNNNNNNNNNNNNNNNNNNNNNNNNNNNNNNNNNNNNNNNNNNNNNNNNNNNNNNNNNNNNNNNNNNNNNNNNNNNNNNNNNNNNNNNNNNNNNNNNNNNNNNNNNNNNNNNNNNNNNNNNNNNNNNNNNNNNNNNNNNNNNNNNNNNNNNNNNNNNNNNNNNNNNNNNNNNNNNNNNNNNNNNNNNNNNNNNNNNNNNNNNNNNNNNNNNNNNNNNNNNNNNNNNNNNNNNNNNNNNNNNNNNNNNNNNNNNNNNNNNNNNNNNNNNNNNNNNNNNNNNNNNNNNNNNNNNNNNNNNNNNNNNNNNNNNNNNNNNNNNNNNNNNNNNNNNNNNNNNNNNNNNNNNNNNNNNNNNNNNNNNNNNNNNNNNNNNNNNNNNNNNNNNNNNNNNNNNNNNNNNNNNNNNNNNNNNNNNNNNNNNNNNNNNNNNNNNNNNNNNNNNNNNNNNNNNNNNNNNNNNNNNNNNNNNNNNNNNNNNNNNNNNNNNNNNNNNNNNNNNNNNNNNNNNNNNNNNNNNNNNNNNNNNNNNNNNNNNNNNNNNNNNNNNNNNNNNNNNNNNNNNNNNNNNNNNNNNNNNNNNNNNNNNNNNNNNNNNNNNNNNNNNNNNNNNNNNNNNNNNNNNNNNNNNNNNNNNNNNNNNNNNNNNNNNNNNNNNNNNNNNNNNNNNNNNNNNNNNNNNNNNNNNNNNNNNNNNNNNNNNNNNNNNNNNNNNNNNNNNNNNNNNNNNNNNNNNNNNNNNNNNNNNNNNNNNNNNNNNNNNNNNNNNNNNNNNNNNNNNNNNNNNNNNNNNNNNNNNNNNNNNNNNNNNNNNNNNNNNNNNNNNNNNNNNNNNNNNNNNNNNNNNNNNNNNNNNNNNNNNNNNNNNNNNNNNNNNNNNNNNNNNNNNNNNNNNNNNNNNNNNNNNNNNNNNNNNNNNNNNNNNNNNNNNNNNNNNNNNNNNNNNNNNNNNNNNNNNNNNNNNNNNNNNNNNNNNNNNNNNNNNNNNNNNNNNNNNNNNNNNNNNNNNNNNNNNNNNNNNNNNNNNNNNNNNNNNNNNNNNNNNNNNNNNNNNNNNNNNNNNNNNNNNNNNNNNNNNNNNNNNNNNNNNNNNNNNNNNNNNNNNNNNNNNNNNNNNNNNNNNNNNNNNNNNNNNNNNNNNNNNNNNNNNNNNNNNNNNNNNNNNNNNNNNNNNNNNNNNNNNNNNNNNNNNNNNNNNNNNNNACCACACCAUGAAUCUUACUUCCAUCGUCUCUAUCCUGGUCAACAUCAUCCAAGUGGCUUAUCAAGGGAAGUCGAUUUCACCCUUUGAAACCCACCCCAUCGCCACCCGUGUUGCCAUCUGCAGCCUCCUCCUGCAUUUCACUUUGGGGCGUGUCGCUAAUCGGGCACCACCACCUCGCAGACCUGCUCUUUCUUGGGAUGGAGCCUCGCGCCUCCUCUUCCACUUCACUGGUUUGACAUCGGUGUUUUCGCUCGCGUGGUUGCUGCUCCACGACUCCUUCCACUCCGUCCUCUGGUUCAUGCUGUUCCUGUUGCUUUCUGUGCAUAUGCUGCGGGGCCUCAUUCGAAAACUUUGUCUGUGGUUUUACCGCAAACUUGUUCUCAUGAUUAUCCAUGCGGCGCACUCCCGUGUAUGGCAUGAUGAAAGAGCGCAGCCACAUUUGCCGCGCCUGGUCGUGCAUUUGCAUUCCAUGCCAGAAGUCCGAGCACCGUAGUUGUUCGACUGACUGCUCCCUUCUUGGAAGAAGUAAUUUUAAUUGUAUGACCACUUUAAAUCAAAUGAUUAGUACUUUAGGAACCUAAGCUAGUUUUGUAUAAGAUACACUUGGGGUUUUCUUCUCUUUAUCUGGAGCCAAACCCGAAAGGAAUCCCCAACCCUUCGGCGUCAAAUUAUCUCCCGAUCAUAAGAAAGGAGAGCAGGGAACAAGUAAAAACUACAUGUGUAUCUUUCCUAUUCCUAGCCAUGAAUGGUGAUGGACCUUGUAGCAACUAGAUCUGAUUAAGAUAUACUAAGCCCUCAAAAGAAAUUAGGAUCUAUUGUUCUCGAAGAGAUUGAGGAUGACCUCAACAAUUGUUAUGACGAGUAGAAUGGUCGUUUCUAGUGGCCAUAUAAGGGGGUAGUAAUGGUUCUUGAGGUUAAAGCUUCUGACCUCUUUGAAAACGUUGUUGAGUGUUGCAGAUUUCCUUUCUUUUUCAGUGAAUCUCUUUGUAGCUUUCUGUUUGGCCAGUGGAUGGAUAUGUGUCCUUUUACGUUCUUUGCUGGUGAACUAUGGUUUUGCUUAGAUGAACUGGGAUAAAUUGAUGCCUUGGAGAUGCGAGCACAGCUGCAAUUUCAAAAGCUUUGAUCUAACACUAACAUCAUUGAAUGAUCCAAAUCAAAAUGAAAGAUGUCAGCUUUUUCAUCUCUCUCGCAUAUACACUGUCACUGCUUACUAGCUAUUCCGAUGAUAAUAUAGUUGUAGUUUGUCAUUGCAGAAUGUGGGAGUGAUUACAUCAUAUGGUCUUCAUUUGAGCUCUGAGAGAUGACAACUACUAGAUCUUUGCUUUGGCAAAUGUGUUAACUUGCAAUCUAAGACUUCAUUGUCUAGUUGGCUGAUUGACAUUCAAGUUGCCAGGGACUAGGUGAGAAAAGAAUGCUGAAAUGUUGAUUUUUUUUUUCUGCCUCCUCUUUCUAUUUCUGUCGUUUUCUUCGAACCCUAAUUGCCUUCUUUUCUUUUCUUUUUCUCUUUCUUUUUUUUUCUUGGCUAGUCUCUGUUUUCUCUCUUUCUAUCGUUCUACUCCUGUAUAUCCCCUUGCAAUGGCAUCAACUAAAGCAAGACCGAAGAAAGGACUUAAGCGAGACACCGGGGCUUGGUUCUAAUGUUUUGCUCUCGAUUAUCAUCUUUUCCCAAGCUCGGUUAUUGCAACUUUAAUCAUAGCGAUAAAUCUUUUAGGGUAUUACGUAUUGAUACAAGCUAUAUGUAGAGUGAGAAUGAAGUCAUCCUGCCCGGUGACUAGGAAAUUGAGUGAGGUGGGAAUACUUUGUUUCAAGUAUGAAAUUCAAACUUCCACAUCCUAUUGAGAGAGAGAGAUGGAAGAAUUCAAAUAGGACAAAUCAAAGUCUCUUUAUUUUUAUUUUUGGCUAAAGUAAAUCGCAAGUGCCAAAAUUUGGCACGUGUGGACACUUAAAUGCCAAAACUUCCAAAAUAUAUACUUAAAGUGCCACUUUUUUUUAAAGUUGGGGCAAUUAAGUGUCAAUUAGGGGUAUCAACGGUUCGGUUCGGUUCAUUUUUUUUUUAAAAACCAAGCCAAACUGACCUGUUAGGAAAAACUUCUGAAUCGAAUACGAACUGAACCGAAAUUCUAGUUCGGUUCGAUUCGGUUUUUCGGUUUUUAGUUUUCAGCUUUCGGUUUUUGUUUUUUGCAUUUGUUUUUUAUUUCAUUUUUUCUGUUGUAUAUUAUAAGAGUAAUUUUCCCAGGCCUCAGUUCGGCGGUUUGGCUCGGUUUAGUUCGAAUUUUUUCUUUUUUCUUUUUUUGGUCGUAUAUUUUCGAAUCGGUCCAACCCCAAUUUAAUUAAUGCCUUGCAAGAUCAAGUUUUUCUAAAAGGUUCACAUCUUCAGAUGAGUAUUGCUUUCAAAUUUGUGUAAGCAUAUCGGCAAUAAUUAAAUAUGAGCCCAUUCAAAACUGAUUGCAAGACAUUGAACUUCGAAAAAACCAAUGGCUUUACCCUAACCACGAGCACCAAGCAAAAAUUAACCGACAAAAAGAGGAAGAGAAACUCCAUUCCUAAAGAUCAUAUGAAAUGACCCAUAACUUCAAUAGGUCUAAGUACAUAUCCCAAACUGACAAAAAUCUUCAUAUCUUAGAGAAAAUUUUCCAAGCCAAGCAUCGAUGUCGCUCUAAGUAAGACAGUCAUCGUACUUUCAUUGGCUUGUUGAAUAUCUGGAAUUCAUUGGCUUGUUGAAUAUCUGGAAUUCCGGUACUUCUUGAUUUCCUCAACUGUCCUUCCUAGAAUUCUAUUAGCAAUCAAAGACUACCUGAUCAUGAAUGAUAUAAUUUCGGCUCAACGAUAUUAUCUUCGCAAAAAAAAAAAAAAAAUGAGAGGAAAUCAUCAACAAUAAAAGAGAAGCGGAAAGGAAGCAAUAGAACAUAGUCUCACCUUUCUCCAACCAGAUUGUAUUCGAAUUAUAAGCAUUUCCUCAUAUUCAAAGAAAUCUAGCUUUGAUUCUUCGCUUAUCUCCUCCACAAUAAACUUGGAUGAACUAAUCAUUCAAAAAACAGAGAAAAAAAGAAGAAGCAAACUUGGAUGAACUUCACGUCUCACCAUUGAGGAGAUCAAUUGGAAUAGUAAAGUGUGACAAAGAUAGUGAGAUGGUGAAAAUAAGAUAAUAAGAUGACGGCUUGGACCAUUUAAAAAUAGAGCAUUAUAAGCGAGCACACAUAUUUUAUACACAUAUUUCACCUUACUCUAAGUUUGUCAAUCAUCAAGAGAAAUCGCUAUUGAGUUCAGAUCCAUGGCUGUAGAUGACAACUUUGCAUUAAAUUCACAAUGAAAAUGAGAAUUGAAGUAUCAAUUGUAAUUUUGAACGAUAUAAAUAUUUCAUGCUUAUUUGUUUCUCACUUGACUCGAAAUUUUCAAGUUCUUCUAAGUCCUUCUCAAUUGACUGUGAAAGUGGUGCGGAUCAUAGCCAAUCUUGAGUACAUAAAAGAGCCUCUACUAUCAUUGGGUUUAAGGAGCUACAAAAUACAUCAAGUACUCGACUUCCCAUGUUGAAUGUAAACUUUGAUGCUACAGUGGAGAUGGGCAUGGCCAAAAUAUCUCGAGCAAUGGAAGACAAGGUAGGAUAUAUGGAAGAAUUGACUUUCCACCAAUUUAAGAUAUCAAAGGUGGAGCUAUACCGUUCACAUCCUUCUUUCAAAUACUUAUCUAAUUCAAAUUUUUUUCCACAUAUUUUUGUUCCAUUUGGCUAAAAUACAUUGCAGUCAUAAUGUUCGCACCAACCACGGGAGACAUUGACAUUGAAAUGUUCACUGUCCUUGUCUCCUUUAAUCUCACGUUGCUUUGAGGGCAUGUACCGGUGCGAUAUUGCUCGAAUAAUAAUGUUAGAGAUUUUGUCACUCUAUCUCACAAAGUUUCUGCUCAGUUACUUUCAUACACUUGAUUAAUCAUCCAUUUCACAUACUCCAUCUUAUGUUGAGGGUGAAGUAUACAUGCAAUGAACCAUGUUAAAUUUAUGUUUUUUUUUUUUUUUUUUUUGGUAAGGGUAAGAAUAUGUUAGAUUUAUGUUGUUCACAUUGCCAAAAUACUUAUUGAACUUGAUCUUCAUUUUCUUGGCUAUUUCCUACAAACUCAUGUCUUCAUCUCUACAAUAUCUAUCAAUCAUCAUAUAAAUCCCAUAGACAUCUUUUGUCAUAUCAUUGCAAGUGACGUAAGAAGAGCCCGAUACUUUUAAAGCUGCACCAUAGAACAACUUCAAGAAAGAAAGAAAGAAAUCAAUGAAGAUAAUCCCAAUCAUCAUUAGUAGGCAACCCUCUCACCUUGGAAAGCUCUUCAGCAAAUCUUCUAUCAUGAAUAUCUAAUGAGAUAAAAGCAUUUCGAAACUUCAAGGUCACUUCCAACAUCAAGUAUGUUGAAUUCCACCGAGUCUCCACAUCCAAGCAUACAAGAUUAUUAGAAUCAAUAUUUUCUAGCAGAAUGCACUCCUUAAACCAUUGCAAUCUCAAAUGAGAAGAUAUCACAUAACGUACAGCUGAGCAUAUUCUAACAAUAGAAUCAUCUAUAUCUUUCAAAACUUCUCUCACAAUCAAAUUGAAAAUAUGAGCACAACAUCUCACAUGGAGUAACUCGCCCGAUAAUAUUAGAGCAUUCCAAGAGUUAAUCUUUUUUUCAAGUAUUGAACUUCCGAGUCAUUAGAGCUAGCAUUAUUAACAGUAAUAGAAAAAAUGUCUUUGAUCCCUCAACUAGUUAAGCAUUUCUCAACCCCUUUUUUCCUAUAAUCUUAAUCGAAUGUCCUGGGAUUUGACAAAAAUUCGAAAUUUUCUUUUGCAACUUCCAAUCAGCGUCUAUGAAGUGAGCAGUAAGACACAUAUAACUUAGAGUUUGACAUGAAGUUUACAUGUCAGUUGUAAGACAAACCCUUGGAGAAGUAUUGGAAAGAUAUUUUUUUUCAAUUUGCUUCUUUCCUCUAGUGAUAACUUAUAAUAGUCCUCCCUUAAUGUGUUUCUUGAAGGGAUCAAAAACUUUGGCUAGAUUCUACUCACAAAUUUCUGAAAUGCCUCAAGUUACACAAACUUGAAGAGUAGUUCACCAAUAUUAAACACCGCUGCUAGAUCUUUUUGACUAGCAUCUUGAUCAAAUUUUCAAAGACCGGCUGAAAUAGAAUUAACAACCCCAACAAGUUCAUUCAAGGCACUUUUUUUUUUCCUUUUCUCCACAUUUGCAUAUGGAUAAUUCUUACAUCUAUCUAAAUGAUUAUGCAUCCCACUAGUCCCUUAGGCACUAUAACAACCAAUAAUAGCCCCCACAAUAUAGACAUUCGACUUUGUCUUGACUAUUUUCUAUCAUUUUAAAGUGUUCCCAUGCAACAGAUCUUAGCCUCCUUCUAUUUGUACCGCUAAAUUCGCUCAUUAAAGAUUCGCUCAUUGUGUAUUUGACUUUGUAAAUGUUGUUACUGCCUUAACAGGGAGAUCUAUAAAUGGGCAUUAUAACAAUAUUUCAGCAAAUUUAUCAUAUCGGCAAGACUAGCAUUCUGAAUAUAUGGCAAGUUGACAAAACGAUUUUAAAAGGAUUUCAUCGAAGUCCACUGAUCAACCAAAAGUAUCAAAAUUAUGUCAUUAGUAAAAGUUACAAACCUGAAAUUUCUUCAGCAAUGCAAUAAGUUUGUGAAAGGAAGUCAUUGCUUCUUUUCUUUCGUAGAAUGUCCCCUUGCUCUUGAUUUGAUACAUUUGUUAGUUCUAUGGAUAUCCAAAAGGUAGAAACACGUCCACACUCUUUAGGAAAAUUACAUAUCAUAUAAGAAACACAUUAAAAGUUCAUGGACAACGAAUGCAAGAAUUUUAUACUACAAGUCAAAAUCCUCAAAUACUCAACUGGACAACACACAAUGCACGAACAACCAAUUCACAUCAAAGUUACAUUACCACAAAAGCUCGGCAAAAACAAACCAUAAAUUAAUGAAAAGCAGCCUAGACAUACCAAACACUAAAUACUGGAAAUGGUACAACAUUGAUUUCAAAUUUCUCUAGAAGAAUGCUAUUUUUCACCCAAAGAGAUAGUCAAAUUUCUAUACAAGAAUGAACAUGGUUAAUACAACAAUAACAUAAACAUAGCAGCCCCAUUAGAGCUACAGAAUUAAGUCAUCUUAUGUAAGGGUACAGCCAAACAUGGAAGAUUUGAUAUGAGCUAGUAUUUCAUCAGGACUUGCACAAGGUCCAAAGUCCAAUGUUAAUGUAUUCUCCUAUACAACCACAGAAAGAACCAAGUGGGAAGAUUUUGAAACAAGGGUAGCUGGAAAUCUAAUAUAGCUUAUUUUUAAUAAUACAAGUGGUCUCCAUGGCUUGCCGGAAUGUUUACUCAGCAAUGAACGUGCAAAAUGAAAUCGUUUUACCCCUAAAUUUAUUAAUUUUAUUAAAAAUAAAUUAAAAACUAAAAAAAAUAGGGAUUUUCGCUUGCAGGCCCUCACCGGCGAUCGCCAGAGUAGCCAACCACUACUCAGGGCCCAAUGACCUCGGCCAACCCUUGCCCUAGCAUCAUUGGCUGAUGAUGGCAAGGCGGCAGCGGCAAGGGCUAUGGAGGCCCUUGCCAAAGCAAUGGCUUCCCCUUCUUCUUUUUUUCAACUUAGUUUUUUAAUUUAUUUUCAUUAAUGUUUAUAUUAAAAAUUAAUUUACCAGGCUUAUAGGGCGAUGUGGAUAGUUUUUUUAAUAAAAAAAUUGCCACAUGAAUAUUUUUUUAAAAUAAUUGCCAUGUCGAUAAUUUUUUUAAAAAAAUGCAACGUCGAUAAAAAAAAAAAGGUCGCCAACAAAUGCCAUGUUAGCAGUUUGGUCAGAAUUUCUCGCUAUUGACACUUACAUUUUCCAUUUUUCUCCAAUUAGCAUUUAAUUGUAUCUCUUAAGUGUCCACUCGAACCGAAUUUUAACAGUUGCAAUGGUUGGCACUCUUUUCUUUUAGGUUAAUAUCACGAAAAAUCUCAAAUUGGUAUACCCGUGAUAAAUUUACCCCAAAUGACAAAAAAAAAAAAACUAAAUAGGCCAAAUUUAUCGCAAACUAAUUUUGGACCACCAAAAAUCCCAUACUGUUACAUUUAUAACAAAUAUAUCUUCCGUUAAAUUAGAUUAAUAGUAUAAAAAACAACAAACCUAUUGCAACUGCAACAAAUGGAAAAGUAUAAUUCCAAAUCGGUAUACCAGCCAAUUAAUUUUUUUUUUUUUGGUAAGAAGUAAGUAUAUAUAUCAGUUAAUUGUUACGUGUUAUUCAACUCAAUAAUUUGAUAGUAAAUUUAACGGAAAUUAAUAAAUUAUCAUAAUUGUAAUAAUUUGGAUAAAAUUAUUAAAGAUAUAUUAAUUUGAGGUUUUUGACAGUUAAAAAAUUAAUUUGAAAUAAAUUUACCAUAAAUAUAUCAGUUUGGAAUUUUUUGUGAUAUUAAUAUUUUUUCUUUAUACAAAAAAAGUUAAUCGGAAAGUUCAAAAGCCUUCCUCCAUUCUAUGACGUGAUGAGAUUGAGGGCUGAAGACAGGAACAUCAUUGGAAUAUUUUUACAGAAAAAUGAGAACAAUGAGUCCCCAUCUCAUGGAACGAUUUUGUACUGGAUCGGUGCAUCCAGUCCAAAAUCUUCGGGACCCCUUUUACAGUUGUACCGUUCCGGUACAAAAUCUUUCCAUGGGAUAGGGACCCAUUGAUCGUCCCAGAGCGGUCGCGACCGCGACGGCAAUCCAAAAUCAUUCCAUGGGAUGGGACCCAUAGUACUCAUCAAUAUGAUAUAUUAACGAUGUCCCUGACUUCACUCCUCACGGUGCCAUGGAUUUUACCUCCAUCGUCUCCAUCCUCGUUAAUUUCAUGCAAGUUAAAUUCCAGGGGAAGUUGAUUUCGCCCUUUGAAACCCACCCCGUCGCCACUGGCAUCGCCAUCUGUGGCUGCUCCUGCAUUUCUUAUUGCUGCGUCUCGCUGAUCGGGCACCACCAUCUAGCGGCUGUGCUCCUCCUUGCGAUGGAGCAUCACACCUCCUCAUCCACUUCGCCGGUUCGAUGCGGGUGGCUUCGCUCGCGUGGUUGCUGCUCCACGAAUCCUCCCACUCCGUCCUCUGGUUGUUGGUGCUGCUCCUGUUGCUUUCCCUGACUCUCUUGCGCAGCCUCAUUCAAAAACUUUGGCUGUGGCUUUACCGCAGACUCAUUCUCGUGAUUAUCCGUGCGGUGCACUCCCGUGUAUGGCUUGGUGGAAGAGGGCAGCCACAUCCGCCGUGCCCGGGAUCUGCGUUUAUUGCUGGAAAGUCUGAGCGCCCUAGUUGUUCAACUGACUGUUCCCUGCUUGGAAACUCUAAUUUUAAUCGUAUGACUACUUUAAAGCAAAUGAUUAGUACUUAAGGAACCUAAGCUGGUUUUUAUAAGAUGCACUUGGGGCUUUCUUUCUCUUUAUCAGAAGCCAAAGCCAUAAGGAAUCCCCAAGCCUUCGGCGUCAAAUUAUCUCCCGAUCAUAACAAAGGAGAGCAGGGAACAAGUAAAAACUACCUAUGUAUCUUUCCUAUUCCUAGCCAUGAACGGUGAUGGACCUUGUAGUGACUAGAUCUGUUUAAGCUAAGCUAAGUCCUCAAAAGAAGUUGGGAUAUAUUGUUAUUGAAGAGAUUGAAGAUGACCUCAACAAUUGUUACAACGAGUAGAAUGGUCUUUUCUAGUAGGCAUAUAGGGGGUAGUAAUUGUUCUUGAGGUUAUAGCUUCUGACCUCUUUGAAAGCAUUGCUGAAUGUUGCAGAUUUCCUUCUUUUUUUCUGGUGAAUCUCUUUGUAGCUUUCUGUUUGGCCAGUGGAUGGAUUUGUGUCAUUUUACAUUUUUUGCUGGUGUGCUAUGGUUUUGCUCAUUUAUCCAUAUGAACUUGGAUAAACUGACGCCUUGGAGACGCAAGCACAGCUAAAAUUUCAAAAGCUUUGAUCUAACACUAACAUCAUUGAGUGAUCCAAAUCAAAAUGAAAGAUGCCAGCUUUUUCCAUCUCUCUUGCAUAUACACCAUUACUGCUUACUAGCUAUUUAGAUGAUAAUAUGAUUGUAGUUUGUCAUUGCAGAAUGUGGGAGUGGUUACAUCAUAUAAUCUUUAUUUUACCUCUUGAGAGGUGACAACUAGAUCUUUGCUGUGGCAAAUGCGUUAACUUGCAAUUUAAGACUACGCCGUCUCGCUGGCUCAUUGACAUUCAAGUUGCUGGGGCCAAGUUGAGAAAAGAAUACUGAAAUGUAGAUUAUUUUUCAGGAGGCUUUAUUUCAAGAUAACUGAAUUUUGGUUGACUACAGAUGUUAGAACCGAAAUUUUCCCACCCUGCAUGUGCUAAGAAUUUACAGUUCAUGUAUGCAAAGCUAGAUAGAUAGUAUGCAGAUGCUCGAGACAAGUCUGUACAAACUACACACAUUUGAUGUUCGUAUCUGAGGAAAUAAUUAGACCAGCAAGCUUCUUGACAAGUUGAUUCAUAAUCAAAUCAUGCAUCCCAAUGUUAGUACUUUGAAAUAUGACAGAGCACACAAGUCUUGCACUUCAAAAAUAUGAUAUUUAUCUGCUUUUUCUGCAGAGAACAAUGAUCUUGGAUGUCGACUGUAGCAGUGAGUCCAAUUGACUUGCAUAAGAACGUGACUUGAAACAUCAAACAGAAAGGUGGGUUCUCCUGACUCCUGAAUUUUUUUCUUCUUGGUAAGUGCCUCCCCAACACUACAACUGCAUGCACUUCACUUGCAGCUUUUAGAGACCAGCAUUGCACAUCUUUUCUUGAGUACCUCCAAUUUUCAGCAAUAGCAGGGUCUUCAGGUACUUCCACUAUUCCAGCAAUCUGUAUUAAACACUGUUUGGUAUUAGCACAUUUUCUGUUGAUUAUUACUUAUUGUGGAGAUGAGUCUAUAUAUAUGAUAUUAAAAAGGAACGUGGCAAUUCACCACUUCACAUGGCAGCAUCUUGUAUUCAAUUUUGGCUAAAGUAUGUUUAGCAAGAGAGCACUACUGCAAUAUGAGCGCACCAUGAUAAAAUGCAUUGGAUAUGAGUAAUCAAUGGGCGACGGCAUUCAUCGCAGUCAUAAGCACCCACAUUUGUGUCCCUUAUCUUCUUGCAAAGGGCACAAUAGUACCACUCACUGGUAUCAUCUUUGAUGAACGAAACGUGAAUUGUGAGUUGAUGGAAGUUAAUGACUAUCUUUUACUGUAGUGGAAGGCAAUCUGUGCACACAACUGCAAUAGCCAAACCUGCAAAAUUUACCACAGACAUUGCAUAUUAGCAUGGUUAGGUAGAUUUAAAACAAGAAAGAGUAUAUGAUUGUGGAGGUGAUGUUUCAAAGUGGGCCUUUCAAAAGUGCAUAGAGUGUUGAAGUUGUUGUCACUUCCGUGCAGUGAAAGACAGAGUGUCAACACUCUUCAUGACGUAUGUCAACAGUGCUCCUCCUGAUACGAGAAGAAAAAGGAUGUGCAGGGUGAGCAGAUCAGAGAUUCAAGUUGUUGCUAGAAUUGUUGCUUCACUCAGAGAUUCAAGUUGCCGGGGCCAAGGUGAGAAAAGAACACUAAAAUAUAUUUUUCAUUUUUGGGAGGCUUUAUUCCAAUAUAACCGAAUUUGGUAAACUGCAGAUGUUAGAACCGAACUUCUCCCAUCUUCAUGUGCCGGAAAAGAUUUUACAGUUCAUGAAUGCAAAGUCAUAUAUAUAAUAUGCAAAAGCUUGACACUAGUCUGUACAAACUACACACAUCUGAUUCAUUUUUUGAGGAAAUAAUAAGACCGGCAAGCUUCCUGGCAAGUUGAUUCAUAAUCAAAUUAUGCAUCCCUAUGUUAGUAAUCCAACUCAUAACAUAGGGUAAACAAGUCUUACAUUCAAAGUUAUGAUAUUUAUCUGCUUUUGCUGCAGAAGAUAACAAUUUCAGAUGUCAAGUGUUAGCAGUGAUUCCAUUGACUUGCAUAAGAGCAUAAGUUGAAACAUCAAACAGAAAGGUGGUCUCUUGCCUCCCCAUUUCUUUUCUUCUGGAUAAGCGUGCCUCCCCAAAUCUGCAAUUACAUGCACUUCGUUUGCAGCUUUUUGAGACCAGCACUGCAUGUCUGUUUUUUUAGUAUUGUUCAUUUGUGGGCUCGCUGUGUCCUUUUUUUCCUGCAGAAUUGCAAUUUUUCCAUCUAGUUCAGCAAUAGCGGGGGGUAUUCAGGUACUUCCAUUACUUAAAAAAAUUUUGGUAUUACCAUAUUUUCUGUUAAUUAUAACUUAUUGUGGAGGGAGUCUAUAUAUGAUGUUAAAAAAAGAAAAAGGAACAGGGCUAUUCACCACAUCACGUAGCUGCAUCGUGUAUCUGUUUGUUGGCUGCCAGAGCACUUCUGUGAUGAAAGCAUACCGUGGGUAAAACACAUUUGAUAUGAGUAAUCAAUGCGCAAGGGCAUUCAUUUCAGAUGGAAGCACCCAGAUUCAGGUCUUUUUCUCUCAAAGGUUACAGUAGUACUUACCAUCAUCGUCUUUGAUGAACGUAGCAUAGAGUGUGAGUUGACAGAGGUGAUGGCGAUCUUUCAUUGUUGGUGGUAACCGUGGAAAGCAAUCAUGAUAGACAUUAAGAUUGCAGUGCACAAGAACGUGAAAGUCAAAUGUGCAAAAUUUGCCAGACACUGCAUAGGAAGCAUGGUUCAGUAGAUCUUUGUGGAGGUGACGUUUCAAAGUGGGCUUUCCAGAAGUGCAUGGAAUGUUGGAGUCUAAUUCACAUUCUGCGCAGUGAAAGAAAGCUUCAACGCUCUUCACGACAUGCGUCAGUGAGCUUUCUUCCUGAUAUGGGAAGCAGUGGAUGUGCAGGGCGAAUGGGUUGUUGCAUAACUGAGGGCAAUUCAGCACAUGAUUUAUGGAGCAGAAAAGAGCAGCACUGCUCGAGGCAGUGAUGCUCUAAACCUAUUGAAAUAUUCAUGACAAGCCUUGAGCGCACCAUCCUUCCUAUGACCCAGCUCCAGCGGCAGCAGAUGAUUGUGAAUUGGAGAAAGAAAAGGCAAUCCAGACAAGCAUAGAACUCACCUAGCAUGUUCCAUCAAGCUUCGCACUAAUCUGUUUCAUCCUUCUUGUGGAAGGACACCAGUAAAGGCUGAUGGGCGAAAUGGUAAAAAAACAAGCCUUUCUCACCCUUCAGAUCUUGUGAACGUAGAGUUAUAGCUGCGCAGUCCAUGUCAAGGCUGAAAUUGCAUUAGCUGCAGCAGGAAACCAUAUCGCAGGCAUUACAUUGGAGGUCUACAGAUUGAUUGAAAGCAAGAGAGAUGGUGAUCAUUGAAAGACAGGCAUUGCUUAUUUGGUGUAGAUUUGGCACAGCUCUUGUGAAUGAAGAAUAUGCACUGUGUAGCAUCCAUAGACCUCCUUGCAGGCUUUGCAUUCGAUUCUACUUUUCAUCCCAAGAUGCUAAUGAGCAAAAUGUUGGAUGGUCACAUACUCAGAAUCUUCAUCAGGCUUAGUUGUGACUAGGCAGACAGCAAUAUUGGACCGUGCUGUAAUGCUCAACAAUCCGAAUGGCAAGAAGGAAAGCCUCGUCACAUGCAUGGCAACCAUGACGAUCCUCCUUCUCAUCUGCCUACUAGGCAUUCAAGCGGGGGCAGCAGGUGAAACGGGUGUUCUCGGGUGAAGAGCAUGCUAAAUUCAGCUUGACUAGUGAAAGAAGAUUCGACACGAUUCCCAGCAGUAGGGCUGCGCCGCGGAUCUGAGACCAGCACGCAAGACAUUCCAAGCAAGUGCAGCCUUCUUUGCGAAUCAAUACAUGACCAGCAAGGCAAUGGAGUUAUAGUUGCUGAGUGACAUCAACAAGAAGCAAAUGGGGUGAAAUGAAUCGUACCCAACUACCGUAUUAUUUGGUGUUGCAUUUCAGUGCUAAUUUGUACCAUUUUUUUUUUAAUUAUCUAUGCAUUAAGGCAAUAGUUAAUAAAACUAAAAUGAAAUCUCAGCAAGAGUUUUGAGCAGAUCUAGCUUUCGUUCCUGAGGAAGCUCCCAGGAAAAGCUUCAUCAAAUAUUUACCUUCCAGAUAGUUCCUUCCUGAUGCGAGAACAGGGUUGUUGCAUAACUGAGGGCAAUUCAGUCAAUAAUUUUUUGUCAAAAUUAGUCUGAAAGAUUGAAUUAGCACUAGGUCAAAAGUUUAAGAUUAGAUUGUCAGAAUUAUAAGGUUUAUGAUUAGAUUGACACUAAUGCAAUAAAUUUAGAACUUUUAUGACAUUUUUCCCAUUAAAAAAGUCCUUGAUCUGGUCAGCUGUUUUUGGGGUCAUCCCGGGCACGUUUCUCAUAUGUUUUGAUUGUGUUAUUUGAUAGUUCGAGUUAUGCUAUAAGGAAUACAUUUCUUUUGGUGAGCAUUACAUUUAUCUCCUCUAAUUGCUUGAAAGCAAGAGAGAGAGGGUGAUCAUGGAGAGACGGGUGUUUAUCUCUGUGGGGGAUUCGGUGCAACUUUUGUGGAGAAAGAAUAUGCACGCAUGGCCUCCAUGGAAUUUGUUGUUGUUCCAUUUCGGUAUCGAGUUUUUUUUUUUUUAACAGUUUCGGUAUCGAGUUAAUAACUUUAUAAAGCGUGUUAGUUACAACGCGUGAUUAAUGGAGUCAUCUAAUCGUAGUCAAAGUUUGUAAACACAAAGUCCCAAUGGCUGAAGAAUGCAAACCCGAUUAACGAGACGAUUAUCUUGAGAGACUCGAUUGUGAGAUUGCCCUUACGAAUUACAUUUAAUCCCCGGUGGGCUCUAUACUCUCUCAAGUCUGUAAUCGGCUUUAAAGCGCUAUUAGCCAGGAGAAGGGGGAGGGGGGCCUGGGCAACAUCAAGUCAAGUGAGAGAAUCAUCUUAUGAACAUUUUCCUCUUUUUGGUCGUCAAAAGGGCUUUUAAUUCUUCAUUCAAACCAUCAAGCCAUGUCCUGUGAAUCGACCUACGCAUUGUCAAAAGCCUAAAAUCUGCUGCACUAAUCUCUCUGUUGAAGACUGGAAUCUAUGGGAUGGUGGCACCCCCUCCUUGGGAAGCUAACUCCAAUCAGUGGUCAUUAAAUCCGGAUCGAAAUGUCAAACGUUCGAGCGUGUCCUCUCUUUUCCGCAGAUCCUUCCCCGCGUGUGCGUGAUCAUGGUCGUCUGCUGGCUUUUCCCACCAUGUCAAACGGCUUCUGUGUGGUGUGAAAAGAGUGAACUUUCCUCGUCGUGGGAGCCCUCUCUCUCUGUCCCUCUCUUCGUCUUCGGUUUCGAGGCAUGGAAAGCGAUCGGGUGUUAAAAGGUGGAUUCCGUGUUGUUAAAAACUUGACUUCUCCGGCGGUUGAAACGAGUGAGCUUUUCUUUUUCUUUGUGUUCUUCUUGGCCAGAUUCUGUUCUCCCUUUCUUCCUGCUCUUGUAAUUUCCCUUGCAAUGAAGCAAGACUGGAGAAAGGGCUAAAACGAGACGCUCGGGAUUGGACUUGGACUUGGACUUGGGCUUGGGCUUAAUGUUUUGCUCUCAUUUAUUAUUUUUCGCUAGCCCUUUAUUGCAACUUUAAUCAUGGAGAUAAAUCUUUUAGGCUAUUGGGUGCUGAUGGAUACCAUGCGGAUUGCAGAGCGAGGAUAAGGUCACGGGGAAAAAAAGUAGGACAGAUCAAGGACUUUUUUUAAUGGGAAAAAUGUCGGAAAAUUCCUAAACCUACUAUAUUAGUGUGAAUCUAAUCCUAAAUAUUUUAAUUGUGUCAAUUUAGUUUAAAUUUUUUUUACUAAUACAAAUUCAGUCAUUUCAACUAACUUUAACCAGAAUUUACUGAUAUGGAUGUUAAUUGUCAUACGUGACAAUGGCCAAUGUUGACAUGGCGAUUUCUAAUUAUAUUUUUAAUGAUUUUCAAUUUUUUUUAUUAAUUUCUCUUUUUUUUUCUUUUUUUUUUCUUUUUUUUUAAACUCAUUUCUUUUUCCUUUUACCGGUGACCGACCACCGGCCAUAACCAAAUGAGCUAGCCUCUCCUAGGCAAGGGUUGUUGUUGCCCACCAGUGAGGCUCGACCUAGCUAGGCCAAGGAGGGCAAGCCCUAAUGAGGAGGCCAAUCCACCUAGCCAUUGCCUAUGGACAAUAGUUAGUCAUCGACAAAAGCAAGAAGAAAGGGGAAAAAAAAAAAAGAAGAGAAAAAUAUUAUAAAAAAUAAAAUAAAAAAUCGAAAAAUAUUAAAAUAUUAUUACAAAUUUUCAAUGUUCAUCAAUAUCAAUAAUAUCAUGCCAAACUAACUAAGAGAACUGAAUCGAUAUAAUUAUAAAGUUCAUGACUAAAUUAGCAUCAAUGUAAUAAAAAAUAAACAAUAAAAAAAUAAAGUUUAGGACUUUACUUUUUUUCCUUUUUAUAUAUAACCAAAUAAAAAAUAAAUCAGACAUUUCAAGGCUUUCGUCCACUCCAGGGGUGAGGGUAAGGACAUCAUUUGAUAUUUGAUUUUUCAUGGAAAGUGGCACAGGACAUCAGUUUUUUUUUUCUUUGGGUAUGAGCACGGGACAUCAAUUUGAAUACUUUUUUUCUUUUGGAUGCUUUCGGAUUCAAUCUGAUUUGAGUACUCAUCCUUUUCAUUUUGAGUACUCACGUCUGCGUGGUGAGGAAUGAAAAGACGGGGACUUUCAUUUUAUUCUCUUUCUUUUCGGGUCCGACCCUGCUCCAACCUCCCACCACCCACCACCCAAAAUGUAGAUCCUCUUUCUUUUCGGGUCCAAACCUGCUUCAACCUCAGGGUCGGGUCCGACCCUGCUUCAACCUCGGACCACCCAAAAUGUAGAGUAUUCAAAUUGACCCAAAAGAUUGAUUUAAAAAAAAAAAAUUGACCCAAAAGAAAAGAGUAUAAAAUGACAGUCUCAGUCUUUCCAUACCUCUCCUCGCCAUACGCCAUGGAUCUUACCUCCAUCGUCUCUAUCCUUGUCAGCUUCAUCCAAGUGGAAUACCAGGGGAAAGUUGAUUUCACCCUUUGCAACCCAUCCUGUCACCACCUGUGUCGCCAUCUGCAGCCCCCUCCUGCAUUUCUCUUUGGGGAAUGUCGCUAGUCAGGCACCACCGCCUUGCGGGCGUGCUCCUCCUUGUGAUGGAGCAACGCACCUCCUCUUCCACUUCACUGGUUUGACAUCGGUGUUUUCGCUCGCAUGGUUGCUCCUUCACGUCUCCUUCCACUCCCUCCUCUGGCUUGUGCUGUUCCUGUUGCUUUCCGUGCGUUUGUUGCACGGCCCCGUUCAAAAACUUUGGCUGUGUUUUACCGCAAACUUGUUCUCAUGAUUAUCCAUGCAGUGUGCUCCCGUUUCAGUAGAAACAAAUCCCUCAUUCUGUAGGCCAAUUCAGUUUACUCGUCUGAUCCUAUAAAUAUGUCACAAAAAUUCACAGCAAAAUACAUCACUUAUGAUGUUAGAUUUAUGUAAAGGAUACCAUUGUAGAAACAUUCUAGAAAUACAAUUUAGAUUAAUUGGAGAAAGCUCUACCAGAUACAGGCCUGAGUUGAAAAAUCGCUGGGAGCAGGUAGGAAGUUUCAACUUAACAGAGCAAUGUUCACUUUACAGUCAAUUGAGUUGGCUAAGCGAAAUAAAAAUUGUUCAACUUUAUUUGCGGGAGUACCCGAUACAUUUUUAAAAACACCAUAUGACAAUAUUUACACGUUUUUUAAGGUUUUAAGAAAUUAGUAAAGCAAAAAGGGGAGAGAAUGUCACCCCAAACACACCUAAGAUUUACAUAACGCAGAAUGCCCCCAAAAGUCGUUUAUCUGACCCACAGAAUGAAGUGAGAACUAAGUUAAAGCAAAGCUUACUGUGACAUAAAUUGGUAGAUGACUAAUGUAGGUAUACCAAGAAUGUGUCAAAAUGGGUACACUAAAUUAUGUGACAUGAGUUAAAUUGGUGAUGACAGGAGUAGAUUCAAAUCACAAGAUGGUGACUUAUUCAUAUAUCCAAUGUUAACAUCGUUUAGUAUGAUGGUAAUUGUAUAACUUUAGUAAUCUAGAAUUAUUCUUGACAACAAUGGAACACCAGUAAAUUUUCUAGAAAGGAUCGGGCCCUAUUUCCUUUCUAUUGAAUUUAAGGUACACGAUAAAAACAGAUCAUAGGAAUUUAAAAGCUUGUCUUAGCUUGUCUAGGCAGAUAAGAAGCACUGUCCAAAGUAAAGCGCUAAAAAAGUUCGAUUCCUUUUACCAAACCCAAGCCGGAAGACAUAUUAAUUGUAAGCAUGUGCUGCAAAUUCUUCAUAGAACUCCAUAUAAAAAAAUCUUCAACAACAAAUGAAAUAUAUCAUCUUGCAUUGACAUAGAAGUAGAUUGAAUUCGUGCAAUCACCAGUUCCUUAUACAGCAUUAUUGGAGUGUCAGCUUUCAGCUUCAUGCAAUUUUGAGUCAAUUUUCCAACAUGUAUAAAAUCAGGGUCCGUUUGCUCCCGUGAAAACUUGUUAGUGAAAACUGGAAAGUACUACCAGCAAACACAUCAGGUACCAUGUUUUGGUUUUUCUUAUUCCUAGAAGCUUGUCAAUGCGACAGGAAACUGCAUUACCUGAACAUUACUGGGCUUAAGUAUAUGUCGUUAUGUAAUAAAACACUUGCAGCUUUCUUAUAUGGUGUUAUAGUUAAGAUGGUUUUCAAACUUAUCAAUUGAUGAAGUUGCGUAAAGAGGUGUGAUCUGUAAUAGCCGAGACAAAUAAUUUGUUCAUUCCGCAAGCGGAACAAUGUUGAUGUAGUAGUCAACCAAGGUCACUGCCAUCCACCUGCAAUGUAGCGGGCAAAAAUUUAUCAGUAAUCCACGUUUUGCAUAGGCAUGUUCUAGUAAAGAAAGAUUUUGCAAGAUCAAGUGAUCAAUAAUUCGAGCUGUGACCAAAAUAUGCAAGAACUAAAUACUAGCCCAGACCAAACAUCUAGAAGUCAUUCUCUCAAGGAUUAAAACCCAAAAUAUUUGUCUCUCAAGGGCCACCUAGGUAGGAUCAUCUCAAACUACACAAAUUCUGGGCAAGGCAAAAAAGGGGAAUUUGAUCUUCUCAGACAAUUUGUCAGCUGAAGAGUUUCACAUGUUCAUUUCUCUCUCCCACACGCAUCGAUGAGAGACGACAGAAAAAUAAGGCUCUUCAUUCAAUAUGCUUUUGGGUUUAGUAGAGGAGCAAUACAGAUGUAUCUAUAAACUUAAACAUUAACAUUGCACCGAAUUCUACUAAGUGGAAUCCAAAAAAAAAAAAAAACGAACCUUCGGACAUACAGGAGUCGCCAAUAGGGUGCCUAUCAGUGGGGCUUGGGAAGGCGACGGCGAGAGGCGACGGUGUCGGCGGCGUCCGCGUUCAGGAGCAGGGGGCGCUUCGCGGAGGAAAGAGAGAGAGAGAGCGCGAGCAAAGCGACCUUCGUUCGCGGAGAGGGAGGUCAAAAUGCGAGCAGGGGUUUGUCGGCGUCGGGGUUGGCCAGCAAGGGCGCUCCGCAAAGGAAAGAGGGAGAGAGCGGAGCAGAGGUCGCGAGAGGGAGGCGAAAGGGCGUCGGCGACAGUGUAGGGGCGGAGGUGGAGGCAUCAGCGUCGGCGUCGGAGUCGGGGGCGACGACGGAGGCAGAAGCGUCAAGGGCGAAGGCGGAGGCGGAGGGGCGUCGGGUUCGACGUUGGAGUCGGGUUCAGGGGCCACGGAGGAGGCGUAAAAUGUUCGAGAAAGAGAUGUCUCUUUCUUUUGGGUGAUUUAUAUUAUAAAAUGUUUCGCCAUCCAGUAUAAAAUGACGUCCCCGUCUUUUCAUCCCUCACGACGCCAUGGACCUUAGCUCCAUCGUCUCAAUCCUGGUCAACAUCAUCCAAGUGGAAUACCAGGGGAGGUCGAUUUCACCCUUGGAAACCCACCCCGUCGCUACCCGUGUCGCCAUCUGCAGCCUCCUCCUGCAUUUCUCUUUGGGGCGUGUCGCUAAUCGGGCACCACCGCCUCGCGGCCCUGCUCUUUCUUUUGAUGGAGCAGCGCCUCCUCUUCCACUUCACCGGUUUGACAUCGGUGUUUUCGCUCGCGUGGUUGCUGUUCCACUACUCCUUCUACUCCGGCCUCUGGUUCAUGCUGUUCCUGUUGCUUUCCGUGCGUCUGCUGCGGGGCCUCAUUCGAAAACUUUGUCUGUGUUUUACCGCAAACUCGUUCUCAUGAUUAUCCAUGCGGCGUGGUCUCGUGUAUGGCGUGGUGGAAGAGCACGGCCACAUUUUCUGCGCCCAGCCAUGGGUCUGCGUUUCAAUCCGGAAGUCUGAGCGACGUAGUUGUUAGUAUGUUCCCUGCUUGGAUUCAGUAAAUUUAAUUGUAUCACCACUUUAAAACAAAUUAUUAGUACUCUAGGAAGCUAAGCUAGUUUUGUAUAAGAGGCAACUCAAGGCUUUGUUCUCUUUAUGCGAAGCCUUAAGGAAUCCCCAAGACUUCGGCAUCAAAUUAUCUCCCGGACCAUAAGAAAAGAGAGUAGGGGACAAGUAAAGAUCACCUAUGUAUCGUUCCUAUUCCUAGCCACGAACGGCGAUGGACCUUGUAGCAGCUAGAUCCAAUUAAGAUAGGCUAAGCCCUCAAAAGAUAUCGGGAUCUAUUGUUAUCGAAGGGAUUGAAGAUACCUCAACAAUUGUUACGAAGAGAAGAAUGGCCGUAUCUAGUAGCAUAUAAAGGGUAGAUAUUGUUCUUGAGGUUAAAGCUUCUGACCUCUUUGAAAACAUCAUUAGAGUGUUGCAGAUUUCCUUCUUUUUUCUCGUGAAUCUCUUUGUAGCUUUCUGUUUGGCCAGUGGGUGGAUGUGUCGUUUUACAUUCUUUGCUGGUGUACUAUGUUCUUGUUCAUUUAUCCAUGGGAUAAAUUGAUGCCUUGGUGACGCGAGCACAGCUACAAUUUUAAAAGCUUUGAUCUAACACUAACAUAAUUGAGUGAUCCAAAUCAAAAUGAAAGAUGUCAGCUUUUUCCAUCUCUCUUGCAUAUACACCGUUACUGCUUACUAGCUAUUCCGAUGAUAAUAUAGUUGUAGUUUGUCAUUGCAGAAUGUGGGAGUCGUUACAUCAUGUAGUCUUCAUUUUACCUCUGAGAGGCGACAGCUAGAUCUUUGCUGUGGCAAAUGCGUUAACUUGCAAUCAAAGACUAUGUUGUCUCCCUAGCUGAUUAACAUUCAAGCUGCUGAGGACAAGGUAAGAAAAGAAUGCUGAAAUGUCGAUUUUUUUAUGUAGGCGUUAGUUCAAGAUUACUGAAUUUUGGCAGACUGUAGAUGUUAGAACCAAACUUUUCCCAUCUUCAUGUGCUGUAGAAUUUACAGUUCAUGAAUGCAAAGCUAGAUAGAUAGUAUGCAGAUGCUCGAGACAAUUCUGUACAAACUACACUCAUCUGAUGUUCAUAUUUGCAGAAAUAAUUAGACCAGCUAGCUUCCUGACAAGUUGAUUCAUAAUCAAAUUAGGCAUCCCAAUGUUAACACUUUGAUAAAUGGCGGAGCACAAAAGCCUUGCACUUCAAAAAUAUGAUAUUUGUCUGUUUUUACUGCAGAGAACAACAAUCUUGGAUGUCGACUGUAGCAGUGAGUCCAAUUGACUUGCAUAAAAACGUAAGUUGAAACAUCAAACAGAAGGGUGUUCUCCUGAUUCCCGAAUUCUUUUCAUCUUGGUAAGGGCAUCCCCAACUCUGCAACUAAAUGCACUUCGCUUGCGGCUUUCGGAGACCAGCAUUACAUGUCUUUUCUUGAGUACCUCCAAUUAUGUGCCCACUUUUUCCUGCAGAAUUUCAACUUUUUCAUCUAGUUCAGGCUGUUCAGCAAUUACAGGGUCUUCAGGUACUUGCACUAUUCUAGCAACUUGUAUUAAACACUGUUUGGUAUUAGUGCAUUUUCUGCUGAUUAUUACUUAUUGUGGAGAUGAGUCGAUAUAUAUGAUGUUAAAGAGGAGUUCACCACAUCACAUGGCAGCAUCUUGUAUCCAGUUUUGGCUAAAGGCAGUUUAGCAAGAGAGCACUACUGUGAUACAAGCGCACCAUGGUAAAACGCAUUUGAUAUGAGUAAUCAAUGGGCAAGGGCAUUCAUCAGUCAUAGAUGGAGGUGAUGGUGAUCUUUUAUUGUUGGUGGUAAUUGUGGAAGGCAAUCAUGAUUGACAUUAAGACUGCACUGCACAAGAACGUGAAAGUUGAAAGUGCAAAAUUUACCAGGCAAUGCAUAGGAAGUGCACAUCAGUAGAUCUAAUAUAAGAAAGAGCAUAUGCUCGUGGAGGUGAUGUUUGAAAGUGGGCCUCUUAAAAGUGCAUGGAAUGUUGAAGUCAAAGCCGCAUUUUGCGCAGAGAAAAACAGCGUCAAUGCUCUUCACGACAUGCAUCAGUGAGCGUUCCUGAUACGGGAAGAAGUGGCUGUGCCAGGGUGAACGGGGUGUUGCAUAACUGAGGGCAAGUCAGCACAUGAUUUAUGGAGCAGAUGAGAGCAGCACUGCUCCAGCGGCAGUGGAUGAUCGUGAAUUUGAGAAAGAAGAGGCAAUCCACAUAACCAUAGACCUCACCUAGUAUGCUUUGCACUCGAUUCUGGUUUCAAGCUUCACGUUGUGGGACACCAGUAGAUGCUGAUGGGCGAAAUGGCCAAAAAACCGAGCCUUUCUUGCCCUCCAGGUCUUGUUUAUUUAGACUAAUAGCCGCACAGUCCAUGUCAAGGCUGAAAUUGCAUUUGCUGCGGCGGCAAACUAUAUGGCAGGCAUUGCAUUGGAGGUCUACCAAUUGAUCGAAAGCAAGAGAGAUGGUGAUCAUGGAGACGGGCAUUACAUCUCUGGAAAGAGAUUUGGCACAGCUCUCAUGGAGAAAGAAUACACACGUGUACCAUCGAUAGACCUCCUCGCAGGCUUCGCAUUUGAUUCUACUUUUCGUCUCUGAGAUGAUGGGAUGUGAGCAGAUGCUAAUGAGCAAAAUGCUGGAUGGUCGCAUUCUCAGAUUCCUCAUCAGGCUUAGAGUUGUGGCUAGGUAGACGAAGCAAUAGCAGGCCUGCAGCAACGGUCAACCAUCCAAAUGGCAAGGAGGAAGCCCGCUUACACGCAUGGCAACUCCGACAAUCCUCCGCAUCAUCGCCUACUGUGCGGUCAAGUCGGGGCAGCGGGUGAAACGGGGGUCCUAGGGCGGACAGCAUGCCAAAUUCAGUGCAACUGGUGAAAGAAAAAUUGACACGAUUCACGGCGGUGGGCUGAGCCACGGAGCGAAGACCAGCACGCGAGACAUUCCAAGCAACUACAACUUCCGCUUAGGUUCCGGAGACUCAAUGCAUGAUCACCAAGGCAAAUUAGGAGAUGAAAAAAGCGUUUUGAAUGGAGUUAUAGUUGAGUGAUGUCAACACGAAGUAAAUGAGGUGACAUGAAUUGUACCCUACUCCCGUAUUAUUUGAUGUUGUAUUUCAGUGUUCAUUUCUACAUUUUUAUUUUAUUUUAUUUAUGCUUCAACGCAAUAGUUAAUAAAACUAAAGUGGCCCAUGAAAAGUUUUAUGUCUUGUUCAUUUAGAAUGCGUUUGGUAACGAUUCUGUUCUCGGGAGCUGAUUCUAACUAGAAAUGAUUAUUUUUUAUUCUGUUCCUAAGAACUGAUUAUGAGUAAAAAACGUGUUUGAUAACUGCCCAAAAUUUUUUAUUCUGGAAUAGAAUUGUGUUUGAUACCGUGCUAAUUGAUUAUGUUCCAAAUUAAUUUCUUUUAAUUUUUAAAUAAUUUUUAAAUACUUUUAAAUCUUUCUUUCUUUUUUACCUUUUUCCUUUUUUCCUUUUUUUCUUUUUUUUUUUUCCCUUUUCUCCUAUUCUUCUUCUUCUUCAUUUGGCCAGUCACCGGACCAGCGACCGGCCAGACGAGGGCCGGCGACGCUCACCGGAGCUUCGCUGGCCCUCGGCGAGGUCGGCCCUCGUCGGCCGAGCCUCGCCGGUGGCCAGGCGGGGCUAGGCGAGCCUCGUCGAUGGCCGAGCGAGCCUCGCCUGGCCACCGGCGAGGCUCGCCCAAGCCCCACCGGUGGCCAGGCCGGCCUCGUCGGGGUUGGGCAAGGCCGGCCUUGCCGGUGGCUGGGCUUGCCUCCGGCGAGCUCGCUAGACCUCGCCCUAGCCUAGCAAGCCUCCGGCGAGCUCGCCGGACCGGCGGACAGCAAUCGGCGGAUGGCGGCAAACGGUGGUGGACAACAAUCGCGGGAUGUCGGAAGGAAAUAAUGAGACUUUUAUUGUGUUGAUUCUUUUUUUGAUUCUUGGACGGAGAAUCAUAUUUUUUUUUAUUCUCAAUUCUCUUCCCAAUCUGUUCUCGGGAACAAAAUUUUUACCAAACGCGAUUCUCGUCCCAGACUGAUUCUGGGAACAAAAAAUCAAAAUCAGGCACUGUUUGGCACGUUGCCAAAUAGGCCCUUAAAGUCGGCUGCAAUUAUAUGAGGUCUUAAAAGUGCAUUCACCUUGGGCUAGUCUAUACAUUCAUUAAAGAGUUCUUAUCUAACUUAUUCUAAAAGUAACUUACGUUGGACAAUUUUGCGAACAAUGGUUUUGUCAUAAUUGUUUAAAAAACCAAAUUCACCUAUUUUUAAUUUUACGAGUUAUUUUUUUAAUUUAUUAGUCGAUUGCAUUUACAUGUAAAAGUAAUGUUUACAUUUGCCAUUAAAUACAAUUUGUACAAGUAGUAUGAGCCGAACCUACUUUUUUUCUAGUUAUCAAUUUCUGUAUAAAUGCACAUGUUCCGCAACACCCUUGAUCCGUAAGCUAUGUCAAUAUGGCUCAUUGAAGCAGCAAUUGUAAUUAAACUGAAGUUUUCUUUUAAAUCUUUGAAUAGAACUCGAUUUUAUUUUCAUAAACUAAACAAUUAUCCGCAUUGGUUAUUUUAAAAAAUAAUAAUAAUAUAGAUUGAAGUUGUUAUAGAUCCAAUUCACAUAUAUAACCUACAACUCAACUAAUUAAACUGAAUUUAGAUCCACAGAUCUAUGAAGACUAAGACCAAGGAGAACAUUUCUAGAAAGAGCAAAACAAAAUAGAGAGGUGCUCUUUCGAGUAAUUACAAGUAAACCUAUACAAAUGAUAGAAUGAACUACAUUUGGAUGAAAUAAAGAUUAUGAUGCAUGCACAUUUUAUAUCUAUGGUGAUCAUCUACUCCUUUUGCUAAAAAUUUGAAUUUAUUAUACUAAUCAAAGUAAUGGUUGGUCCAACCUUGAUUUUAAACCGGGUCACACCCUUUUCUGGGGCAAAAAAGAAAGAAGACAAAAUGCUCUUUUUUUGUCAUAUUUAUUCUCUCCUACUUGGGUGUUUACAUGUAUAUAUAAACCUCUUUUCAAUCUCCUUUAUGGACUUUGCGGCGUUACAUUAUAAUCGCAUGGCCACUCAUGGGUAGAAAUGGGGCCUUCAGGAAAGUUGGGAACUUUUUUUAAACAAAAAACCAAUUCGAGUAGAAUCGACAUUAAAAUUAAAAUUUGAGAUUUUUUUAGGAAAUUAGCAAAAUUCAUACUUCCAUCAAUAAUCCAAGGUGUCUUAAACCGAAGAAAAUGCAAUCUUUUGUAAAAUAAAAACAUAUUUUCGUAAUAUUUCACCAAGAAAAAAAUGCCGUUGCUUCAAAAGUAUUUUGGUAGGAUUUUGUAUAUCCAACAAUUAUAGAAAUAGGUGAAUUCAUGCAUAAAACAUGGCGACACAAAGAUGCUCACGUCACGAUAUAUCAUUUGCACAAUAAAUGGAUAAUUAUAGAAAGGGAGGGGCGGCCGUUAUUGGAGUAUGGAAUUGGUAACAUUGUAAUGAUAUAGAGAAACAAUAAUGAUAUGUCAUUUAUCUAUUGUUACACCCCCAACUUUAUAAAAUAAGGAAAACAACAAUAUCAUGGUGUCGCGACUUAAUCUCAAGUGAACCACUUAGGAUUUGGCUAAUGGAUUACUAAGCCUAAACUUAGCAAGCGCUCUCCCAAGCCCAUACCAAUUCGCAACGUAGUUCAUGUUCUUAACAUAUAAUUGAUUUUUAAUUAGAAGUUGCCACUAAUCCAUUUUUAGAUGGUUGAUUAGAAACCCAAAUAAAGUAACGGGAGAUUUACUUUACUCUUGCGAACUAGAGAUUGUGAGUUCGGGGACUUAAUUACGCUAGAUUUCUCUAACGCCAUUUUAGUACUUUUCUCUUUUAUUUUGAAAAAAAAUGUUUUGUAAGCAGCUUAAAUUGAUUUUAAUUUACUAUGACGUGAUCAUGCGAGUACGCAAACCACUAAUUUAACAAAAGCAAUAAAUUAUGAGACUUACUUUGUAGCAACGAAAGUAUAUGUAAUGUUAACUCAAAAUUCACAUCAAAAGCCUGUGAUUCUUAAUUAACACGCAGUCACUCAAAUUUUCAAGGAUUUUCUCUUGUUUAAUAAAAUUUAAUCUAUGUGCAAUGCAAUCUAACCAAAUGACCUAAUUCUAAUGACGGCCAAUUUCUAAUUAAAUGGACCUAACAACAAUCACUAAAUGACAUGCAUUUCAUGAACACGUGCAUGAUAUUUUUGAUGUUUUUUUAAAUAAAAAUUCGUAAUUAAAAAUUGCUAAAAAUAAAAAUCUAACUAAAGUGAGAUAUUAUAUAUUUUAAGUUAGGAAAUAGACUAAUCUAAAUCAUAUCUUAACUUAGAAAUUUAUCUUAACAUGCAAUUUAAUUCUAAGAUACCAUCUAAUCUAAAUAUCAUUUAUACAUGCAUUCUAAUAUAAUUAGAACGGUACCUAACUAUUUUAUCAUGCAAUUCUAUCUAGAAAAUUAAUUGUAAUCUACAUGAUAUGCAAAUGCAAUUUUUUUUUUUUUUUGUAUUUUCAGGAUAAAUAAAGCAAUUAAAAGAUAAGCACUAAAUCAUUCACGGUCAUCAAAGACAUUAUCCAUUUUUCGAAUUAGGAAACAAUAUCUAAUCAAUUUAUUCAAUUUGAUUAUUUCGCUAAUAAAAUCAAUAAAUUGAUCUUAAGCUUAAAAAUUAAAAUAUCAAUUUUAUUCUCACGUGAUUAAUUAUUCCAUCUAAAGCCUUAUAGAUGGAAUAAAAAGUCGACAUGCAAUUGCGCCUUAGGCAAUAAAUCCUAAUUGAAAAUACACCUAUCAUUUAAAUAUGCACGUAAGAUAUUGAAAAGCAUGUUUUAGGUAAUAAAAUAUCCAAAUUGAAUUUAGAUAAGAUAAUUACCUAAUUCCACAAAUAAUAUUUACCAAAUUUGAACCGAAUAAAAUCCGCUUAAUGGGUACCGGCGUGUGUGGUGGUGCUUACGAGGACGGGCAGCUGUGGGCGGAGGGCAGUGAUGGCAGACGGAGGCGCCGGCGUUCAAAGCUCCGGCGAGGGGCAGCAGGGCGGCAGCGAGCAGCCGGAGUCAGGUGCUGCAGCAGGGGCGCGGAGGCAAUGACCGGCAGAAGGAUUGAGCUGCUGGCGCGGCGGUGCUCACGGGUUGCUGCAGCGGUGGCAGACGCGGGGGCCGCGGCGACCGGCUUACGUUGCUGCAACGGUGGCGGGCGCGGGGCCGCGGCGACCAGCUCGAACAGAGGCGCGGAGCAGUGGCGAAGGCGAGGCAGAGCAGGGGCGCGGAGGUGCAGGUUGCAGCAGCAAACGGACUUCGGGGGACACGGCGACCGGCUCGAGUUGCUGCAACGGUGGCGCGGCGAGGGGGCUCGGGCUGCUAGUUGCAGGAACGGCGGUGGCGCGGUGAGCAGGGGCGGAGCUUCGGCUGCUGGCGUCGACAGCAGCGGCAGCGAGUGCAGGGGCGGAGGCGCGGCAACCCGGCGAGGAGCUGCACGAAGAAGAAGACCCUGUUCUUUUUUUCUCUUGUUUUUCUCUCUCACCCGUCCACUCUCACAUCCCUUCUCUCUGCACCCCUUCAGAAAAAGACAAACCCCCUUCUUCGUUGACUUUGACCCCCCUCAACGAAAAAGAACUCCCUUUUGAAAAACAAGCAAAUAGUGAGAGAACCCCAGUAAAAUGGGGAUAUAUAAGAAUUUCUAUUAGAUUUUGAUUUCAUCUCCCUGAUCCCAUCUUCUAUGUGGUAUAGGCCUCGGUAAAGGAACUUGCUUGAUAUGUCUCAGCCAUGAUCUCGCAUCAUGCACAAGCGCAAUGCUGGGAGAGAUGCAGAACCAUGUGGUCUGAUAGAAAUAAGGAAUCUUUCAAACAAAGGGGGUCCUUCCUCCCCUCCUACUUGUCUGUCAUAAGCAGUGUUGAAUUUGUCAAUUAGCUCAUUCAUUUUGCUGCAGAAAGGAGAAGAAUUAUCUGAGUUUCUAAAAUGAAGCUCACAAUGUUGAGAGCAAACCCACGCAUUGACAAGUCAAUGUCAAUCCAGUCAUUAUCAAUUUGUCUGUGCACCAUAGAAACUUCUAAGUUAUAAAGCGAACAAACCAAAAUUAAGCAUAUUUCACAAAAGAAAGCUCUCGACUUUGCUACUUUCCCCAAAGUUUAGCUGACCCGUACCAAAGGUUUAUCAUGUUCCAAGGCUUCCUAUAAACAGACUAACUUGAAAUCUUGUGAAAGAACAAAUGCAUUGUGUUGCUCAAGGCCAAAUAUUGGAGAAGGUUUUCCCAACACCAUAUCUGCUAGGAGCAAUUCCUAACAAGUAGAUUGCACAAAAGUCAAAUACUAGGGAGAUGUCAUCUCAGUCAAAUUGUUCCCGAUGAAAAUUUCAACUUAUAGUAUAUAUUCUUCCAGAUUCAGCUAAUAACUCGCAUCAUUGGAUAAGCUUUCAGGCACAUGACUGGUGUGGUUUGAUUUAUAUACACAAUCCUCAAGCAUUAUAACCCAAAAGAUGGUCCAGAGCAAUAUUUUCAUCCUAAAUCAUGACUCCUGGACAUACUCAAAAUAUGUCAAAAGUAAAUAAUUCAAAAGUUUGUUCAUACCUUGAGCAAUUGGCGAGCAUGGCCAGGUAAGUAAUCAACAAUGUAUCAUUGCACUCCUCGAAAGCGAACAUCAAAAUUAUUCAGCAACUAAUGUAUAAAAAGAAAUUUAAAAAGGAAAAAACGAAACCUCAACUUCAGGGCAUGUCAAACUAAACAGAAUACUUGCCAUCAAAAAGUCGUCCUAAAAUUUCCCUGAUUCAAUAGCUGGCAAUCUUUCGAGAAGACUAGUUAUUUGUCUCAGCAGAGAAUUCUCACAAGGAAUCUCACCUGCCAGUGCAAUCGGUACAUACUCUAAUUUGUACCCAUAGAUACACAUCUUCUAUGCAACAAUCCUUUUUACAUUGAAGAAACAGAAGCCACAUUUCAGAGGAUACAUAGGACACGGAGAUGGCAGCAAUUGGUUCGUUUGUUUUCCCAUGUGUGCAAGAAAUAUUCUGGUAGGCCAUAAACAUGGCUAAUGAGUAACUCGUUAGAAUACUCGUCAUCUCUUUCAAAUUACAUGCAUUCAUUCUCCUGUCUUUUUACACAUUCUAUAGUAGGUGGGCUCUCCAAAUUUACGGACGGAGGCCUCUCAAACUUCUUUAACACCCCCAAUUUGAUGCAACUGCCAUGACUGAUGCAUUUGAGUCGCAGCUUUGGCUGUUGCCAGAGAAGCCAUUGUGUUAUCCUGCAAUAUCGGUUGGUUAGUUCUUGGCAAACAAGAAAACUACCGAUAAUCCAGAUAUAUUUUUCACUAAAUCCCUGAACAAAAAGCCGAUAAUCGAGAAAAACACCAAUGAUCCAGAUAUAGUUUUCACAGAAUCUCCUCAGCAGAAAGCUGAUAAGAUAUGGACCUAUGGUGGAGCAGUUGCAUCCCUCUUUAUUGCACCAGUGAAACAUCCAUCCCCCAGUUCCGAUUAAACAAGAUCAUCAAGGUUUGACUCUAUUUUAAACUCCACCGAGCAGAACUCUCAGGCACGCAAUUUUUAAAUAAAUAAAAAAUUCUUUCAUUUCUAGCAAAGAAUCUGAUGGUACCAACAAAGCGAAAACCAGCGAGGACCCACGAAAGAGUACAGAAAAUAUUAAGGAAUUCGAAUACCGAGAGAAACUAAAGAAGAGAUAUAACAAAACAGAAAAAGAUAAAAAAAAAAAAAAAAAAAAGGAACGAAGAGGAGGGGCUUACAUGCUGAGCUGAGAGGAUCGAACAGGACCAGUGAAGAGAGAACGACCCCUACACAUUGUGGCAAAACAAGAAAUUUUGACAAUCAGCAGGCGAGCUUCACCCAAAACAUAUAUGCGGAUAUAAAAACCAGUAAAAAAAAAAACUGGAAAGCGGGACUUGUCGUCGCAGAUUUAGGGCUUCUCUGGAGAGACGGCUUUGAGCAGAGCGGAAAGUGGAAGCGAGUCGUCAAUGGAAGAUUAGACGAGAGAGCAGAGCCAUUGCUUCCUGGCCGCCAGUCGGGAGGGACGGAGAAAGCCGAGCCCAAUCGGUCAUCGGGAGAGAGCGGAAUCCAGGCAGACAGAGGUCACGAGAGUGAGCGGAGAGAAUGCCAUCGGGAGGAAGAGGCCGUCGUCUGGAGGGAGCGUUGUCGGAGUGAGCGCUAUUUGGGAGAGAAGAGAACGUCGUCGGGGAGAUAGUGAGAAGAGAGAAGAGAGAGGAGAGAGAAAUGAAGCGCUGAGUUGAGUAGAGAGAGAAGAGGCCAUCUCUCUCUCGCGGGCUCGGUUUAAAAUUGGCUGACACGUGAGCCCCGAAAGACAGAUGUCGAUCUCUGAAUGGUUCAGAAUAAGGAUGGCGUAGUCCUUUGAGGUGCAUCUAAUAUUUUCUCCCUUCGAAAAAAGAUAAAAAAAAUUUAAAUUUUAUUUUUUAUAAUUGCAUCAACGUAAUGAACACUUGUCUUUUUUCCUAAAGGAUUUCUUUUGUCAAGACUCCAUCCAUACAAAUCCCAUGCAAAAGAUAAUUGCUUCUGGGUCAUCUAUCUACGUGAAGUUGACAGUUCCCCCCAUACAGGUGGCGGGGACAGGUGUCGCGGCGCCACUCUCCUAACCUAGCUCCGGCUAGUCGAGGCUGCCGUGGAGUUGGGGAAGUACACAGGAUGAAUUUUUCUCGGCUUGCUUAGGCCACGUUUGUUAAUGCUAUUUAUUUCUGUUUAUGAGCAAAAUUUCUAAGUUUUUGUUCCAGGGAACAAAAGAAGAACAGAAUCGUGUUUGUUUGUGUUUUUAUUUCAAAUAUAUUUUUUUGUUCCCAGGAACCAUUUGGAACAGAAACAAGAAACAAGAAAAACGUGUUUCUUGUUUCUGGAAUAAUUUUUAAGAACAAAUUUUUUUUCUCCUCUCUUUUUCUUCUCUUUUUUUUUUUCUUCUUUUCUUUUUCUUUUUUCUUUGGCCGGUCGCCGGCCUCGGCCAUGGCCAACAAUCGACUGUCAAGGGCCGGCGACCUCGCCGGAGCGUCACUGGCCCUAGGCGAGGCCGAGCUUGCCCAGCCAAGGCAAGGCCAAGCCUCGCCCAACCACAGAGAGCCAGGGCGCCGAGCCCGUCUACUAGUCGCCGGCCAUGGCCGAGGCCCGGCGACCGACCAAAAGAAGAAAAGAAGAAAAAAAUUAAAAAAAAUUAAAAAAUUAAAAGAAACAAAAAAAGAACACAAAUUUACCAAACAUGUUUUUGUUCAUUUUUUAUUCCCAGAACAAGUUUACCAAAUGCGUUUUUUUAUUCAAAAAUUGUUCCCUAAAACAGAAACAAUUUUUUUCUAAUUCUGUUUUUUGGAACAAUUUUAAAACAAAAAUGUUACCAAACGCGCUCUUAGCUUUUGAUCUUAUAUAAACCCUGAUUUUGUGUUGAUAUUUCCAAAUUUUAUUUUCAGAAAAAGACAAAAACUUUCUUAGAAUCUAUUUUUUAUAAUUGCAUCAACAUAACCAACACUUUUUUAGAUUCUAUUUUUUAUAAUUGUAUCAACAUAACCAACACUUGCCUUUUUCUGAAGGAAGUUUUUUUUCAUUGAGUUCCAAGACCUCUCUCUGCACCCCUUCAGAAAAAGAACUCAACAGAAAAAUGCCACGUAAGCAAUUUGGUCAGAAUUUAUCGCUGUUGACACUUAAGUCUUCCAUUUUUCUCCAAUUUUAGCAUUUAAUUGUAUCUCUUAAGUGUCCACCCGAACCAAAUUUUGACAAUUGCAAUGUUUGGCACUCUUUUCUUUUGGAUUAAUAUCAUGAAAAAUCUCAAAUUGGUAUAUCUAUGAUAAACUUACCCCAAAUGACAAAAAAAAAAAAAAAACUAAAUUGGCCAAAUUUAUCUCAAACUAAUUUUUGGACUACCGAAAAUCUCAAACCAUUACAUUUAUGACAAAUAUAUCUUCCGUUAAAUUAGUUUAAUAGUAUAAAAAACAACAAAACUAUUACAAUGGCAACAAAUGAAAAAGUAUAAUUCCAAAUCAGUAUACCAACCAACUGUUUUUUUUUUUUUUGGUAAAAUAUACCAGCCAAGUAUUACGUGUCAUUCAACUCAAUAAUUUGAUAGUAAAAUUUAACGGAAAUUAAUAGAUGGUAAAUUUAUUGUAAGUGUAAUAGUUUAGAUGAAAUUAUCAAAGAUAUAUUAAUUCGGGAUUUUUUAUAGUUAAAAAAAAUAAUUUGAGAUAAAUUUAUCAUAAACAUAUUAAUUUUGAGUUUUUUGUGGCAUUAAUCUUUUUUUUUAUACAAAAAAAGUUAAUCAGAAAGUUCAAAGGCCUUCCUCCACUCUAUGAUGGGAUGAGACUGAGGGCUGAUGACAGGAACGUCAUUGGAAUAUUUUUAGAGAAAGAUGAGUACUAUGGUCAGGACCCAUAGUACUCAUCAAUAUGAUAUAUUAACGGUGUCCCUGCCUUCUCCCCUCACGCAGCCAUGGAUUUUACAACCAUCGUCUCUAUCCUCGUCAAUUUCAUCCAAGUUAAAUUCCAGGGCAAGUUGAUUUCGCCCUUCGAAACCCACCCCGUCGCCACCUGCAUCGCCAUCUGCAGUCUGCUCCUGCAUUUCUUAUUGCUGCAUCUCGCUGAACGGGCACCACCGUCUAGCGGCCGUGCUCCUCCUUGCGAUGGAGCAUCGCACCUCCUCAUCCACUUCGCCGGUUCGAUAUCGGUGGCUUCGCUCGCGUGGUUGCUGCUCCACGACUCCUCCCACUCCGUCCUCUGGUUGUUCGUGCUGCUCCUGUUGCUUCCCGUGAGUCUCUUGCGCGGCCUCAUUCAAAAACUUUGGCUUUGGUUUUACAACAAAAUCUUUGCCAUGAUUUUCCUUGCGGUGCCGUCUCGUCUAUGGCAUGGUGGAAGAGCGCCACCACAUUUGCCGCGCCCGAUCGUGAAUCCACGUUUUAUGUUGGAAGUUUGAGCGCCAUAGUUGUUCAGAGCGCCGUAGUUAUUCGACUGUUCCCUGCUUGGAAAAACUAAUUUAUAUUGUAUGACCAAUUUAAAUCAGCUAGUUUUGUAUAAGAUGCACUCGGGCCUUUCUUCUGUUUAUCUCAAAACAUAAGGAGUCCCCAAGCCUUCGGCAUCAUCGAAUUAUCUCCCGACAAUAAGAAAGGAGAGCAGGGAACAAGUAAAAACCACCUAUGUAUCUUCCCUAUUCCCAGCCAUGAACAGUGAUGGACCUUGUCGCGACUAGAUCUGUUUAAGCUAAGCUAGCCCUCAAAAGAAAUUGUGAUCUAUUGUUAUCGAAGAGAUUGAAGAUGCCUCAACAAUUGUUACGGCACAUAUGAGGGGUAGUAAUUGUUCUUGAGGUUAUAGCUUCUGACCUCUUUGAAAGCAUUGCUGAGUAUUGCAGAUUUCCUUAUUUUUUUCUGGUGAAUCUCUUUGUAGCUCUCUGUUUGGCCAGUGGAUGGAUUUGUCAUUUUACAUUCCUUGCUGGUGUGCUAUGGUUUUGCUCAAUUAUCCACAUGAACUAGGAUAAAUUGAUGCCUUGGAGACGAGAGCACAGCUACAAUAUCAAAAGCUUUGAUCUAACAGUAACACUAACAUCAUUGCGUGAUCCAAAUCAAAAUGAAAGAUGUCAGCCUUUUCAUCUCAGUCCUGUAUACACCAUUACUGCUUACUAGCUAUUCCGAUGAUAAUAUAGUUGUAGUUUGUCAUUGAGAACGUGGGAGUCGUUACAUCAUACAGUCUUCAUUUGACCUCUGAGAGGUGACAAUUACAAAUUUGCUGUGGCAAAUGCGUCAAUCUGCAAUCUAAGGCUACGUUGUCUCACUGGCUGAUUGGUUUUUGGCCAGGAGCUUGAAUUGUUGCUUCAGUCGGACAUUCAAGUUGCUGGGGCCAAGGUGAGAGAAGAAUGCUGAAAGAAGAUUUUUGUUUUUUCCUUUUUCCGGGAGGCUUUAGUUCAAGAUAACUGAAUUUUGGUUUACUGUAGGUGUUAGAACCGACCUUUUCCCACUCUUCAUGUGCUAAAGAAUUUACAGUUCAUGUAUGCAAAGCUAGACAGAGUAUGCAGAUGCUUGAGACAAGUCUGCAAACUACAGACAUCUGUUUUUUGUAUUUGAGGAAAUAAUUAGACCGGCAAGCUUCCUGACUAGUUGAUUCAUAAUCAAAUUCUGCAUCCCAAUGUUAAUAUGUUGAUAUGUGACAGAGCACCCAAGUCUUGCACUUCAAAAAUAUGAUAUUUAUCUGCUGUUGCUGCAGAGAACCACAAUCUUGGAUGUCAACUGUAGCAUCGAGUACAAUUGACUUGCAUAAGAACGCAAGUUCAAGCAUCAAACAGAAAGGUGUUCUCCUGACCCCCAAAUUCUUUUCAUCUUGGUAAGUGCGUCCCCAACUCUGCAACUAUGUGCACUUCCCUUGCGGCUUUUGGAGACCAGCAUCGCAUGUCUUUUCUUGAGUACCUCCAGUUAUGUGCUUGUUCUUUCCACUUUUUUCCUGCAGAAGUGCAAUUUUUUUCGUCUAGUUCAGCAAUAGCCGGGAUUUCAGGUAUUUCCACUAUUCCAGCACCCUGGAUUAAAUUUUGUUUGGUAUUAGCGCAUUUUCUGUUGAUUAUUAAAAAAUGUUUGGUUUGUGGAGGAUGAAUCGAUAUAUAUGAUGUUCAAAAAGGAAUAUGGCUAUUCACCACAUUACAUGGCAGCAUCUUGUAUCCAUUUGUUGGCUGAAGUCUGUUUAGUAAGAGAGCACUUUUGUGAUGAAAGCGCGUUGUGGGUUAAACACAUUUGAUAUGAGUAAUCAAUGGGCAAGGAAUUCAUUGGAGUUCUAAGCGCCCAGAAUUGGGUCCCUUAUCAUCUUGCGAAGGUCACAUUAGUACUCACUGGUAUCAUCUUUGAUGAACAAAGCAUAAAAUGUGAGUUGAUGGAAGUUAAUGACAAUCUUUUACUGUAGUUGAACCUGCAAAAUUUACCACAGAUGCUGCAUAGGAAGCACAGUUUGGUAGAUCUAAUACAAGCAUCAGUUUGUGGUAGAUCUAAUACAAGCAUGGUUCAGUCCCUUCUGCAUUCCAUAGUCAAGGGUGAGUCCCAUGCAUCAGUUUGUGGAUCGCGGUCUCACACACUAAUCCCUACAGAUUCCUGUAGGAGGACCAAAUCAUAUUGAUUUUAAUUUUCAUGCAGGUUCCUUCACCAUUUGAUAUGAACUUGGAAGUUGAUCUUCUUCUCAGGUUUAUAAAAGCCAGAAUGCUUAUUGUGGAAAACGAUUCCCAAGAGAGUUAUCAUGAUACUAAGUCAAAUAAUGAAGCUAAGUACAUGAUCUACAGAAGAACUUAAGACUGCAGGACCGUCAAAUGCUUGUGCUAAUUCAGUAGAAGAUACUUAAAAAUUGUAACCUUUAACUGGAGUGCAAAUGUUUCUGAAGAGACCGAAAAUACUUUGACAAUCAUUACGACAAGGAGGAUGGGGAGAUGUUUCUUUGUUUGUUUCAAGGUUACCGAAGAUACUACUAGACGAAAACAUUUGGAAGAUUUUUCUUUACUGAAAAGAGAAAUAGAGGCACAUUAAUGAAAAAUGGCGCUUUUACUAGCAUUUUCAGAUAUUAACUCUUUAUUAUCACAUUGCCACGUGUCAAAUGUUGUCAUAUGAUCAUUUCUAGUUGCCAAACUAAAGUUAUGAACUAGGAUAAAUAGAUGCCUUGGAGACACGAGCACAGCUGCAAUAUAGAAGCUUUGUUCUAUCGUCACAGAGUUAUCCAUAUCAAAAUGAAAAAUGUCAGUUUUUUCAUCCCUGCCCCAUAUGCAUGGGUACUGCUUACUAGCUAUUCUGAUGAUAAUUUUGUUUCAGUUUGUCAUUGCAGAAUGACAAGAGUGGUUACAUCAUAUAGUCAACACUUUACGUCUUAGAGGUGACAACUAGAUCUUUGUUGCUGCGAAUGCGUCAACUUGCUUCAGCAAAUAAGAUUUAUAAAGGCAGAGACUUCUUUGUGAUGUAUCCUGUACGUAUCUGGAAGCUCUUGGAUCUGAGUAAUGCAAUCUAAGACUAUAUUGUCUCACUGGCUGAUUGGUUUUUGGCAGGAGCUAGAAUUAAGGCUUCAGUCUGAGAUUCAAGUUGCCAGGGCCAAGGUGAGAAAAGAAGGCUGAAAUAUAGAUUUCUUUUUUGGGAGGCUUUAGUUUAAUAUAACUGACUUUUGGUAGACUGCAGAUGUUAGAACUGAACUUUCCCCAUCUUCAUGUGCUGGAAAAGAAUUUUUACAGUUCAUGAAUGCAAAGCCAUACGGAUAGUAAGCAAAAGCUUGAGACUAGUCCGUACAAACUACUCACAUCUGAUAUUCAUUUUUUGAGGAAAUAAUAAGACCGGCUAGCUGCUGACAAGUUGAUUCAUAAUCAAAUUAUGCAUCCUUAUGUUAGUAUUCCAACUCAUGACAUAGAGCACACAAGUCUUACACUCACAAAUAUGAUAUUUAUCUGGUUUGCUGCAGAGAAUAACAAUCUCAGAUGUUGAGUGUCAGCAGUGAUUCCCUGUAAGUUGACACAACAAACAGGAAGGUGGUCUCCUGCCUCCCCAAUUCUUUUCUUCUCGACAAGUGACUCCCCAACUCUGCAACUACAUGCGCUUUGGUUGCAUCUUUUUGAGACAGGCAUUGCACAUCUUUUUUUUAGUACCCUCAGUUGUGUGCUUGCUCUCCUCUUUUUUUCCUGCAGAGUUGCAGUUGUUUCAUCUAGUUCAGCCAUAGCAGUGUCUUCAGGUACUCCCAAUAUUCCAGCAACCUGUAUUUGGUACUAGCAAGUUUUCUGUUAAUUAUUACUUAUUGUGGAGGAUGAGUCUAUAUAUAUGAUGUUAAAAAGGAACAAGGCUAUUCACCACAGCAAAUGGCACUGGCAGCAUCUUGUAUCCAUUAGAUGGCUAAAAUCUGUUCAGUAAUUCUGGGAUGAAAAUGCACCGUGGGUAAAACGCAAUUGAUAUGAGUAAUCAAUGAGCAAGGGCAUUCAUUGCAGUCAUACGCACCCAGAUUCAGGUCCCUUAUCUUCUCGCAAAGGUCACAAUUUUACUCACUGGUAUCAUCUUUGAUGAACGAAGCAUAGAGUGUGAGUUGCUGGAAGCUAAUGGAAAUCUUUUACUGUAAUGGAAGGAAAUCUGUGACUAUUAAGAUUGCAAGGCACACCACUUUAAAAGUCAAACCUGAAAAAUUUACCACAGACACUGCAUAGGAAGCACGGUGCAGUAGAUCUAAAUUAAGAAAGAGUAUAUGGUCAUGGAGGUGAUGUUUCAAAGUGAACCUAUCAAAAGUGCAUGGAAUCUUGAAGUCGUAGUAUCAUUCUGUGCAGUGAAAGACAGAGCGUCGACACUCUUCACAACAUAUGUCAACAGCGCUCCUUCCUGAUAUGAGAAGGAAAAAGGAUGUGCGGGUGAACAGGUUGUUGCAUAACUGAGGGCAAUUCAGCACGUGAUUUAUGGAGCAGGAAAGAUCAGCUCUGCUCCAGCCAGCGAUAGGCUAAACAUUUGAUGCAUUCAUCACAAGCCUUGCACGGACCAGCCUUCAUGUGACAGUUCCAGCAGCCGAGGGUGAUCAUGCAGUGCAGAAAGCAGAGGCAACCAAGACAACCAUUGACCUUUGCAUCCGAUUCUGUUUUAGAGCUUCAUGUGGAAGACCGGUGGAUUCUGAUGGUCGAAAUGGUAAAAAACCGAGUCGCUAGUGCCUCCAGAUCUUGCGAACAUAGAGUUAAAGCCAUGCGUGCAAUCCAUGUCAAAGCUGAAUUUGCAUUUGUCGCAGUCAGAAACCAUGGUAAGCAAAUAAGCAUUACAUUUAGCUCCUCCAUUUGAUCGAAAACAAGAGAGAGAGGGUCAUCUCUGGGGGAGACUCGGUGCAAGUUUUGUGGAGAAAGAAUAUGCACGCAUAGCAUCCAUAGACCUGCCCCAAGAUUGCUUGCUCACAGGCUUUGCAUUUGAUUCUACAUUUCAUCUUGAGAUGAUGGAAUGUGAGGGGAUGCUCUUGAGCGUUUGUUGGAUGGCCACGUUCUGAGAAUCCUCAUUAGGAGGACAAGCAAUAUUGGGCUGUGCAGUAACAAUUGACUGAUCCGACUGGCAAGAGAAGGUUUUCAUGUAUAAAUGCUGUCGCGACCUAACCUCAGUGCAGUAACUGAUAUUCCAAGCAAGUACGACCUUCCACUCAGGUUCCAGAGAUUCAAUGCAUGAUCACCGAGGCAAAUUAAGAAACCCAAAGGCGUUGUGAAUGGAGUUAUAGUUGCCGAGUGAUAUCAACGCGAAGCAAAUGGGGUGAAAUGAGAUGUACCUCAACUCCCGCAUUAUCUGAUGUUGUAUUGCAGUGCUAAUUUGUAAUAUAUAUAUAAUUGAUGCUUUAAUGCAAUGGUUUAUAAAACUGUCGUGGCCGGUGAAAAGUUUCAUUUCAUGUUCAUUUAUAAUUAGCCGCAAUGAUAAUAUAAUUUUCCAUGAAUUAACUAACAAAUGAAACUCCAAACAUUCUAUAAUGUCAUAAAGGUGCAUUCACCUUCGGUUUGUCUAUAAAUUUACUACAAAGUUCUUAUCCAACUUACUAUAAAGUAGCUUACUUAAGACGAUAUUGAGAUAAUAGUUUUGUAAAUUGCUAAAAUGGAUGUAACUUGACAUAACUUAAUAGUCUAUAAAACUAACUUCACUUUAUAUGUAAUGUUUAAAUUUGCUAUUAAAUACAAUACGUAACAAUGGUACCAAUGGUAUGAGCCAAAUCUACUUUUUUCUAGCUAUCGGUUUAUCCAUAAAUGUGCAAGUUCUGCAGCAAUCUUGAAUUCCACAUUAUCAAAAGAGAGUUACAUACAAUACAAUGGUCCGUAAGUUAUGUCGAUAAGGUUCACCAAAGUAGUAGUUACCAUUAAACUUGAUGUUUAUUAUCUUUGAAUAAAACUCGAUUUCAUUUUCAAAAAUUAAAUAUUUGUCUGCAUUUUUACCCUUGAAAACAAAUUAUAGAAUGAAGUUGUUAUAGACCUAGUUCACAUAUACAAGCUACGACUUUAGCCAGUCAAACUGAAUUUAGAUCCACAGGUCAAAAGUCGGCGUUUAUAUAAACUAUGAAGACUAAGACCCAGGAGAACAUUUUUGCAAAGAACAAACAAAAUAGGGAGGUACUCUUUCGAGGAAUUGAAAGUAAAACUGUCCAAAUGAUAGAAUGAACUACGUUUGGAAAAAGAAAAACCAGAGUUUUGUAGAGCUCAUAUCAAAAGGUUAUUGGAAGCCAUUCGAUUCUAACUUAACUUUGCUAGGAGCUGUAAUAGUCAGAUUGUGAACCAAAUUAUAGUAGUACAAUUGCUUUUGCUGCUAUAGUCAUCGGUAGCAAAAAAGCCAUGGCAAGAUCAGGAGGCACGUUACAUACUUCAAAACACCAACUUACUUGAAACAAGUAAAUUGCUACGAAUAUUAGAACGCCUAGAUCAAAUUAUUCCCUCCAUUCAUCAGGAAAUGGAAGGCAAAGGAGAAUCAGAAACGCUAUGUGGCCAUAGCAAAACUAAUUGCAAGAUAACAAGUUAACAAGGAAAAUGCAAGAGCAAUUUAGCAUAGAUAUUGCAGUACUUUCAGCUCGUUUCAGGAAACGAAACACAUUACAGAGAACGCGAAGCAUCCCGGAACAUCUCUUUCUCUUUUGUUUUUUGCACUGCAUAAUCUGAAUAAUCAUAAUUUACGCUUAAUUACGAAAAUUCCUCCAUUUAGAUAAAUAAAAGCCGUUGCUACCAAAUAGAAUUAAUCAGUCUUGUCGAAUUUUCCCGAGCGUUUAUGGAGCGAAAGCCCCCCUUUGUUUCCUCUCUUUUUCUCGGUUUCUCCGAACUUUGUUCUGUUUUUCUUUCUUUUCUUUUCUUUUUUGCUCUUCUUGGCCAGACACUGAUUUCUCUCUUUCUUUCUGCUCUUGUAAUUUCCCUUGCGAUGAAGCAAGACUAAAGAAAGGGCUAAAACGAGACACUCGAGCUUGGUCUUGGGCCUAGGCUUAAUUUUUUGCUUUUAAUUAUUAUUUUUUACAAGCCUAUUUAUUGUAACUUUAAUAAGUGUUGGAUACCGUAAGUGCCAAAACUUAGCACGGAUGAAUAUUUAAAUGUCAAAAACUUUCAAAAUGUACACUUAAGUACUAAAAAUGAAGAAGAAAUGAACAAUUAAGUGCUAACGACAAGAAUUUCUUUCCAAACCACUGACAUGGCAUUUUCAGGAGAUAUUUUUACCAACGUGGAAAUUAUUUUAAAAACAAUUAUCCACGUGGCACCAACGUGGUUAUAUAAGCCCCAAAAUGACGUCGUUUUUCCCUCAAAUUUGAUUUGUAAAUUGUCACGGAUUAAAAUGCGGGUGCACCACCUAGGGUUUAAGUUAAUGGACUACUAAGUUUUAAACUUAGCUCGGGCUCUCUUAAGCUCAUAUCAAUUCGCAACUUAGGUUCAAGUUUUUAGCAUGCAAAUGGAUUUUAUCUAAGAGUCGUCACUAAUCAAUUUAUGAUAGGUCGAUUAAAUACCUAAGUAAAAUAAUUGGAGAAUUAUUUUACUAGACUAAGGGUACGGGGACUUGGUUACACUACAUUGCUCUAAUGCUCUUUCAGUACCAUUUCUUUUAAUUUUAAAAAAUGUUUUUUGCAUGCAACUGAUUUAUUUUAACCUAAAUUACUAUCAUGUAAGUAUGGUGACCACACGGAUGCUCAUCCACUGUUAAACAUUCAAAUAAAAUAAAUAAAUAAAUAAAUUGCAUCAAACAAAAUAAUCAAUCAAUUUUUUUUUAGUCUUCUUGAAAUUAAAAGUUUUUUAUAAAACAUGCAUUUUAACUACAUGACCUGAUUUUACUAAUAAACAAAUUAUAAUUAAAUUAUCCUAUUAUGCAAAUUAAUUAACAUGCACCUAAUAUUUUUGUAUUUUGAAAUUUGGAAUUAAUAAAAAUCCUAAUUAAACUAUCUAAAAAAAUGAAUAAUUUUCUAAUUUAUUUUAGAGAUUAAUUUAACUUAAACCCUAUCCUAUUUUAAAAAAUUAUUUUUAGAAAAAUGAGAUAAUUAAAAUGUGCAAACAUCGUCUAAAACCCUAUUUAUAUAAAUAAAUUAUCUAAGUCCAACCCUAACCUAUUUCAAAAAUUAUCUAAAAAUGCACUCCUAAAAAAAUUCUAAUUUACUAAACCUACAUAUCUAAUUUACUAAAUCGACAUGCUUUGAUGUAAAAUUUGAUUUUUUUUAUUUUUAUAUUUUUAGUAUUUUUCCGAGACAAGCAAAUGUCGAAUAAACUAAUCAAAAUAUUUAACAAAUAAAGGAUUGAAAUAAUAAAAAAAAUAACAUGUUAUCUCACAGGUCAAAUUAACGAUUACUCUAAUCUAAACAUCACGAAAGAGAGUUCAAAAUAAUUAAAAAUCUGAUUCGAAAUCUUACCGAUCAAAUUAAUAAUUAUAAUGAUUUAACAAUUAAAAUUCUACAAAAAUGCCCAAAAAUUAAUGUAACUAAAAAAAAUGAUCCAACAUCUUACGGAUCAAAUUAAUAAUUACAAUAAUUUCGACAAAAUCCCUCCGGAUAAUAUCAGAAUAUGCAUAAAAUGAAAAUCACAUUCCUGUACAAUAAUAUUGAAAAUAAAAAAUAAACUAAAAUACCAUGAAAUAAAAUAUAUAUAUAUACAAAUAACAAAAGCCACCUGAAGGGGGACUUGGAAAGAGGGAGCAACGGCGCCGAUCAGUGAGGGGCGGAGCACGGCGGAGGGCAGGCGGGAAGUGCGGCGGCGUCGGACUCCGGUGGCAGGGAAGCGGACGAGCGGAGGUGGUGCAGUGGCGCGGCGUCGGCGAGGGCAGGAGCGCGGUCGUCGGGUGCGGAGGAGUCGGGCGCUGCUGCGUCGGCGACAGAGGAGGAAAACGGCGAGCGGGCUGCUACUCGGCAGAACUCGAAACUUCGGUGAGGAACAGCGGCAGCAAGCAAUUUCAGGUGCAGGCGGCGUGCAGAGGGCUGAUCGCGGCGAAGCGGGUGUAGCAGGAGCAGCAAGCAGCGGUGGCGGAGACGCAGGUUGAUGGCGUCGCGGUGGUGUUCGGGACGUCAGGCGCUGGGUGCGGCGAGCUGCUCGUGGAGGUCCUACAGGCGGCGGUGGCGCGGUGAGCAAAGGGGGGUCGAGCGCUGGAGGGCAGCGGCGGCGAGCAGUGGCGUCGCUGGGAGCUGAUCUGCCGGCGUCGUUGGCGGUGCUGUGCGUCGGGGGUGAGUCCGGCGGAGGUGAUGCUGAUGCGUAGACGGCCGGUGCGGAGGAAGGCAAGCGGAGGCUCGGCUGCUGCGGGCGGGCACCGGGCGGUCGCGGACGGCUGGCGGAGCGGCGGCAGUGGUCGGCGCGAACGGGGAAACCGGCGGACGCCGGCGAGGAGUCUACGAAGAAGAGGAACAGUCCUCUUCUUUUUUUUUUCUUUUUUUCUCUCUCCUCCCUGUCUAUUCACACGUCUCUCUCACUGUACUCACGUCUCCUUCACUCUUUCUUUUUAACUUUCCCUCUUCCCCAACGAAAGAAGGGAGAAAGAAAAAAACUUCUCCUUUAUUUAUUUAUUUGAUGAUCCAGGGAAUCUCGUGCGCCGCUUUGCGGCGAAGUAAACCCUGGGAUGGACCCGGCCCACCACCGCUGACCAGGCCCACAGGUAAAUCGCGCGUAAUGCGACCGGCGAGUCUCGAACCCUUCCCCUAGGGGACGGGGUACCAAGCCUUAACCAUUUCGGCCACCGCGAACGGUGGUCUUUCUUUUAUUUUUUGUGCAUGAAUUUCUCUCCAAUUUUUACUCUGAAAUUUUUUCGAAAAUCGCCCCCUCUGCACGAAAAUUAUGUCUCUCUUUUAUAGUGAUUUUCAGAGAGCCACUUUCCAUGGCAACUUUCGAGUUUUCAUCUUCUGUUGCAUUAAAUUAAACCUGCAAAUUGGAGCAUGAUUUCGCAAUCAGUUCGAUUUUGUUUGGUUCCUUCCAUUUUAUAGAAAUCUUUGUCACUUAUUCACCUGAUUUUUCAAUUAUUUCUGCAUUUAUCAAAAUCUGAAUACUCAUUAGAAUUUCAAAUUUCCAUGCAUAAUAAAUCAAUCAAUUUUCCAUUUUUUUUCAUUUUUCUUUUUUGUUUUGAUGCAUUUUUUUAGGGGUUAAAUUUUUUUUUGGUAAAGAUUUUAGGGGUUAAAAUUAAUCCCUACUUUUUAUGCAAAAAAUCAAUGACUGGAUCGCCAAAAUUUAGGUGUUAACAUAAAUUAAAUAUUAAUUAAAUUAAAUUACGAUGAUGUGGCAUUUCGUUAAAAAAAAAUUAUCCACGUGACACUAAUAUGACUAAAUAGCCUAAAACGACGUUGUUUUGAUCCAAAUUUGAUUUAAUUAAUAUAAAUUUUAAUUAAAAUAAAUUGAAGAACUAAAAUUAUUAUUAAAAAAAAAAAGGGAAUAGGGGAGGCCCUUGCUGUCGCUACCCCACCAUUGCCGAAAAGGGUUGACAAUUGUAGGGCAAGGGUCGAUUGGCCCUCACCUACGGUCAGCCAAGGUUGCGCAACUUGGCCGAGGCCCGAUGACCCCUACCGACCAUCGCCCCACCGUUGCUAACCCUUUAUGACGAUGGUGGGGCAAUGGCAGCGAGAGCUGUAGAGACCCUCGCUAAUUUGCUGCCCCUUAUUAUCUUUCUCUCUCUCUCUCUUUCUUUUUAAGGUUUUUUAAUUUAAUUUAAUUAAUAUUUAUAUUAUAAAUAAUAUUUGGGGCAGAAUGAUGUUGUUUUGAGACAAGCAUUGAGACAUUCUUAUGAGUGAUGUAGACCAGUUUUAUUAUUGAAAUAAUGCCACAUUGAAAAUUCAACAACGUUGGAAUUGUCACUUAACUAUACAUUUUGAAAAUUCUGGUACUUAAGUGUCUACCAUGCCAAAUUUUAACACUUGGAUGUACUUUUGCCCAACAUUAAUCACUGAGAUAAAUCUUUUGGGUUAUUACGCAAUGAUGCAAACUAUGCUAGGGGUGAGGAUAGGUCACUAGGGGAAAAAUUGUUGGCAAGAUCAAGGCCUCUUUAAUUUGAAAAAUAUCAUAAAAGUUUUAAAUAUAUUACAUUUGUGUCAAUCUAAUCUUAACCUUUAAUUGCAACAAUUUAGUCAUAAACUUUUGAUCUAGUGCUAAUUCAAUCUUUCGAACUAAUUUUGAUCAAAAAUUACUUACAUAGACAUCGACUAUCCAAUGUGGUACAACCAGCGCUAGCAUAGAAUAUUUCAAUAAUAUUUUAAUAUUUUUCAAUUUUAUUAUUAUUUUUCAUCUCUCUCUUUAUUUUAUUUUUUUGCCCAUUUCUUCUUCCUUUUGCCAAUAAUCAGCCUCCAGCCCCACUUGGAUGAGGGUUGCUGUUGCCCACCAUAGGUGAGGCCUGACCAGGCAAGAGCGAUCCUUGGCGAGGCUGCCUUGGCCUGGGGGAGGGAAGACCUCGCUCUUGCCCUCAUCCUUGUCAAGGCCAGAUUUGGUGAGGCCAACCCAACUUGGGCAUUGCCUAUGUAUGGCAAAAGGAAGAAGAAAGGAAAACAAUUAGAAAAAAUCGAAAAAUAUUAAAUAAUUAUUAUAAAAUUUUCCAUGAUUGUCCACAUGAGCAAGAUCUGGCCAAAAUUAAUCAGAAUGACUAAAUUAGCAUAAUGAUAAGGUUUAAUAUUAAAUUUGCACAAAUACAAUAGGCUUAUGGCUCUCUUUUUUUAACACUUUUCUCCCAUUCUAAUAUAACCAAAUAAAAAAUAAAUCGGACAAUUCAAGGCCUUCGUCCACUCCAUGGCAUGGUGAGGGGUGAGGGUAGGGACAUCAUUUGAUAUUUGUUUUUUCACGGAAAGUGGCACGGACGUCAAUCUGAUACUCUUCCUUUUGAACCUUUGGUUGACAUCAAUCUGAUGCUCUUUCUUUGAACCUUUGGUUGCUUCCGAACCAUCGGUUUAAAGAGUAUCAGAUAGCAAGCUUCCGAACCAUUGGUUCAAAAGGAGUAUCAGACUGCGAAAGGGUUUCCAAAGGUUCAAAAGAAAGAGUAUCAAAUUGAUGUCUGAGGUGGAUCACCAGGGGAAUAGAAAGUAUAAAUGACGUCCCUGUCUUUUCAUCCCUCACCACGCCAUGGAUCUUACCUCUAUCAUCUCUAUCCUGGUCAACAUCAUCCAAGUGGAUUACUAGGGGAAGUCGAUUUCACCCUUCGAAACCCACCCGGUUGCCACCCGCAUCGCCAUCUACAGCCUUCUCCUACAUUUCUUUUUCGGGCAUGUCGCUAAUCGGGCGCCACUGUCCAGCGGCCGUGCUCCUUCUUGUGAUGGAGGAGUGCACCUCCUCUUCCACUUCACCGGUUUGACAUCGGUGUUUUCGCUCGCGUGGUUGCUGCUCCACGACUGCUUCCACUCCGUCCUAUGGUUCAUGCUGUUCCUGUUGCUUUUUGUGUAUCUAUUGCACGGCCCCAUUCAAAAACUGUCUGUGGUUUUACCGCAAACUCGUUCUCAUGAUUCUCCGUGGGGCGUGGUCUCGUGUAUGGCGUGGUGGAAGAGUGUGGCCACUUUUGCCGUGCGCGGUCGUGGAUCUGCAUUUCAGGCGGGAAAUCUGAGUGCCUUGAUCGUUCUGCUGUUCCUUGCUUGGAAAAACUAGUUAGACCACGUUAAAACAAGUGAUUAGUACUUCAGGAAACUCUGCUAGUUUUGUAGAAGAGGCGCUUGGGGCUUUCUUCUCUUUAUCUGAAGCUAAAAGGAGUUCCCAAGAGUUAGCAUCAAAUUAUCUCCCGACGAUAAUAAGAAAGGAGAACAGGGAACAAGUAUAAAACCACCUGUGUCUUUCCAAGUCCUAGCCUUGAAUGGUCACGCACCUUGGAGCAACUAAAUCUGAUUAAGAUAGGCUAAGCCCUCAAAAGGAAUUGUAAUCUUUUGUUAUCGAAGAGAUCGAAGUUAACCUCAACAAUUGUUACUAGGAGAAGAAUGAUUGAUUCUAGUAGCUAUAUUAAGUAAUGUUAUUUUUGACGUUGAAGCUUCUGAUCUUUAUGUAAAACAUUGCGAGUGUUACAGAUUUCAUUCUUUUUUUGGGGUGAAUUUCUUGGGAAUAUUACCCAAAAAAAUCUUAAUUCUUUUAACAAUUUGCUAAUUUAAUUUUUCCAUCUGGCCACAUGAAUGUACAAUUAGCACCUCCCUGCGGGUGCCGUUCUGCGCGGCCAGACCAGCCGGAAGCCCGUGCUGACGUGGUCUUCGAAGAUCAAAACGGCAGCAUUUUCACAAUUAAAAAAAAAAAAAAAGGAAGAAAUCGUCACUGUGCUCUUGUCUUGCCCAAAUCCUCGAACGCUGCCCCAGUCCAAAGAACUCUAACCUGAAAUCAACUGAGAUCUCGCUCAAAUCUCUUCAAAUCUCAGCUCAAAUCGAACGAUUCUUCCUCAAGCCCGAGUCGUUUUUUUUUCCACAUUUAAGAGAAACCGCAGAUGUUUGUUUUUCUGAACAACCUCAACUCAAACCGCGAAUUUCAGUGGAAGCUGCUUUAUAGCUUGGACUUGGAACUGCUCUAAACAUGAUUUGUAUGAAAAAAAUCAUUCGCAAUGGAAGCCUUGCUGCCGAUGUAAAUCGUGUUUUGACGACUUGUUCAUUAGUUGGGGACAAAUGGUUGUUUCACUCUCACUUGUGUAUCGCUUGGUUGAAGUGGUCUGCUAGCCGUUUGUUAAAAUGCCCAAGCGAACUUUUGUAAAAGAUUUCCCCUCUGGAUCUAGAUAUCUUCUGAACGUACAUCACGUAUCCAAAUCAUAAUGAGCGCUUUUGAUUAAUUCGUUUACUCUCGUUUUAUGAUAUUUGAAUCCGGAAGUGAGAACAACCUAAGGAUGUUUGUUUCUCUGUUUAAUGUGCUAUGGUUUGUGGCCUUAUAUGGUAGUUUCCGCUUGGAGAGAUGGUCUGGAAUCGUUGAUACGCAUGGUGAUUUUCUCGCUGGUAGCACCCCAACUUCUUUUAUGUUCAUGUACCGUGUGUUGUGUUGACAUAUGACCUGUAUAUGUUGAAUGGUUGGAUUGAUAAUGAGCGUAUGUGAACGAUAGUGAUACUUGGUUUUAAAGGUUUAGAAGUGUAAAUCAUAGAUGAUACUCUAGUUAUUUUACUUUGACAAGUGCCCGAGGUUUACCGUAGAGGAGUGUUGGCUGGGUCCACCUUCAUGUGGGGCCCAGCUAGCAUUAAAAAAUAUAAAACAAAAAUGAGAGAGAAGUUGCAAAGAAAGUGGUGCCUUCGUGCGUAUGUGCGCGUGUGCCCAAAGUGAGGAGAGGGAGAAAAAAGAAAAGGAGUGUUGCUUUGUGCAGUUUUUAAUCCAAAUUUGAAGGCUAAACAUUAACGGAAUCGAUUCAAAUUUGAGUAUGUUGUUCGUGAGACCAAGGACUAUGAGUUGAUGAUUUUUAUUCAUUGAGAACCACCUCCAAAUUUUCUAGUGGCGAUUAUGGUUUUCUUGCUACAAAUUUUGUUUGCUCAUCUAUAUAGUGAUGCACGGACAUGAAUGAGUUAUAGAGAUCGACGAAGACGAAAACAGAAAUGAGAUUGUAAUAUUGAUAUUGUGUUUCUAGUGUGUGACUACACUAAAGAAAAAUAAUUUGUAGAUUCUGCUAUUCUUGAUAAUUUGUGGAUGUUUUGGGCGAUCUGUGGUUUUUUCCCGCAUUAGGUUUUCCACGUUAAAUUCUUGGUAUCGUUAUUUGCUUUGUCUACUUAUCAUUUCGGGAUUAUAUUUGCAUAUUGUGAGGUUAUAUAUUGCUGAUUGUUACUGGGGGUUAAGAGAACUUCACUUAGUUUAGUUUCGGAGGAGAAAUUGAUCUUGGCUUGCAUUUGGCUCGUAGUGAAUUAUUGUACCCGAGUUCUCCCAAACAAGGAGUCAAGUUUUGGGAAAGGGUGUAGGAGUGGAUGAACUCUUCUUCUUCUUUUUUGCCUUAACUGCUUUCUCUUUUUCUAUUAGUGGAACUUGCUUCACCGUGUUAUGAGUGACUAGAUGCUCCCCACAAUCACUAAGGAAAAUACUUGAAGUGUGCACUUUCUGAUUGUGAAUGCAUUUGAAUUCUCUUCUAGCAUAUGUUCCCAUUGGAAGCGCUCCUACUGGAAGCAUUCAUCUGAUAGCAUCCAUUCGUCUAUUCAUCAUUUUUGCUUGCUGUCUUGCCUUUUGGAAGUGUCCCUCUAGAUUCUCUUUAAUCUUAUGCUAUCCUCACUUUUUCCCUUGCAUAUGGUAAAAUCACAAAAGGAAAUUCCGGCAUGUCCAAUGGGCAAGGAGUUUGUCCAAAAGUUUUCACUAGAGCAAUGUUGAACAAAAACCAAUGUCGACCCAUAAUGACGAUGAUGGUUGUUUGAUGGACACUGAUGUCAAAUCUCUCAAGGCACAACUGAAACAUGUGAAACAAGAUUUGGCAAACCUGGAAGUGUUGAUAUUUAUAGUAAUAAUUCAUUAUGAGUUUGCCAUAGUGUGUUAUUUUGAACAUGUUUUGCAUUCAUCGACAUGUUUUUACAUGCAUGUACACUGUUUGUGGCAUAAAUGAAGUGAAGGCUUUUUGCAAUCUAAAAAGCACAUAUGUUUGUGGCAAUGUUCUUUAUGAUGUUGGGGUUUUUAAUAGUUCAAAGCGUUAUAGCCCUGUUUUAAAAAAAAAAAGGUUUCUACAACCUCAAUGGUAAGUAUGGAAUUGGGGAUUUAAUUAAGUCAAUUCUUUUCUGCACCUCUCAUAGCUUCGUUGUUGAUGCUGAAGAGAAAAAAUCUCAUUCAAGAUUCUUCUUCUUUUCGCCCAUGAAAUCUGAUAUACAAGUGUAUUCUUAAUAGCUUGACUGUGGAAGAUACACAAGGAAGAAUUAUGUAAAAUCUAGAGCAAUCUUUACUGACAGUAAAUUGUAUUUCUUAUCCUCAGAGCAAUCUGUCCAGAAAAACAACACUAUAUUUGUGCUGACAGUAUAUUGAUCCCCCAACAAAAAGAAAGCAACUAAGUUUGUUGCUGAUGACAAUAUAUUAGUGCUGACAGUAUAUUGAUCCUCCAAUCCAAUGAGCCAUCAUCGAGCCAAAAAACAGAAAAAGAAACCCACGACACUACUUCACUGAACCAACCUAUCAUCGACAAACAAUAUGGGCGAUGAUGCCACUUCAUUGAACUCAUCAGCGACAAACAAAAACACAACCACAACACUACUUCCUAUUACUUUUUCUUGUACGUUGGAGUUGCUUCCUCUCCAUAAUUUUCUUCUUUCUUGAUGGGCCUAUUGCUUUAACUAGAAGUUCAACGACAGCUGGUUGUGAUGUUGAUUCAACCUGUAUUUAUAUAUCAACUCUUUGUCUCUUGUCUUCUCUGGCACUUGUCCUCUUAACUGACAUUAUAAGAUUUCAUUAGUUAACAAAAAAGGAUAUUUUUUGUAGCUUUCUGUUUGGCUAGCGGAUGGAUAUGUGUCAUUUUACAUUCUUUGCUGGUGUAUUAUGGUUUUGUUCAUUUAUCCAUAUGAACUGGGAUAAUAGAUGCCUUGGAUACAUGAGCAUGGCUGCAAUUUCAAAAGCUUUGUUCUAUCACUCAGUGAUCCAAAUCAAAAUGAAAGUUGUCAGCCUUUGCAUCUCUGUCCCCUAUACACCAUUACUGCUUACUAGCUAUUCCAAUGAUAAUAUAGUUUUAGUUUGUCAUUGCGGAACGAGAGUUGUUACAUCAUAUAGUCUUCAUUUUACCUCUGAGAGGUGACAACUAGAUCUUUGCUGUGGAAAAUGUGUCAACUUGCAAUGUAAGAAGUUGUCUCACUGGCUGAUUGGUUUUUGGCCAGGAGCUUGAAUUGUUGCUUCAGUCGGACAUUCAAGUAGCUGGGGCCAAGGUGAGAAAAGAAUGCUGAAAAGUAGAUUUUUCGUCAGGAGGCUUUAGUUCAAUUUAACUGCAUUUUGGUUGACUGUAGAUUUUAGAACCCAACUUUUCCCAUCUUCACGUGCUAAAGAUUUACAGUUUAUGUAUGCAAAGCUAGAUAGAUAGUAUGCUGAUGCUCGAGACAAGUCUGUACAAACAACACACAUCUGUUGUGCUUAUAUGUGGAAGUAAUUAGACCAGCAAACUUCCUGACAGGUUGAUUGAUCAUCAAAUUAUGCAUCCCAUAUUUUAAUACUCUGAUUCAUAACAUAGAGCACACAAGUCUUGCACUUCAGAAAUAUGUUUUUUUUUCUGCUUUUACUGUAGAGAACGACAAUCUUGGAUGUCAACUGUAGCUGUGAGUCCAAUUGACUUGCAUCAGAACGCAAGUUGAAACAUCAAACAGAAACGUGUCCUCCCGACUCCCAAAUUCUUUUCAUCUUGGUAAGUGCCUCCCCAACUCUGCAACUACAUGCACUUUACUUGCGGCUUUUCGAGACCAGCAUUGCACGUCUUUUCUUGAGUACGUGCAACUAUGUGCUCAUUCUUUCCAUUUUUUUUUCCACAGAUUUGCAAUUUUUUUUUUUCAUCUAGUUCAGCAAUAGCAGGGUCUUCAGGUACUUCCACUAUUCCAGCAACCUGUCGUAGAAAUGUUUGCUAUUAGUGCAUUUUGUUUUAAUUAUUACUGAUUGCGGAUGAUGAGUCUAUAUAUAUGAUGUUAAAAAGGAAUAUGGCUAUUCACCACAUUACACGGCAGCAUCUUGUAUCAAUUUGUUGGCUAUAAGUCUGUUUAGUAAGAGAGCACUUCUGUGAUGAAAGCGCACCAUGGGUAAAACUCAUUUGAUAUGAGUUAACAAUGGGCAAGGGUAAGCACCCAGACUUGGGUCCCUUAUCUUCUCACAAAGGUCACAAAAGAACUCACUGGUAUCAUCUUCGAUGAAUGAAGCAUAAAGUGUGAGUUGAUGGAAGUUAAUGGCAAUCUGUGAUGAUUAAGGUUGCAAUGCACACAACCAUAAAAGUCAAACGUGCAAAAUUUAAUACAGACACUGCAUAGGAAGCACAGUUCGGAAGAUCUAAAUUAAGAAAGAGUACAUGCUCGUGGAGGUGAUGUUUCAAAGUGGGCCUUUCAAAAGUGCAUGGAAUGUUGAAGUCGUAGUCACUUUCCAUGCAGCGAAAGACAGAGCGUCAACACUCUUCACGGCAUAUGUCAACAGCGCUCCUUCCUGAUGCAAGAAGAAAAAUGAUGUGCGGGGUGAACAGGUUGUUGCAUGAUAGAGGGCGAUUCAGCACAUGAUUUAUGGAGCAAAAAAGAGCAGCCCAGGUUCAGCCAGCGAUAGAUGCAUGCAUUACGAGCCUUGCAUGCACCAUCCUUCGUAUGACGGUUCCAGCAGCAGAGGAUGAUCGGGCAGAGGAGAAAGAAGAGGCAAUCAAGCCAACCAUGGACCUCACCUGGUAUGUUCUUUUCACAAGCUUUGCACCUGAUUCUGCUUUCGAGCUUCGUGUGGAAGACCAGUGGGUGCUGAUGGUCGAAAUGGUAGAAAACCGAGUCCUUGCUCUCCAGAUCUCGCGAACUUAGAGUUAAAGCCAUGUCCAUGUCGAGGCUGAAUUUGCAAUCGCUGCAGUAGGAGACCAUGGUAAGCAUUAGAGGGUGUCAAAGAAUGGGUCAGUCAAAAUGGGUCCAUGACCCAUUUUUUGACUCAUAUUCUCAGAAGCGUGUCAUACAAGUUUUUCAAACUUAUAAGGGCCAGGCCUAAAUGGAUUUAAAAAGACCUAAAUGUUCGGUGCGAUGACAAAAUUUGGGGCCUCGACGGUGGCGUUGUGGGGCUGGGACAGAGGUGAGACUGUAUCGACUGAGUUGGACAUGCAAUGAGGUAGAGUACUCAUCUUCCUGCUCUCAACACAGCAACUGGUUGAUGGUCAGGCCUCCAAUCAAUGUGAACAACACCACCUUGUUUCUCUCCUGUCCUUGUGCUUCUAGAUCUACUCCGCUUCCCUGCACGCUUUGCACUUCUAGAUCUUCCUUCACUUCUCAGUCUCUCUGUAUUGUGUUAAAAGAGAACCUUGAAGUCGAACUAUUAUUGUGAAUUAAAGAGGUAGCACAUUCAUUUGAGACCCAAUUUGUCUCAAGCCCCAAUUCUAAGCCCAAUAAAAAACCACCCGUGGGCUGUUCUUUGUGAUCGAUAUGGCCAAGGUUACCCCAAAAAGAAAAAUAUAUAUGUGGGCAAAGCGAAGCAGGUUGGAUCGGGUUGGGUUAGGUUGGGUCCAGUGGAGGUUGAAUAUGGGUUUGGAAGCGCAUUGGUUGAUGAGAGCAAGGAUAUUGCUUGUCAUCGAGUACGAUUCAUCAUCCUUCACCUCGUAAAAAUAUCAUAAAAUAGCGAUCCACGUAGAAAAUUAGAAAGAGUAAAGCAAAUAUAGAAAAAAAUAAUAAUUAUAUACGUAUAUGCAUCGUAAAUAAUGGCUACUAAUGAGUUUUAAAUGAGUAGAUAUGAAUUUUCAUAGAUUUAGUUAAAUAUAGACGUGUUUUAGCAAUUCAGGUACAGGUCAAGUUUGGGUCAGUGGAUUUAUAUUGCAUGUAAAAGAAUCAAAACGAAUUAAAUGGGUUGAUUUGAAUCGAACCAUUUUUUGACUCCCAACCUACCUAUUUGACAACCCUAGUAAGCAUUACAUUUAACUCCUCCAAUUAAUCGAGAGAGAGAGAGAGAGAGAGAGAGAGAGAGAGAGAGAGAGAGAGAGAGAGAGAGAGAGGGGGGGUGAUCAUGGAGAGACGAGUGUUGCACCUCUAUGGAAGACUUGGUGCAGCUUUUGUGGAGAAAGAAUAUGCACGCAUGGCAUCCAUAGACUUGCCCCAAGAUCGCUUGUUCGUAGGUUUUGCAGCUCUUGAGCAUUUGUUGGAUGGUCACAUUCUGAGAAUCCUCAUCGGGGCUUAGUUGUGACAAGGCAGAUGAAGCUAUAUUGGACUGUGCAAUAACAAUCGACGCAUCCAAAUGACGAGAAAAAUUUCAUAUAUAAAAGCGAAAUAUUGAUUGGAAUGUGCAUUACUAGAUUGGUGAGGUCACGUAUUUUCUUGUGUCAUGACAAGUUUGUUAGCCAUCGCCUAAGACCCACCACUAGCGAAAGGAAACAAAAGCAAAAAAAAAAAAAAAAAAAGCAAAAAAAGGAAAAAAAAAAAAGGAUGAAAAAUUUAAAAAAAAUUAAAAUGUUGUCAACAUUAGCGCCGGUACGCCACAUGACGACUAGUUGGGACUAGCGUUUUCCAAUCAAAAUUGACUUAAAAGAUUAUUUGAUAAAUUGUCUUAAGUUUGAGGACUAAAUAAGUAAAAUUGCAAGGUUUAGAAUUAUUAUUAUUUUUGCCUAUAAAGUUUAGGGUUGAAUUAGUACAAGUGUAAUAGAUUUAGAAUUUUUUUGAUAUUUUUCCUUAAAAAAAUGGAGGAAAGUAUCAUUCGGAAAUAAUUUGUAACGACAAUGACCUAGUUAAUGUAAUUUCUUUGUAACAAGACUUUUAGUCAUAAGAUGUUUCCACUUAUGCCCUUCUCGUUCCUUCCCUUUUUCACUAAUUUCUCAUCAAUCAAUCAGUCGUGGUCCCUUUCACAUGCCCUUUCCCAUAUCUCUCUCCUCUUUAAAAGUUUCCACAAAUAUUCCUCCUUAAUAACUUUUUUUUCCUCUCUCUCAAAAAGAUGACAUUUGUAUAUUCCUUAUGCUAAAAUUCAAAUACAUUAUACUAAUAAGGAUCUAACCCUCAUUUGAACCCGGUCACAUACUUUUUAUGGGAAGAAAGAAGAAGGAUAUAGAAAUUUUCUUUUUUAUGUCAUAUUUAUUCUCUCCCACUAGACCUCUCUUCAACAACUUCUUAGUUUCCUUUAGUCUCCUUUAUUGACCAGAAAAAACUAGAAAAAACCUCUCUUCAACAACUUCUCAGUUUCCUUUAGUCUCCUUUAUUGACCAGAAAAAACUAGAAAAAACCUCUCCCAGCCAAAACCUCUCUCUCUCUCUCUCUCUCUCAUAUAUAUAGACGCAGGCACUGGGUAAUUUCCAUGACAACGAUUCCAUCUCUCUCUCUGAGAGUAAGUUUCCAAGAGGCUUCGAUGUUAACGUUGCAAUGGGACCAUGGGGAGUCACGUGGUGACCCUUACCAUAUGGAUAUAUGUGGGACCAUAGUGAAAGUUGGGACAAAAAAAGUUCAAGAUAGAACUGAAAUUGAAAUUAAAGUUGGAAUUUUUUUUAGGGAAUUAACCCAUAAAAAUUCACGAUUCCAUCAACAAUCCAAGAUAUCUCAAAUUGAAGAAAAUGCGAUCACUUGUCAAGAUGGGAACCUAUUUUCGUAAUAUUUUACCAAAAAAGGAAAUGUUCAACUGCUUUGAAAGUAUUUUGACAGGAUCUAGUACAUCCAACAAUUACAAAAAUAGGUGCGUUCGUGCUUAAAAUAUGUUGCACUAUAGAUGGGUAUUUAAAGAAAGGGAUGAGCAACUACUAUUGCAAUAUAAAAUUGAUAAGAUUAUAUUGAAAUGGAGAAACAAUAACUAUAUAUUACUGGAUGUUUUUAUUUUGUUGAUUUUGUGAAUAAGACCCGUCAUUGACAUUUGUCAUCCCCCAACUCUAUAAAAAUAGGGAAAACAAAAUCAAGGUCCUCCUGCCUAGAAAAGAUAGCUUUAAGCAUAAACCAAUGUAAACAUGUUAUCAAAAUAUGUCUUCAUCUAUAUACUUGAUAUAAUGGUGAGUAAGUUACAAAAUCAAGAUUCUGAAAUUCAUCAAAAAAGUAAGUGUAUAUAAUAUGUAUUUCCAAACUCAAUUAAACCCUUCGACAAAAAAAAAAAAAAAAAAAAAACUCAGUUAAACUCCACAAAUAUCAUUUUAGACAUAUACGAGUAUCUAAACUCAUAUCAAAAUCCAACUAUAAAAUUUUCUUGUCGAUAACUCUCACAUCCUACCUUAGUUGAAGAAUUUGAAAAAGAUUUGAUAUAGAUAAUGUGAGCAACCACAAUUCGGUGACUAACACAAAUCUCUUCUAAGCAAAUGGGCAUUCGCCAUGCAUAUUAUAAAGUAAUACUACAUGCUCAUUUAUCCAAAUCCAAUAUAUAAUGUAUAGUAAAAUCCAAAUAUGAGCGAUAUCACUUCAACUUGGUUUUAUACUGAUCGGAAAUAUUCAUUCAAAUUUCAAAUACCAAAAGGGUAGUAUACACUCCAUCCGGCUUUAUGCGAUAAAUUUGUUUUAAACUGUAUUUUUUUGUUUUAACAAAAUCAUAUCAUGCAAUGCCUUUCUUAACAUAUAAUUUAUUACUUUUAAAACAUGAGUUUUUACAAAUUUAUAGAAUAUCACAACUUACCCUUAACCAAAAUCCAAAUUGAAAGUUACACCAAUCAAAAAGUUUCAAAAUCCUAUUGAAGGCGAUGCCAUAUUCAAACUUAUGUCUAAAACUUCAGUAGGUGAUGCCAUAUUCUUAAGUCAAAUCGUUCACUUGACAAAGAGCUCUUAACAACUACUUUGCAAACAGAGUCAACCUCAUUUCAGAACUCUAAUUCAAGCGAGCUUACUUUCAACAAAAAAACUCUUUCGAAUUAUGAAGAGACCAUAAAGCCAAAAGAUGGCCCGAGAAGGGCAAAGUCCAUUGCCAAACAUAGUAAUUGGGAAAUUGUUUCCAACAGCAUGCAAAAUUUUAAAAAUUUAUCACGACCAAACCAUAAACCUAAAUCAACUUUCAUGAAGUCUUGCUAUGCAACACCCUAAUUUUUUUUUUUACAACAUAAUUUCACAACUUGAAAACCUCUAAAAUCAACCCAACAACGUAGAAUCCAUACAAAACCUAAUUUAUAGAUUAACUACAAAAACUUGUUUCAUUAGAUAAAUAAAAGUUUCGAAUCCUUACCAAUUGCCAUGAAACAAAUAUAAUCGGGCUUGACCAAGCCUCUCAAAUGUGCAUGCAUUGAGAGUCCCCUUUGACUUGAGAAAAUAUUGGGUAUACUAGGGAGGCUAACUCAACAAAUCACCAAUCCAUUCAUUGGGUGAUACAUGUUGCGUUAGGCUUAUCUUCCAUUAAUUUUCCCCUUUGACUUGAGAAAUUAUUUCCUCUGACUUAUCAUUCAUGAGGAAAUGAAAGGCAUGAGGAGAAUCAGAAAUGCAAUGUGGUCAUAGCAAAACCAAUCGCAUAAUGACAAGUUAACAGGGAAACGAAACACAUUACAGAGAACAUGAAGCAUCCCAGAACGUCUCCUUCUCUUUUGUUGUCUACACUGCAUAAUCUGAAUAAUUAUAAUUUAUGGCUUAAUUACGAAAAUUCCUGCACUUAGAUAAAUAAAAGUUGUUGCUACCAAAUAGAAUUAAUCCGUCUUGUCGAGUUCUCCCAAGCGUGCAUGGAGCGAAAGCCCCCUUUGUUUCCUCUCUCUCUCUCUUUCUCCGUUUCUUUCCUUCUUUUCUUUUCUCUUUUUUUUUUUUGCUCUUCUUGGCCAGGCUCCGUUUUCUCUCCUUCUUUCUUCUCUUGUAAUUUCUCUUGCAAUGAAGCAAGACUAAAGAAAGGGCUAAAACAAAACACUUAGGCUUGGGCUUAGGCUUGGGUAUAAUGUUUUGCUCUUAUUUAUUAUUUUUUGCAAGGUCAUUUCUUGCAAUUUCAUUCAUGAAGAUAAAUACUUUAGGUUAUUAUGUACUGAUGGAUCCUAUGCGGAGUGAGGAUAAGGUCACUCAAAAUUAAAGUUGGACAUAUCACUUUUUAAAGAAAAAUUAUAAAUCUAUUAUAUUUGUGUCAAUUCGAAUUAGUGUUAAUUCAGUCAUUUCGACUAAUUUUAAUCGGAAAUUACUGAUAUGGAUAUUAAUUGUCCUGCAUGGCACGUCUAGCCAUAAUAUAGAUAAUUUUUUAUUUAUAGUAAUUCAAUUUUUUAUUUGUUAUUAUUAUUAUUUUUCUUUUUUUCUUUAUUCUUCCUUGACCAUUGUUGAGCGGGUUGGCCUCGCCUAGGUGAGGGUUGUUGUUGCCCACCACAGGCUAGGCUAGGCCAAGCGAGAGCAAUCCCAAGCAAGGCUGCCUUGGCUUGGGCGAGGCCUUACGAGGGUUAGCCUCGCCUAGGCUAGAUUUGGUGAGGCCAGCUUGCUCGGCUAUUGCCUAUCAUCAGCAAAAGAAGAGAGAAAGGAAAAAAGAAAAAAAAUUAGAGAAAAAUGAGAGAAAAUAAAAAAUAUAUAUUAAAUUAUUAUUAAAAGUUUUCCAUGGCCAUCCAUAUUAGUAUCUAAUCAAAAUUAACUAAAAUGACUAAAUUGAUAUAAUUAUAAAAUUUAAGACUAAAUAAAUAUAAAUGCGAUAGGCUUAUGGCUUUUCUCCCCGGUCAAUAUAACCAAAUAAAAAAUAAAUCAGAAAGUUUAAGGCCUUCGUCCUCUCUAUAGUGUGGUGAGGAGUGAGGGUAGGGGCAUCAUUUGAUAUUUAUUUUUUCAUGGAAAGUGGCACGGACAUCAAGUUAAUAAUCUUCUUUUGACAUCAAUCUAAUACUCUUUAUUUUGGACGUCCAUUCCAAUGAAGGACAUCCAAAUGCCCUUUUUCCAAGUUCCCUUUUCAAAAUUUUAGGGAUGCAACGGGUAUCUUCCUUUAAAGAUAUCCUUAACAUUUUUUAAGGGAGUCAUGGUUCAAUGAAAUACUUUUCCGACUUUAACGAUUCAUCAUCCUACACCGGUUUAAGGACAUAUUUUUCCAACUUUAAUGAUGUGUCGGAUGACGAAUUAUUAAAGUCGGAAAAGUAUGUCCUUUUCUUUUGGACGAGAAAAGUACGUCCUUGAACCAUGACUUCCUUGCACAUAGAUGGAAAGUAUAAAUAAUGUCCCGGUCUUUGCUCCUCACAGCACCAUGGAUCUUCCCUCCAUUGUCUCUGUCCUGAUCAACUUCAUCCAAGUGAAAUUCCAGGGGAAGUCGCCUUCACCCUUUGAAACCCACCCCCUCGCCACCCGUGUCGCCAUUUGCAGCCUCCUCUUGCAUUUCUCUUUGGGGCGUGUCGCUACUCGAGUACCACCGCCUCUCGGCCCUGCUCUUUCCUAUGAUGGAGCAGCGUGCCUCCUCUUCCACUUCACCGGUUUGACAUCGGUGUUUUCGCUCGCGUGGUUGCUGCUCCACGACUCCUUCCACUCCCUCCUCUGGUUUGCGUUGUUCCUAUUGCUUCCCGUGCGUCUGUUACGGGGCCUCAUUCUAAGACUUUGGCUGUGGUUUUACCACAAACUCGUUCUCAUGAUUAUUUGUGCGGGGGGCUCCCGUGUAUGGCACGGUGGAAGAACGCAGCCACAUUUGCCACGCCCGGUCGUGGAUCUGCGUUUCAUGCUGGAAGUUUGAGCGCCGUAGUUGUUCGAGUGACUGCUCCCUGCUUGGAAGAAGUAAUUUUAAUUGUAUGACCACUUUAAAUCAAAUGAUUAGUAUGUUAGGAACCUAAGCUAGUUUUGUAUAAGAUGCACUUGGGGUUUUCUUCUCUUUAUCUGGAGCCAAAGCCGUAAGGAAUCCCCAAGCCUUCGGCUAUCUCCCGAUCAUAAGAAAGGAGAGUAGGGAGCAAGUAAAAACCACCUAUGUAUCUUUCCCGUUCCUAGCCAUGAAUGGUGAUGCACCUUGUAGUGACUAGAAAUUGGGAUCUGUUCUUAUCGAAGAGACUGAAGAUGACCUCAACAAUUGUUAUGACGAGUAGAAUGGUCGUUUCUAGCAGCCAUAUAAGGGGUAGUAAUUGUUCUUGAGGUUAAAGCUCCUGACCUCUUUGAAAACAUUGUUGAGUGUUGCAGAUUUCCUUCUUUUUUCUCAUGAAUUUCUUUGUAGCUUUCUGUUUGGCCAGUGGGUGGAUAUGUGUCGUUUUACAUUUUUAGUUGGUGUACUAUGUUCUUGUUCAUUUAUCCAUGGGAUAAAUUGAUGCCUUGGUGAUGCGAGCGCAACUACAAUUUCAAAAGCUUUGAUCUAACACUAACAUCAUUGAGUGAUCCAAAUCAAAAUGAAAGAUGUCCGCUUUUUCCAUCUCUCUCGCAUAUAAAUCAUUACUGCUUACUAGCUAUUCCAAUGAUAAUAUAGUUGUAGUUUGUCAUUGUAGAAUGUGGGAGUCAUGUAGUCCUCAUUUUACCUCUGCUAGGCGACGGGUAGAUCUUUGCUGUGGCAAAUGCAUUAUGUUGACACCUAAAUUUUUGGCAACCUAUUUAAUCAUUUAUUACAUAAAAAUUAGGGAUUAAUUUUUAACCCCUAAGAAAAAAUAUUAUAAUUCAAUUGCAUAGCAUAUAGAUUUAGGUGCACUUGUUUUAAAUUUGCAUUUUUUACAUUUGUUUACUGGACCGAUAGCGGAUGAGUUGAAUUAGUGAUUUUGAGUACAAAUUGGCUCAAGUCCGUUUUCUAAAAUUGAGAUUUGAAAUGAAGAUUUUUGGAAUUUAAGAAAAUCGGGUUGUAAUCUUAUCUUUAAAAAUCAAUUGAAAAUAUCUAGGAGAUAAGGAAGAUAAGAGGAUUUUUAUGAUUAGGAGGUUAUAGGAAAAUCUUCGGUGUAUAUUGAAAAGUGGAUGAAAUAUUUCACGGAAAUCACAUCUUAUUUUCCUAUAAAAGAGGCCGUGUACGGUGAAGAAGAGGGGGCUUUUUUUAUUAGUUUUCGAAGUCAAAAAUUCACUGAAAAUGAAGGGAAGUUUUCGUGUUUUCGUGCUUUAGGGGUUGUCAAAAGUCAAAGAGAGUUUUUCCUUCUGCUGAAAAAGUGCAACAGUAAAAAGCAGAGAGGAAAGUGACGUGAGGAGGCCAGCAGAGGAGAGAGAAACACUGUGCUUCUCUUCUGUUUGACCCCGUCACCCCUUUGGGGCCCCCCCCCCCCCCCCCCCCCUGCAACUUCCAUCCGCGAAGACCCCCGCGCCCACCGCCGCUCCGCCAGCAUCCCGAUCGGCCACCGACGUUGCCCGCCGGACGCUGCCGUCUUGCCACGCCGACGCCGCCUGGAAGCCGAGGCCAGCCGCGGCCACCUCGCUCGAAGCCCCGCCGGUAUCCGCCCGAGCUCUCCCGUUCGUGCCGCGCCGACCCACGAUUUCGGUGACCCGUUGCCGCCCAACGCCUCCCCGUGCCGCGCCGACCCAAGAUCCUGCUGUUCGUUGCCGCCGGAGACCGUCUUCGCCGCCGCUGCGACCCAAAGCCCAUUGCAGCCAAGCCUGACGCCUCCGCUCGCCUGAGUCGGUCCCGCACCAGCAACCGAACGCUGCUCCCCGGCCUCGCCUGAAUCGCGACACCUGCUGCUCGGAGCCAAAGACCCGCGAUCCACCUGCUCUUCGGAGCCGAAGACCCGUGCGUCGCCCGUCGCCCAGCCUCCAAAGUCCGAGCCCUCGCCUCGCCCCGGUUGAUCCCGAGCUCACUCGACACCUCUGUUGUCCAUACCGACGCGUACACACUCCUGCAGCCGUCUGGGUUCUACUCGCCGGUCCGAGAUCUGCCGAUCGAUCACCUCGCCGCCCUCCGAGUGACCACCCGAACCGGAUCUGGAGCCCUACGCCCGCGACGCACGCCCCAGAGUUCUCUAGCUAGACCUGCCUUCGCAAUCACUGUGAUUUUCAGAUCUCGCGCCCCUUUUGCCUAGAGUGUGCAUGGUCCGGGCAGGCGGUUCUGACUUAGAAUCGGGAAUCGCCCGUUAAAAACCGGUUCCAAAAAAUUGGAAUUGGGAUCCACCCGUUUGUUGCAUGGAUCCACCGGGGAACAGGACCGCCAGUCCGGUUCCCGGAUGGAUCAUGGAACCGAUCUUAACUCCGAUCAUGGAACCGAUCUUAACGCAAAACAAUUUUGGUUUUAAACAUAGAACAGUUGGGUGUUGGAAAGGAGGGGAAGAGGUCUAUGGUUGGGUUUUCAACACAAAACGGUCACAAAACAAUUUUCCGUGGUUGUGGCGGGUGGCGGCUGACGUGAGGGGGCGAACAACAGUGGUGGAGGAGCAAUGGCGGCGACAUCAAUGCUUGGGAAGGAAUUGAAAUGGCGAUAGGAUUAAAAGGAAUCAAGGAAGAGACAAAGAAAGAAAACCGAAGACGAAUGAAGUAAAGAGAUGGAGAUGAGAUCUAAUUUAGGGUUUCUUUUAGUAAUUUUUUUUUUUAAUAUUUAAAAGGUUCCAGUCCGGUCCAAGUGGAUGGAUCUGCCCAUGGAACCAGGAACCGGACCGGUACCCACCGAUUUCAAAAAAUUGAAACCGGGAACCGGACCGGUUCCCUCAAGAACCGUCGGUUCUGGGCGGUUCCGAUCCGAUUUCAGGCGGUUCGGGCGGUUCCCGGUAUUUUGCACACCCCUACUUUUGCCUGUGUCUGAGCAUUGGUCUCUUCACCCGUGCUUCGUCGUUGUCCCUGCUGAAGUUUUGGCGCCGAUCAGCAACUGUUGUUGUGCCCAUACCCAUCGUGCUGCCUUCCUCCCUUUGGUUCUCAAUCUUAGGUAGUUUUAUUUAUUUAUUUAUUUUAUCAAAUUUACUUGUUAUUAAGUAAUUUAGAGGAUUCAGUGUUAUUUUAUGGAUAUUGUAGGCAUUAUCGACAGGAGUUAUCCUUAAAAUUAUUGUAAUUAUUAAUUUGACCCGUAAGAUGUCGGGUCAUUUUUUUAAUUAUAUUAAUUUUUGGGUUUGUUGAUAGCAUCUUAAUUGUUGAAUCAAUAUAAUUAUUAAUUUGAUUCGUAAGAUUUCGGAUCAAAUUUUUAAUUAUUUUGAUUUUUUGUCGUGAUGUUCUGGAUUAAAAUUAAUUGUUAAUUUAGCAGAUUAUUUUUUUUUUUGUUUAUUUUAAUAAUUUAUUUGUUGAAUAUCUUGUUUGUUUAGAUUUAAGGUUUAGUUGAUAAUUGCUUGUUUUGGAAAACCACUAAGAAAAAUCAAAAAAAUAUUUGAAUUAAGAUUCAGUUUGUUUUAGAAUAUUUCUUAUUAUCUUGCAUAUCUAGGAUAGGGAUUUCAGCUCGAAAAAUAUAAAAAAAAAAUGCAUUCAUUUAAGAUUUUAGUUUUUGUUUAAUUUAAGUUGCAUGUUUAAUUACAUGGCAAUUUUAAAUUUCGAAUUUUAUAAAAAAAUAAAAAAAAUAAAAAAUAUCAUGCAUAUGUCAUGUAAAAUUAGGGUAUGCUCCGCACAUUAUUGCAUUAGAUUGCAUGUUAAAUUAAGAUAAUGUCUUAGUUUAAAUUAGGAUUUAAUAUGACUUAAUCAUUAGUUUAAAUAGAUAGAAUUUUAAUAUAACUAUAUCAUUUUUGCAUUUUUAAAAAUAGAAAUAUCAAAUGCACGUCAUUUAGUUUUUAUUAGGUUCAUUUAAUUAGAACUUCCUCGUCAUUCGAUUAAGUCAUUUAAUAAAUGUCGAAUGACAUAUAACUCGCAUACUAAAUUGUAUGUUGCAUGUCAUUUUAGUUAAAAUAAUUUUGUAUGUCAUUGCAUCGCAUUACCCGUUAUUAGAAUUAGGUCAUUUAAUUAAUUUAGAUUGCAUAUUUAAUUGUUGCAUUUCUUUAAUUUCAAAUUUCAUGAAAAAUAUAAAAGAAUUAGAAUGAAUUCAUUUCAUGCUUUAGGAUAGAUUGCAUGCUUAUUUAUGUCAUACAAUUUUGGUCAUGUUAUCAUAUCAUUUCAUGUUAGAAUAGUGACAUGCAUUGCAUAAGUCAUGAUUUUCAUUAAAUAAAUGAAAAUAAAAAAUUAAAAUUGCGUGUUAAUUAGAAAUCAUAUAUAUGAUUGCUGAUAUGAAUUCUAAUUUAACAAUACAGAUACUUUCGUUGUUUCGAGAUAUGUUCUGCAUUAUUUAAUUACUUUCUUGAGUGUUAAAUUGGUGGUAUGCGCACCUGUAAUAUUAGGAAGUUAAAUUAAAAUCAAUUCAAUUACCAAACAUCUUUUUUUGAAAAUGAAAUAGAAAGGUACCGAAAGGGCACUAGGAUAGUUUGGUGUAACUAAGUCCCCGUACCCUUUAGUCUUUGGUUCGCAGGAAUAAAAUAAUGCUCAAUUUAUUUUACUUAGGUGUCUAAUCGACCUACCCUAAAUCGAUUAGUGGCGACUUCUAAAUAAUAAUCUUGUACAUGUUAAAACUUUAAGUCGCGAAUUGGUAUGGGCUUGAGAGAGCCCGAACUAAGCUUAAAUGCUUAGUAAUCCAUUAAAGUUUUAGGUGGUGAACUCGAAAAAUUGGGUUGCGAUACAUUAACUUGCAAUCAAAGACUAUGUUGUCUCCCUGGCUGAUUAACAUUCAAGCUGCCGAGGCCAAGGUAAUUUUUUCUGUAGGCUUUAGUUCAAGAUUACUGAAUUUUGGCAGACUGUAGAUGUUAGAACCGAACUUUUCCCAUCUUCAUGUGCUGUAGAAUUUACGGUUCAUGUAUGCAAAGCUAGAUAGAUAGUAUGCAGAUGCUCGAGACAAUUCUGUACAAACUACACUCAUCUGAUGUUCAUAUUUGUGGAAAUAAUUAGACCAGCUAGCUUCCUCACAAGUUGAUUCAUAAUCAAAUUAGGCAUCCCAAUGUCAACACUUUGAUAAAUGGCGGAGCACAAAAGCCUUGCACUUCAAAAAUAUGAAAUUUGUCUGUUUUUACUGCAGAGAACAACAAUCUUGGAUGUCGACUGUAGUAGUGAGUCCAAUUGACUUGCAUAAAAACGUAAGUUGAAACAUCAAACAGAAGGAUUUUCUCCUGACUCCCGAAUUCUUUUCGUCUUGAUAAGGGCAUCCCCAACUCUGCAACUAAAUGCACUUUGCUUGCAGCUUUUGGAGACCAGCAUUACACAUCUUUUCUUGAGUACCUCCAAUUAUGUGCCCACUUUUUCCUGCAGAAUUUCAACUUUUUCAUCUAGUUCAGGCUGUUCACCAAUAGCAGGGUCUUCAGGUACUUGCACUAUCCUAGCAACAUGUAUUAAACACUAUUUGGUAUUAGCGCAUUUUCUGCUGAUUAUUACUUAUUGUGUAGAUGAGUCUAUAUAUAUGAUGUUAAAAAGGAGCGUGGCUAUUCACCACAUCACAUGGCAGCAUCUUGAAUCCAGUUUUUCUAAAGGCUGUUUAGCAAGAGAGCACUACUGUGAUACAAGCACACCAUGGUAAAACGCAUUUGAUAUGAGUAAUCAAUGGGCAACGGCAUUCAUCAGUCAUAAGCACCCAGAUUUGUGUCCCUUAUGAUACUACAAAGGGCACAAUAGUACUGCUCACUGGUAUUAUCUUUGAUGAACAAAGCAUAAAGUGUGAGUUGAUGGAAUUUAAUGGCAAUCUUUUACUGUAGUGGAAGGCAAUCAGUGAUGAUUAAGAUUGCAUUGCACACAACUGCAAAAGCUGAAGCUGCACAAUUUACCAGACACUUCAUAGUAGCAUGGUUAGGUAGAUUUAAAAUGAGAGAGUAUAUGCUUGCGGAGGUGAUGUUUCAAAGUGCACCCUUUAAAAGUGCAUGGAGUGUUGAAGUCGUCACUUCCGUGCAGUGAAAGACAGAGCAUCCAUGCUCUUCGUGACAUAUGUCAACAGUGCUCCUGAUACGAGGAGAAAAAGGAUGUGCAGGGUGAGCAGGUCGUUGCAUCUGAGGGCAAUUCAGCACAUAAUUUAUGGAGCAGAGAAGAGCAUCUCUGCGCUGCAUGGCGAUAGGCUAAACAUUCGACACAUUCAACACAAGCCUUGCGCGCACCAUCCUUCAUAUGGCAGUUCCAGCGGCAGAGAAUGAUAGUGCAUUGGAGAAAGAAGAGGUAAUCAAGACAACCAUGGACCUCACCUAUAUGUUCCAUUCACAAGCUUCACACCCAAUUUUGCAGUCAAGCUGAGUGUGGAAGACCAGUGGAUGCUGAUGGUCGAAAUGGUAAAAAACCAAGUCCUUUGUGCCUCCAGAAGGACAACUAACUAUUCUGAUGAUAAUAUUGUUUGAGUUUGUCGUUGCAGAAUGACAGAUUGGGUACAUCAUAUAGUCAGCACUUUACCUUUGAGAGGUGAGAACUAGAUCUUUGUUCCAGCGAAUGCAUCAACUUGCUUCAGCAAAUAGGAUUUACAAAGACAGUGACUUCUUUUGUGAUGUAUCCUGUUUGUAUCCAGAAGCUCUUGGAUCUGAAUAAUACAAUCUAAGAUUAUGUUGUCUCAUUGGUUGAUUGGUUUUCAUCCAGGAGCUAGAAUUGUUCCUUCAGUCAGAGAUUCAAGUUAUAGGGCCAAGGUGAGAAAAGAGCGCUGAAAUAUAGAUUUCUUUUUUGGGAGGCUUUAGUCCAAUAUAACCGAAUUUUGGUAUACUGCAGAUGUUAGAACGGAACUUUUCCCAUCUUCAUGAGCUGGAAAAGAAUUUACAGUUCAUGAAUGCAAAGCCAUAUUGAUAGUAUGCUAAAGCUUGAGUCUAGUCUGUACAAACUACACCUGUCUGAUAUUCAUUUUUCGAGGAAAUAAUAAGACCGGCAAGCUUCCUGACGAGUUGAUUCAUAAUCAACUUAUGCAUCCCCAAUUUUAGUGCAUUAAUUCAUAACAUGAAGCAAACAAGUCUCACACUCAAAAAUAGGAUAUUUAUCUGCUUUUGAUGCAGAGAAUAACAAUAUCGGAUGUCGAGUGUUAGCAGUGAUUCUGAUUGACUUGCUUGAGAACGUAAGUUGAACCAUCAAACAGGAAGGUUGUCUCCUGCCUCCCCAAUUCUUUUCUUCUGGAUAAGUGCCUCCCCAAUUCUGCAACUACAUACACUUUGCUUGCAUCUUUUUGAGACCAGCAUUGCCCGUUAUUUUUCUUUUUCAGUACCCUCAGUUGUGUGCUCACUCUCUCUGCUUUUCCUGCAGAAUUGCAAUUUUUUCAUCUAGUUCAGCAAUAGCAAGGUCUUCAGGUACUUCCAUUACUUUAAAAAACAUUUGGUAUUACCAUAUUUUCUGUUGAUUAUAACUUAUUGUGGAGAAUGAGUCUAUAGACGAUGUUAAAGAAAGAAAAAAGAACAGGGCUAUUCACCACAUCACAAGGCAGCAUCUUGUAUCUCUUUGUUGGCUAGUUGUCAGUUUAGUGAGAAAGCACUUCUGUGAUGAAGGCAUACCGUAGGUAAAACGCAUUCGAUAUGAGUAAUCAAUGCACGGGCAUUCAUCGUAGCUGGAAGCACCUAGAUUCAGGUAUUUUUUCUCUCAAAGGUCACAAUAGUACUCACAGGCAUGAUCUUUGAAGGACGAAGCGUAAAGUGUGAGUUGAUGGAGGUGAUGGUGAUCUUUUAUUGUUGGUGGUAAUUGUGGAAGGCAAUCAUGAUUGACAUUAAGACUGCACUGCACAAGAACGUGAAAGUUGAAAGUACAAAAUUUACCAGACAAUGCAUAGGAAGCGUGGGUCAGUAGAUCUAAUACAAGAAAGAGCAUAUGCUCUUGGAGGUGAUGUUUCAAAGUGGGCCUAUUAAAAGUGUAUGGAAUGUUGAAGUCAAAGUUGCAUUUUACGCGGAGAAAGACAGCGUCAAUGCUCUUCACAACAUGCGUUAGUGAGCUUUCCUUCCUGAUAUGGGAAGAAGUGGCUGUGCCAGGGCGAACAGGGUGUUGCAUAACUGAGGGCAAUUCAGCACAUGAUUUAUGGAGCAGAUGAGAGCAGCACUGCUCCAUCGGCAGUGGAUGAUCGUGAAUUGGAGAAAGAAGAGGCAAUCCAGGCAACCAUAGACGUCACCUAGUAUGCUUUGCAGUCGAUUCUGGUUUCAAGCUUCACGUGGAGGGACACCAGUAGAUGCUGAUGGGCGAAAUGGCAAAAAAACUGCGCCUUUCUUGCCCUCCAGGUCUUGUGAACCUAGACUAUAGCCGCACAGUCCAUGUCAAGGCUGAAAUUGCACUCGCUGCAGCGGGAAACUGUAUGGCAGGCAUUACAUUGGAGGUCUACCAAUUGACCGAAAGCAAGAGAGAUGGUGAUCAUGGAGAGACGGGCAUUGCAUCUCUGGGGGGAGAUUUGGCGCAGCUCUCAUGGAGAAAGAAUACACACGUGUACCAUCGGUAGACCUCCUCGCAGGCUUCGCAUUUAUUUGUACUUUUCGUCUCCGAGAUGAUGGGAUGUGAGCAGAUGCUAAUGAGCAAAAUGUUGGAUGGUCCCUCAUCAGGCUUAGAGUUGUGACUGGGUAGACGAAGCAAUAUCGGCCGUGCAGCAACGCUUAACCAUCCGAACAGCAAGAAGGAAGCCUGCUCACACGCUUGGCAACUCCGACAAUCCUCCGCAUCAUCGCCUACUGGGCGGUCAAGUCGGGGCAGCAGGUGAAACGGGAGUCCUAGGGCGGACAGCAUGCCAAAUUCAGUGCAACUGGUGAAAGAAAAAUUGACACGAUUCACGGCAGUGGGCUGAGCUGCUGAGUGAAGACCAGCGCGCGAGACAUUCCAAGGAACUACAACUUCCACUUAGGUUCCGGAGACUCGAUGCAUGAUCGUCAAGGCAAACUAGGAGAUAAAAAAGCGUUUUGUGUGGAGUUAUUGAGUGAUGUCAACACGAAGUAAAUGAGGUGACAUGAAUUGUACCCUACUCUCGUAUUAUUUGAUGUAUUUCAGUGUUCAUUUCUACAUUUUUAUUUUAUUUUGUUUAUGCUUCAACGCAAUAGUUAAUAAAACUAAAGUGGCCCAUGAAAAGUUUUAUGUCUUGUUCAUUUAAAGUAAGCUGCAAUUAUAUGAGGUCUUAAAAGUGCAUUCACCUUGGGCUAGUCUAUACAUUCAUCAGAGUUCUUAUCCAACUUACUCUAAAAGUAACUCACGUAAGACAAUUUUGUGAUUACAAUUUUGUCAUAAUUGUUUAAAAAACCAAAUUCACCUAUUUUUAAUUUUACGAGUUAUUUUUUUUUAAUUUAUUAGUUAAUUGAUUUUUUUUUUUUGUCAAUCUUACUAUAAUCUUAUUCUAACACUCACUCUCAGAUUUUUGCCCUGCCUCCUUGCAGGCGUGGGAGUCGAAACCCACUCCUAAAAUGAAAUCGUCCCCACCCCAAUCCGCGAACCCAGUCGUACCAGUAGUAUGAGCCGAAUCUACUUUUUUCUAGUUGUCAAUUUCUCUAUAAAUGCACAUGUUCUGCAACACCCUUGAUCCGUAAAGUAAUGUGUACAUUUGCCAUUAAAUGCAAUUCGUACAAGUAGUAUGAGCCGAAUCUACUUUUUUCUAGUUGUCAAUUUCUUUAUAAAUGCACAUGUUCUGCAGCACCCUUGAUCCGUAAGCUAUGUCGAUAUGGCUCAUUGAAGCAGCAAUUGUAAUUAAACUUGUAAUUUUAUUUUAAAUCUUUGAAUAGAACUAGAUUUUAUUUUCAAAAACUAAAUAAUUAUCUGCAUUGGUUAUUUUUUUUUUAAAAAAUACAGAUUGAAGUUGUUACAGACCCAGUUCACAUAUACAACCUACAACUUCAACUAAUUAAACUGAAUUUAGAUCCACAAAUAAAAAGUUGGCAUUUUUAUAAACUAUGAAGACUAAGACCAAGGAGAACAUUUCUAGAAAGAGCAAAACAAAAUAGAGAGGUGCUCUUCCGAGUAAUUACAAGUAAACCUAUCCAAAUUAUAAAAUGAACUACAUUUGGAUGAAAUAAAGAUUAUGAUGCAUGCACAUUUUCAUCUAUGGUGAUCAUCUGCUGCUUUUGCUAAAACUUUGAAUUUAUUAUACUAAUCAAAGUAAUGGUUGGUCCAACCUUGAUUUUAAACCGGGUCACAUCCUUUUUCUGAGGCAAAAAAAGAAAGAAGACAAGAUGCUCUCUUUUUUGUCAUAUUUGUUGUCUCCUACUGCGGUGUUUACGUUUUCAAUCUGCUUUAUUGACUCUCUCUCUCUCUCUCUCUCUCUCUCCUCUCUUAGAGAGUUACCAAACGGUCUUAGGGAAACCUUCGUUGUUCACAUUGCAAUGGUUGGACAAUGCGGCGUUACAUGAUGAUCACGUGGCCGCUCAUGGGUAGAAAUGGGACCUUCAUGAAACUUGGGAACUUUUUUAAAACAAAAAAGCAAUUCGAGUAGAAUUGUGAUUAAAAUUAAAAUUUGAGAUUUUUUUAGGAAAUUAGCAAAAUUCAUACUUCCAUCAACAAUCCGAGGUGUCUUAAACCGAAGAAAAUGCAAUCUUUUGUAAGAUAAAAACCUAUUUUUGCAAUAUUUCACCAAGAAAAAAUGCCCGCUGCUCCAAAAGUAUUUCAGUAGGAUUUUGCAUAUCCAACAAUUAUAGAAUAAGUGAGUUCGUGCAUAAAACAUCGUGACAAGAGAAUGCUCAUGUUGUGAUAUAUUAUUUGCAUAAUAAUUGGGUAAUUAUAGAAAGGGAGGAGUGGUCAUUAUUGGAGUAUGGAAUUGGUAAGAUUAUAAUAAUAUAGAGAAACAAUAAUGAUAUAUUGAUGCACGUUUUCAUUUUGUUGACUUUGUGAAUAAGAUAUGUCAUCUAUCUAUUGUCACACCCCAACUCUAUAGAAUAAGGAAAACGACACUACCAUGGUCUUGCCCAAAGGACGCGGCUUCAAAUUAUCAAAACAUAUAUUCAUCUAUAUACUUGAUAAAUAGUGAGUUUGUUACAAAAUCAAAAGCUUUGAAAUUCAUUAAAAAAAAAAAAAGUGUAAGCAUAUCUCGAAACUCAAUUAAACCCCACAAAUAUCAUCCCAAACAUAUACAAAUAUCUAAACUCACAUCCAAAUCCAACUGUAAAAUUUUUUUCGUUGAUAAUGCUCACAUCCUACUUUAGCUAACCUAAAAAAGAUUUAGAAUGAAUAGUGUGAGUAACCAUAGCUUAGUGACUAAUCCAAAUCUCUCCUAAGCAAAUCAAGCAUUUGCUAUGAUAAAGCAAUAACAAAAAUUCAUUUAUCCAAAUCCAAUAUAUUAUGUACAAUAGGAUCAAAAUAUGAGUAAUAUCACUAUAAUGCAACUUUAUACUAAUCAAUUAUAUUCAUUCAAAUUUCAAGUACCAGAAGGGUAGUAAACGCACUAUCCAAAUUUAUGUAACAAAUAUGUUUAAAACAUUACUUUUUCAUUUAAAAAAAAUCAUAUUGUGCAAAGCUUUUAAGAACAUAUAAUAUAUCAAAUCCCAAUCACUUUCAAGACACGAGCCUAUAAAUUUGUAGAGGAUAACAACCACCCCUAAGUAAAAUCCAAAUCAAAUGUUACACUGAUUGAAAAGUUUCAAAGUCCUAUCAAAGAUUAACUAAAUGUCAAACUUACGUGUCAACUAACCUCGACUAAAACUUUAGUAGGCGAUACCAUAUUCUUGAGUCAAAUCAUCCACUUGACAAAAGACCUUUGAACAAUUACAUUGCAAAAAGAGUUUAUCUCAUCUUAAAACUCCAAUUCAAGUGAGCUUACUUUCAACAUAAAACUCUUUCGAAUUACUAAGAGACCAUAAAGUCAAAAGAUGGUCAGAGAAGGGUGAAAUCCAUUACCAAUACAGCAAUUUGAAAACUAUUUCUAGCAAUGUGCAAAAUUUUAAAAAUUUAUCCCAAUCAAAUCUUAAACCUAUAUUGAGUUUCCUAUAUUCCUGUUCUACAAUACCCUAAAUUUAUUUACAACAUAAUUUCAUAGCUUAAUAAUCUCUAGAAUCAACCUAGCAAGAUAUAAUCCAUGCAAAAUCUAAUUUACAAUUUAAUUAUGAAAAUACCUUCAAUUACAUGAAUAAAAGUUUCGAAUCCUUAUUGAUUACCCAAAAACAGAAUUAAUCCGGUGCAUGCAGCAAGAGCCCCCUUUUAUCUCCCGUCUUUUUCUCGGUUUCUCCGGACUCUGCUUUCCUUCUCUCUCUUUCUCUUCUUCUUUUUUUUUUUUUUUGUGUUCUUCUUGGCAGACUCUGUUUUCUUCUUUUUUUUUUUUUUUGUGUUCUUCUUGGCAGACUCUGUUUUCAUCUUUUUUUUCUCUCUUUUCGCUCUAGUAAUUCCCUUACCACGGUAUCAACUGAGGCAAGACUAAAGAAAGGACUUUAACGAGACACUUGGGCUUGGGCUUGGGCUUACUGCUUUGCUCUUAUUUAUUAUUUUUUGCCAGCCCGGUUAGUGAAACUUUACUCGUUCACAGGCCCUUCCUCAUCUCCAGUGGCGGGGUGAAGGCAGGGACAUUGUUUUGGAGAGUGGCAUUAUUAUUUUAAGGUGAAGGCAAGGCCUUCGUUCGUGGUUCUUUUAUAGAACCUUCUAGUUUCAUUCUAGUUUCAUUACAAUAACUUCCAUAAAAGAACCACGAAUGAUGUCCGUAUCUUCACCCCACCCGGCGCCAUGAGUUUUACCUCCAUCGUCUCUAUCCUGAUCAACUUCAUCUAAGUGAAUUACCAGGGGAAAUUGAUUUCGCCCUUCGAAACUCACCCCCUUGCCACCGGUGUUGCCAUCUGCAGCCUGCUCCUGCAUUUCUUGUUGCUGCGUCUCGCCAAUGGAGCAUCGCACCUCCUCAUCCACUUCACUGGUUCGAUAUCGGUGGCUUCGCUUGCGUGGUUACUGCUCCACGAUUCCUCCCACUCCGUCCCCUUUUUGUUCAUGCUGCUCCUGUUGCUUUCCGUGAGUCUCUUGCGCAGCCUCAUUCAAAAACUUUGUAUGUGGCUUUACCGCAGACUCGUUCUCAGGAUUAUCCGUGCGGCGCACACCCGUGUAUGGCAUGGUGGAAGAGCGCAGCCACAUUCCCCACGCCCGGGCGUGGAUCUGCCUUUAUCGCUGGAGGUCCAAGCGCCCUAGUUGUUCGACUGACUGUUCCCUGCUUGGAAACUCUAAUUUUAAUCGUAUGACUACUUUAAAUCAAAUGAUUAGUACUUUAAGGAACCUAAGCUAGUUUUUUAUAAAAUGCACAUGGGGCUUUCUUCUCUUUAUCUGAAUCCAAAUCCAUAACAAAUCCCCAAGCCUUCGGCGUCAAAUUACCUCCCAAUCAUAAGAAAGGAGAGCAGGGAACUAGUAAAAAGUACCUAUGUAUCUUUCCUAUUCCUAGCCAUGAAUGGUGAUGCACCUUGUAGUGACUAGAUCUGUUUAAGAUAGGCUAAGCCCUCAAAAGAUAUUCGGAUCUAUUGUUAUUGAAGAGAUUGAAGAUGACCUCAACAACUGUUAUGACGAGUAGAAUGGUCUUUUCUAGUAGGCAUAUAGGGGUAGUAAUUGUUCUUGAGGUUAUAGCUUCUGACCUCUUUGAAAGCAUUGCUGAAUGUUGCAGAUUUCCUUCUUCUUUUUUUCUGGUGAAUCUCUUUGUAGCUUUCUGUUCUGUUUGGCCAGUGGAUGGAUUUGUGUCAUUUUACAUUCUUUGCUGGUGUGCUAUGGUUUUGUUCAUUUAUCCAUAUGAACUGGGAUAAAUUGAUGCCUUGGAGACGCAAGCACAGCUAAAAUUUCAAAAGCUUUGAUCUAACACUAACAUCAUUGAGUGAUCCAAAUCAAAAUGAAAGAUGCCAGCUUUUUCCAUCUCUCUCGCAUAUACACCAUUGCUGCUUACUAGCUAUUCCGAUGAUAAUAUAAUUGUAGUUUGUCAUUGCAGAAUGUGGGAGUGGCUACAUCAUGUAAUCUUUAUUUUACCUCUUGAGAGGUGACAACUAGAUCUUUGCUGUGGCAAAUGCGUUAACUUGCAAUUUAAGACUACACCAUCUCGCUGGCUCAUUGACAUUCAAGUUGCUGGGGCCAAGGUGAGAAAAGAAUGCUGAAAUGUAGAUUAUUUUUCAGGAGGCUUUAUUUCAAGAUAACUGAAUUUUGGUUGACUACAGAUGUUAGAACCGAAAUUUUCCCGCCCUGCAUGUGCUAAGAAUUUACAGUUCAUGUACACAAAGCUAGAUAGAUAGUAUGCAGAUGCUUGAGACAAGUCUGUACAAACUGCACACAUUUGAUGUUCGUAUCUGAGGAAAUAAUUAGACCAGCAAGCUUCUUGACAAGUUGAUUCAUAAUCAAAUCAUGCAUUCCAAUGUUAGUACUUUGAAAUAUGACAGAGCACACAAGUCUUGCACUUCAAAAAUAUGAUAUUUUUUUUUUUGGUAAAAGGUAAAUAUAUAAAAGGGAAGGACAAAUACAAAAGAUCGGAUCCAUAACCUACACUCUCAGAUCAAGAGUGAAGGGGAGCCGAUGUAAAAGAAAAGCCAGACAAAUAAGGAAGAGGGAACUACAACCGCGGGGAAGACCCACCGCAACAACCAGAACGGAAAGAACGAAGAGAACUAAAACAAAGCGAGCAGAAACACGAUCAUUGAGCAGAAAAAACCGUUGGAUCGAAUCCCCAGCACCUUUGAAGUCUUUUGUUCCUCGGAGAAGGAGAUACCUUCGAAAAAGAGAUAGCUCUAUCUCUAACUGAUUUGAUAAGAUGAUUCUUAAGUGCAGAAAUAGCAACUGUCUCAUCCCGGAAGAUAGCAGCGUUCCUCAUCUUCCAGAUCAAAUGGCAUAAAGCACCGAAAGAGAAACAAACCAUCCUGUGAUAGAAGUCUUUGCCACUGAAAAACUUGGUAGCCCAAGUAGGUAAUUCAUUCCAACUUCUGUUUUUCCAUGGGAUGUUGCAGCUGGCGGCCCAAAAGAAGGCCAGAGGAGCCAAAGUGCGACAACCAAAGAAAAGAUGAUUAACAGAGUCCGGAACUUCAUUACAAAAAACACAAACACAAUAAUCAAUUCUCCCAUAGGAUAAUAGCAACGUCUGAGUAGGAAGACGGUUCUUCGUUAUGAGCCACAAAAUGAAUUGAUAACGAGGUGCGAGGGCAUUAUCCCAAACAAAGGAAGCCCACUGGACAGGAUUCCUUUUUACCCUGAUAAAAUCCCAAGCCGAAGCAACAGAAAACUUACCCGAAGAUUCAUGACACCAAAUGAAUUUGUCGUGCAUAGAUGAUAAGGGCGAGAGGGCAAUUGAUCAUCUUUCUAGGAGACUUUUAAGAGCAGCACCAACCGGAGUAUACAGAUCAGCAGCUACUGCACAGUUCGGAAGACCAAUGGACUCCAUAAACGCUGGAGGAACACACGAAUCCAACGGCCCACAUGAGAGCCAAUAACCGUGCCAUAGCGAAAUGGAGUAACCAUUACCAACAAUCCACCUAAACGACGAACGAAAAUGUGGUCUGAGCUGGAGGAUCUUUUUCCACAUCCAGGAGCACGUCCUCGGAGUAUUGGCAAUCCAGAAAUUCUUCUUUUUCAGAAAUACCGAGUGAAUCCAACGGCACCAUAACGAUUCUUUGUCAGAGAAAAGAAUCCAUAAGUACUUGACCGUGGAAGCCCUAUUGCAUUGCUUAAUGUUACGAUCGCCGAGACCCCCUUCAGCCUUGGGGCAGCAAAUAUCCUCCCAAGCCACUUUGGCUCCUCCUCAGCCCAACGAAGUUCCCUUCCAGAGAAAUUGCCUCAUUAUGCGUUCCACAUCCGCAAGAACCGAUGCAGGAAGAGUGAAUACACUCGUCCAAGAAGCUUGGAUAGAGUGAAGGACAGAACGUAUCAGCUGAAGCCUACCUGCAAAAGAGAGAAAUCUGUGCGUCCAGGAUUGAAUUCUGGCAGUGAUACGGUCUGUCAAUGCAAUACAAUCGGCUCUGUUCAGUCUAGAAGAAAUAAUAGGAACACCAAGGUAUCGGACUGGAAGUUUUCCUUCCUGGAAAUCGAACGCCCAUAGGAUCUUGUUCUGGCUAGAAAGCUCACCGCCAGCCAUGAAAAUUUCACUCUUGCGCUUGUUUGGAAGCAGACCACUCCAGGCAAAGAACAAAUCAAGCCCUGUUUUGAGCAUAACAAUCGAAGGCCAAUCCGCUUGACAGAACAAGAACACAUCGUCAGCAAAGAAAAGAUGGGAGAGCUGAAUUGUUUUACAUCUCCAGUAAUACUUAAAGUCCGGAUUGGAGGUACAAGACAUCAAUAUGCCAGAAAAUACUUCCAUCACCAACGUAAAGAGGUAUGGAGACAUUGGGUCCCCUUGCCUUACACCUCUACCGCCCGGAAAGAACCCAUGAAGGUCACCGUUGAUAGAUAUAGAGAAGGUAGGAGAUCGAACACAAGCCAUAACCAACUUUAUGAAGUGCGGAGGAAACUAAAAAGCCUGCAACACAAGCUGUAAAAAGUCCCAAUCGAGGGUAUCAUACGCCUUAUGAAAAUCUACCUUAAUGGCACACUUGGGCAGAUACGGAGUAAGAUGGAAACCUGCAAAAAGUUCCUGGGCCAAUAAAAUGUUGUCCCUCAUUCUCCUGCCCUUAAUAAAAGCGUUCUGGGAUUGACUAAUCACAUCCCCUAAAACCCCAGCUAUACGAUUAGCUAGAAUCUUAGUGAUCACCUUAUAAAUUGUGUUGCAACAAGCAAUUGGUCUGAAGUCCGUGACUGCAGUGGCAUUAGGGACCUUCGGAACAAGAGCAAUAAUGGUUGCAUUUACUUCUUUCAAAAGCUUAGCAUUCCGGAAGAAGUCAUGCACCGAUUGAAGCACAAUAGAACCAACAGUGUCCCAGCAGGUUUUAAAAAAAUCAACAGGAAAACCAUCAGGGCCCGGGGCCUUACCUUUUGGCAAAGAGAAUAGUGUGUUCUUGAUCUCAGAGUCUAAGAUGGGCACGUCAAGAGCAGCAACUUGAUCAAGGGAGAGAGGGUUACGAAUGUACCGCCGCACCUCCUCUAUAGAUGGCAUGAUCAAGCCUUCCUUCGGGGACAGGAGGUCAGAGAAAUAAUCCACGAAUACCUGGGGAACCAAGAGAGGAUCAGUGACGAUAGUUCCAGCAGGGUCUUUUACCGAAAGAAUUCGGUUUAAGAGGUGUCUUCGUUUCAUAGAUUGAUGGAAAAACUUCAUGUUCCUAUCUCCCUCUUUUAGCCAUUUGACUCUAGACUUCUGCUUGUAGAAUGAUUCUUCAUGAGAUCUCAACUGAACAAAUGUACGAUGACAUUCCUUUUCUUCUUGGGCAAGAGCGACAUCCCCCGGAUUGGCCUGGAGCUGGUUCUGGGCUACCGCCUAAGAGUUCCUCGCAUCAACAACCUUAGCUGAAAUAUCAGAGAAGGCAUCUCGAUUGAGAGAUUUUAGGAGCGACUUCACCCUCUUAAGCUUGGAGACCAGCUGGAACAUAGGAAAUCCAACAACAGGGGAAUUCCAAGCCCUCUGAAUGGUGGCAAUAAAAUCUGGAUGAUGCGUCCAGUAAUUAAAAAAUUUGAAUGGCUUACUCCGAUUAGAAGGCUGCAGCACUCUAACAAUCAUCGGGCAGUGAUCCGAUAUACCAGGAUUCUGGAAAUUAGCCUCCGAGUAAGAGAAGCGAGUAUUCCACUCACCAUUGACGAGAACACGAUCAAUUUUCCUCAAUUUCUUUGCCUCGCCAGAAGAAGUGGACCAAGUAUAUCGGCACCCAACAUACCUUAGGUCACUCAGUUCGGCUUGGGACAGGCAUUGAGAGAAUUCAUCGAAGCAGGGAAUCCAGUUCGUAGCACCUCCAAUACGAUCGGAGGGGUCCUUGAUCGCGUUAAAAUCACCAGCCACAAGCCAGAGGAAAUGCUGGAAGAUAUCGCUAUAAAGACUGAGGUCUUCCCACAGGGGACGACGCCGAGAAAACGAGUGUUCCCCAUAAACAGCAGAUACACAACAGCAUACACCGGAACUAUUAAACUUAAGCAUGCCAUGAAUAACUUGAUCGCUGAUUGAAACAGAAGAAAAAGAGAUCAAGUCUGGGUUCCACCCGACCCAAAUCCUACCACGCGGGGAGAACCCGUAGUUGGAAAUCCAAUUCCAACCCCUAAUAAGGGUGGAAGAGAUGGAAUCAAAAAGAUGAUGAGGCACCUUAGUUUCCAAGAGGCCAAUGAAACAGAGAUUAUUAACACGCACAAACCGCCUAAUUUCAGCCCGCCUAAGGGGAUCCAACAUGCCUCUAAUAUUCCAAAAGCCGAUUAUCAUUCCAAAAAACAACAAAGCCGGAUUACCUCUUCCUGGUGGUCCUCUUCACCGUAGCCGAUGCUUUCGGGACUGCAGUAGGAGGGGAAUCAGGAAGAAGGCGCAGGAGCUGGUCCUGGAGGAUAGGAGCCUUUGUAGGCGGCUUUCCUUUCAAAGUAGGUUUCAGUACAGAUUGAGCCUCAUCAUCAGUAGAAGCACUGUGGAUACUGGAGUUAGAAAUAUCAUCCGAGCUCUCUGAAUUAUUCACCUGAGUAGAAGCUCCUUCACACGAUAGUUGAGGAGAUUCAUUAUGAUAAACUUGGAGAGCAUCCUUGCACUCCAGAAGUUGGCCUUCGUCAGUGGACUGAUAGAGACCAAACGAAACAGCUGCAGCAGCUGCAGCAGCGGCAGCAGCAGCUUUUGCUGCUUUCCUCUUCUGCUUCUUAUUUCUACGCUUCACUUUUAUCCAUUUCUGUUCCUCUGAUAUAGAUUCAGACUCAACAGCAGAAGGCUUGGCCGGAUUGGCCUUAGGUGAUUCCUGGGGGCCUUCCAAGUCUCUCCUAGGUGAACUCGGCUCCCCUAAGUACCCCGCUCUGGGGGAACUCUGCAGCGGCGGCAUUACAUUUGAGUUGUCCAUGCCUAAGGUAGGAUGAACGGCCACUCCUUUACCUUUUUCAGGCAGUGGAGCCUUGUCUUUAGCCUGAGCAUGAUUAGGUUCGGCCUCAACGCUCCCAUCACCAGGCAACUGAUGCUCUGAUUCAUUGGCAUCCACAUUGCAUAUGUGGCCAAAUAUUCUGCAUUUCAUACAGGCGAGGGGCCUCCAUUCGUAUUCAACAUCAACAACUACCAGUUUUCCCCUAAGUUCUAGCUUAAGAGACUCUCGGAUAUCCUAUUGAACUAUGAUUUCAACACAAACACGAGCAAAAGUCAGCAUGUCCAUUUGCUCGGUUCUUUGAUCUACAUAGAGCGGCUUUCCAAGAACACUAGCUAUCUUACUGAUAGAGUGCGCAGACCAGAAGGAACAAGGAAGAUUCCGCAGCCUCACCCAUACCGGCACCGAUUGGAGGGACUCCUUGUUUAACUCAAUUCUCGGCUCCCAUUGCUGCAACAUCAACGGAAUUCUAGCCACAGUAACAGUCCCUCCCUCUAAGAUCUUUCUCCUAAAUUCAGAAUCAGCAAUACGCAGCAAGAACAAUCCCCUGCCAUUGGACAUUACCUGCUGCAGCGCAGGCCCCUAAGCUUUCCUAAGCGAUUCAUCCACAACCUUAAACGGGAGUUUCUUUCCCAAGAAAUACCCCACUAGGCAAUCGUAGAGUUUAGGGUCAGCAGCAUCCAAAUCGGCUUCAUCCAUAUGAAUGACAGAAUCACUGUCAAACUGAACAGGCGUGUAAUCAAGGUCAUAGCCCCUGGUGACACCGCUAGCUACGGCUGCCCAGGUGCGAGCAGGAGGUUUCAUGGAGACACCUCUAGAGUUAUUUCGCUUAGAAUGAGACCGACCCCUACUGAUUCCUCUGCUUCGAGCAGGGCCCGACUGCUGGUGCAAGUCUACAGCUCCAGCCGAAGGAACCGAGGAUUUGCGGGUUUGAUCAUUCCGCGAAUCGAUAUUAGCCGAGGGAUUAACCGUAAUAGGAGGGGAGUGCAUUCGCCUACUCGGUCCUUCAUCACAAGACCGAUCCCUCACAGCCAACGGCUCCAUACAGCAGAAUCGCAGAACAGAACCGAGAAAACCCUAAACCAUCGCUCGGCAGAAAUCCCUCGAAGAGAAGACGUACCAGGCUAAGAUGCAGGGGGGUUUGAAGAGCUAGAAAAAGCGCCUCUUGGCGCGGAAGAUCGGCCCCAACCAACGGUCAACACUCGCGGGGCCAGCAUCAACCGGAAUCGCAGCUACAGUGCCGAAGUCGCCCAAAGAGAGAGCCUUCUCAUUUCCCCUUCCCUCGCUUUUCUAUCAUGCAGAGUACGUCGGUUAAAAAAAAAUGAUAUUUAUCUGCUUUUUCUGCAGAGAACAAUGAUCUUGGAUGUUGACUGUAGCAGUGAGUCCAAUUGACUUGCAUAAGAACGUGAGUCGAAACAUCAAACAGAAAGGUAGGUUCUCCUGACUCCUGAAUUUUUUUCUUCUUGGUAAGUGCCUCCCCAACACUACAACUGCAUGCACUUCACUUGCAGCUUUUAGAGACCAGCAUUGCACAUCUUCUCUUGAGUACCUCCAAUUAUGUGCCCAUUUUUUCCUGCAGAAUUUCAAUUUUUUAAUCUAGUUCAGCAAUAGCAGGGUCUUCAGGUACUUCCACUAUUCCAGCAAUCUGUAUUAAACACUGUUUGGUAUUAGCGCAUUUUCUGUUGAUUAUUACUUAUUGUGGAAUGACUCUAUAUAUAUAUGAUAUUCAAAAGGAACGUGGCAAUUCACCACAUCACAUGGCAGCAUCUUGUAUUCAAUUUUGGCUGAGGUAUGUUUAGCAAGAGAGCACUACUGCAAUAUGAGCACACCAUGAUAAAAUGCAUUGGAUAUGAGUAAUCAAUGGGCGAGGGCAUUCAUCGCAGUCAUAAGCACCCACAUUUGUGUCCCUUAUCUUCUUGCAAAGGGCACAAUAGUACCACUCACUGGUAUCAUCUUUGAUGAACGAAACGUGAAGUGUGAGUUGAUGGAAGUUAAUGGCUAUCUUUUACUGUAGUGGAAGGCAAAAUCUGGGCACACAACUGCAAACUUGCAAAAUUUACCACAGACAUUGCAUAUUAGCAUGGUUAGGUAGAUUUAAAACAAGAAAGAGUACAUGACUGUGGAGGUGAUGUUUCAAAGUGGGCCUUUCAAAAGUGCAUGGAGUGUUGAAGUUGUUGUCACUUCCAUGCAGUGAAAAACAGAGCGUUGACACUCUUCACAACAUAUGUCAACAGUGCUCCUCCUGAUACGAGAAGAAAAAGGAUGUGCAGGGUGAGCAGGUCAGAGAUUCAAGUUGUUGCUAGAAUUGUUGCUUCACUCAGAGAUUCAAGUUGCCUGGGCCAAGGUGAGAAAAGAACGCUGAUAUAUAUUUGUCAUUUUUGGGAGGCUUUAGUCCAAUAUAAUCGAAUUUGGUAGACUGCAGAUGUUAGAACCGAACUUCUCCCAUCUUCAUGUGCUGGAAAAGAUUUUACAGUUCAUGAAUGCAAAGUCAUAUAUAUAAUAUGCAAAAGCUUGAGACUAGUCUGUACAAACUACACACAUCUGAUUCAUUUUUUGAGGAAAUAAUAAGACCGGCAAGCUUCCUGGCAAGUUGAUUCAUAAUCAAAUUAUGCAUCCCUAUGUUAGUAAUCCAACUCAUAACAUACGGUAAACAAGUCUUACACUCAAAGUAAUGAUAUUUAUCUGCUUUUGCUGCAGAAGAUAACAAUAUCAGAUGUCAAGUGUUAGCAGUGAUUCCAUUGACUUGCAUAAGAGCAUAAGUUGAAACAUCAAACAGAAAGGUGGUCUCCUGCCUCCCCAUUUCUUUUCUUCUGGAUAAGCGUGCCUCCCCAAAUCUGCAAUUACAUGCACUUCGUUUGCAGCUUUUUGAGACCAGCACUGCAUGUCUGUUUUUUUAGUAUUGUUCAAUUGUGGGCUCGCUCUGUCCUUUUUUUCCUGUAGAAUUGCAAUUUUUCCAUCUAGUUCAGCAAUAGCUGAGGUAUUCAGGUACUUCCAUUACUUUAAAAAAUUUUGGUAUUACCAUAUUUUCUGUUAAUUAUAACUUAUUGUGGAGAGUCUAUAUAUGAUGUUAAAAAAAGAAAAAAGAACAGGGCUAUUCACCACAUCACGUAGCUGCAUCGUUUUCUGUUUAUUGGCUAAAGUCAGAGCACUUCUGUGAUGAAAGCAUACCGUGGGUAAAACACAUUCAAUGUGAGUAAUCAACGCACAAGGGCAUUCAUCACAGAUGGAAGCACCCAGAUUCAGGUCUUUUUCUCUCAAAGGUUACAAUAGUACUUACCGUCAUCGUCUUCGAUGAAUGUAGCAGAGAGUGUGAGUUGACAGAGGUGAUGGGGAUCUUUCGUUGUUGGUGGUAACCGUGGAAGGCAAUCAUGAUAGACAUUAAGAUUGCACUGCACAAGAACGUGAAAGUCAAAUGUGCAAAAUUUGCCAGACACUGCAUAGGAAGCACAGGUCAGUAGAUCUAAUAUAAGAAAGAGUAUAUGCUCGUGGAGGUGACGUUUCAAAGUGGGCCUUUCAGAAGUGCAUGGAAUGUUGAAGUCUAACUCACAUUCUGCGCACCGAAAGAAUGCUUCAACGCUCUUCACGACAUGUGUCAGUGAGCUUUCCUUCCUGAUAUGGGAAGAAGUGGAUGUGCGGGGUGAAUGGGUUGUUGCAUAACUGAGGGCAAUUCAGCAGAUGAUUUAUGGAGCAGAAAAGAGCAGCACUGCUCGAGGCAGUGAUGGGCUAAACCUAUUGACAUAUUCAUGACAAGCUUUGAGCGCACCAUCCUUCCUAUGACCCAGCUCUAGCGGCAGCAGAUGAUUGUGAGUUGGAGAGAGAAAAGGCAAUCCAGACAAGCAUAGAACUCACCUAGCAUGUUCCAUCAAGCUUCGCACUAAUUUCUGUUUCAUCCUUCUUGUGGAAGGACACCAGUAAAUGCUGAUGGGCGAAAUAGUAAAAAACCAAGCCUUUCUCACCCUUCAGAUCUUGUGAACGUAAGAGUUAUAGCUGCGCAGUCCAUGUCAAGGCUGAAAUUGCAUUAGCUGCAGCAGGAAACCAUAUCGCAGGCAUUACAUUGGAGGUCUACAGAUUGAUUGAGAGCAAGAGAGAUGGUGAUCAUUGAAAGACAGGCAUUGCUUAUCUGGUGUAGAUUUGGCACAGCUCUUGUGAAUUAAGAAUAUGACACUGUGUAGCAUCCAUAGACCUCCUUGCAGGCUUUGCAUUUGAUUCUACUUUUCAUCCCAAGAUGCUAAUGAGCAAAAUGUUGGAUGGUCACAUCCUCAGAAUCUUCAUCAGGCUUAGUUGUGACUAGGCAGACAGCAAUAUUGAACCGUGCUGUAAUGCUCAACUAUCCAAAUGGCAAGAAGGAAAGCCUCGUCACAUGCAUGGAAACCACGACAAUCCUCCUUAUCAUCUGCCUACUAGGCGUUCAAGCGUGGGCAGCAGGUGAAACAGGUGUUCUCGGGCGAAGAGCAUGCUAAAUUCAGCUUGACUAGUGAAAGAAGAUUCAACACGAUUCCCAGCAGUAGGGCUGAGCCGCGGAUCUGAGACCAGCACGCGAGACAUUCCAAGCAAGUGCAGCCUUCUUUGCGAAUCAAUACAUGAUCAGCAAGCAAUGGAGUUAUAGUUGCCGAGUGACAUCAACAAGAAGCAAAUGGGGUGAAAUGAAUCGUACCCAACUACCGUAUUAUUUGGUGUUGCUUUUCAGUGCUAAUUUGUACAAUUUUUUUUUUUUUUUAUCUAUGCAUUAAGGCAAUAGUUAAUAAAACUAAGAUGAAAUCUCAGCAAGAGUUUUGAGUAGAUCUAGCUUUCGUUCCUGAGGAAGCUCCCAGGAAAAGCUUCGUCAAAUAUUCACCUUCCAAAUAGUUCCUUCCUGAUGCGAGAAGAGGGUUGUUGCAUAACUGAGGGCAAUUCAGUCAAUAAAUUUUUGUCAAAAUUAGUCCGAAAGAUUGAAUUAGCAGUAAGUCAAAAAUUUAAGAUUAGAUUGUCAGAAUUAUAAGAUUUAAGAUUAGAUCGACACUCAUGCAAUAAAUUUAGAACUUUUAUGACAUUUUUACCAUUAAAAAAGUCCUUAAUCUGGCCAACUGUUUUUGGGGUCUUGGGCACGUUUCUCAUAUGUUUUGAUUGUGUUAUAUGAUAGUUCGAGUUACGCUAUUAGGAAUACAUUUCUUUCGGUGAGCAUUACAUUUAUCUCCUCUAAUUGCUUGAAAGCAAGAGAGAGAGAGAGAGGGUGAACAUGGAGAGACGGGCGUCGCAUCUCUGUGGGGGAUUUGGCGCAACUUUUGUGGAGAAAGAAUAUGCACGCAUGGCCUCCAUGGAAUUUGGUAUUGUUAAAUUUCGGCAUCGAGUUAAUAACUUUAGAAAACGUGUUAGUUACAACACGUGAUUAGUGGAGUCAUCUAAUCGUAGUCAAAGUUUGUAAACACAAAGUCCCAAUGGCUGAAGAAUGCAAACCCGAUUAAUGGGACGAUUAUCUUGAGAGACUCAAUUGUGAGAUUGCCCUUAUGAAUUACAUUUAAUCCCCGGUGGGCUCUAUACUCUCUCAAGUCUGUAAUCGGCUUUAAAGCGCUAUUAGCCAGGAGAAGGGGGAGGGGGGCCUAGGCAACAUCAAGUCAAGUGAGAGGAUCAUCUUAUGAACUUUUUCCUCUUUUUGGUCGUCAAAAGGGCUUUCAAUCUUCGUUCAAACCAUCAAGCCGUGUCCUGUGAAUCGACAUACGCAUUGUCAAAAGCCUAAAAUCUGCUGCACCAAUCUCUCUGUUGAAGACUGGAAUCUAUGGGAUGGUGGCACCCCCUCCUUGGGAAGCUAACUCCAAUCAGUGGUCAUUAAAUCCGGAUCGAAAUGUCAAACGUCCGAUCGGGUCCUCUCUUUUCCGCAGAUCCUUCCCCGCGUGUGCGCGAUCAUGCUCGUCUGCUGGCUCUUCCCACCAUGUCAAACGGCUUCUGUGUGGUGUGAAACGACUGAACUUUCCUCGUUGUGGGAGCCUCUCUCUCUCUCUCCCUCUCCCUCUCUCUCCCUCUCUUCGUCUUCGGUUUGGAGGCAUGGAAAGCGAUCGGGUGUUAAAAGGUGGAUUCCGUGUUGUUAAAACACUUGACUUCUCCGGUGGUUGAAACGAGUGAGCUUUUCUUUUUCUUUUUGUUCUUCUUGGCCAGACUAUGUUCUCUCUUUCUUUCUGCUCUUGUUAUUUCCCUUGCAAUGAAGCAAGACUGGAGAAAGGGCUAAAACGAGACACUCGGGAUUGGACUUGGGCUUGGGCUUAAUGUUUUGCUCUCAUUUAUUAUUUUUUGCUAGCCCUUUAUUGCAACUUUAAUUAUGUAGAUAAAUCUGUUAGGCUAUUAGGUGCUGAUGGAUACUAUGCGGAUUGCGGAGCGAGGAUAAGGUGACGGGGAAAAAAGUAGGACAAAUCAAGGACUUUUUUUAAUGGGGAAAAUGUUGGAAAAUUCCUAAACCUAUUAUAUUAGUGUCAAUCUAAUACUAAAUAUUUCAAUUGUGUCAAUUUAGUCUUAAAUUUUUUUACCUAAUACCAAUUUAGUCAUUUCAACUAAUUUUGACUAAAAAUUACCAAUAUAAAUGUUGAUUGUCUUACGUGGCAUUGCACAUGGUAAUUUCUAAUUAUAUUUUAAUAUUUUUCAAUUUUAUAUUAUUUUCUCUUUUUUUUUCUCAUUUCUUCUUCCUUUUACCGGUGAUCGACCACCGGCUAUAGCCAAAUGAGCUAGCCUAUUCUAGGCAAGGGUUGCCAUUUCCCGCCACAAGCAAGGCUCGACCUAGCCAGGCCAAGGAGGGCAAGCCCCAAUGAGGCCCUGCAAGGGUCGGCCUACGCCAAAUUUUGGGAGGCCAAUCCACCUAGCCAUCACCUAUGGAUGAUAGUUGGUCACUAACAAAAGCAAGAAGAAAUGAAAAAGAAAAAAAGAGAAAAUAUUAGAAAAAUAAUAAAAAAAUCAAAAUAUUAUUAAAAUUUGUCAAUAUCCAUCCACAUUAGUAAUAUCAUGCCAAAACUAACUAAGAGGACUGAAUCGAUACAAUUAUAAAGUUCAAGACUAAAUUAGCAUUAUUGUAAUAAAAAAUAAACAAUGAAAAAAAUAAAAUUUAGGACUUUAUUUUUUUUUCUUUUUAUAUAUAACCAAAUAAAAAAUAAAUUGGACAUUUCGAGGCUUUCGUCCGCUCCAUGGCGUGGUGAGGGGGUGAAGGUAAGGACAUUUGAUAUUUGUUUUUUCAUGGAAAGUGGCACAAGACAUCAGACAUCACUUUUUUUUUUUUUUGGUUUUUUUGGGUUUGGGCACGGGACAUCAAUUUGAAUACUUUUUCUUUUGGAUGCUUUCGGAUUCAUAGUCAUCAGAUUUUCAAUCAUGACCUUCCCCGUUCCUUCCGCUUUUACUCACCCCUCAUCCCCUGCUGUGCUUGCACGUGGCCUUCCCCCAUUUCUCUCUCUUCUUUAAAAGUUUCCACAAAUAUUCCUUCCCUAUACCUUGUUUCUUCUAUUUUCUCAAAAAAAUGAUAUUUACGAUUUAAUUUGGAUGAAAUAAAGAUUAUGAUGCACACCUAAUUUUCAUCUGCGAUUUAUCAUCUUCAUUCCAUUAAUUUGUACGUUUCUUUUGCUAAAAUUUUAAAUUUAUUAUACAAAUCAAAGUCCUAUCAUAAUUUGAAUUGGUUCAAGUCCUUUUUUUCGAGGCAAAAGAAUAAGAAUUCUCUCUUUUUAUCAUAUUUAUUCUCUUCUACUAUGCGUAUGCAUGGACACAUAAGCCACUCUUCAAAAACUUCCUGAGUCCCCAUUAUUGACUACACCUCUCUCUCUCUCGCUCUCUCUCUCAUCAAUCUCAUUUAUUGAAUUAGACAAAGCCAAAUACUCUCUCUCUCUCUCUCUCUCUCUCUCUCUCUCUCUCUCUCUCUCUCUCUCUCUCUCUCUUAGGGUCUUAGGGGAGGCUUCGAUGCGACCACAACAAUGGUUGGACCAUGUGGUAUCAAAGGAUCCUAUGUCUAGGUGUGCGCGUAUGAGAUCUUAAUUAAAGUUGCAAAUCUUUUUAAAAGAAAAUCAAGGCAGAAUUAUAUUGAGAUUAAAGUUGGGCAUCUUUUCAGGAAAUUAGCCCAUAAAAAGUCAUGCUUCCAUCAACAAUAGAUGGCGUCUUAAACCUAUUUUCGCAAUAUUUCAUCAAAAAGAUAUCCAGCUACUUCAAAAGUAUUUUAGGAGGAUUUAAUAUCUGCAACAAUCAUAGAAAUAGAUGAUUUCGUGCUUAAAACAUGGCAAGAAACAAAUGUUCAUGUCGCAAUAUAUAUUGCGAACUAUGCUAGGGGUGAGGAUAGGUCGAGGGGGGAUGUUGGCCAGAUCAAGGCCUCUUUAAUGAGGAAAAAUGCCAGAAAAGUUUUAAAUAUAUUGUAUUUGUGUCAAUCUAAUCUUAAACAUUUAAAUUAUAACAAUUUGAUCGUAAAUUUUUGCUAAUUCAAUCCUUCAAACCAAUUUUAACUGAAAAUUAUUGAUCCAGAUGCUGGUUAUUCAACGUGACUCAGCAGACGCUAGUUAAACCUCAUUGCAGGCUUCGCACUUGAUUCUACUUUUCGUCUCCAAGAUGAUGGGACGUGAGCAGAUGCUAAUGAGCAAAACGUUGGAUGGUCGCAUUCUCAGAUUCCUCAUCAGGCUUAGAGUUGUGACUAGGUAGACGAAGCAAUAUCGGGCUGUGCAGCAACGCUUAACCAUCCAAACGGCAAGAAGGAAGCCUGCUCACACGCAUGGCAACUCCGACAAUCCUCCGCAUCAUCGCCUACUGGGCGGUCAAGUCGGGGCAGCGGGUGAAACGGGAGUCCUAGGGCGGACAGCAUGCCAAAUUCAGUUGCAACUGGUGAAAGAAAAAUUGACAAGAUUCACGGCAGUGGGCUGAGCCACCAAGCGAAGACCAGCACGCGAGACAUUCCAAGCAACUACAACUUCCGCUUAGGUUCCGGAGACUCAAUGCAUGAUCGCCAAGGCAAAUUAGGAGAUAAAAAAGCGUUUUGAAUGGAGUUAUAGUUGAGUGAUGUCAACGCGAAGUAAAUGAGGUGACAUGAAUUGUACCCUAUGUUAGAAAUUUCCUAUAAUAUGGGCUUACAUUAAUUAAUUGAUUUUCUAUUUUAAAUAAUCGGGUUAAUGGAUAUUCCAAUAUUUGUUAAACCCUAAAGUGAUUUGAUUGAAUUGGGUAUUGGCAUCUAUUAUUAACGGGCCUAGUUGAGCAGCAAAGUAUAGGCAAUUGUGUUUGACUGAAGCCCGUAAUGGGAAGGGCCUAGUUGACACGCUGUUGAUUAGGGUUUGCUAGGUCCCCUCUCUAGCCUAUAAAAUGGUAGGUUAUACCUAUCAGUUGCUUUAAUCCCAUUGAAAGCUGCUAUAUCGAAAUAGGACAUAGAGAGGAAGAUAUGGUAUUCCAAUAGAUCCCUGAUUAUCAAAGUGAUCUAGUUUUCUUCAAGUAAAGCAAUGGCUCAAACAGGUACACUUUAAUUCCGCUGAAUUUAUUGAUCUUGGUGUUUUACAAUCAUGUAUGGAUCCGUUUGUUCUUAAUUGAUUAAAUAAUAUUCUACAUGUGGUAUCAGAGCUAAUCAUAUAUGAUUGUAGAACCCAAAUUUUCUCUUGUUAUGGAAAAAUUCGAAACCCUCCUCUUUGAGCCGAAUAUGGGCAUUAUUUUUUCGUGUAGAUUUUUUGCUUGAUUAAUCCUAUAACCAUAGGGCUUUUAUUCUACAUGUUGAGAUCUUUCCAACCAUAUAUAAUUUGCAUAAUUUCGUUGAGACUUGAGAGAGAAUUUUAGAUUUGAAAUUCUAGGGUUUAUACGUGAAAAAGUUCUAGAAUUUGCAAAUUAUUUACAAUUGAUUGAUGUUCGAUGCAAAUCGUUGUAUGGGUAUUGUUAUAUAUUUGUUUUAGUAUCUUUUGUUGUAUUAAAUUGAGUUUUUAGGGCUUAAAUUUAAGAAAACCGAAUUUUCGGCCAUGAGAGGUUUAGAUCCGAAACUUUGAAGCUUGCAUGUGGUGGAUUUAGUUGAUCUUUCUUAGUUUAAUUAAAUCCAGUUAAUUAAAUUGAUGUUAUAAGCAAAACCCAUGAGGAAAUUUUAUCAAAAACCAUGUUAAUUUGUGCCUUCGGAGCUUCGGGUCGAAACCGGGUCGUAUGACCCGUUUUUCUGCAAAUUCGUGACCCGGCUGGAGGAUGAAGAAGACCUCCAGCCAGGCUUAGGCCUGAAUAUGGGCUUCAGCCCAUAUUUUUUUAAAUUUCGUAGCCCAUUUCAUGGGCCAAUUUUAAAUUAAAGGGGAGAUGGGCUUCUCCAUACAUGGGGCCAUUUUCUAUUUAAAAGGAGUGGGCCGCAUGAGGGUUUAAGACUCGCGGGUUUGGCCCGCGGUCUGAUUAGGGCUGCUCGCGGGUCUCCUAGGCCCGCGGGAAGUCCGAAAUAUUUAAAUAAUAUAAUAAUAAUAUAAUAAUAAAAAAAUAUUAAAAAAAAUUAAAAAAAGAAAUUGUGGCAAUAAAUUGUUGUUUGAAAAAGUGCAAUAUGAUCAUUGGAAGCACAUGUUGUAAAGUGUUUCAUAUUGUUUGAUGAAUUUUGGGCAUAAAUUCCCUAUUGAUAAAAGAUUAAUAUAUACAAUUACUCGCCCAAAGGGAGUUAUUGUGUAAAUUAAUUUGGAAAAAUAGCAUGAAGUUUAUUCCCAUAUUUAAAAGAUGGGGAUGUAUAAUUGAAAAAUAUUUAUUUGCCCAAAGGGGAUAAAUGUUUUGAAAAUUAUAUGUAAUUCCCCUCUAUGUUGAUAUUAUGGAGAUGUAUGAUUUAAAGGAUUUGUCUGCCCAAAGGGGAUGGAUCCUUGACAAUUAUAUGUAAUUCUCCUUGUUUUUAUAAAUUUCAUGCUAGGAAAAAUAAUGGUGCAUUAUACACUCUGCCCAAAGGGGAGUUUAUGAUGUACUGAUUAUUUUUGUUGAGUUGCUUAUUGCCCAUAAUUGAUCAUAUUGCAUUGUGUGUGUUAAACAGUUACCUUUGCUGUAAAUAACAACAAUGCCACGGUGGAAAUGUUAAUUGGAUCAAACUUUAAGAGAUGGAAGCAAGAUAUAGAGAUUGCUUUGGGCAUCGUUGAUAUGGACUUGGCUCUACGUGAGGAUGAACCUGCCAGGCCCAAUGAUCAAAGUACUGCAGAUCAAAGGGCCCAUUAUGCUAGAUGGGAAAAAUCUAAUCGACUGAGCCUCAUUGCUAUGAAGAGGUCUAUUGUUGAGCAUCUGAUUAGUGGUUUGCCGGAAGAUACGAAUGCCAGACAGUUCCUUGAAGCAGUGGGAGAAAGAUAUAGAGUCUCAGAUAAGGCUGAAGCUGGGAACUUGCUGAGUGAGUUAACGAACAUGAGGUAUGAUGCUGCUAUGGGUGUUAGAGAAUUUAUACUGAAGAUGGUCCACAUUCGGUCCAAACUUAAGGCUCAUGAAAUUGUUCUUUCUGAAAAUUAUAUUGUGCAUCAAGCCUUAAAUGUUUUGCAAGCUGAAUUUAGCCAGAUUAAGACUGCUUAUAAUGCUCAGAAUGAGACAUGGAGUGUUAAUGCCUUGAUUACUAAAUGUGUGACUGAGGAGAGAAAUUAAAGAAGGAAAAGUAUUAGUCUGCCCACUUAACUACCAAUGCCAAGUCGAGUUCGUAUAGAGGCAAAUGGAAGCCUAAGGGGUCAAAUGCUCAUGGCCCAAAGAAAUGGCAAGACUUUAGGAAAAUUGAGAAUUAUGGGAGAAAUGGAGAUAAGGAUAUUAAAUGUUUUCACUGUAAGAAGCAGGGUCACAAGAGAGCCAAUUGCUACAAAUUUCGAGCUUGGCUAAAAACAAGAAAAGAAAGUCACCAAGGGUCUCACAAAUCUAAGGAGUCCAAGUCUGAGGGAGUCAAAGCUUAAAGUUGGAAACAAUACUGGAGUUGAUGUGGAGCGCAUAGGGACAGUUGUUUUGAAUUUAGAUUCUGGUUUUCAGCUUGUCUUGAACAAUGUCUUUUAUGUUCCUAAUUUUAGGAGAAACUUAGUAUCUCUUUCUUCGCUUGACAAAGCUGGAUAUUGUCUUCAUUUUACGAAUAAAAGAGUGGAUUUGAGUUAUGAUUCCAGAAUUAUUGGGAAUUGUGUUUUGUUUGAUGGAUUAUAUCGAUUAUCCUUAUCUCCCGAUAGACCAUAUUGCUCUUUCAAUGUCGAGAAUGUUGUUGCUAAGAGAUCUUUGAUGAAAGAUAGAUCUUCAUUGCUAUGGCAUAAGCGAUUGGGGCAUAUCUCAAAAGAACGGGUAAAGCGACUUAUCGUGGCUGAUAUUCUUCCUCCUCUUGACUCAGAUGAUAUUGAGACUUGUAUUGAUUGUGUAAGGGGAAAAUUAACUAAAACAAAGAAGAAAGGUGCUACUCGCAGUCAAAGUCUAUUGGAGAUAAUUCAUACUGAUAUUAGUGGGCCAUACUCAACCACCUUGUGUGGAAAUAAAUACUUCAUCACGUUCAUUGAUGAUUUCUCCCAUUAUUGUUAUCUUUAUCUAAUUAAGGAGAAGACUGAUGCUCUUGACAUGUUUAAAGUGUUUCGUACUAAAGUUGAGAAACAAUUGGGAAAAAUUAUCAAGAUUGUCAGAUCUGAUCGUGGUGGUGAGUAUUAUGGGCGAUAUACUGAGGCUGGACAACAAAAGGUACUAUUUGCAAAAUAUUUGCAGGACUGUGGUAUUGUUGCUCAAUAUACAAUGCCUGGGAGUCCUGAGCAAAAUGGUGUAGCUGAACGUAGAAAUCGCACACUCAUGGAGAUGAAACGAAGUAUGAUGGGCAGUUCUAAUUUGCCUGAAUACUUAUGGGGUGAUGCGAUUAAAACGGCAACUUAUAUAUUGAAUCGUGUAUCUAGUAAAUCGGUGCCGAAAACACCUUUUGAAUUAUGGACUGGGAGGAAACCUAGCUUGAAUCAUUUUCGAGUUUGGGGUUGUCCUGCAGAGGUGAAAAUUUAUGAUCCUUCUCAGAAGAAGACCGAAUCCAGAACUACUAGAUGUUAUUUUAUUGGAUAUCCUAAUCAUUCUAAAGGGUAUAGGUUCUAUUGUCCUUCUCGCGGCACUAGAAUCGUUGAAUCUCAAACUGCCAAAUUCCUGGAAUUAGAUGUUGCCGAAAAGAGUUCUUCUCAAUCUUUCGAAAUGGAAGAACCAAAUAAAACGGUCUCUAUUCCAUUGCCCAUCUUACAUGAUGAUCCUAUGCGAGAUCCCAGCAGAUUGAAAAUUCAACAGGAAGCAAAUACUGAAAAUAUGACGGUAGAUCCUCCCAUUACAAAUGAAAUUCCCCAGAUGAAUGAUGUAGCUCCAGAAAUGCCUGUGCGAAGAUCACAGCGACAAAGAAGACCAACGCUUUUAAAUAAUUAUCAUGUCUAUCUUGGAGAAGCUGAUUUUGACGUUGGAAGUGUAGUUGAUCCGAUGACCUUCAAAGAAGCUCUUAAUAGUGAUCAAGUAGAUAAAUGGUUAGGAGCGAUGAAUGACGAGAUGAUGUCCAUGUCAACUAAUCAAGUAUGGAAACUUGUUGAUUUACCUGAUGGGCAUAAACCAAUCGGCUGCAAAUGGGUAUUCAAAACCAAGAAAGACAAUAAGGGCAACAUCGAGAGAUUCAAAGCAAGGUUAGUCGCAAAAGGGUACACACAGAGAAAAUGUAUUGAUUAUAAUGAAGUCUUUUCCCCAGUAUCUACUAAAGACUCUUUUCGGAUAAUCAUGGCUUUGGUGGCUCAUUUUGAUUUAGAGCUUCACCAAAUGGAUGUCAAGACAGCUUUUCUAAAUGGAGAUCUGGAUGAAGAAGUAUAUAUGCAGCAACCUGAAGGGUUCAAAGAAGCCGGAAAGGAGCAUAUGGUGUGCAAACUUCAAAGAUCCAUCUAUGGUCAUCUAUGGUCUCAAACAAGCAUCACGUCAGUGGUACUUAAAAUUUCACAAAGUUGUGAGAUCAUUUGGCUUUGAAGAAAAUAAGUUUGAUCAAUGCAUCUACAUGAAAGUAAGUGGGAGUAAAUAUAUUUUCUUAGUACUUUAUGUAGAUGACAUUUUACUUGCUAGCAGUGAUAUUGAUCUAUUGAAUGACACCAAAAAUUUUCUAUCUACAAAGUUUGAUAUGAAAGAUCUUGGGGAAGCCUCUUUUGUUCAAGGCAUUGAGAUUCAUCGUGACAGAUCUAAGAAGGUUCUGGGAUUAUCUCAGAAAAGUUAUAUAGAUCGUGUUUUGAAAAGAUUCAAUAUGCAGAUCUAUAAGUCAGGUGAAGCUCCUGUUGUGAAAGGAGAUAAAUUGAGCAUAAAUCAAUGCCCCAAGAAUGAUGUUGAAAAGGAAGUCAUGAAAAAUGUUCCAUAUGCUAGUGCAGUUGGCAGUCUUAUGUAUGCACAAGUAUGUACCAGACCUGAUAUUGCUUUUGCUGUGAAUACUCUUGGAAGAUAUCUGUCAAAUCCAGGUCAAGAACAUUGGGUUGCAGCUAAGAAGGUGAUGAGAUAUCUACAACGAACAAAGGAUUUCAUGCCCGUUUAUAGCAGAGUUGAGGACCUAAAAGUGAUUGGAUAUUCAGAUGCUGAUUUUGCUAGUUGUUCAGAUGAUAGAAAAUCAACUUCUGGAUAUAUUUUUAUGAUGGCUGGAGGUGCUAUUUCUUGGAAGAGCACAAAACAAACAUUGAUUACGAACUCUACAAUGUAUGCUGAGUUUGUAGCGUGCUAUGGCGCGUCGGUUCAAGCAGUUUGGCUCAGAAAUUUGAUCUCAGAAUUGCGUGUUGUGGACUCUAUUGCUAGACCUAUGGUGAUCUACUGUGACAACAUUGCAGCUGUGUUUUAUUCCAAGCAUGACAAGAUUAGUAAUGCGUCCAAACACAUGGAGAUCAAAUAUUAUACUGUUAAGGACUUGGUAAAAAAUGGAGACGUUGUAAUUGAAAAUAUCAUAACUGAGUCCAUGUUGGCUGAUCCUCUAACAAAAGGCUUACGACCCAUUUUGUUUAAAGAACAUGUAAAGAAUAUGGGUGUUUUAGAAUCUUUUGAUUUCUUUUGUUAGUGGGAGUUAUAUAGUUUGUAUUUCUGGAUAUUAUAGUUAUAUGCAGACUGAUAAUGCUUUUAUGAUGUCUAUUAAAGCAUUUAUUUUCGAUGAUUGUUGUUAUUGAUUCUAUUGUUAUCCUUUUUCCUGUUGACUGAGAAAUGGAAAUAUAAAACAGUAUCUUUAAACAAAUUUUAGUUUAAAGAUAACUGGAUGUCACUAAUUAUGAGAUCUCAUGUUGGAUUGUGACAUAAUUGUGCAAUUUCAUGUUGUUUAGAAAUCGCACUGAGGCAAUUUCAUGUUGUUUAGAAAUUGCGCUAAUGCAGUUUCAUGUCGUUGAGAAAUUGCAUUGAGGACCGAUAAGAAAUAGUGUAUAUCUUGAUCACAUGUUGGCACUAUUUCUUACUACACUACUAGGCCCAUGAUCCAUGAAAAUAUAAUACUUAUUAUAUGUGAUUAUGGAAGGUCUUGUGUUGUGGUAUUUUCUUAACACAUUGAUCUCCAUAGUCCUAUAUUGAGGUUAUAUAGGAUUGGAUUGAUAUUGAGAUGCCAUUAUUGGAAUAUUAUUUUUUAAAAGUUGUGGCCACAUAAAACAAAAUUUUAGUUAUUAACCCGAUAGUGUCGUUUUCAAAAUAAAAUCUUUUUCAAAAUAAAAUAAGUUAAUUAAUGUAGCCCAAGUGGGAGAAUGUUAGAAAUUUCCUAUAAUAUGGGCUUACAUUAAUUAAUUGAUUUUCUAUUUUAAAUAAUCGGGUUAAUGGAUAUUCCAAUAUUUGUUAAACCCUAAAGUGAUCUGAUUGAAUUGGGUAUUGGCAUCUAUUAUUAACGGGCCUAGUUGAGCAGCAAAGUGUAGGCAAUUGUGUUUGACUGAAGCCCGUAAUGGGAAGGGCCCAGUUGACACGCUGUUGAUUAGGGUUUGCUAGGUCCCCUCUCUAGCCUAUAAAAUGGUAGGUUAUACCUAUCAGUUGUUUUAAUCCCAUUGAAAGCUGCUAUAUCGAAAUAGGACAUAGAGAGGAAGAUAUGGUAUUCCAAUAGAUCCCUGAUUAUCAAAGUGAUCUAGUUUUCUUCAAGUAAAGCAAUGGCUCAAACAGGUACACUUUAAUUCCGCUGAAUUUAUUGAUCUUGGUGUUUUACAAUCAUGUAUGGAUCCGUUUGUUCUUAAUUGAUUAAAUAAUAUUCUACACCCUACUCCCAUAUUGUUUGAUGUUGUAUUUCAGUGUUCAUUUCUACAUUUUUAUUUUAUUUUAUUUAUGCUUGAACGCAAUAGUUAAUAAAACUAAAGUGGCCCAUGGAAAGUUUUGUGUCUUGUUGAUUUAAAGUCAGCUGCAAUUAUAUGAGGUCUUAAAAGUGCAUUCACCCUGAGUUAGUCUAUACAUUCAUCAGAGAGUUCUUAUCCAACUUACGCUAAAAGUAAUUUACGUAAGACAAUUUUGCAAUAACAGUUUUGUCGUAAUUGUUUAAAAAACCAAAUUCACCUAUUUUUAAUUUUACGAGUUAUUUUUUUAAUUUAUUAGUCGAUUGCAUUUACAUGUAAAAGUAAUGUUUACAUUUUCCAUUAAAUACAAUUCAUACAAAUAGUAUGAGCCGAAUCUACCUUUUUUUUUAGUUAUCAAUUUCUCUAUAAAUGCACAUGUCCUGCAGCACCUUUGAUUUGUAAGCUAUGUCGAUGUGGCUCAUUGAAGCAGAAAUUGUAAUCAAACUUGUAAUUUUCUUUUAAAUCUUUGAAUAGAACUCGAUUUUAUUUUCAAAAACUAAAUAAUUAUCUGUAUUGGUUAUUUAAAAAAAAAAAUACAGAUUGAAGUUGUUACAAACCCAAUUCACAUGUACAACCUACAACUUCAACUAAUUAAAUUGAAUUUAGAUCCACGGAUAAAAAGUUGGCAUUUAUACAAACAAUAACAAAGAUUCAUCUAUCCAAAUCCAAUAUAUAAUGUACAAUAAAAUCAAAAUAUGAGGAAUAUCACUUUAACGCAACUUUAUACUAAUCAAUUAUAUUCAUUCAAAAUUUAAAUACCAAAAGGGUGGUACACGCUCCAUUCGCUUUUAUGCAACAAGUAUGUCUUAAACAUUACUUUUUCAUUUAAAAAAAAUCAUAUGGUGCAAUGCUUUUCACAACUUAUAAUAUAUUAAUUCCCAAUCACUUUCAAGACACGAGCUUACAAAUUUGUAGAGGAUAACAACCACCCCUAAAUAAAAUCCAAAUUGAAAGUUGCGCCGCUUAAAAAGUUUCAAAGUCAUAUAAAAAAAGUAACUAAAUGUCAAACUUAUAUGUGAACUAACCUCAACUAAAAUUUUAGUAGGCGAUACCAUAUUCUUGAGUCAAAUUGUCAAAAGAUCUUCGAACAAUUACUUUGCAAACAUAGUCGACCUCAUCUUAAAACUCCAAUUCAAGUGAGCUUACUUUUAGUAGAAAACUCUUUUGAAUUACUAAGAGACCAUAAAGCCAAAAGAUGAUUGGAGAAGGGCAAAAUCCAUUGCCAAAUACAGUAAUUCAAAAACUAUAUUUAGCAGCAUGCAAAAUUUUAAAAAUUUAUCCCAAUCAAAUCGCAAACCUAAAUUGACUUUCCUGAAGUCCUACUUUGCACUACCCUAAAAUUUCUUUACAACAUAAUUUCAUAGCUUAAAAACCUCUAAAAUCAACCUAGCAACAUAGAAUCCAUACCAAACCUAAUUUAUAAUUUAAUUACGAAAGCUCCUUCAAUUAGAUAAAUAAAAGUUUCAAAUCCUUACCAAUUGCUAAGAAACAGAAUUAAUCCGGUGCAUAAAGCAAGAGCUCCCUUUGUCUCCUCUGUCUUUUUCUUGGUUUCUCCAGACUCUGCUUUCCUUCUCUUCUUUUUUUUUUUUUCCCUUCGCGUUCUUCUUGGCCAGACUGUUUUCAAUUUUUUCUCUCUUUUUGCUCUAGUAAUUCCCUUACCACCGCAUAACGAGACACUUGGGCUUGGGCUUCGUGUUUUGCUCUUACUUAUUAUUUUUUGCCAGCCCGGUUAUUGGAACUUUAUCCUUGCCCAUCCAGCUUAUUACGUAUUGAUAUCAGUAUGCGGACACACUGCCGAGAAAAGAGAAAGGAGAAUUCAAUCAGCACCGAACAAAGUCUUUUUUUCUAACACCAGAUAAAGUAAGGAAAAAUGUCAUAAAUGGCCCAUGAACUUUCAUCUAAUGUUCAAUUUCAUCCAUGAGAUUUCGAUUUGCUCAAUUUAGUUCCUAACCUUUCAUCUAAUGUUCAAUUUCAUCCAUAAACUUUCGAUUUGCUUAAUUUGGUUCUUGAACUUUCAUCUAAUGUUCCAUCUAGUCCCUAACUAUUUGAAAAUUGACCAAUUUCCCUUUUCUUUUUAAUACCAAACUGUUUUUUUUAUAAAUAAAAAAAAAUACCAAAUUAUUUUUUUUUGGUCGAAAAAAUACCACAUUUAUGCAAAGUAAUAAAGGUCAAUAUUUCUUUCCUUUCUCCAUAUUAAAAACAAAUGGAAAAGGGGACAGUAAUAAUAAACAAAGAUAAAUCUUGCAUUUUGAUUUCUUUUUUGUAUAUGCAGAUUACUUGAAUAAUGUACAAAAGCUGAUCAAAUUGAAUAUUAAAUGAAAGUUCAGGAAUUAAAUUGAGCAAAUUCAAAACUUAAGAAUGAAAUUAAACAUUAAAUGAAAGUUCAGGGAUUAUUUAUGACAUUUUCCUAAGUAAAUAGGAAAGUUCGAAGUCCUUCCUCCAAUCCGUGGUGGGGGUGAAGAUAUGGAGGUCAAUGCGCAGGUAUAAGAGGACAAUUGGAAAAGAGAGGCGGGGGAGAAGAGGACGAAGGGUCCGCGCAGGUCUAAGGGGACAACACCUUUAUUAACCACAUUGUUAGCCUAACCUUUUCCUCUUCUUUAUCCCCUUCUCUUUUCCGAUUGUCCUCUUAGACCUGCGCAUUGACCUCCAUACAUAAAAGAGGCAUGAAAGAACGGCGAUGUCGCUACCUUCACCUCACCCGGCGCCAUGGAUUUUUUCUCCAUCAUCUCUAUCCUGAUCAACUUCAUCCAAGUGAAAUUCCAGGGGAAGUUAAUCUCGCCCUUCGAAACUCACCCCCUUGCCACCUGCGUUGCCAUCUGCAGCCUGCUCCUGCAUUUCUUGUUGCUGCGUCUCGCCAAUGGAGCAUCGCAGCUCCUCAUCGACUUCACUGGUUCGAUAUCGGUGGCUUCACUUGCGUGGUUGCUGCUCCACGACUUCUUCCACUCUGUCUUGUUGGUGCUGCUCCUGUUGCUUUCCGUGAGUUUGUUGCGCCACCUCAUUCAAAAACUUUGGCUGUGGCUUUACAGCAACCUCAUUCAAAACCUUUGGCUGUGGCUAUACGGCGAAUUCGUCCUCAUGAUCAUCUGUGCGGCGCGGUCUCCUGUAUGGCGUGUUGUAAGAGUGCAGCCACAUUCGCAGCCCCCUUUCCGGCCGCAAGUCUGAGCGCCAUAGUUGUUCUGUUCCCUGCUUGGAUAAAGUAAUCUGACCACUUUAAAACGAAUGAAUAAGUACUUUAGGAAAGCUAGCUAGUUUUGUUUAGGAGGCACUUGGGGCAACUAAAUCAGAUUAAGAUAGGCUAAGCCCUCAAAGGAAAUUGUGAUCUAUUUUUAUCGAAGAGAUUGAAGACGACCUCAACAAUUGUUACCAAGAGAAGAAUAGUCGUUUCUUUAGGCAUAUAAGAGGUAGUAAUUGUUCUUGAGGUUAAAGCUCUGACCUCUUUCAAAGCAUUGCUGAGUGUUGCAGAUUUCCUUCUUUUGCUGGUGAAUCUCUUUGUAGCUUUCAGUUUGGCCAGCGGAUGGAUAUGUGUCAUUUUACGUUCGUUGCUGGUGUACUAUGGUUUUGCUCAUUUAUCCAUAUGAACUGGGACAAAUAGAUGCCUUGGCAACGUGGGCACAGCUACAAUUUCAAAAGCUUUGAUCUAACACUAACAUCAUUGAGUGAUCCAAAUCAAAAUGAAAGAUGUCAGCUCUUUCAUCUCUGUUCCAUAUACACCAUUACUGCUUACUAGCUAUUCCGAUGAUAGUAUAGUUGUAGUUUGUCAUCGCAGAAUAUGGGAAUCGUUACAUCAUAGUCUCUAUUUGACCUCCCAGAGGUGACAACUAGAUCUUUGCUGUGGCAAAUGUAACUUGCAAUCUAAGACUACGUUGUCUCGCUGGCGGAUUGGUUUUUGGCCAGGAGCUUGAAUUGUUGCUUCAGUUGGACAUUCAAGUUUCUGGGGCCAAGGUGAGAAAAGAAAGCUGAAAUGUAGAUUUUUUUUGGCUGGCUUUUACUCAAGAUUACUGAAUUCUGGUUGACUGUAGAUGUUAGAACCUAACUUUUCCCAAUCUUCAUGUGCUAAAGAAUUUAUAGUUCAUGUAUGCAAAGCUAGAUAGGUAGUAUGCAGAUGCACGAGACAAGUCUGUAUAAACUACACCCAUCUGAUGUUGGUAUCUGAGGAAAUAAUUAGACCGGCAAGCUUCCUGCCAAGUUGAUUCACAAUCAAAUUAUGCAUUCCAGUGUCAACACUUCAUUUCAUUACAUAGAGCACUCAAGUCUGGCACUUAAAUAAUAUGAAUUCGUCUGUUUUUACUGCAGAGAGCUACAAUCUUGGAUAUCGACUGUGGCAGUGAGUCCAAUUGACUUGCAUGGGAGCGUAAGUUGAAACGUCAAACAGAAAGGAAAUUCUUUUUGUCUUGGUAAGUGCCUCCCAAACUCUGCAACUAAAUGUACUUACAUUUGCGGCUUUUGGAGACCAACAUUGCCCGUCUUUUCUUGAGUACCUCCAAUUGUGUGCUCAUUCUUUCCACUUUUUCCUACAGAAAUGCAAUAUUUUCAUCGAGUUCAGAGUAGCAGGUCUUCAGGUACUUACACUAUUCCAGCAACCUGUAUUAAAAAAUGUUUGGUAUUGGAGCAUUUUCUGUUGAUUAUUACUUAUUAUGGAGGAUGAGUCUAUAUAUAUGAUGUUAAAAAAGGAACAUGGCUAUUCUCCACAUCACAUGGUAUCGUAUCCAUUUGUUGCCUAAAGUCUGUUUAGUAAGAUAGCACUUGUGAUGGAAGCGCACGGUGGGCAAUACACAUUUGAUAUGAGUAGUCAAUUGGCAGGGGCAUUCUUUGCAGACAUAAGCACCCAGAUUCAGGUUCCUUAUCUUCUCACAAAGGUCACAAUAGUACUCACUGGUAUCAUCUUUGAUGAACAAAGCGUAAAGUGUGAGUUGAUGAAAGUUAAUGGCAAUCUUUUACUGUAGUGGAAGGCAAUCUGUGAUCACUAAGAUUGCACUGCACACAACCAUAAAAAUCUAACCUGCAAAAUUUACCAGAGACGCUGCAUAGGAAGCACAGUUCUGGAGACUAAAAUAAGAAAGAGUAUAUGCUCGUGGAGGUGAUGAUUCAAAGUGGGCCUUUCAAAAGUGCAUGAAAUGUUGAAGUCGUUGUCACAUUCCAUGCAGUGAAAGACAGAGCAUUGACACUCUUCACGAGAUAUGUCAACAACGCUCCUUCCUAAUAUGAGAAGAAAAAGGAUGUGUGGGCUGGACAGGUUGUUGCAUAACUGAGGGCAAAAUGGACCAGAAAAGAGCAGCUCUGCUCCAGCCAGCAUCAGGUUAAACAUCUGACGCUUUCAUCACAAGCCUUGCAUGGACCAUCCUUCAUAUGACAGUUCCGGCAGCAGAAGAUGAUCGUCCAGGGGAGAAAAAAGAGGCAAUCAAGACAACCAUAGACCUUACCUGGUAUGUCUUCUUCACAAGCUUUGCACCUGAUUCUGCUUUUGAGUUUCGUAUGGAAGACCAGUUAAUGCUGAUGGUCAAAAUUGUAAAAAGCGAAGUCCUUGCCCUCCAGGUAUUCCGAAUAUGUUAAAGCUGUGCAGUCCAUGUUGAGGCUGAAUUUGCAUUCAUUGCAGUAGGAAACCAUGGCAGACGUUACAUUUAGCUCCUCCAAUUGAUCGAAAGCGAGAGGGUGAUCAUGGGGAGACAGGUGUUGCAUCUCUGGGGGAGAUUUGGUGCAGCUUUUGUGGAGAAAGUAUUUGCAUGCAUAGCAUCCAUAGACAUCCCCCAAGAUUGCUUGCUCGCAGGCUUUGCAUUUGAUUCUAUUUUUCAUCCCGAGGUGAUGGGAUGUGAGCAGAUGCUCAUCAGCAUUUGUUGGAUGGCCACAUUCUGAGAAUCCUCAUUGGGAGGACAAGCAAUAUUGGCCCGUGCAGUAAGAAUUGACGGAUCCGACUGGCAAGAGAAGGUUUUUAUAUAUAAACGCAAAAUAUUGAUUGAAAUAUAUUUAUCACUAGACUGGUGAGGUCACGUAUUUCCUUGUGACCAAGUUUGUUUGGAAUAUAAACGAGCCUUGAUAAGCCAUUCCCUCUUGUGUCCAUCCAUCGAUCACAGGUAUUAGACUUAGUGUUCCAGACAAUGAGUGACUAAGUUUGUUAGGCAAUAAAAUGAUAGUGCAGCUUCAAGAUGAGUAUUUGUAGAUACCUUUUAUUGAUUUAGAGUGCGUAAAACGAGCAAUUUUUCAAGAACAGAUCAGAGAAAGCAUAUAACCUUGGAGCAUAAUCAUAUGUCAUUACUCGAAGAGCUAAACAGAAAUGUGGGAUGUGAUUUGAGGACUGAACCGAUGAUUUAGAUGCAGAUGGUAAUAAAUUAUUUUCUCUGGACUCUGAAGGUUAGCCAUUUUGUAUGAGAUGUGCAGGAUUGCAGUUAUCAUAAAGCAAAUCAAAUUAUGUUGGCAAAAAAUUUGGUACCGUCAUCUCCAAUGAAAGCAAAAUGUGUGAUAAAUGUUGUGGGCCAUGGAUACUGGAAAGAGCAAUAGAUGAUUUAUCUUCAGUGAAAGCAUAUGUCACAGACAACGGUAUCUUUCUCUUCUCGGUUAACCAUUCUUCCUUAGGGCAAUUGUUUCUAUCUACUCAAUUAUGUAUGCUACCCUUUAAUCCAUAGGAACUUCUCAUAAGUUGCAGGGUUUGGUUGCCCAAAAGUGACUUGGCUUCACCAAAACUCCUCUUCUCUAGAAGCCUGGCUGGCAAGGCAUCCCACUGGCAGUAGGUUGCUCAACCUCGCCUUGCUUUUGUGACAUGCUGUCUGGCCCCUCUGCAUUACAGUGUCAAGGGUGAGUUCCAUGUGUCAGUUUGUGGAUCGCGGUCUCACACACAAAUCCCUACAGAUUCCUGUAGGAGGUCCAAAUUAUAUCUAUUUUAAUUUUCAUGUGGGUUCAUUCAUCAUUUGAUUUGACCUUGGAAGUUGAUUUUCUUCUUAUUAAUUUACAAGCCUAAAUGCUUACUGUGAAAAGCGAUUCCCAGGAGAGUGUCAUGAUGCUAAGUCAAAUAAUGAAGCUAAGUAGGUGAUCCACUGGAUAACUUAAGAUGGCAGGACUGUUGAAUGCUUCUGCUUAUUUGGUGGCAGAUACUUAAAAUUGUUACGUUCAAUGAAAGGGCAAAUGUUAUUGAAAAGACCGAAAAUACGUCGACAAUUAUUGCGAUGAGAAGAAUGGGGAGAUGUUUCAUUGUUUGUUUCAAGGUUACUUAAGAUCCUACUAGACCAAACGAUUUGGAAGUUUUUUCUCUACUGAAGAGAGAAAAAGAGGGAUAUUCAUGAAAAAUGGCACUUUUACUAGCAUUUUCAGAUACCAGCACCUUAUUAUCACAUUGCCACAUGUCAAACGUUGUCAUGUGGUCAUUACUAGUUGCCAAAAUAAAGUCAAAAUUGUUCUUGAGGUUAAAGCUUCUGAAUUCUUUGAAAAUAUUGUGUGCGUCACAGUUUUGCUUUUCCUUUUCUGGCGAAUCUCUUGGUGACUUUCUGUUUGGCCCGUGGAUCUAUAUGUGUUAUUUUACAGACUCUUUGCUGUUAUACAACGGUUUUGCUUAUUUAUACAUAAGAACUGGGAUAAAUAGAUGCCUUGGAGAUGGGAGCACCGCUGCAAUAUCAGAGCUUUCUUCUAUCAUCAUAGAGUUAGCAGAAUCAAAAUGAGUAAUGUCAGUUUUUUCAUCUGUCUUGUAUGCACAGGUAAUGCUUACUAACUGUUCUGAUGAUAACAAUUUUAGAGUAUGUCAUUGCAGAACGACACGGUGAUUGCAUCAUAUAGUCCUCAUUUUACCUCCGAGAGGUGACAACUAGAUCCUUGUCGCGGCAAAUGCGUCAACUUGCUUCAGCAAAUAAGAUUUAUAAAGACAAACUUCGUCUGUGGUGUAUCCUGCGUAUAUCCAGAAGCUCUUGGAUCUGAAUAAUGCAAUGACUAUGUUGUCUCCCUGGCUAAUUUGGGUUUUGGAAAGGAGCAUGAAUUGUUGCUUCAGUUGGAGAUUCAAGUUGCUAGGGCCAAGGUGAGAAAAGAACGCUUGAUUUCUUUUGUGGGAGGCUUUAGUUCAAUAUAACUGAAUUUUGGUAGACUGCAGAUGUUAGAACGGAAUUUUCCUAUCUUAUUGUGCUAGAAAAUAAGUUACAGUUCAUGAAUGCAAAGCUAGAUAGAUUGUAUGCAAAACCUCGAGGCUAGUGUGAACAAACUACACAAUCCUGAUAUUCUUUUUCAAGGAAUUAAUAAGACCAGCAAGCUUGCUAACAAGUUUAUUCAUAAUCAAAUUAUGCAUCACAUUGUUAAUACUCCUAUUCAUAACACAGAGCACACAAGUCUUACACUCAAAAAUAUGAUAUUUGUCUGCUUUUGCUGCAGAAGAUAACAAUUUCAGAUGUCAAGUGUUGGCAGUGAUUCCAAUUGACUUGCGUAAGAGCGUUAGUUGAAACAUCAAACAAAAAGGUGGUCUCCUGCCUCCCUAAUUCUUUCCUUGUGGAUAAGAAUCUCCCCAACUCUUUAACUUCAUGCACUUUGCUUGCGGCUUUUUGAGACUUGCAUUGCAAGCGUUUUUGUGAGUACCUCCAAUUGUGUGCUCGAUCUAUCCACCUUUUCCUGCAGAAAUGCAUCUAGUUCAGCAAAAUCAAGGCUUCAGGUGCUUCCAUUACUUUAAAAAAUAUUUGUUAUUGCCAUAUUUUCUGUUGAUUAUAACUUAUUGUGAAGAUUGAGUCUGUAUAUGAUAUAACAAAAGAAAAAAGAACAGGGUUAUUCACCACAUCACAUGGCAGUAUCUUGUGGCCGUUUGUUGGCUAAAGUCAGUUUAGUGAGAGAGCAUUUCUGUGAUGAAAGCAUACCGUGGGUAAGACGCACUUGAUAUGAGUAAUCAAUGGGCAAGGGCAUUCAUCACAGACGGAAGCACCCAGUUUCAGGUCCGUUUCUCUCAAAGGUUACAAUAGUACUCACUGGCAUCGUCUUCAAUUAACGUAGUGUAGAGUGUGAGUUGAUGGAGGUGAUGGCGAUCUUUAUUGUUGGUGUUAACCGUGGAAGGCAAUCAUGGUUGACAUAAAGAUUGCACUACACAAGAAUGUGAAAGCCGAAUGUGCAAAAUUUACCGGACACUGCAUAGGAAGCAUGGUUCGGCAGAUCUGAUAUAAGAGAGUAUAUGCUCAAGAAGCUGAUGUUUCAAAGUGGGCCUUUCAAAAGUGCAUGGAAUGUUGAAGUCGAAGUUGCAUUCUGCAUAGUGAAAGACGGCGUCAACGCUCUUCAGGACAUGCGUCAGUGAGCCUUCCUUCCUGAUACGGGAAGAAGUGGAUGUGCCAGGGUGAACAGGGUGUUGCAUAACUGAGGGCAAUUCAGCACAUGAUUUACGGAGCAGAAAAGAGCAGCUCUGCUCCAGGCAGGCAUGGGCUAAACCUUUAACAUAUUAAUCACGAGCCUUGCUCGCACCAUCCUUCAUUCGACCCUGCUCCAGUGGCAACGGAUGAUAGUGAAUUGGAGAAAGAAGAGGCAAACCAGACAAGCGUAGACCCCACCUAGUAUGCUGCUCUAUUCUCAGCUUUACACCCAGAUUCUGGUUUCAAGCUUCACGUGGAAGGACACCAGUAGAUGCUGAUGGGCGAAAUGGUUAAAAAGGGAAAAAGAAAAAAACUGAGCCUUUCUCGGCCUUCAGAUGUUGUGAACAUAGAGUUAUAGCCACGCAGUCCACGUCAAGGCUGAAAUUGCAUUCGCUGCAAGGGGGAAACCAGAUGGCAGGCAUUACAUUGGAGGUCUACCGAUUGAUCGAAAGCAAGAAAAAGGGUUGAUUAUGAAGGGAGGGGUGUCGCUUCUCUGGGGUAGAUUCGGUGCAGCUCUCCUGAACGAAGAAUAUGCGCCGUGUAGCAUCCAUAGACCUCCUCGCAGGCUUUGCAUUUGAUUCUACUUUUCGUGCCAAAAUGGAGGGAUGUGAGCAGAUGCGAAUGAGCAAGAUGCAGGAUGGAUUCUCAGAAUCCCCAUCAGGCUUAGUUGUGACUAGGCAGACGAAGCAAUAUCCGGCCAUGCACUAACGCUCAACCAUCCGAAUGGCAAGAAGGAAGCCUGUUCACACACAUGGUAACUCCGAUGAUCCUCCUCAUCGUUGGCAGCUGGGCAGUCAAGGCGGGGCAGUGGGUGAGACAGGUGUCCUAGUGUGGACAGCAUGCUAAAUUCGGCAUGACUCGUAAAAGAAGAAACGGCGCGAUUCACAGUGGUGAGCUGAGCUGCGGAUUGGAGAUCAGCACGCAUGACAUUCCAAGCAAGUACAGGCUUCUUCGCUCAGGUUUCGCAGAAUCAAUACAUGAUCACCAAGGAAAAUUAGGAAAUAAAAAUGCGUUUUGAAUGGAGUUAUAGUUGUUAUCAACACGAAGUAAAUGUGGUGAAAUUAAUUGAGUUAAUGCCUUGAAAAACCCCAAACUGAUACACCUAUAACAAAUUUAUGCUAAAAUAAUUUUUUGAUCAUAAAAAACUUCAAACCGGUACACAUUUGACAAAUUUACCCCAAAUCUGUAUAUUUGUGACAAAUUUACCCUCUGUUGAUUUCCGUUAAAUUUUACUAUCGAAUUACUAAAUUAAAGGACACGUGAAAGUUGACUGGUGUAUCGAUUUGUAAAAUUUUUUCUCUGUUUGUCGCAGUUAUACAAUUUUUGUAAUAUUUUGUAGUAUUAUUCCAAUUUAACGGAUGACAUAUUUAUCACAAAUGUGUCAGUUUCAGGUUUUUGGUGAUCGAAUAAAUUAAUUUAGGAUAAAUUUGUCACAAGCAUAUCAGUUUGGGAUUAUUUAUGAUCGGUUAUGGUAAAUUUGUCACAGGUGUACUAGUUUAUAAUUUUUCAUGGUCAAAAAAUUAAUUUAAGAUAAAUUUGUCAUAUGUGUAUCAGUUUGGAGCUUUUCAGGAUAUUAACCCAAAUUAAUUUUACCGCACUCCCACAUCAUUUGAUGUUGUGUUUCAGUGCUAAUUUGUACAAUUUUUUUUAAUGCUUUAAUGCAAUGGUUAACGAAACUAAAGUAGCCCAUGAAAAGUUUCAUAUCUUGUUCAUUUAAAGUCAGCUGCAACAAUCUGACCAAAAAAUUAAAAUCAGCCACAACUAUAAUUAAUUUUCCAUAAAUUAACCAAUAAAUAAAACUCCAAACAUUGGUUAAGAUCAUAAAGGUGCAUCACCUUGGGCUAGUCUAUACAUUUAUUAGAAAUUCUUAUCCAACUUACUAUGAAUGUUACUUACUUAACACAAUAUUGCAAUGACUUUUUUAUAAAUUACUAAAGUGGAAUUAACUUGACAUGACUUUAUAGUUUAUAAAACUAAAUUCACCUUAUAUGUAAAAGUAAAGCUUACAUAUGCUGGGUCAUGUCAUUUUUCUGAGGGAAAAAAAAACUCUCUCUCUCUCUCUAUGAGAGUUUCCAAAGGGUCUCAAGGGAGGCUUCGAUGUUCACACAAAUAUGGCUGGGCCAUGCGGUAUUACAUGAUAAUCUUAUGUCUACUCGUGGGCAAAAAUGGGACUACCGUGAAAGUUGGGGUUUUUUUAAACAAAAAAAAAACAAUUCGAGGCAAAAUUAAGAUUUUCCUGAAGUUUUGCUCUGCGACACUUUAAAUUUCUUUACAACAUUAUUUCACAAUUUAAAAACCUCUAGAAUCAGUCCAACAACGUAAAAUCCAUACAAAACCUAAUUUACAGUUUAACUAAGAAAACUUCUUCAAUUAGAUAAAUAAAAGUUUAAAAUCCUAACCAAUUACUAAGAAAUAUAAAUAAUCCGGCUUGACCCAGCCUCUCAAACGUGCAUGUAGCGAGAGCCCCUCGUCUCAUCUUGGCCAGACUCUGUUCUCUCUCUCUCUCUCUCUCUCUCCAUUUGCUCUAGUUAUUCCUUCGCAAUGGCAUCAACUGAAGCAAGACCAAAGAAAGUGCUAAACGAGACACUUGGGCUUGGGCUUAAUGUUUUGCUCUUAUUUAUAAUUUUUUGCCAGCCUGGUUAUUGCAACUUUAAUAGGAAAGUUCAAAGGCGUUCCUCCACUCCAGUGGUGAAGGCAGGGACAGCAGACUGGCAUAAAAGACGACAGCCUGAAACUGGAGGGAUCAUUGUCAAUUUGGAGUCUGCUCCGGUUUCAGACAGUCGUCCUUUAUGCCACUAUGCAUAAAAAGAACCUCAACAAUUGUUACUAGAAGAAGAACGGUCAAUUGUAGUAGCUAUAUUAAUCAAAUAUUAUUCUUGACAUUGAAGCUUCUAACCACUUUGAAAACAUUAUGAGUGUUAUAGACUUCCUUCUUUUUCCAAUAAAUUUCUCGAGAAAAUUACAAAAAAAAAAAAAAAAUCUUAACUCUUUUAAUGAUUUGUUUCUCAGCUAAUUUAGCUUGAAAAGUGCUUAUGUGAAUGUCAAAUAAGCAACUCCCAUCCUACUUGGCCGGAUUGGCAAAAGGCCGACGCUAACAUAAUCACUAGAGAUCAAAACGGCGGCGUUUUCCACAAUAAUUUUAAAAGAAAAAAAUCAUCGCUGAGCUAUUUUCUUAUCCAAAUCCUCAAACGCUCACCGACCCCUCGUCCAAAGAAUUCUAACCUGAAUUCAAUGAGAUCUCACUCAAAUCUCUUCAAAUCUCAACUCAAAUCGAACCAUUCUUGCUUGAACCUGAGUCGUUUCUUUCCACAAUUAGGAGAAAAUGCAGAUGUUUUCUCCCAUCCCAAAAGAGUUAUUUUAUAGUAUAAGUUUAUAACCCCAUAACUGCUUUGCUUAAUUAGAGCAGAUUCUAAAUGUGAGGCUAUAAUGGUAAACAUGGGAUAAGACAUCAAAAUUUGAGAUUUUGCUCAUACAGAAUAUUAAUAGAUAAAAUAGAAAUACGAAUAAUCUGCAGCAUUAAUUUUUUUUACUUUUGAGAAUACUUUUAUCCCGAUAAAAAGGAAAUUGAAAAUUCUCAAUACGAAUAGAAAUUUUAAAAUCAAGCUUUAUCGUAUGCCAAUUUGAACAUUUUGACAGUAACCGGUGCUAUUUUCCCUUUUGACCGAACCAUUUUUUACGCGACCUUUCUCGUUCUAAAGGAUGCAUUUGCAAAACUGAAAUUGAUUCCCAAAGGAGCAUGGAAAAAAGCGUUUUCCGAAGGAUUUCAUCAAUAUACGAAAAUCGACGGUCGCGAUUGUUUUGGCGUAGGAACCAAAACUAGAGACAGCUUAUACGGUGGCAUGGUAUGGGAAGUCGCCACGUGGCGCGCCGUGGAGCUUGGCCUUUCAGCUUCUCUGCUGGGGCACUUCCGACUCUGAUAGAGAGAGAGAGAGUGGUCGCCGGACGCUGGUGGUUGGCGACGGCGGAAGAGAGGAUGGCCGUGGCGGCGAGCCUCUGCAACCGCAUCCCCUCUCCGUUCCUCGGCGGCUUCCCUCCUCCUCCUCCUCCUCCUCCUCAUCCCCUCGCCGUCGGUCUCUCUCUCUCUCUCUUCGUUUCUAGAGUUUCGAGCUGACUGCGCGUCUUCCAUGGAGUUCGCUUUUUACUGUCUUCAUGUUGCGGAAUCUUCUUGAACGAAUCCGAAUGUUUUGCCAGAAAAGCUGAUUCCUUUCUUGUGUUUCGCGCGCCUGCUUCUUCAAUCUCACGACGAUUUCUCAUUUUCUCCUUCUUCUUCUUCUGCACCUGCGUUUUUGAAUGGAGGAGUUGUCGGUUGAUGAUCGGAGAAUGUGAUGCUGUCGCCCAAAUCCAAACCCCUCGCUCGCUCGCGCAGUCGCCCGAAUCUCCCCCGAACCUCAACUCAAAUCUCCCCCAAACCAUAGGAAGCACAGUUCGGAAGAUCAAAAUUAAGAAAGAGUAGAUGCUCGUGGAGGAGAUGUUUCGAAGUGGGCCUUUCAAAAGUGCAUGGAAUGUUGAAGUCGUAGUCACUUUCCAUGCAGCGAAAGACAGAGCGUCUACACUCUUCACGGCAAAUGUCGACAGCGCUCCUUCUGAUGCAAGAAGAAAAAGGAUGUGCGGGGUAAUUUAUCGAAAAACAAUUACGUAUAAUAUGAUGCACCGUAAGCUAUGUGGAUAAGGUUCACCAAAGUAGUAGUUACAAUUAAACUUGUAUUUUUAUUAUCUUUGAAUAAAACUCAAUUUCAGUUUAAAAAAUUUAAUAAUUGUCCACAUUGUUUAUCUUGAAAACAAAAUAUAGAUCUAAGUUGUUAUAGACCUAGUUCACAUAUACAACCUAUGGCUUCCGCUAGUUAGACUAAAUUUAGAUGCAUAGGUCAAAAGUUGGCAUUUGUAUAAAUUAUGGCGACUAAGAUCCAUGAGAACAUUUCAAGAAAGGACAAACAAAAUAGGGAGGUACUCUUUCGAGUAAUUAUAAGUAAACCAAUUGAAAUGUUAGAAAGAACUACAUUUGAAAAAAGGAAAACCAGAGCAGUGUAGAGCUCAUAUAAAAAGGUUCUUGGAAACCAUUCUACUCUAACCUAACUUUACUAGGAACUAUAAUAGUAAGAUUGUGAACUAAGUAGUCCUAACAAUGACACACGACACACAACAUAUCAUUUUUCAAAAAAUAGAGAAUUUCCACAUGUCAUGACAUGUUGUAUAUAAAAUGAUAACUUUUUCUUCAUUAUUUUGAUUUGAUAAAUUCAAUUGCAUUCCAUUCCAAUAAUCCAUAAAAGUUGAAGGAAGAAAAAUCAAACAAUCCACAUUCCACUAUUAAAUUUAAUAUUUAACAAAAAGUAGAAAAAUAAUAAUAAUACACGUUCCACCAUCAAAUAUAACAAGAAGUCUUUCUUUCCCCAUUUUUUUUUUUUUUUUAUAUAUAUAUUUACAUUUUGACCUAUCAUUUAUUGAAAAUUUUGAAAUUAACCUCAUGCAUAUCAAAAUCACGUGUCGAAAUUCCAUACUCACAUGUCAAGAGACUUGACCAUGUGUCGGAUUUUUCGACACUCAUUCAUCACGUGUUGGAACGUAUCGGAGUGUCAAACACAACACGAAGGCUUCAAUAUUUCUUAAAUUGUGAACCAAAUUCUAGUAGUACAAUUGCUUUUGCUGCCAAUGUCAUCUCAGUAGCAGAAAAGCCAUGGAAAGAUCGGGAGGUACAUUACAUACUUCAAAACACCAACUUACCCGAAACAAAUAAAUUGCAACGAAUAUCAGAACUUCUGGAUCAAAUUAUUCCCUCCGACUUAUCAUUCACGAGGAAAGGAAAGGCAUGAGGAGAAUCAGAAACGCAAUGUGGUCAUAGCAAAACCAAUCGCAUAAUGACAAGUUAACAGGGAACAUGCAAGAGCAAUUUAGCAUAAAUAUUGCAGUACUUUCGGCUAGUUUCGGGAAACGAAACACAUUCCAGAGAACAUGAAGCAUCCCAGAACGUCUUAUUCUCUUUUGUUGUCUACACUGCAUAAUCUGAAUAAUCAUAAUUUACGGCUUAAUUACGAAAAUUCCUGCACUUAGAUAAAUAAAAGUUGUUGCUACCAGCUAGAAUUAAUCCGUCUUGUCGAGUUCUCCCAAGCGUGCAUGGAGGGAAAGCCCCCUUUGUUUCCUCUCUCUCUUUUUCACCGUUUCUUUCCUUCUUUUCUUUUCUUUUCUUUUUUGUUCUUCUUGGCUAGGCUCCGUUUUCUCUCCUUCUUUCUGCUCUUGUAAUUUCCCUUGCAAUGAAGCAAGACUAAAGAAAGGGCUAAAACGAAACACUUAGGCUUGGGCUUAGGCUUGGGCUUAAUGUUUUGCUCUUAUUUAUUAUUUUUUGCAAGCCCGUUUCUUGCAACUUUAUUCAUGAAGAUAAAUAUAUUAGGGUAUUAUGUGCUGAUGGAUCCUAUGCGAAGUGAGGAUAAGGUCACUCGAAAUUAAAGUUGGGCAUAUAACUUUUUUAUGAAAAAUCAUAAAUCUAUUAUAUUUAUGUCAAUUCAGUCAUUUUGACUAAUUUUCAUUAGAAAUUACUGAUAUGGACAUUAGUUGUCCUGCAUGGCACACCUUGCCCUAAUAUGGAUAAUUUUUUUAUAGUAAUUCAAUUUUUUUAUUUGUUAUUCUUUUUAUUCUUUUUUUUCUCUCUUUUUUCUCAUCACCCAGUUCUUCCAUCACCAUGUUCCAAGACAUGGAUUUUUCUUCUCUUGCAUGAGAAAACUCGAAACUUUCAUUCCCUGCUCUAGAAGAAUUCAUCGAUCCACAAGGCAGAUAUCGACAUGCUCCCAAAAUACCUACCUCCACUGAUGUAGACGAACAUGGAAAACAAAAAAGGACUCAUGUUACUGAAGCCAUCUUGAAUUGGCAAUUGGAGACUUUGUUGGCACACAACAAUGCGUUCAAAAUCACCUAGGUGAGGGUCGCCGUUGCCCACCAUAGGCUAGGCUAGGCUAGGCCAAGUGAGAUCGAUCCUAAGAAAGACUGCCUUGGCUUGGGCAAGGCCUUACGAGGGUUAGCCUCGCCUAGGCCAAAUUUGGUGAGGCUAGCUCGCUCGGCUAUUGCCUAUGAUUAGCAAAAGGAGGAAGAAAGGAAAAGAAAAAAAGAAAAAAAUUAGAGAAAAUAAAAAAUAUAUAUUAAAUUAUUAUUAAAAUUUUUCCAUGGCCAUCCAAUCAGUAUUUAGUCAAAAUUAACCAAAAUAAUUAAAUUUAUACAAUUAUAAGGUUUAAGACUAAAUUAAUAUAAAUGCGAUAAGCUUAUGGCUUUUCUCCCUUGUCAAUAUAAACAUUUGAUAUUUAUUUUUUUCAUGGAAAGUGACACGGAUAUCAAUUUAAUAAUCUUUCUUUUGACAUCAAUCUAAUACUCUUUAUUUUUUAACGUCCCCCAUGCAUUCACGUGCUUCAAAGUUGUGUCUCGACUUUUUUUAUUUUACUUCUUCGAGAAAAUAUUAUAUAAACUUAUAAGUAAUCCGAUGGAUGGAAGAAAUCAAUUAAAAUACGUUAUUAGUCUUUUUCAGUCCUAAUUUAUAUUGAUUACAUAUAUCCGUGAAAUGUAAUUAUUUGAUCUAGCAAACUUAGUUUAUGUAAUACUUGCCCGCGGGAUAAUUAUAAAAAGGGUUUUAAAUCUAUUGUACUUAUGAUAAUUUAGUUUUAAACCUUUGAAUUUGACUAAUUAAGUCCUCAACUUUUUGACAAUUUGUCAAUUCAGUUCUAAAUAUUUCAAUCGGGUCACUUUAGCUCUAGUCAUUUUGAUAGUCACAUCGACGUUGCCUAAACCUCGAUGUCAACGAUUUCCAAUUAAAAUGGUCCAAAAGGAUUAAAUUGGUCAAUCGUAAAAAAAUUUAUGACUCUAUUAAUACAAUAUAAAGGCUUAUGACUUAAUUGACACAAAUUUAAUAAGUUUGAACUUUUUUUUUUUUUUGGGUAACUUCUCCCUUGCCCGUACUUCUUACAUAUUCUUCUCCCUCGAGAUAACCUUAAAAAUGUUAACGAUUAAAUAAGUGUAAGUAUCAGCUCUCCAACAACUUAGUGUCGUUGGCAAAAAAUAAUAAAAUACUAACUAAAAAAGUGAGUGUGACCGAACUACAUAGCUUUUGGAUCUUAGGCAGCUUUUUCCGUGUUGGCAUCUUAUUUUAAGUUUUGCGGCUAUAAAUAAUUCAGACGGUAUCUUCUUUACCAAAAAAAUAAUAAUUCAGACGGUAUCUUGACCCAUUGGAGUCGCCUGGAGACAUCACAUGCUCUUCUGUAAGGGCAGCACGCUUGUGAGCUGAGAGAAAGAUCCAAUCUCUAGGCCUCGAACGCGGAACAGUACUGAGAAUAUUUCUCCCGCUUAUAUCUUCUUCUGCUCAUGAUUAGAGAAAUAUUCCUACAUCUAUAUCUUUUACGAAUAGGUUAUAAAUUAUCAAAAUUACGGGAAAAAUACCAAAAUAAUCCUAAACUUUUUGCAUUGGUACCCAAUUCAGUCAUAAACUUUUUAAUUGGAUCAUUUUAGUCUCAAAUAUUUUUGUAUUGAUACCAAUUCAAUUUAUCCGGCUAAUUUAAACCGUAAAUUGUUGACGUAGCUGCCAGCGGUCUUAUGUGGCGCCAUGUGGACAUUUAUAUAUUUUUAUAUUUUUUUCAGAUUUUUUAAAUUAUUAUUUUCCUUUCUUCCUUUUUUUCUUUUUUUCUUUUUUUUCCUUUUCUUUUCUCCUUACUCCUUGGUCCGCGAGGUCACUGGCCAGCCGACCAUCAUCAGCCAUAGGUUGGUUGGGGCGAGGGGCCUCGCACCCUCCCUAGCCCCCGCCCAAAUCUAGGCGAGGGCCUCUGUGCCCUCGUUGGCCACAGACGAGGGUGCAGCUAGGGGUGAGCAUGGUCCGGGUUGGUCCGGGCCACCCCCUAACCCUAGGACUAACCCGUAUAGUGUCGGUCCUCAAUUUUUAGGACCGAUGACCGACCCUAUUGAGCCUGGGACCAAGGACUGGACCGACCCAAUGGGUUCGGUCCGGUUCCAGGGUUAACCCGGAACCGAUCGAUAAUUUUUUUCAUCUUUUUUUUCAUACUUCCUAAAAAAGUAAACCUACAAAAGUAUCUCAAUCAAUGUAUGAAAUUAACAAUGUGGCAUAUAAGACGAAAAGAAGUAUCUCAAUAAUUUUUUUUCGUCUUGUAUAUACAUAACUAGAUCUAAUGAAUUUUUUUCAUCAUGCAUAUACAUAACUAGAUCAAACACAAAGCUUCCCAGGUUCUUUUCCAACAGUAGAUAAGCCACUAGGAUAGAAGGAAAAAACAGGCCUAACGUCUAUCUAAAUGCCCGCAUUCCAAAAUUGCAAGAGCCAAAGUGAUUUGAAUAGAAUAUACAGCGCAAGUCCCCCUGUUGUAAGUGAGAAACUUAAAAAACAAACAGAAAAAUGCGUUCCCAAGUGAGUAAUUAAAACAGAUAAAAAUGCCAAGGAAUGUACCUCCAUUGAGAGCCAACCUAUUGAUCAGCAAAGUAAUUCAAUUGCUGCACUGGAAAAGACAACGGAAUUUACAUCAUAUGGGCCUGACUAUGAUGAAGUUGAUUGUUCUUCUCAAGACGUCUAGCAUUGGGAAUGUUUGACAAUGGCGUUCAUGUUCACCCAUCAUCAAAUGCUUUUCAGAAAAUCCUUUGCAGAGCAAAGGAGAAGAUACUUCAGGUAGCUUUCAUACACUUGCAGCCAUGUUCCUCAGUCAGCAAGCCGUCCCUCCGUUAUUUGCAUGUAAGAAGCAGAGCAAAUAAACCAAAUAUGUAAUCGACCUGUGGUGAUAAUCUGAGUACACAGCUCAACCCAAAUAUUCUCCACUACUGAUUCAAAUACCAUCCACUUCAAGCUAUGCCUCUUCUUUGAAAUAUCUAUGGUGAAUAGGACAUUGUAAGGAUUAGAUUGUGAAAAAAGAAGGUGUAUAACAGAAAACUAGGAUCUCUCUCUCAAAGCACAUACACAAUAGGCUAAUCAGGAUUUAUGACAUAAUAUACUUCAUUACAAAGUAAAGUUAUUGCUAUUAACAUCUAUUUAAUUCAAUAUCAUCCUUAGACUGCUUAAUCAUUUGUAUGAAUUUCACCUAUUUGAAUAACAUUAGGCACCAAAAGCACUAACAAACGAGUAUACAUACCAGUUAAAUACACAGACUUCGUACCGAACCUAGAUAUAUGAGGAUCAAAAUCCACCUUCCACCUGUCCAAAUAUUUGCUGUCUUGGCAGGUUCGAUAUAGUGAACUGUCUCCCAGAUUUAAAACAACUUCAUUAAUGGGACAUGAGACUCAGUGAGAUGACGAUUGGAAGGAAACUUGGCAGUAAUCUGAUUUACUCUGCAUCACAUUUCAGAUGAAAAAGUGGACAGAUCUCAGAGACAAUGGAGAGUUCUUCUAGAAAAGGAAGAAGUUCCAUCUGUCACGAGAUAUUUGACCCAAAAUUCCAUCGUUGCUACAUCUGCAGAAAAACCCCUUUCAACCAUUUCACCGACAAGUUGCGUGGCUCUAGUAUUUUUGUUAUCUCUUAGUAGUCUUUUGGAUGAUUGUGUUAUAAGUGACCCCAUCUGGGAGGUCAUAGGGACUAAUACCCAGCCAAACCAAUCACGUACACGAAGCAAACAUGGAAAAAAAAAAUCAACACAAAAUCAAGAGCAUACAUGAGGUUGAAGAUCUCAAAUGAAGCACAAAGUAGAACUCACUAGCCAAGUUGUGUUCGGAAAGCAAGGGCAAGCCGAGCGUUAGGGUUUCUAAUUAGGGCUUCUACUUUUCCUUCUAAUUUACUCGGCGAUAAGCGAGGUGACCGGCGCGAGUGGCGAGCGGCAAGUGCGAGCAUCGAGUGGGGCGAGCGUCAACUAGCGAGCGGCAAGAGUUGAGCGAGGCCAGCGGCGAGCGGCGAGCGUUAAGCAAGGCUAGCGGUGAGUGGCGAGUGGCGAGGGUUGAGCGAGGCUAGCAACGAUAGCAAAGGGCGAAUAGCAAGCGGCGAGCGGCGCGAGCGGCUCGGGCAACCAGAGGCGAGCAAGGAUGUCGCUACUUUUGAUUUUGGCAAAUUUGAAGAACAAAUAAGACAAAAUGGAAGAGAACAUACUUUGGAGAAGGAAGCCGCGAGGAGAUUUACAGCGUAGACUUUGCAGUUUGGACCGUUUGGACGUUGCGAGUCCGUGACUGUGANNNNNNNNNNNNNNNNNNNNNNNNNNNNNNNNNNNNNNNNNNNNNNNNNNNNNNNNNNNNNNNNNNNNNNNNNNNNNNNNNNNNNNNNNNNNNNNNNNNNNCGGCAUAAACUUCACGCCUUUUGGAUGCUGUUUGUUCGUGACAGUGAGCUGAGGAGUCAACAACUUCAACAUAAUUUUACUUAGGUUUGACCGUUUGAAUAUAUAAAAGAAUUAUUCCUUACCAAAAAAAUAUAUAAAAGAAUUAUAAAUAAUAUUAUAUAAAUAAUAUACAGAGUUGGUCCGGGUUGGACCGACCCAAAACUCUUAGGACCGAGGACCAACCCGCACAGUGUUGGUCCUGAAAUUUCAGGACCAAAGAUCGACCCAGUCCCCUUGGGAACCGGACCAGGACCGGCAGGGUUGGGCCGGUCCAGGAUCGGUCCAGGGUCGACCCUAAACCGCUGCUCACCCCUAGGCGCAGCAGCCCUCACUCUUGGCAGGCGAGGGUGCAGCGGCCCUAGCCCAGAUCCAAGCGAGGGCACGACGUCACAGGCGAGGCCGCCGUGGCCCUUGCCUGGAUCUAGGCGAAGGCCCAAUGGCCUCGCUCGUGGCGAGCAAGGGCCAUGAAGGCCUCACCUAUGGCGCCGUGCCCUUGCCUGGAUCUGGGCGAGGGCUGAUGCACCCUUGCCUGCCACAGGCGAGGGCUGUCGUGCCCUUGCCUGUGGCCGAGGAGGGCGCAAAGGCCCUCGCCGACCAAUAGGUGAGGGUUUGGACCCUCGCUUGGAUUUGGGCGAUGGUUAACGCCCUCACUUGUGGCCGAUGAGGGUGCGGCGGCCCUUGCUAGUGGCAGGUGAGGGCGCGGGGCCCCUCGCCUUGACUAGCCUGUGGCCGGCAAUGGUCGGCCGGUUGACGACCUCAUCCGCCAAGGGGUAAGGAGAAAAGAAAAAAAAAGAGAAAAAAAUAAUUUAAAAAAUUUGAAAAAGAAUUAUAAAAUUUGUUCAGGUGGCGCCACAUAAGACCAUGAAUGGUGAUGCACCUUGCAGUGACUAGAAAUUGGGAUAUGUUGUUAUCGAAGAGAUUGAAGAUGACCUCAACAAUUGUUACAACGAGUAGAAUGGUCGUUUCUAGCAGCCAUAUAAGGGGUAGUAAUUGUUCUUGAGGUUAAAGCUCCUGACCUCUUUGAAAACAUUGUUGAGUGUUGCAGAUUUCCUUCUUUUUUCUCGUGAAUUUCUUUGUAGCUUUCUGUUUGGCCAGUGGGUGGAUAUGUGUCGUUUUACAUUCUUUGCUGGUGUACUAUGUUCUUGUUCAUUUAUCCAUGGGAUAACUUGAUGCCUUGGUGAUGCGAGCACAGCUACAAUUUCAAAAGCUUUGAUCUAACACUAACAUCAUCGAGUGAUUCAAAUCAAAAUGAAACAUGUCAGCUUUUUCCAUCUCUCGCAUAUACACCAUUAUUGCUUACUAGCUAUUCCGAUGAUAAUAUAGGUGGUCUGUCAUUGCAGAAUGUGGGAGUCGUUACAUCAUGUAGUCUUCAUUUUCCCUCUGCGAGGCAACAGCUAGAUCUUUGCUGUGGCAAAUGCAUUAAGUUGCAAUCAAAGACUAUGUUGUCUCCCUGGCUGAUUAAAAUUCAAGCUGCCGAGGCCAAGGUAAGAAAAGAACGCUGAAAUGUUGAUUUUUUUUUUUUUUUUCUGCUGUAGGCUUUAGUUCAAGAUUACUGAAUUUUGGCAGACUGUAGAUGUUAGAACCGAACUUUUCCCAUCUUCAUUUGCUGUAGAAUUUACAGUUCAUGUAUGCAAAGCUAGAUAGAUAGUAUGCAGAUGCUCGAGACAAUUCUGUACAAACUACACUCAUCUGAUGUUCAUAUUUGUGGAAAUAAUUAGACCAGCUAGCUUCCUGACAAGUUGAUUCAUAAUCAAAUUAGGCAUCCCAAUGUUAAUACUUUGAUAAAUGACAGAGCACAAAAGGCUUGCACUUCAAAAAUAUGAUAUUUGUCUGUUUUUACUGCAGAGAACAACAAUCUUGGAUGUCGACGUAGCAGUGAGUCCAAUUGACUUGCAUAAAAACGUAAGUCGAAACAUCAAACAGAAGGGUGUUCUCGUGACUCCCAAAUUCUUUUCGUCUUGAUAAGGGCAUCCCCAACUCUGCAACUAAAUGCACUUCGCUUGCGGCUUUCGGAGACCAGCAUUACACGUCUUUUCUUGAGUACCUCCAAUUAUGUGCCCACUUUUUCCUGCAGAAUUUCAACUUUUUCAUCUAGUUCAGGCUGUUCAGCAAAAGCAGGGUCUUCAGUUAUUUGCACUAUUCUAGCAACUUGUAUUAAACACUGUUUGGUAUUAGCGCAUUUUCUGCUGAUUAUUACUUAUUGUGUAGAUGAGUCUAUAUAUAUGAUGUUAAAAAGGAGCAUGGCUAUUCACCACAUCACAUGGCAGCAUCUUGUAUCCAGUUUUGGCUAAAGGCUGUUUAGCAAGAGAGCACUACUGUGAUACAAGUGCACCAUGGUAAAACACAUUUGAUAUGAGUAAUCAAUGGGCAAGGGCAUUCAUCAGUCAUAAGCACCCAGAAUUGUGUUCCUUAUGAUAUUACGAAGGGCACAAUGGUACUGCUCACUGGUAUUAUCUUCGAUGAACAAAGCAUAAAGUGUGAGUUGAUGGAAUUUAAUGGAAAUUUUUUACUGUAGUGGAAGGCAAUCAGUGAUGAUUAAGAUUGCAUUGCACACAACUGCAAAAGCCGAAGCUGCACAAUUUACCACAGACACUUCAUAGUAGCAUGGUUAGGUAGAUUUAAAAUGAGAAAGAGUAUAUGCUUGCGGAGGUGAUGUUUCAAAGUGGGCCCUUUAAAAGUGCAUGGAGUGUUGAAGUCGUCACUUCCGUGCAGUGAAAGACAGAACAUCCAUGCUCUUCGUGACAUAUGUCAACAGUGCUCCUCAUACGAGAAGAGAAAGGAUGUGCAGGGUGAGCAGGCCGUUGCAUCUGAGGGCAAUUCAGCACAUAAUUUAUGGAGCAGAGAAGAGCAUCUCUGUGCUGCAUGGCAAUACGCUAAACAUUUGACACAUUCGACACAAGCCUUGCACGCACCAUCCUUCUAUGGCAGUUCCAGUGGCGGAGAAUGAUAGUGCAGUGGAGAAAGAAGAGGCAAUCAAGACAACCGUGGACCUCACCUAUAUGUUCCAUUCACAAGCUUCACACCCAAUUUUGCAGUCAAGCUGUGUGUGGAAGACCAGUGGAUGCUGAUGGUCGAAAUGGUAAAAAACCGAGUCCUUUGUGCCUCCAGAAGGACAACUAGCUAUUCUGAUGAUAAUAUUGUUUGUGUUUGUCGUUACAGAAUGACAGAUUGGUUACGUCAUAUAGUCAGCACUUUACCUUUGAGAGGUGAGAACUAGAUCUUUGUUCCGGCGAAUGCAUCAACUUGCUUCAGCAAAUAAGAUUUAUAAAGACAGCGACUUCUUUUGUGAUGUAUCCUGUUUGUAUCCAGAAGCUCUUAGAUCUGAAUAAUGCAAGCUAAGACUAUGUUGUCUCACUGGUUGAUUGGUUUUCACCCAGGAGCUAGAAUUGUUGCUUCAGUCAGAGAUUCAAGUUGCCAGGGCCAAGGUGAGAAAAGAAUGCUGAAAUAUAGAUUUCUUUUUUGGGAGGCUUUAGUCCAAUAUAACCGAAUUUUGGUAGACUGCAGAUGUUAGAACAGAACUUUUCCCAUCUUCAUGUGCUGGAAAAGAAUUUACAGUUCAUGAAUGCAAAGCCAUAUUGAUAGGAUGCAAAAGCUUGAGUCUAGUCUGUUCAAACUACACCUGUCUGAUAUUCAUUUUCGAGGAAAUAAUAAGACCGGCAAGCUUCCUGACGAGUUGAUUCACAAUCAACUCAUGCAUCCCAAUUUUAGUGCAUUAAUUCAUAACAUGAAGCAAACAAGUCUCAUACCCAAAAAUAUGAUAUUUAUCUGCUUUUGAUGCAGAGAAUAACAAUAUCAGAUGUCGAGUGUUAGUAGUGAUUCUGAUUGACUUGCUUGAGAACGUAAGUUGAACUAUCAAACAGGAAGGCUGUCUCCUGCCUCCCCAAUUCUUUUCCUUCUGGAUAGUGCCUCCCCAACUCUGCAACUACAUGCACUUGCUUGCAUCUUUUUGAGACCAGCAUUGGCCCGUUAUUUUUUUUUUUUUGGUAAAUACCAUAUUUUCUGUUGAUUAUAACUUAUUGUGGAGAAUGAGUCUAUCUAUGAUGUUAAAGAAAGAAGAAGAACAGGGCUAUUCACCACAUCACAAGGCAGCAUCUUGUAUCUCUUUGUUGGCUAAUUGUCAGUUUUGUGAGAAAGCACUUCUUUGAUGAAAGCAUACCAUGGGUAAAACGCAUUAGAUAUGAGUAAUCAAUGCACAGGGGCAUUCAUCAGAGCUGGAAGCACCUAGAUUCAGUCUUUUUUCUCUCAAAGGUCACAAUAGUACUCACCGGCAUGAUCUUUGAUGGACGAAGUGUAUAGUGUGAGUUGAUGGAGGUGAUGGUGAUAUUUUAUUUUCGGUGGUAAUUGUGGAAGGCAAUCAUGAUUGACAUUAAGACUGCACUGCACAAGAAUGUGAAAGUUGAAAGUGCAAAAUUUACCAGACAAUGCAUAGGAAGUGCACAUCAGUAGAUCUAAUAUAAGAAAGAGCAUAUGCUCUUGGAGGUGAUGUUUCAAAGUGGGCCUAUUAAAAGUGCAUGGAAUGUUGAAGUCAAAGUUGCAUUUUACGCAGAGAAAGACAGUGUCAAUGCUCUUCACGACAUGCGUUAGUGAGCGUUCCUUCCUGAUAUGGGAAGAAGUGGCUGUGCCAGGGCGAACGGGGUGUUGCAUAACUGAGGGCAAUUCAGCACAUGAUUUAUGGAGCAGAUGAGAGUAGAACUGCUCCAUCGGCAGUGGAUGAUCGUGAAUUGGAGAAAGAAGAGGCAAUCCAGGCAACCAUAGACGUCACCUAGUAUGCUUUGCACUCGAGCUUCACGUGGAGGGACGCCAGUAGAUGCUGAUGGGCGAAAUGGCAAAAAAACUGCACCUUUCUUGCCCUCCAGGUCUUGUGAACCUAGACUAUAGCCGCACAGUCCAUGUCAAGGCUGAAAUUGCACUCGCUGCAGUGGGAGACUAUAUGGCAGGCAUUACAUUGGAGGUCUACCAAUUGACCGAAGGCAAGAGAGAUGGUGAUCAUGGAGAGACGAGCAUUGCAUCUCUGGGGGGAGAUUUGGCCCAGUUCUCAUGGAGAAAGAACACACACGUGUACCAUCGAUAGACCUCCUCGCAGGCUUCGCAUUUGAUUCUACUUUUCGUCUCCAAGAUGAUGGGAUGUGAGCAGAUGCUAAUGAGCAAAACGUUGGAUGGUCGCAUUCUCAGAUUCCUCAUCAGGCUUAGAGUUGUGACUAGGUAGACGAAGCAAUAUCAGGCCGUGCAGCAACGCUUAACCAUCCGAACAGCAAGAAGGAAGCCCGCUCACACGCAUGGCAACUCCGACGAUCCUCCACAUCAUCGCCUACUGGGCGGUCAAGUCGGGGCAGCGGGUGAAACGGGGGUCCUAGGGCGGACAGCAUGCCAAAUUCAGUGCAACUGGUGAAAGAGAAAUUGACACGAUUCACGGCAGCGGGCUGAGCCACGGAGCGAAGACCAGCACGCGAGACAUUCCAAGCAACUACAACUUCCGCUUAGGUUCCGGAGACUCAAUGCAUGAUCGCCAAGGCAAAUUAGGAGAUAAAAAAAACGUUUUAAAUGGAGUUAUAGUUGCGUGAUGUCAACAUGAAGUAAAUGAGGUGACAUGAAUUGUACCCUACUCCCGUAUUAUUUGAUGUUGUAUUUCAGUGUUCAUUUCUACAUUUUUAUUUUAUUUUAUUUUAUUUAUGCUUCAACGCAAUAGUUAAUAAAACUAAAGUGGCCCAUGAAAAGUUUUAUAUCUUGUUCAUUUAAAGUCAGCUGCAAUUAUAUGAGGUCUUAAAAGUGCAUUCACCUUGGGCUAGUCUAUACAUUCGUCAGAGAGUUCUUAUCUAACUUACUCUAAAAGUUACUUACGUAAGACAAUUUUGUGAUAACAGUUUUGUCAUAAUUGUUUAAAAAACCAAAUUCACCUUCUUCUUUUUUUAAAAAAAUUUUACAAGUUAUUUUUUUUAAUUUAUUAGUUGAUUGCAUUUACAUGUAAAAGUAAUGUUUACAUUUGCCAUUAAAUGCAAUUUGUACAAGUAGUAUGAGCCGAAUCUACUUUUUUCUAGUUAUCAAUUUCUCUAUGAAUGCACAUGUUCUGCACCACCCUUGAUAUGUAAACUAGGUCGAUAUGGCUCAUUGAAGCAGCAAUUGUAAUUAAACUUGUAAUUUUCUUUUAAAUCUUUGAAUGGAACUCGAUUUUAUUUUCAAAAACUAAAUAAUUAUCCGCAUUGGUUAUUUUAAAAAAAAAUGCAGAUUGAAGUUGUUACAGACUCUAUUCACAUAUACAACCUACAACUUCAACUAAUUAAACUGAAUUUAGAUCCAUAGAUAAAAGGUUGACAUUUGUAUAAACUAUGAAGACUAAGACCAAGGAGAACAUUUCUAGAAAGAGCAAAACAAAAGAGAGAGGUGCUCUUUCGAGUAAUUACAAGUAAAUCUAUCCAAAUUAUAGAAUGAACUACAUUUGGAUGAAAUAAAGAUUAUGAUGCAUGCACAUUUUUCAUCUAUGGUGAUCAUAUGCUCCUUUUGUUAAAAUUUAGAAUUUAUUAUACUAAUCAAAGUAAUGGUUGGUUCAACCUUGAUUUUAAACCAGGUCACAUCCUUUUUCUGAGGCAAAAAAGUAAGAAGACAAGAUGCUCUCUUUUUUAUCAUAUUUAUUCUCUCCUACUAGGGUGUUUACGUGUAUAUAUAAACCUCUUUUCAAUCUCCUUUAUUGACUCUUACCACUUUUCAAUCUCUUUUAUUGACUCUCUCUCUCUCUCUCUCUCUCUCUCUCUCAUAGAGAGUUACCAAAGGGUCUUAAGGGAACCUUCGGCGUUCACAUUGCAAUGGUUGGACUGUGUGGCGUUACAUGAUGAUCGUAUGGCCACUCAUGGGUAGAAAUGGGGCCUUCAUGAAAGUUGGGAACGUUUUUAAAACAAAAAAUCAAUUUGAGUAGAAUUGCGAUUAAAAUUAAAAUUUGAGAUUUUUUUUUAUAGAAAAUUAGCAAAAUUCAUACUUCCAUCAACAAUCCAAGGUGUCUUAAACCGAAGAAAAUGCAAUAUUUUGUAAGAUAAAAACCUAUUUUUGCAGUAUUUCACCAAGAAAAAAUGUCCGUUGCUCCAAAAGUAUUUUAGUAGGAUUUCAUAUAUCCAAAAAUUAUAGAAAUAGGUAAGUUCGUGCAUAAAAAAUGGUGACACGAGGAUGCUCAUGUUUCGAUAUAUUAUUUGCACAAUAGAUGGGUAAUUAUAGAAAGGGAAGGGCGGCUAUUAUUGCAGUAUGGAAUUGGUAAGAUUUUAAUGAUAUAGAGAAACAAUAAUGUUAUAUUGAUGCAUGUUUUGAUUUUAUUGACCUUGUGAAUAAGAUAGGUCAUUUAUCUAUUAUCACACCCCAACUCUGUAAAAUAAGGAAAACGACACUAUCAUGGUCUUACCCAGAGGAUGCAGCUUCAAAUUAUCAAAAUAUAUAUUCAUCUAUAUACUUGAUAAAUAGUGAAUUGGUUACAAAAUCAAGAGUUUUGAAAUUCAUUAAAAAGAAAAAAGUAUGAGUGUAUCUCCAAACUCAAUUAAACCCCACAAAUAUCAUCCCAGACAUAUACAAGUAUCUAAACUCACAUCCAAAUCCAACUUUAAUUUUUUUUUUUGCCAAUAACACUCAUGUCCUACUUUAGCUUACCUAAAAAAGAUUUAGAAUGAAUAGUGUGAGUAACCAAAGCUUAGUGACUAAUUUAAAUCUCUCCUAAGCAAAUCAAGCAUCUACUGUGAUAAAACAAUACAAAAGAUUCAUUUAUCCAAAUCCAAUAUAUUAUGUAUGAUAGAAUCAAAAUAUGAGUAAUUUCACUAUAAUGCAACUUUAUAUUAAUCAAUUAUAUUCAUUCAAAUUUCAAAUACCAAAAGGGUAGUAAACGCUCCAUCCGAUUUUAUGCAACAAAUAUGUUUUAAACAUUACUUUUUCAUUUUAAAAAAAUCAUAUUGUGCAAUGCUUUUCAGAACUUAUAGUAUACCAAAUCUCGAUCACUUUCAAGACAUGAGCUUAUAAAUUUGUAGAGAAUAACAACCACCCCUAAAUAAAAUCCAAAUCGAAAGUUAUGCCGCUCAAAAAGUUUCAAAGUCCUAUCAAAGAUUAACUAAAUGUCAAACUUACGUGUCAACUAACCUCGACUAAAACUUUAGUAGGCGAUACCAUAUUCUUGAGUCAAAUCAACCACUUGACAAAAGACCUUUGAACAAUUACUUUGCAAAUAGAGUCGAUCUCAUUUAAAACUCCAAUUCAAGUGAGCUUACUUUCAAUAGAAAACUCUUUCGAAUUACUAAGAGACCAUAAAGCCAAAAGAUGGUCGGAGAAGGGUGAAAUCCAUUGCCAAAUACAGUUUUGAAAACUAUUUCUAGCAAUGUGCAAAAUUUUAAAAAUUUAUCCCAAUCAAAUCAUAAACCUAUAUUGACUUUCCUAAAGUCCUAUUAUGCAAUACCCUAAAAUUUCUUUACAACAUAAUUUUAUAGUUUAAAAAUCUCUAUCAACCUAGCAACAUAGAAUCUGCACAAAACCUAAUUUACGAUUUAAUUAUGAAAACUCCUUUAAUUAUAUAAAUAAAAGUUUUGAAUCUUUAACGAUUGCCAAGAAACUGAAUUAAUCCGGUGCAUGCAGCAAGAGCCCCCUUUUUGUCUCCUCUGUCUUUUUCUCGAUUUCUCCGGACUCUGCUUUCCUUCUCUCUCUCUCUCUCUCUUUUCGUGUUCUUCUCUCUUUUCGUGUUCUUCUUGGCAGACUCUGUUUUCAUCUUUUUUCUCUCUUUUCGCUCUAGUAAUUCCCUUACCAAAGAAAGGACUUUAACGAGACACUUGGGCUUGGGCUUGGGCUUACUGUUUUGCUCUUAUUUAUUAUUGUUUGCCAGCCCGGUUAUUGGAACUUUAUUCUUGCCCAUGAAAGUCCCUGCUUUCAUUCCUGCUUCUAGCACUACCAAGGAUUCUCGUCCCUCGAUUCAUUUUUCAAGCAUAACCUGCGAUUCAUUUUUCUAGCAUAACCUGCUUUCAAGAGACGAGAAUCCUUUGCCCUGCGAUUCAUUUUUCAAGCAUAACCUGCUUUCAAGAGACGAGAAUCCUUUGCCCUGCGAUUCAUUUUUCAAGCAUAACCUGCGAUUCAUUUUUCUAGCAUAACCUGCUUUCAAGAGACGAGAAUCCUUUGCCCUGCGAUUCAUUUUUCAAGCAUAACCUGCGAUUCAUUAUUCAAGCAUAACCUGCGAUUUUUUUUCAAGCAUAACCUGCUUUCAAGAGACGAGAAUCCUUUGCCCUGCUUUCAAUUGAGAGGCAAUUGAAAGGAUUCCUGCUUUCAUUCCUGCUUCUAAACUCUACAAAGGAUUCUCCUCCCUGCUUUCGUUCCUGCUUCUAAACACUACAAAGGAUUCUCGUCCCUGCUUUCAAGGAUUCUCUUGCAUUAACUCUUGCAUAAAAGAACCACAAACGAUGUCCCUACCUUCACCCACCCCGCGCCAUGGAUUUUACCUCCAUCGUCUCUAUCCUGAUCAACUUCCUCCAAGUGAAAUUCCAGGGGAAGUUGACUUCGCCCUUUGAAACUCACCCCGUUGCCACUGGAGUUGCCAUCUGCAGCCUGCUCCUGCAUUUUCUGUUGAUGCAUCUCGCUAAUCGGGCACCCCCGUCUAGCGGCCGUGCUCCUCCUUGUGAUGGAGCAUGGCACCUCCUCAUCGACUUCACUGGUUCGAUAUCGGUGGCUUCACUCGCGUGGUUGCUGUUCCACGACUCCUCCCACUCCAUCCUUUGGUUGUUUGCACUGCUCUUGUCUCUUUCUGUGAGUCUGUUGCGCGGCCUCUUUCAAAAACUAUGUCUGUGGCUUUACCGCAGACUCGUUCUCGUGAUUAUCCGUGUGGCACACUCCCCUGUAUGGCAUGGUGGAAGAGCGCAGCCACAUCCGCCGCACCCGGGUGUGGAUCUGUGUUUGUUGCUGGAAGUCUGAGCGGCCUAGUCGUUCGACUGAUUGUUCCCUACUUGGAUAAAGUAAUCUAACUAUAUCUGAAUCCAUAAGAGAAUCGCAAGCCUUCAGCAUCAAAUUAUCUCCAGACCAUAAGAAAGGAGAGCAGGGAACAAGUAAAAACCAUUUGUUAUCGAAGAGAUCAAAGACGACCUCAACAAUUGUUACCAAGAGAAGAAUAGUCGCUUGUAUAGCCAUAUAAGGGGUAGUAAUUGUUCUUGAGGUUAAAGCUUCUGACCUCUUGGAAAGCAUUGCUGAGUGUUGCAGAUUUCCUUCUAUUUUUGGUGUAUCUCUUUUUAGCUUUCUGUUUGGCCAGUGGAUCCAUAUGUGUCAUUUUACAUUCUUUGCUGGUGUACUAUGGUUUUGCUCAUAUAUCCAUAUGAACUGCGACAAAUAGAUGCCUUGGCAACGUGGGCACAGCUACAAUCUCAAAAGCUUUGAUCUAACAUUAACAUCAUUGAGUGAUCAAACCAAAAUGAAAGAUGUCAACCUUUUCAUCUCUGUUCCAUACACACCAUUACUACUUACUAGCUAUUCCGAUGAUAAUAUAGUUGUAGUUUGUCAUUGCAGAAUGUGGGAAUCGUUACAACAUAGUCUCUAUUUGACCUCCAAGAGGUGACAACUAGAUCUUUGCUGUCGCAAAUGCUUUAACUUGCAAUCUAAGACUACGUUGUCUCGCUGGCUGAUUGGUUUUUGGCCAGGAGCAUGAAUUGUUGCUUCAGUGGGAGAUUCAAUUUAGGGCCAAGGUGCGAAAAGAACGCUUGAUUUCUUUUUUUGGGAGGCUUUAGUUCAACAUAGCUGAAUUUUGGUAGACUGCAGAUGUUAGAACCAAACAUUUCCCAUCUUCAUGUGCUAGAAAAGAAUUUACAGUUCAUGAAUGCAAAGCUCGGUAGAUAGUAUGCAAAAGCUCGUGGCUAGUCUGCACAAACUACAUAAACCUUAUCUUCAUUUUCAAGGAAUUAACAAGACCGGCGAGCUUCCUAACAAGUUUAUUCAUAAUCAAAUUAUGCAUCCCAAUGUUAAUACUCCUAUUCAUAACACAGAGCACACAAGUCUUACACUAAAAAAUAUGAUAUUUAUCUGCUUUUGCUCAGAAGAUAAAUAUAUCGGAUGUCAAGUGUUGGCAGGGAUUCCAAUUGACUUGCGUAAGAGGUAAGUUGAAACAUCAAACAAAAAGGCGGUCUUCUGCCUCCCCAAUUCUUUCCUUCUGGAUAAGAGCCUCCCCAAUUCUUUCCUUCUGGAUAAGAGCCUCCCCAACUCUUCAACUACAUGCACUUCGCUGGCAGCUUUUUGAGACCAGCAUUGCAGGUCUUCUUUUGAGUACCUCCAAUUGUGGGCUCAUUCUGUCCACUUUUUCCUGCAGAAAUAAGUCUAGUUCAGCAAAAUCGAGGCUUCAGGUGCUUCCAUUACUUUAAAAAAAAUUUGUCAUUGCCAUAUUUUCUGUUGAUUAUAACUGAUUGUGGAGAUUGAGUCUGUAUAUGAUAUAACAAAAGAAAAAAGAACAGGGUUAUUCACCACAUCACAUGGCCGUAUCUUGUGGCCGUUUGUUGGGUAAAGUCAGUUUAGUGAGAGAGCAUUUCUGCGAUGAAAGCAUACAGUGGGUAAGACGCAUUUGAUAUGUGUAAUCAAUGGGCAAGGGCAUUCAUCACAGACGGAAGCAUCCAGUUUCAGGUCUGUUUCUCUCAAAGGUUACAAUAGUACUCACUGGUAUCGUCUUCAAUUAACAUAGCGUAGAGUGUGAGUUGAUGGGAGGUGAUGGUGAUCUUUAUUGUUGGUGUUAACCGUGGAAGGCAAUCGUGGUUGACAUAAAGAUUGCACUACACAAGAACGUGAAAGUCGAAUGUGCAAAAUUUACCAGACACUGCAUAGGAAGCACGGAUCGGCAGAUCUAAUAUAAGAAAGAGUAUGUGCUCGAGAAGCUGAUAUUUCAAAGUGGGCCUUUCAAAAGUGCAUGGAAUGUUGAAGUUGAAGUCGCAUUCUGCAUAGUGAAAGACGGCGUCAACGCUCUUCAGGACAUGCGUCAGUGAGCCUUCCUUCCUGAUACGGGAAGAAGUGGAUGUGCCAGGGUGAACGGGGUGUUGCAUAACUGAGGGCAAUUCAGCACAUGAUUUACGGAGCAGAAAAGAGCACCUAUGCUCCUGGCAGGCAUGGGCUAUACCUUUAACAUAUUAAUCACGACCCUUGCUCGCAGUAUCCUUCAUUCGACCCAGCUCCAGCGGCAGCGGAUGAUAGUGAAUUGGAGAUAUAAGAGGCAAUCCAGGCAAGCAUAGACCCCACCUAGUAUGCUGCUCUAUUCUCAGCUUUUCACCCAGAUUCUGGUUUCAAGCUUCACGUGGAAGGACACCAGUAGAUGCUGAUGGGCGAAAUGGUUAAAAAAAAAAAAACUGAGCCUUUCUCGCCCUCCAGAUCUUGUGAACAUAGAGUUAUAGCCACGCAGUCCACGUCAAGGCUGAAAUUGCAUUCGCUGCAGGGGAAAACCAGAUGGCAGGCAUUACAUUGGAGGUCUACCGAUUGAUCGAAAGCAAGAAAAAGGGUUGAUUAUGAAGAGAGGGGUGUUGCUUCUCUGGGGAAGAUUCGGUGCAGCUCUCGUGAAUGAAGAAUAUGCGCCAUGUGGCAUCCAUAGACCUCCUUGCAGGCUUUGCAUUUGAUUCUACUUUUCAUCCCAAAAUGGAGGGAUGUGAGCAGAUGCUAAUGAGCAAAAUGCAGGAUGGAUUCUCAGAAUCCUCGUCAGGCUUAGUUGUGACUAGGCAGACAAAGCAAUAUCCAGCCGUGCACAAACGCUCAACCGUCCGAAUGGCAAGAAGGAAGCCUGCUCACACGCAUGGCAACUCCGAUGAUCCUCCUCAUUGUUGGCAGCUAGGCAGUCAAGUCGGGGCAGCGGGUGAGACGGGUGUCCUAGUGUGGACAGCAUGCUAAAUUCGGCAUGACUCGUAAAAGAAGAAACGACACGAUUCAGAGUGGUGAGCUGAGCUGCGGAUUGGAGAUCGCAUGACAUUCCAAGCAAGUACAGGCUUCUUUGCUCAGGUUUCAGAGAUUCAAUACAUGAUCACCAAGGCAAAUUAGGGUAUAAAAAUGCGUUUUGAAUGGAGUUAUACUUAUUUUUAUUUUAUCUUUUGGUCAGUAGAGUUAUACUUGUUAUCAACACGAAGUAAAUGUGGUGAAAUUAAUUUGGUUAAUGCCUUAAAAAAUCUCAAAGUAGUACACAUGUGAUAAAUUUAUCCUAAACUAAACUACACAUUUGACAAAUUUACCUCAAACUGAUAUAUUUGUGACAAAUUUACCAUUUAUCGGUUUCUGUUAAAUUUUACUGUCGAAUUACUAAAUUAAAAGAUACGUGAUAGUUGACUGGUGUACUAGUUUGGGAUUUUACUCCGUUUAUAAUAGUUAUAUAGUUUUUGUAAUUUUUUGUAGCAUUAAUCCAAUUUAACGGAGGGUGUACCAAUUCAGGGUUUUUGACGGCCGAAUAAAUUAAUUUUGAGUAAAUUUGUUAUAAGUAUACCAUUUUGAGAUUUUUUUUUUUUUAUAAUCAAUUGGGGUAAAUUUGUCAUAGGUGUAUUAGUUUAGAGUUUUUUAUGGUAAAAAAAAUUAGUUUUGGAUAAAUUUGUUACACAUGUAUCAGUUUGGAGUUUUUCAAGGUAUUAAUCUAAAUUAAUUUUACCCCACUCCCUCGUCAUUUGAUGUUGUGUUUCAAUGCUAAAUUGGGCACCCAACUCGUGAAAGAAGAUUUGACACGAUUCACAGCAGUAGGGAUGAGCUGCGGAUUGGAGACCAGCACGUGAGACAUUCCAAGUAAACCUUCCAUUCAGGUUCCGGAGAUUCAAUGCAUGAUCACCAAGGCAAAUUAGGAAAUAAAAAAGCGUUUUGAAUGGAGUUAUAUCUGUUGAGUGAUAUCAACACGAAGGAAAUGGGGUGACAUGAAUUGUACCCCGCUUCCAUAUUAUUUGAUGUUCUAUUUUAGUGUUCAUUUGUACAUUUUAUUUUAUUUUAUUUAUGCUUAACGCAAUAGUUAAUAAAACUAAAGUGGCCCAUGAAAAGUUUCAUAUCUUGUUCAUUUAAAGUCAGCUGCAAUUAGGAGGUGACAAAAGUGCAUUCACCUCGGGCUACUCUAUACAUUCAUCAGAAAGUUCUUAUCCAACUUAUAGUAAAAAUAAUUUACGCAAGACAAGAUUGCGAUGACAGUUUUGUCAUAAUUGUUUAAAAAACUAAAUUCACCUAUUUUUAACUUUAUGAAUUAUUUUUUUAAUUUAUUAGUUGAUUACAUUUUUAUGUAAAAGUAAUAUUUACAUUUGCUAUUAAAUACAAUUUGUACAAAUAGUAUGAGUCGAAUCUACUAUUUUCUAGUUAUCAAUUUCUCUAUAUAAGCUAUGUCAGUACGGCUCAUUGAAGCAGCAAUUGUAAUUAAACUUGUAAUUUUCAUUAAAUAGAACUCAAUUUCAUUUUCAAAAGCUAAAUAAUUAUUUGCAUUGGUUAUCCUUUAAAAAAAUAUAUGGAUUGUAGUUGUCAUAGACCCAGUUCAUAUAUAUAACCUACAACUAGUUAAACUGAAUUUAGAUCCACAUAUAAAAAGUUGGCAUUUGUAUAAACUAUGAAGACUAAGACCUAGGAGAACAUUUCUAGAAAGAGCAAAACAAAACAGAGAGGUGCUCUUCUGAGUAAUUACAAGUAAACCUGUCAAAAUGAUAUGAUGAAUGGCAUUUGGAUGAUCAUCUAUGGUGAUCAUCUUCCUUUCACUAAUUUGUAUGCUCUUUUUGUUAAAACCUUGAAUUUACUAUACUAAUCAAAGUAAUGAUUGGUCCAAUCCUGAUUUUGAACCAAGUCACACCCUUUUUCUGAGGCAAAAAAGAAAGAAGACAGAAUUCUCUUUUUUGUCACAUUUAUGCCCUACUACUAGGGGUGUUUGCGUGUAUUUAUAAACCUCUUUUCAAUAAAUUUUUCAAUUUUUCAAUCUCCUCUCUCUCUCUCUCUCUCUCUCUCUCUCUCUCUCUCUCUCUCUCUCUCUCUCUCUCUCUCUCUCUCUCUCUCUCUCUCUCUCUCUCUCUCUCUGAGGGAGUUUCCAAAGGGUCUCAGGGGAAAAUUCAGUGUUCACAUUGCAAUGGUUGGACCAUGCCGCAUUACAUGAUGAUCCUAUGGCCACUCAUGGGUAGAAAUGGGACCUUCAUGAAAGUUGAGAAUUUAAAAAAAAAAAAAUCGAAGUAGAAUUGAGAUUAAAAUUAAUUUUUAAGAUUUUUUAGGAAAUUUGCCCAUAAUAAUUCAUGCUUCCAUCAACAAUCCAAAGCGUCUCAAACCGAAGAAAAUGCAAUCUUUUGUUAAGAUGGAAACCUAUUUCUACAAUAUUUCACCCAAAAAAAAUGUCCGCUACUUUAGAAGUAUUUUACUAGGAUUUUGUAUAUCCAACAAUUAUAGAAUAAGUGAAUUCGUGCAUAAAACAUAGUGACAAGAGAAUGCUCAUGUCAUGAUAUAUUAUUUGCAUAAUAAAUGCGUAAUUAGAGAAAGGGAGGAGUGGCCAUUAUUGUAGUAAGAAAUUGGUAAAAUUAUAAUGAUAUAGAGAAAUAAUAACGAUGUAUUGAUGUAUAUUUUCAUUUUUUUGAUUUUGUGAAUAAGAUUUGUCCUUUAUAUAUUGUCACACCCCAACUCUAUAAAAUAAGGAAAACGACACCACCAUGCUCUUACCCAAAGGACACAACUUCAAAUUAUCAAAAUAUAUAUUCAUCUAUAUACUUGACAAAUAGUCGUUUGGUUACAAAAUUUUAAGAGUUCUAAAAUUCAUUAAAAAAAAAGUGGGUGUAUCUCCAAACUCAAUUAAACCCCAAAAAUAUCAUUCUAGACAUAUACAAGUAUCUAAACUCGCAUCUCAAUCCCACUGUAAAAAAAUUUCCGCUAAUUAUGCUCACGUCCUACUUAGCUUACUUGAAAAGAAUUUGGAAUGAAUAGUGUGAGCAAUCACAGUUUUUCAUUGCUAACCCAAAUCUCUCAUAAAUAGAUCAAGCAUCCGCUAUAAUAAAGUAAUACCAGAGAUUCAUUUACCCAAAUCCAAUAUAUAAUGUACAAUAAAAUCCAAAUAUUAGUAAUAUCACCUCAACGCAACUUUAUACUAAUCAAUUAUAUUCAUUCAAAUUUCAAAUAUCAAGAGUAGUAAAUGCUCCAUCCAGCUUUAUGUAACAAAUAUGUCUUAAGCAUUACUUUUUCUAUUUUAACAAAAUCAUAUUGUGGAAUGUCUUGCACAGCUUAUAAUAUAUCAAAUCUUCAAGAUAUGAACUUACCAAUUUAUAGAGGAUAACAACCCCUAAAUAAAAUCCAAGUUGAAAGUCACACCGACUCGAAAAGCUUCAAAGUCCUAUUAAAGAGUAACUAAAUGACAAACUUACAUGUCUCCUAACCUUGACUAAAACUUUAGUAGAUAAUGCCAUAUUCUUGAGUCAAAUCAUCCACUUGGCAAAAGACCUCUGAACACCUACUUUGCAAAUAGAGUCGACCUCUUAUCUCGGAACUUCAAUUCAAGUGAAUUUACUUUCAAUUGAAAACUCUUUCAAAUUACUAAGAGACCAUAAAGCCAAAAGAUGACCGGAGAAAGAUGAAAUCCAUUGCUAAACACAGCUAUGUGAAAACUAUUUCUAGUAGAGCGCAAAAUUUUAGAAAUUUAUUCCAAUUAAAUCAUAAUCCUAAAUUGACUUUCCUAAAGCCUUGUUUUGAGACACCCUAAAAAAUUUUCAAAACAUAAAUUUUACAACUGAAAAACCUUUAUAAUCAACUCAGCAACGUAGAAUCCAUUUAAAACCUAAUUUAUAGUUUAAUUACGAAAACUUCUUCAAUUAGAUAAAUAAAGUUUUGAAACCUCACCGAUUGCUAGGAACAGAAAUAAUCCACCUUAAUCAAGUCUCUCGAGCGGGCAUGCAGCAAGAGCCUACUUUGCCUCCUCUUUCUAUUUUUGUCCGUUUCUCCGAGCCCUGCUUGCCUUCUUUUCUUUCCUUUUCCUUUUCUUUUUUUUUUCUUGGCCAGACCCUGUUUCACUCUUUCUGCGCCCGUGAAUUCCCUGGGAGCGGCAUGAACUGAAGCAUGACUGAAGAAAGGGCUUACGCGAGACACUUGGGCUUGGGCUUAAUGUUUUGCUCUCGUUUAUCAUUUUUUGCCAAAGCUCGGUUACAGCAAAAAUCUGUAUAGGUUAUUAACUUAUUACGGAUGGAUGCAAAUUAUGCGGAGCGAGAAUAAUGUCACCCUAUCCCAUGAUAAGAAAUUUAGGAGAGAUAAGGACGUUUAAUUUCAAGCGCGAAGUUCGAAACCCUACAUCCUGCUGACAGAGAUAGAAAAAAUUCUCUUCUUAAUUUUUUUUUUAACACAAGAAAAAAUUAAUCGGAAAGUUUAAAGGCCUUCCUCCACUCCACGACGUGAUGAGGGGUGAAGUCAGGAACAUCAUCGAAAUAUUUUAUGGAAAAAUAAGUACCGUGGAAUAAGGAUAUUAUUUAUAUAUCAUAUAUUUUCAUGGAAAGAUCUCUCAAUUCGACUCGGAUAAGGAAUGAUGAUAUGGGUCCCAUCCGAGAUUUCAUUUCUCAGAUAUAUUAUCUGAGAAAUGACACCUUGGAUGGGACCCAUAUCAUAUACUUUCUGAGGAACGACACCUUGGAUGGGACCCAUAUCAUCAUUCCUUAUAUAUAUGAUAUAUACGCGAUGCUCCUGUCUUCACCCCUCCCCGCACCAUGGAUUUUACCACCAUUGUCUCUAUCCUCAUCAACAUCAUCCAAGUGCAAUACCAGGGGAAGUCGAUUUCACCCUUGGAAACCCACCCAGUCGCCACCCGCAUCGCCAUCUGCAGCCUCCUCCUGCAUUUCUCUUUGGGGCGUGUCGCUAAUCGGGCACCACCGUCUCGCGGCCCUGCUCCUUCUUGUGAUGGAGCAGCCCACCUCCUCUUCCACUUCACCGGUUUGAUAUCGGUGUUUUCGCUCGCGUGGUUGCUGCUCCACGACUCCUUCCACUCCCUCCUCUGGUUCGUGCUGUUCCUGUUGCUUUCCGUGCGUCUGUUUCGGGGCCUCAUUCAAAACCUUUGGCUGUGGUUUUACCGCAAACUCGUUCUCAUGAUUAUCCGUGCGGGGGGCUCCCGUGUAUGGCACGGUGGAAGAGCACAGCCACAUUUGCCACGCCCGGUUGUGGAUCUGCGCUUCAUGCUGGAAGUUUGAGCGUCGUAGUUGUUCGACUGACUGCUCCCCGCUUGGAAGAAGUAAUUUUAAUUGUGUGAUCACUUUAAAUCAAAUGAUUAGUACUUUAGGAAGCUAAGCCAGUUUUAUGUAAGAGGCACUUGGGGCUUUCUUCUCUUUAUCUGAAGCCAUAGCCAUGAGGAAUCCCCAAGCCUUCGGCAUCAAAUUAUCUCCCGAUCAUAAGAAAGAAAAGCAGGGAACAAGUCAAAACCACCAAUGUAUCUUUCCUGUUCCUAGCCAUGAACGGUGAUGGACCUUGUAGUGACUAGAUCUAAUUAAGAUAGGCUAAGCUCUCAAAAGAAAUUAGGAUCUAUUGUUAUUGAAGAGAUUGAAGAUGACCUCAACAACUGUUACGACAAGUAGAAUGGUCUUUUCUAGUAGGCAUAUAGGGGGUAGUACUUGUUCUUGAGGUUAUAGCUUCUGACCUCUUUCAAAGCAUUGCUGAAUGUUGCAGAUUUCCUUCUUUUUUUCUGGGGAAUCUCUUUGUAGCUUUCUGUUUGGCCAGUGGAUGGAUUUGUGUCAUUUUACAUUCUUUGCUGGUGUGCUAUGGUUUUGCUCAUUUAUCCAUAUGAACUGGGAUAAAUUGAUGCCUUGGAGACGCAAGCACAGCUAAAAUUUCAAAAGUUUUGAUCUAACACUAACAUCAUUGAGUGAUCCAAAUCAAAAUGAAAGAUGUCAGCUUUUUCCAUCUCUCUCGCAUAUACACCAUUACUGCUUAAUAGCUAUUCCGAUGAUAAUAUAAUUGUACUUUGUCAUUGCAGAAUGUGGGAGUGGUUACAUCAUAUAAUCUUUAUUUUACCUCUUGAGAGGUGACAACUAGAUCUUUGCUGUGGCAAAUGUGUUAACUUGCAAUUUAAGACUACGCCAUCUCGCUGGCUCAUUGACAUUCAAGUUGCUGGGCCAAGGUGAGAAAAGAAUACUGAAAUGUCGAUUAUUUUUCAGGAGGCUUUAUUUCAAGAUAACUGAAUUUUGGUUGACUACAGAUGUUAGAACCGAAAUUUACCACCCUGCAUGUGCUAAGAAUUUACAGUUCAUGUGUGCAAAGCUAGAUAGAUAGUAUGCAGAUGCUCGAGACAAGUCUGUACAAACUACACACAUUUGAUGUUCGUAUCUGAGGAAAUAAUUAGACCAGCAAGCUUCUUGACAAUUUGAUUCAUUAUCAAAUCAUGCAUUCCAAUGUUUGUACUUUGAAAUAUGAUAGAGCACACAAGUCUUGCACUUCAAAAAUAUGAUAUUUAUCUGCUUUUUCUGCAGAGAACAAUGAUCUUGGAUGUUGACUGUAGCAGUGAGUCCAAUUGACUUGCAUAAGAACGUGACUUGAAACAUCAAUCAGAAAGGUAGGUUCUCCUGACUCCUGAAUUUUUUUCUUCUUGGUAAGUGCCUCCCCAACACUACAACUGCAUGCACUUCACUUGCAGCUUUUAGAGACCAGCAUUGCACAUCUUUUCUUGAGUACCUCCAAUUAUGUGCCCAUUUUUUCCUGCAGAAUUUUAAUUUUUUAAUCUAGUUCAGCAAUAGCAGGGUCUUCAGGUACUUCCACUAUUCCAGCAAUCUGUAUUAAACACUGCUUGGUAUUAGCACAUUUUCUGUUGAUUAUUACUUAUUGUGGAGAUGAGUCUAUAUAUAUGAUAUUAAAAAGGAACGUGACAAUUCACCACAUCACAUGGCAGCAUCUUGUAUUCAAUUUUAGCUUAAGUAUGUUUAGCAAGAGAGCACUACUGCAAUACGAGCGCACCAUGAUAAAAUGCAUUGGAUCUGAGUAAUCAAUGGGCGAGGGCAUUCAUCGCAGUCAUAACCACCCACAUUUGUGUCCCUUAUCUUCUUGCAAAGGGCACAAUAGUACCACUCACUGGUAUCAUCUUUGAUGAACGAAACGUGAAGUGUGAGUUGAUGGAAGUUAACGACUAUCUUUUACUGUAGUGGAAGGCAAUCUGUGCACACAACUGCAAUAGCCAAAGCUGCAAAAUUUACCACAAACAUUGCAUAUUAGCAUGGUUAGGUAGAUUUAAAACAAGAAAGAGUAUAUGAUUGUGGAGGUGAUGUUUCAAAGUGAGCCUUUCAAAAGUGCAUGGAGUGUUGAAGUCAUUGUCAUUUCCGUGCAGUGAAAGACAGAGCGUCAACACUCUUCACGACAUAUGUCAACAGUGCUCCUCCUGAUACGAGAAGAAAAAGGAUGUGCAGGGUGAGCAGGUCAGAGAUUCAAGUUGUUGCUAGAAUUGUUGCUUCACUCAGAGAUUCAAGUUGCCUGGGCCAAGGUAAGAAAAGAACACUGAAAUAUAGCUUCCCAAUAUAACCGAAUUUGGUAAACUGCAGAUGUUAGAACCGAACUUCUCCCAUCUUUAUGUGCUGGAAAAGAUUUUACAGUUCAUGAAUGCAAAGUCAUAUAUAUAAUAUGCAAAAGCUUGAGACUAGUCUGUACAAACUACACACAUCUGAUUCAUUUUUUGAGGAAAUAAUAAGACCAGCAAGCUUCCUGGCAAGUUGAUUCAUAAUCAAAUUAUGCAUCCCUAUGUUAGUAAUCCAACUCAUAACAUAGGGUAAACAAGUCUUACAUUCAAAGUUAUGAUAUUUAUAUGCUUUUGCUGCAGAAGAUAACAAUAUCAGAUGUCAAGUGUUAGCAGUGAUUCCAUUGACUUGCAUAAGAGCAUAAGUUGAAACAUCAAACAGAAAGGUGGUCUCCUGCCUCCCCAUUUCUUUUCUUCUGGAUAAGCGUGCCUCCCCAAAUCUGCAAUUACAUGCACUUCGUUUGCAGCUUUUUGAGACCAGCACUGCAUGUCUGCUUUUUUAGUAUUGUUCAAUUGUGGGUUCGCUCUGUCCUUUUUUUCCUGCAGAAUUGCAAUUUUUCCAUCUAGUUCAGCAAUAGCCGGGGGUAUUCAGGUACUUCCAUUACUUUAAAAAAAUUUGGUAUUACCAUAUUUUCUGUUAGUUAUAACUUAUUGUGGAGGGAGUCUAUAUAUGAUGUUAAAAGAAGAAAAAGGAACAGGGCUAUUCACCACAUCACGUAGCUGCAUUGUGUAGCUGUUUGUUGGCUAAAGUCAGAGCACUUCUGUGAUGAAAGCAUACCGUGGGUAAAACACAUUCGAUAUGAGUAAUCAAUGCGCAAGGGCAUUCAUCACAGAUGGAAGCACCCAGAUUCAGGUCUUUUUCUCUCAAAGGUUACAGUAGUACUUACCGUCAUCGUCUUCAAUGAACAUAGCGUAGAGUGUGAGUUGACAGAGGUGAUGGCGAUCUUUCAUUGUUGGUGGUAACCGUGGAAAGCAAUCAUGAUAGACAUUAAGAUUGCAGUGCACAAGAACGUGAAAAUCAAAUGUGCAAAAUUUGCCAGACACUGCAUAGGAAGCACGGGUCAGUAGAUUUUUGUGGAGGUGACGUUUCAAAGUGGGCCUUUCAGAAGUGCAUGGAAUGUUGGAGUCUAACUCACAUUCUGCGCAGCGAAAGAAAGCUUCAACGCUCUUCACGACAUGCGUCAGUGAGCUUUCCUUCCUGAUAUGGGAAGAAGUGGAUGUGCAGGGUGAAUGGGUUGUUGCAUAACUGAGGGCAAUUCAGCACAUGAUUUAUGGAGCAGAAAAGAGCAGCACUGCUCGAGGCAAUGAUGGGCUAAACCUAUUGACAUAUUCAUGACAAGCCUUGAGCGCACCAUCCUUCCUAUGACCCAGCUCCAGCGGCGGCAGAUGAUUGUGAAUUGGAGAAAGAAAAAGCAAUCCAGACAAGCAUAGAACUCACCUAGCAUGUUCCAUCAAGCUUCGCACUAAUUUCUGUUUCAUCCUUCUUGUGGAAGGACACCAGUAAAUGCUGAUGGGCGAAAUGGUAAAAAAACAAGCCUUUCUCACCCUUCAGAUCUUGUGAACGUAGAGUUAUAGCUGUGCAGUCCAUGUCAAGGCUGAAAUUGCAUUAGCUGCAGCAGGAAACCAUAUCGCAGGCAUUACAUUGGAGGUCUACAGAUUGAUUGAAAGCAAGAGAGAUGGUGAUCAUUGAAAGACAGGCAUUGCUUAUUUGGUGUAGAUUUGGCACAGCUCUUGUGAAUUAAGAAUAUGCACUAUGUAGCAUCCAUAGACCUCCUUGCAGGCUUUGCAUUCGAUUCUACCUUUCAUCCCAAGAUGCUAAUGAGCAAAAUGUUGGAUGGUCACAUACUCAGAAUCUUCAUCAGGCUUAGUUGUGACUAGGCAGACAGCAAUAUUGGACCGUGCUGUAAUGCUCAACAAUCCGAAUGGCAAGAAGGAAAGCCUCGUCACAUGCAUGGCAACCGUGACGAUCCUCCUUCUCAUCUGCCUACUAGGCAUUCAAGCGGGGGCAGCAGGUGAAACGGGUGUUCUCGGGUGAAGAGCAUGCUAAAUUCAGCUUGACUAGUGAAAGAAGAUUCGACACGAUUCCCAGCAGUAGGGCUGAGCCGCGGAUCUGAGACCAGCGCGCAAGACAUUCCAAGCAAGUGCAGCCUUCUUUGCGAAUCAAUACAUGACCAGCAAGGCAAUGGAGUUAUAGUUGCUGAGUGACAUCAACAAGAAGCAAAUGGGGUGAAAUGAGUCGUACCCAACUACCGUAUUAUUUGGUGUUGUAUUUCAGUGCUAAUUUGUACAAUUUUUUUUUAAUCUAUGCAUUAAGGCAAUAGUUAAUAAAACGAAAAUGAAAUCUCAGCAAGAGUUUUGGGCAGAUCUAGCUUUCGUUCCUGAGGAAGCUCCCAGGAAAAGCUUCGUCAAAUAUUUACCUUCCAAAUAGUUCCUUCCUAAUGCGAGAAGAGGGUUGUUGCAUAACUGAGGGCAAUUCAGUCAAUAAUUUUUGGUCAAAAUCAGUCUGAAAGAUUGAAUUAGCACUAGGUCAAAAGUUUGAGAUUAGAUUGUCAGAAUUAUAAAGUUUAUGAUUAGAUCGACACUAAUGCAAUAAAUUUAGAACUUUUAUGACAUUUUUUCCAUUAAAAAAGUCCUUAAUCUGGCCAACUGUUUUAGGGGUCAUCCUGGGCACGUUUCUCAUAUGUUUUGAUUGUGUUAUUUGAUAGUUCGAGUUACGGUAUUAGGAAUACAUUUCUUUCGGUGAGCAUUACAUUUAUCUCCUCUAAUUGCUUGAAAGCAAGAGAGAGAGAGGGUGAUCAUGGAGAGAUGGGCGUUGCAUCUCUGUGGGGGAUUCGGCGCAACUUUUGUGGAGAAAGAAUAUGCACGCAUGGUCUCCAUGGAAUUUGGUGUUGUUAAAUUUCGGUAUCGAGUUAAUGACUUUAUAAAACGUGUUACAACACGUGAUUUAUGGAGUCAUCUAAUCGUACUCAAAGUUUGUAAACACAAAGUCCUGGUGGCCGAAGAAUGCAAACCCGAUUAAUGGGACGAUUAUCUUGAGAGACUCAAUCAUGAGAUUGCCCUUAUGAAUUACACUUAAUCCCCGGCGGGCUCUAUACUCUCUCAAGUCUGUAAUCGGCUUUAAAGCGCUAUUAGCCAGUAGAAGGGGAAGGGGGGUCUAGGCAACAUCAAGUCAACUGAGAGAAUCAUCUUAUGAACUUUUUCCUCUUUUUGGUCGUCAAAAGGGCUUUUAAUCUUCAUUCAAACCAUCAAGCCAUGUCCUGUGAAUCGAGCUACGCAUUGUCAAAAGCCUAAAAUCUGCUGCACUAAUCUAUCUGUUGAAGACUGGAAUCCAUGGUGGCACCCCCUCCUUGGGAAGCUAACUCCAAUCAGUGGUCAUUAAAUCCGGAUCGAAAUGUCAAACGUCCAAUCGGGUCCUCUCUUUUCGGCAGAUCCUUCCCCGCGUGUGCGUGAUCAUGCUCGUCUGCUGGCUCUUCCCACCAUGUCAAACGGCUUCUGUGUGGUGUGAAACGAGUGAACUUUCCUCGUCGUGGGAGCCUCUCUCUCCCUCUCCCUCUCUUCGUCUUCGGUUUCGAGGCAUGGAGAGCGAUCGGGUGUUAAAAGGUGGAUUCCGUGUUGUUAAACACUUGACUUCUCCGGUGGUUGAAACGAGUGAGCUUUUCUUUCUCGUUUUGUUCUUCUUGGCCAGACUCUGUUCUCUCUUUCUUUCCGCUCUCGUAAUUUCCCUUGCAAUGAAGCAAGACUAAAGAAAGAACUAAAACGAGACAAUCGGGCUUGGACUUGGACUUAGGCUUGGGCUUAAUGUUUCGCUCUCAUUUAUUAUUUUUUGCUAGCCCUUUUAUUGCAACUUCAAUCAUGGAGAUAAAUCUUUUAGGCUAUUACGUGCUGAUGGAUACUAAACGGAGUGCGGAGCGAGGAUAAGGUCACGGGGAAAAAAAUUAGGAAAGAUCAAGGACUUUUUUUUUUAAUGGGAAAAAUGUUAGAAAAUUCAUAAAUCUAUUAUAUUAGUGUCAAUCUAAUUCUAAACAUUUUAAUUGUGUCAAUUUAGUCUUAUUUUUUUUUAUCUAAUACAAAUUCAGUCAUUCCAACUAAUUUUGACUAACUGACAAAAAAAAAAACUAAUUUUAACUAGAAAUUACUGAUAUUGAUGUUGAUUGUUUUACCUGGCAUGAUUAGUGUUGACACAACAAUUUCUAAUUAUAUUUUAAUAUUUUUCAAAUUUUUAUUAUUUUAUCUUAUUUUUUCCUUCUUUUUUUCUCCUUUCUUCAUCUUUUUAUUGGUGACCGACCACUAGCCAUAGCUAGAUGAGCUAGCCUCUCCAAGGCAAGGGUCGCCAUUGCUCGCCACAAGCGAGGCUUGACUUAGCCAAGCCAGGGACGACAAGCCCCGAUGAGGCCUUGCAAGGGUCAGCCUAGGCUAGAUUUGGGGAGGCCAAUCCACCUAGCCAUCACCUAUGGACAAUAGUCGGUCAUCGACAAAAGCAAGAAGAAAGGAAAAAAAAAAAAAAGAGAGAAAGAAAGAGAAAAAUAUUAUAAAAAAUGAUGAAAAAUCGAAAAAUAUUAAAAUAUUAUUAAAAAUUGUUAAUGUCCGUCCACAUCAGUAAUACCAUGUCAAAACUAACUAAGAGGACUAAAUCGAUACAAUUAUAAAGUUCAAGACUAAAUUAAUAUCAAUGUAAUAAAAAUAAACAAUAAAAUAUAAAAUUUAGGACUUUGCUUUUUUUCCUUUUUAUAUAUAACCAAAUAAAAAAUAAAUCGGACAUUUCAAGGCUUUCGUCCACUCCAUGGUGUGGUGAGGGGGUGAGGGUAAGGACAUCAUUUGAUAUUUGCUUUUUCAUGGAAAGUGGCACAGAACAUCAGUUUUUUUCUUCUUCUUCUUCUUUGGGUUUGGGCAUGGGACAUCAAUUUGAAUUAUUUUCUUUUGGAUCCUCUUUCUUUUCGGGUCCAACCCUGCUUCAACUCAGGGUCGGGUCCGACCCUGCUUCAACCUCGCACCACCCAAAAUGUAGAAUAUUCAAAUUGACCCGAAAGAAAAAGCGUAUAAAACGACAGUCCCAGUCUUUUCAUCCCUCACCUCGCCAUGCGCCAUGGAUCUUUCCUCCAUUGUCUCUAUCCUGGUCAACUUCAUCCAAGUUGGAAUACCAGGGAAAGUUGACUUCACCCUUUGAAACCCACCCCAUUGCCACUUGCGUCGCCAUCUGCAGCCUCCUCCUGCAUUUCUCUUUGGGGCGUGUCACUAGUCAGGCACCACCGCCUCGCGGGCGUGCUCCUCCUUGUGAUGGAGCAACACACCUCCUCUUCCACUUCAUCGGUUUGACAUCGAUGUUUUCACUCGCGUGGUUGCUGCUCCACGACUCCUUCCACUCCUUCCUCCGGCUCGUGUUGUUCUUGUUGCUUUCCGCGUGUCUGUUGCACGGCUCCAUUCAAAAACUUUGGCUGUGGUUUUACCGCAAAUUUGUUCACAUGAUUAUCUGUGCGGUGCGCUCCCAUGUAUGGCAUGGUGGAAGAGUGCAACCACAUUUGCCGUGCCCAGCUAUGGAUCUACAUUUCAUGCCAGAAGUCUGGGUGCCGUUGUUUAACUGUUCCCUACUAAUUUAAUUGUAUCACCACUUUAAGACAAUUUAUUAGUACUUUUGGAAGCUAAGUUAGUUUUGUAUAAGAGGGACUUGAGGCUUUCUUCUCUUUAUGGGAAGCCUUAAGGAGUCCCCAAGCCUUUGGCAUCAAAUUAUCUCCCGACCAUAAUAAGAAAGGAGAUUGGGGAACAGGUACAAAACCACCUUUGUAUCUUUCCUAUUCCUAGCCAUGAAUGGUCAUGCACCUUGUAGCAAUUAAAUCCGCUGAAGAUAGGCUAAACCCUCGGAAAAAAUUGGGAUCUAUUUGUUGUCGAAGAGAUCGAAGAUAACCUCAACAAUUAUUAUGAUAAGUAGAAUGAUUGAUUCUAUUAGCCAUAUUAAGUAGAUAUUGUUCUUGAGAAGAAAGCUUCUGCCCUCUUUUAAUACAAUGCGAGUGUUGCAGAUUUCUUUCUUUUUCUAAUGAAUUUUUUGGGAAAAUUGCCAAAAAUAUCUUAAGUCUUUUAAUAAUUUGUCAAUUUAGUUUUACAGCUAAUUCAACCCAAAAAAAUGCUUAUGUGAAUGUCCAAUCAGCGGCACCCGACUUACUUGGCCAAACCGGCUGAAGGCCAGCACUGAUGUGGUCACCGGAGAUCAAAAUGGCGACGUUUUCCACAAUAAUUAAAAAAUAAAUAAAUAAAGAAAUCGUGGCUGUGCUCUUUUCUUGUCCAAAUCCUCAAACGCUCGCCCAACGCCCCAGUCCAAAGAACUCUAACCCGAAAUUAACUGAAAUCUUGCUGAAAUCUCUUCAAAUCUCAACUCAAAUCGAAUGAUUUUUUGCUCAAGCCCGAGUCGUUUCUUUCCACAUUUUAAGAGAAAACGCGUAUGUUUUGUUUUUGCAAAACCCUUGCUCGCUCGCGCAGUCGCCCAAAUCUCCCCCAAACCUCAACUCAAAUUGCGAAUGGAAGCCUUGCUAGAUGUAGAUGUGUUUUGACGACUUGUUCAUUAGUUGGGGACAGAUGGUUGUUUCACUCUCACACCUAUAUCCCUUGGUUGAAGUGUCUACUGUCUGUUAGCAGUUUGUAAAAAUGCCCAAGCGAACUUUUGUGAAAAUUUCCCUCUGGAUCUACAUCUCUGAACGUUCAUUGCGUAUUCAAAUCGUAAUGAGCACUUUUGAUUCAUUCAUUUACUCUCGGUUUAUGAUAUUUGAAUCCAAAGGUAAUAACAACGGAAGGAUGUUCGCUUCUCUGUUUGAUGUGCUAUGUCUUGGGGCCUUACAUGGCUGUUCCCGCUGUGAGACAUUGUCUGGAAUCGUUGAUACACAAGGUGGUUUUCUGAUGAACUUCACGCUGGUCGCACCCAAACUUCUUUAAUGUUCAUGUACCAUGUGUCUCGGUGAUCUAUGACCUGUGUCGGUAGAGCUAUAAUAGUCGGAUUGUAAACCAAAUUCUAGUGGUACAAUUGCUUUAGCUGCUACUGUCACCAGUAGUAAAAAAGCCAUGGAAAGGUCGAGAGGUACAUUACAUACUUCAAUACACCAACUUACCCAAAACAAGUAAAUUGCUACGAAUAUCAAAACUCCUGGAUCAAAGGCAAGAAGAGAAUCAGAAAACGCUAUGUGGCCAUAGUAAACCUAAUUGCAAGUUAACAAGGAACAUGCGAGAGCAAUUUAGCAAAAAUGUUGCAGUGCUAGUUGAGAUAGCUAGUAUAAUCACCUAGAGGGGGGUGAAUAGGUGCACAAACAAAUUUUCAAGAUACGGAAGCGAUUUUAGGCAAUCGAUAGAAAGGAAAAUAUGAUCAAAGUAAAAUAAAGGUUAGGGAAUAGAGAAAUAAACACAAGAUUUAUAGUAGUUCGGCUUAUUCCAAGCCUACGUCCACUCUUCCGCACUGACAGCCCACCGGCUGGAUUUCACUAUGAACAAGAGAGAAGUUACAACACAUUUUUUCCUUGAUUCCAUAGUGUAGAUGUUCUACCACACUUCCUCAAGGUUUCUCACGAAUAUAGACUCUAUUUUGUUUACACGAUUAUGCUCAACAAAUGAAUUGACUAGAAAUAAUGAGCUUCAGACUUUGGAAUUCUUCUAUCGUGCACACUUUCGAACAACUAGAACGUCUUCCUUAUAUACUCCUUCAUGCCAUCAUACCCGUUGGCACUUACCAAAGGAAUUCCUCCAAUCUACCCGUUGGACGGAAUCAAUUAGGAAGAUCAUUCGAGCUAUUAAAGGAACAUGUCGAUAGCCCAUCAAUCAUGUUCGCCCAUACAAUCAGGAUCUCGGUUUCCAUAAGUAGAACCUUCCAAGUAUACUUCGCCAAUCAUCGGAUCCUUAAUAUUCGAAUCAAUUGUGAUCAAAUAAAGAAUUCCGUUAUGUCAUAUCCAGCCAAGAGAUCUUCUCCAGUCGAUAAGGCCACAUCCUUAAUGAAACAUCUAGUUCUUGAUAGCCUUUCUUCAACGGAUUAUAGACUGUCAAUGAGGAUAGACUUUGAGUCUUGAGUCUGGCUGUCCGGAGGUCUUCAGACUUUAAAUAGCAGAGUCUGCAAUCCUUCAGACUAGCCUGAUGGAAACGUUUUGUCAACUUCAAAACAUUUCAAGAGGAAUUUCUCCAACAAUCUCCUCCUUUUUUAUGGUGACAAAACUUUCCUGCAGAUUUGGAAAACUUUGACCUACAAAACAUUUCUCAAACACAUAUGCAUAUCUUAUAGAUAAAAUGGCUAAAUGAAUAACACUAGAUCUGCAACCACAGAAAAUAGGUUAGUCCAGUAUGCAAUAAAGCCAUCCAUAAGACAUCAAUAGUAGUUAAUAAUAAGCAGUCAAAUCCAAAUCCCAGAUUUAGUCCACAUCCAAACACAAGUCAAGUCAAAACAAACCACAAACAGAACAAGCCAAAAGUUCAAAUUUAAGUUCAAAGUUUUUCAAGUCUCGCAACUCUCCCCCUUUUUGUCAGCAUAAAAAAGAUUGAUAUGAAAAUGAAGUCAAGGAUUCUUGGGAAUACGAACAAGCUGAAAAUCUCCCAUCGACUGAACGAUGCCUUCCAGCCUUUUAAAGUCUUCCUUCAGCUGAGCAACAUCCUCACCCUUAGCAUUAGCCUGAAUCUGAAGAGAAAGGGCUUGGAUUUGAUCAUUUAAUGAACCCGAAGAGACUUGUCCUGCAUUCUGCAAGUUCUGAACUUCACAUCCCAAUGCAUAUAUCUGACCUUGCAUCUCCAAGAGAAUAUCCAUCACUCUGCGAAAGUCUGCUGAAUUUUCGGUCUGCGUACUGGCAUUAACACGAUCUGAUGGAGUAAAUGCAGACGAUGGUAGAUCAGCAUAAUCACGCAGAUUUGGCGAAGAAACCUCAUGACCUUCCUCAGGAAACUGAGAGGCAAAAACCUCCUCUGGAUCUGCUGGGGAUCGACUGACUCCCUCACUGGUUGCAGGAUUUAAGGUCAUUCCUAGUUUCUCUUGGUCUCCCCCUGUGUCCAUGCCUUUAGGUGGAGAGUGCUCCUCAUGUUCUCCUUCUUCUUGAUCUCUUUUCUCUUAUUCUUCUUUUUCAACUCUCUCUUGCUUAGCAUCUCUUUCUUCUUCUUCUUCUUCUCUUUCCUCUGCCUCUUUUUCCUCUGCCUCUUUCUCUGCUCUUUCUUCUGUCUACUCUUUUGAUUCUUUCUCUAGAACAGAUUGAUUGAGAUUCUUCAAAGCAGAGAUAGUGAUGUUAUCCUCAUCAUCUUCAUCCUCAACGAGGAGAGCUAUUCUUCUCUUGGAUGGAGCAUCCAUGGGCUCCUUACCUUUCCUUUUUCUUGCAGAAGAGAAUUGAUGAGAUUUGACUAGAGUCUUCUCGUUAAAUUUCUCCAAUGCCUUGCUUAGUUCCUUCAGACGCAUCUUGGUCACCAUUUUCAGUCCUACCACCAUAUGAUCGCACGAUCGAGCACAAAGAAUUUGCGGAGGCUGAAUGUUUAGAUGUCUGAAUAACUUCGUUACAAAACCUGGAUAAGGAAGUUGUCCUAUGUCUUUCAUCACAGCUUUAUACAUAUGGAACAUAAUAGUGUGAGGAAGUGAAAACCUUUUCCCAGUGAUGAUGGCAUACAUUAGCUUUGCCUCUGAACUUGAGACAUCAGUCUUGGAAGUUGAUUUCGGUCUGAGGCAAUUAAUUACAAUUUUGUGCAGCAAGAUGUUAAAUGCACUGAUCCUUGAAUAUGAAAUAUUUCCCUCUGUUCUCCUGUCUUUAACAAAUUCCAGAGUAGUACGAGCAAUAGAAACUUUGAUCCGUUGAUACCUUCCUCUCUCAACUCCUAACACAUCUGCCAGCAUAUCCAUAUCCACAACAAAGUCUUGAUCUUUGACACUGAAGGAGAAUCUAUUCGAAUCCAAGAAACUAAGAUUUGAAUAGAAAUAUGCAGAUAGUUGAGGAUAGGCUUCUGUGGAGUCAGAGCAGAAUUUCUCAAGUUGAAGAUGACCAAACUUUUCCCUUAAGUUCACAUUUACUUACAGCAUCCAGAAAGUCAAAAUCCACACUCCUAGGGUUUAUCACCCCUCGAUUCAGCAAUUUUGAGUAUAGAUCCAUAUGUUCCUUCGAUCUAAACAACUCUCCCAUUUUUCCUUGAUUUUCCGCCGCAAUUCCCAUUCUUGGCCGAAAUUCGCUGUAUAAUUUGUCAUCAUCAUUUCCAUCCACCGGAUUAACUCCCCAAUCUCGAGGGUCACUUGGGAUAUUCGCAAGGGAUUCUUCUGCCACACCCUUACGAGCAAUUCCCAAACUUUCCAUUUUUCACAAAAAGAUAUAUUCAUUUCCAUAUCCUUUGUCCUUAAGAAAAUCAUCCACAUAGUUCAACGAAGUACCAGUCCCUUUUAAAGCACGAUACAGCUGAUAAAUAAAAGAGGGCCUUUGAACUCUUACAGGGUCUGCAUCUUCAAUGAUUUCUUCAUUUUGAUGAUGAUUAACAUCUUGAGGACUAGAUGGAGGAGAAUGACGCUGCUGAGAAUGUUGUGGGCUCUGCUGCUGAUUUGGAGACACUUCUUCUUCAGUGAGAUCGAAGUGCGUAGGCCCCUCACUCAUUCGUCAUGGUCCCCUGCUUCCGAUCCUCGAAGACUUUCUUGAAGACGACAUCUUUCUUAGUCUUUGAAAGAUUCCUUGCUUGACUUUCCCAAAAAAGAUGACAACUUUUUCGAAGAUUAAACAAGAGAAGAAAACAGGAAUGGAAGAUUGGUGCUUUUUAGGGUUUUGGAGUUAAGCGAGGAGAAACCGAUUAUAUAUAAGACAAUCGUAAGGAGGGGAUACCAACCAGCGUAAUGGUAAGUGAAAAUAUGCCUUUUUUAAAAAAUAAAUUUUUAAAAAAAUAACUGCCCUUUUUCGAAAAAUAGUCACAUCAAAAUAACUUCUUUUUCUAAAGGAAACGAUGCAAUAAUUUUGUCAAUUAAAGAUAGCGAUUGAGAUAACAAUAAUCAACACGGUUGAUCAACGUACCUUUUCAAAAUGAGAUUAGAGAGAGAAUAACUUAUAGACAAAGUCUUGCAGUCAAAGUCUUAUAGUCUGAUUCUGAGAGUCUCUAGACUUUAACUUCUUCAAACUUCAAAAUGUUGAGUCUUGAACGGAUAAUUUCAAAUUGAUUUUUCUUCAAAGGCUUUAUAAAUACAUCCGCCAGUUGGUUCUUUGAGUCAACAAACUGAAUCGAAAUUUCUCCAUUUUGAACAUGAUCUCUAAUGAAGUGAUGUCGAAUCUCUAUAUGCUUUGCUCUUGAGUGAAGAAUUGGAUUUUUGGUGAGAUUGAUUGCGCUGGUGUUGUCACAUUUAAUCUCCGUGCAUGAAUCUUCAAUUCUGAAGUCUCUUAGCUGUUGUUUUAUCCAUAGAAUUUGUGAACAGCAACUUCCAAGAGCUACAUAUUAUGCUUCUGCUGUAGAGAGAGCUACUAUACUUUGCUUUCUUGAAAACCAAGACACUGCCCUGCCUCCAAGUAGUUGACAGGUACCUGAGGUGCUCUUUCUAUCAACUCUGCAUCUGGCUAAGUCUGCGUCUGAGUAUCCAAGAAGAGUAAAGUCUCCCCUUUUAGGAUACUAGAGACCGAAGCUUGAAGUUGAUGCAAUGUAUUUGAUAAUAGUCUUUGCAGCAUUUAAAUGUGAUUCUUUAGGGUUUGCUUAAAAUCUGGCAAAAAUGCAAACACUAAACAAAAUAUCAGGUCUAGAAGCAGUAAGAUAAAAAAAACGAACCGAUGAUACUCCUGUAUAACUUUUAGUCAACUUUCUUUCCUCCUUCAUCUUUAUCUAUCUUCACGGAGCUUGACAUUGGUAUAUCAGCCUUUUUGCAAUUGUCCAGUCCAAACUUCUUCACAAUAUCAUUAGCAUAUUUCUCUUGAUAAAUAAAAGUUCAUUCCUUCAAUUGUUUUACUUGAAGUCCAAGAAAGAAGGUUAACUCACCCAUCAUGCUCAUUUCAAAUUCAUCUUGCAUAGUCUUAGAGAAUUUCUUGCACAGACUUUCAUUAGAGGAUCCAAAAAUAAUAUCAUCGACAUAUAUUUGAACAAGUAGAAAACUCUUGCUUUCUCUUUUAAUGAAAAGAGUAGUGUCUACUUUACCUUUAACAAAUCCAUUUUCGAUUAAAAACUUACUCAGUAUGUCGUACCAAGCUCGAGGAGCUUGUUUAAGCCGUAUAAAGCCUUUUUGAGUCUGAAUACUGAGUCUGGUUUCUUUGGGUCUUCAAACCCAGGUGGUUGUUCCACAUAGACUUCCUCUUGGAUGAAUCCAUUUAAGAAGGCACUUUUGACAUCCAUUUGGAAUAACCUGAAAUUCUUAUAACAAGCAAAAGCAAGUAAUAAUCGAAUUGCUUCUAACCUUGCUACUGGUGCAUAAGUCUCGUCAUAGUCUAUCCCUUCUUCUUGUGUAUAUCCCUUGGCUAUGAGUCUUGCCUUGUUUCUUAUGACUUUUCCUUUCUCGUUCAUCUUGUUCCUGAAAACCCAUUUAGCUCCAAUAACAGACUUACCUUUCGAUUUAGGAGUUAAUUCCCAGACAUCAUUAAUACUGAAUUGCCUGAGCUCUUCUUGCAUAGCUUCAAUCCAGCUUUCAUCAGAUAAAGCUUCUUCUAUACUUUUAGGUUCUAUUUCAGAAAUAAGAGCCACAGCACUAGACUCUUCGCGCCUUUUGGAUCUUGUGCGAAUUCCUUCAUUGAUGUCGCCAAUAAUAAGAUCUUUGGGAUGACUAGACUUAUGUUUCCAGUUGCUGGUUAAUUUGUCAGAUUGAUGGUCACUUUCUCCACUUGAAUCUUCAACAGUCACUUGUUGCUGGUCCUUCAAAGUCUGAGCUAUUUUAGACUUUGUAAAGUCUGGAGCAGGUUUAGAUUCUUCAAGAUGAGUCUGAAUGGAUUCAUUUUGCAUAGAAUCUUGGAAUUUAACAUUCAUUGAUUCUUCCACUGUUUGAGUCUUCUUGUUGUAGACUCUGUACGCUUUGCUUGUGGUUGAAUAUCCAAGGAAGAUGCCUUCAUCUGAUUUUUCUUCAAACUUUCCAACUCGAUUAUUUGCAUUUUUCAGUAUAAAACAUUUGCAUCCAAAUACAUGAAAAUAUGAAACAAUAGGCUUCUUUUCUUUGAAUAGUUCAUAGGGGUUUUUUUUUUCCAAAAUAGGCCUUAGAAAGACUCUAUUUAUAAUGUAACAUGCUGUAGAAACUGCUUCAGCCCAGAAACGUGAAGAGAUGUUACUUUCAAUUAAAAGAGUUCUAGCCAUUUCUUGAAGAGAUCUAUUCUUUCUUUCCACAACUCCAUUUUGCUCUGGAGUAUAUGGAGAGGAGAAUACAUGCUGAAAACCAGAUUCAUCAUAGAAUUUUGUAAAAUCAUGAUUUUCAAACUCACCUCCAUGAUAUGUGCUUAUACUUGAUAUAACAUACCCUUUUUCAUUUUGAACCUUUUUAGCAAACUUUUCAAAGUGAGAGAAGGUUUCAGACUUACUUGUCAAGAAAUAUACCCAAGUGAAUCGUGAGUAAUCAUCCACAAUUACCAGGCAGUAUUUCUUACCUCCAAUGCUUUGCGUUCUGGUUGGUCCAAAAAGAUCCAUAUGCAAAAGCUGCAGUACACGGUUAGUGGAAACUUGAUUUAUUGGUUUAAAGGAAUUUCUUACCUAUUUUCCCAAUAUAUAUGGUGUACAUAGAUCAGACUUUUGAUAUGAUAAAUUGGAUAGACCACGAACAAGCUUCUUUGCUGAGAUUUUGGCUAUUUGCUUCAUAUUGACGUGCCCGAGCUUUCUGUGCAUAAGUUUGCUUCAUCUUGGAUUGAGAUUAGACAUUGUGAUUCAUCUGGUUUCACGUCCAAGAGGUAGAUAUUUCCAUGUCUUUGACCCAUGAAUGACUGAGUAGAAUCUUUACUAAUUCCAGAACAUAUUCCCUCUUGAAAGUUGAUUUUGAAACCAGUAUCACAUAGCUGACUAAUACUGAGUAAAUUGUAUUUGAGCCAUUCCACUAAGGAAACAUUGCUGAUUUUGAGAUUUCCAAUUAUUACAGUUCCAAAUCCCACAAUUUUUCCUUUACUGUUUCCUCCCAAAGAAACUUUUCCACCAUUUACUCGAACAAGCUUUAUGAAGUAAUUUGAGUCUCCUGUCAUGUGUCUUGAGCAUCCACUAUCCAGAUACGAUUUUACCUUUUUCUUGGUAGUGACCUGCAUUUAAAAAAGAAACUCAAGCCUUCUUUGGUACCCAUAUUUUCUUGGGUCCAUUGGUGUUAGUAUGAUAUGCGGUUUUUACCCAUAUCUUUUUAACAGGUUUCCAAAUCAUAGGAUAUUCUUUUUCAAAAUGAUCUGCACUAUUGCACUUUGAGCAUCUGAGAGCAUUGUGACCUACUGGUUUUACAAAGAUUCUUUUUAAAAUGAUUUUUGUAAGCAUCUCUUGUGGGUCUUUGUUUGAUUCUUUCUUUCACCUUAGGAAAAUCAAUUAAAGGAAUAGUUUCAUCAGUCAUUCCCAAACCAGAUUUAUUAAAAUAAGGUCUUUGAACAGAAAGAAUUUUUUCUAGUUUCUCAGAUCCUAUAGAAAAUCUUUUGGAAAUAUUUGAGAUAUCUCUUUUCAAGAAUGCAUUUUCUUUUAACAAAUUAUCUUCACUUUCCUUAAGAGAAGAAACAUUAUUGUCUAAACUUUUCACUUUUUCUUUCAAAAUAUUUUCCUGUUGUUUUAGAGCAGAAUUUUCUUUCUUGAGUUCGGAAAUUCUUUUAAGAGAAGUCUUAAGACUGAAACACAAUUCAUCAAUAUACUUUGAAACCUUAAUAGGGAUUUUCAAGUUACUUACUUCAAAUUCGCUUUCUGAGUCUGAAUCUGUCUCGGAAUUUGAAUCUGAAUCCGAUUGUGCCAUCAGACAUAUAUUGGCAUAAUCAUCAUCACUUUCUUCACACUCUGUAUCACUCCAGGUUUUAGCUUUAAGAGAUUUUCGGUACUUUUCAGUUUUUCCUUUCUUCUUUCUCAAAAGAGGACAAUUGGAUCUGAUGUGUCCUUUUUUCUUACAUUCAAAGCAAACUAUAUCUUUGUUUGAUUCAUCAUCCUCAACAGACUUAGUCUGUUGCUUUUGAAAGCUUUGUUUCUUUGGAUUGAAUCUUCUUCAUUUUCUAUUCAGCUUUCUGAAUCUUCUUAUCAUGAGAGCAAGUUCCUCAUCAUCCAUAUCGUCUUCAGAAUCUGUAGCAUCAGAAUCAUUAUUAGAUUUUAACGCAAUGGAUUUCUUACCUUUAGGGUCUUCGUCUUCAUUGAUUCGUUCCACUUCAUAAAACUGAAGAGUCCCAACCAACUCAUCAACAGAUAGAUGCAUGAUUCUUUGGGUCUCUCUGAUUGAGGUCUUUAUGUGAUUUCAAUCCUUGGAGAGUCCACGCAGUAGCUUGUUUACUUUCAUGGGAUCAGAAAUUGGUUGACCUUGAUUUUCAAGACCGUUCACAAUAUCUGUAAAACGACUAAACAUAUCAGUUAUAGAUUCUCCUGGUUUCAUUUUGAAGGCUUCAUAUUGGCCGAGGAGAAUGUUGAUUCUAGUCUCUUUCACUCGAUCGGUUCCUUCAUAAGUAAUAUGUAAUCUAUCCCAAACUUCUUUAGCUGUAACACAAGAAGAUAUUAUGUUAUAUUCAGUAGGGGAUAAAGCACAAUAUAAGGAAUAAAUUGCUUUUGCAUCAAGAGCUUGUCUCUUGAUUUUCUCUUCCUGAGUCAUUUCGCUAGACUCAACAUCUUUUCCUCUUUCUGAGACAGAUGCAGCUUUAGGAAUGAUUCCUUUUUCUACAACGUCCCAUUCCAGAGGAUCCUUUGAUCUUAGGAAUGCUUUCAUCUUGUUCUUCCAUAUGUUGUAAUCCUUUCCAUCAAAGUAAGGUGGUCUGGUAUUGCUUUGCCCUUCUACCAGCCCUGGAGCCAACAUACUAGCCAUGGAUCUUUAACUCUGAAGUAAAAUACUUCAACAAAAGUGAGUACACAUGCUCUGAUACCAAUUGAGAUGGCUAGUAUAAUCACCUAGAGGGGGUGAAUAGGUGCACAAACAAAUUUUCGAGAUACGGAAGCGAUUUUAGGCAAUCGAUAGAAAGGAAAAUACGAUCAAAGUAAAGUAAAUGUUAGGUAAGAGAGAAAUGAACACAAGAUUUAUAGUGGUUCGGCUUAUUCAAAGUCUACAUCCACUCUUCCGCACUGACAGCCCACCGACUGGAUUUCACUAUGAACAAGAGAGAAGUUACAGCACAGCUUUUCCUUGAUUCCACAGUGUAGAUGUUCUACCACACUUCCUCAAGGUUUCUCACGAAUAUAGACUCUCUUUUGUUUACACGAUUAUGCUCAACAAAUGAAUUGACUAGAAACAAGGAGCUUCAGACUUUGGAAUUCUUCUAUCGUGCAUACUUUCGAACAACUAGAACGUCUUCCUUAUAUACUCCUUCAUGCCAUCAUACCCGUUGGCACUUACCAAAGGAAUUCCUCCAAUCUACCCGUUGGACGGAAUCAAUUAGGAAGAUCAUUCGAGCUAUUAAAGGAACAUGUCACUAGCCCAUCAAUCAUGUUCGCCCAUACAAUCAGGAUCUCGGUUUCCAUAAGUAGAACCUUCCAAGUAUACUUCGCCAAUCAUCGGAUCCUUAAUAUUCAAAUCAAUUGUGAUCAAAUAAAGAAUUAUGUUAUGUCAUAUCCAGCCAAGAGAUCUUCUCCAGUCGAUAAGGCCACAUCCUUAAUGAAACAUCCAGUUCUGGAUAGCCUUUCUUCAACGGAUUAGAGACUGUCAAUGAGAAUAGACUUUGAGUCUUGAGUCUGGCUGUCCGGAGGUCUUCAGACUUUAAAUAGCAGAGUCUGCAAUCCUUCAGACUAGACUAAUGGAAACGUUUUGUCAACUUCAAAAUAUUUCAAGAGGAAUUUCUCCAACACUAGUUUCGGGAAACAAAACACAUUCAGAGAACGUGAAGCAUCCCGGAAUGUCUUCUUCUCCCUUGUUGUUUGCAUAGAAUAAUUUGAAGAAUCAUAAUUUAUAGCUUAAUUACGAAAAUUCCUCCAAUUAGAUAAAUUAAAAUUGCUGCUACCAAAUAUAAUUAAUCAGUCUUGUCGAGCUCUCUCGUAGCGUGCAUGGAGCGAAAGCCCCCUUUGUUUCCACUCUCUUUUCUCGGUUUCUCCGAACUCUGCUUUCCUUCAUUUUUUUUCUUCUUUUUUUUCGUUCUUCUUGGCCAAGCUUUGUUUUAUUUCUUUCUGCUCUUGUAAUUUGUCUUGCAAUGAAGCAAGACUAAAGAAAGGGCUAAAACGAGACACCCAGCCUUGGGCUUAAUGUUUUGCUCUUAUUUAUUAUUUUUUGCAAGCCCGUUCCUUGCAAAUUUAUUCAUGAAGAUAAAUCUUUUAGGUAAUGUACCGAUGGAUCCUAUGUGGAGAGAGGAUAGGUCACUCGAAAUUAAAGUUGGGCACAUAACUUUUUUUAAUAGAAAAAAUAUCAGAAAAAUUAUAAAUCUAUUGUAUUAGUGUCAAUUUGACCUAGUAUCAAUUUAAUCAUCUCAACUAAUUUUGAUCAGAAAUUACUGACAUAGAUAUUGGUUAUCUUGCAUGACAUGCCUGCCCUAACAUGGAUAAUUUUUUAAUAAUAAUUCAAUAUUUUUUAUUUUUUAUUUAUUGUUAUUAUUAUUAUUUUCUUUUUUUUUCUUCAUUCUUCUUGGCCUCACUUGGGCAGGAGUUGGCGUCGCCGACCACAGGUGAGGCCUAGCCAAACGAGAGUGAUCCCAAUCAAGCUUGCCACUUUGUAUCAUUCUUGGAAAAGGUUGAGCCCUCACUUAUGCCUAAAUGAGGCCUUACGAGAGUCAGCCUCACCCAAGGCAGACUUGGUGAGGCCAGCUUGCUCAGUCAUUGCCUAUAACCAACAAAAGGAAGAAGAAAGAAAAAAAGAAAAGAAAAAACAAUAUAUAUAUAUAUAUAUAUAUAUAUAUAUUAGUAUUAAAAAUUUUCCACGGCCCCAAAUCACUUUUUGGUGUCCAGGAGGGGAAUUAGGGGUGAUUGGGUCUAAGAUAGGCAGGAUCUAAACCUGGACCCUGUACCCGAUCCUGUUAAACGGAUUCCUCUUUUCUGGACCCUAUACCUGACCCUGUUUGUAUUGAACCGUAUACCUGACCCACCCUGUUUUUCCGAUCCGGUUGCAAGAUCAACCUUGUUUUCACUAGAACCUGUUUUGCAAUCUUCCGAUAUCUUAUACGACUUCGAAUUUUAUAUUAAUACGUGAGAAAAUAACGUAAUCCUCAUAAUUUGUAUUGAAAUAUUAAGCACUUGUAAUAAAUAAAUACAUAAACUUUUUGACUAAACGAAAAAUUAAGGAUUCACGAGGCUAAUUAUAAUAAAUAAGAUCAUAAGGCAAAGAAUUAGCAACAAACAUGGAUUUAAUAUUAUUCUUAUUCCCACAACUAUUACAUGAAGUUACUUAUUUAUGCAAGCAUAACUCCUCAUACAAAAGAAAAAUUAGGCGGGCCAAUCUAUGUGAUACACAAGAACUUGGCGGUGAUGAACACCGUCCGUCCAUCGGACGGUGUGAGAGGGAGCCAGGGAGGGAGGGAAGCAAGUGAGGAAGAGGAAUGUCCUCCCUUGCAUGUUUAAGAGAGCCAAGAGGAAAAACGUCGUGUGAUUGCAGGGUAAGAAUAAAAAUCGAGGGAGAAAAAAGGGUUUUGGACCUUUACUUACAAAACUGAUUAGGGAAUUGGUUCCAAAACCGGUCCAGGAACCAGUUUCUGGGUGGGUAAUCACUCGGAACCUGUUCUCGGACCAGUUUAAACCGAUUCCAAAUUUUGGGAAUUGGUUCCCAGACCUGUUUCAACGGGAACUGUUUCAACGUGAACCGGUUCUCGACCCUAUUUUCUGGGUGGGCUAGUUCAGGAACCGGGUAUACCUAGUUCGGUUGCACACCCCUAAAGGGAAUCAUGGUCUGUAGACAUCCAAUUUGACUUUUGGUGCCUUGUAUCAAAUUUUGGAGUUCGGUAUUUUGGCAAAACACUCCAUCAAAAGUGAAUUUGGAUGUCUGUGAUGUCUGUGGACCACUGCCAAAAUCAAAUUUUGGAGUCUAGUGUUAUAUCAAAUUUUGGAGUCCGGUGUUUGGGCAAAACACUACCGCACCAAAAGUGAAUUUGGAUGUCUGCAGACCAUUGCCAAAUCGCCGCAUCAAAAGUAAAUUUGGAUGUAUGUGGACCAUGAUUCCCUUCGGUAUAAAUAGAAGUAUAAAUGAUGCUCCUAUCAUCGCCCCUCACAACUCCAUGGAUCUUACCUCCGUUGUCUCUAUCCUAGUCAACUUCAUCCAAGUGAAACUUCCCCGCCUUCACCCUUUGAAACUCACCUCGUCGCCACCGCAUCACCAUUUGCAGCCUGCUCCUGCUUUUCUUUUUCGGGCGUGUCGCUAAUCCGGCACCAUUGUCAAGCGGCCCUCCUCCUUCUAGUGAUGGAGUAGCACGCCUCUUCUUCCACUUCACCAGUUUGAUAUCGGUGUUUUUGCUCAUGUGAUUACUGCUCCACGACUCCUUCCACUCCGUCCUUUGGUUCAUGCUAUUCCUGUUGCUUUACGUGAGUCUAUUGCGGGCCUCAUUCAGAAACUCUGGCUGUGGUUUUACAACAAACUUCUUCUCAUGAUUAUUCGUGCGGCACGCUCCCACGUAUGGCAUGGUGGAAGAGCACAGUCACAUUUGCCGUUAUCUAACAUAAAAACUAAUCAAACCUAGGAUUUAUAAUUUUUCAUUUUUUAAUUAAAAAUUAAAUAUAAUAUAUAUUAUCAGUCUGGUCAAGGUGGGCAAUUCCACACCUAAAACGAGAAACAAACUGAUUUCAUUGGUUUUUAGGCGAUCUAGAUGAUUCUCGAUUCAUUUGCACAACCUUGCUCCUCGUCGUCGUUGUGCUUUCACAUGGUCUCCACCCAUUUCUCUCUCCUCUUUAAGAGUUUCCACAAAUAUUCCUCCUCAAUACCUUGUUUUUUUCUGUUUUCUCGAAAAGAUGACAUUUAUGAUUCAAUUUGAAUGAAAUAACAAUUUUAAUGCACGCACAUUUUUCACCUAUGGUGUAUCAUCUUCAUUCCAUUAAUUUGUAUGUUCCUUUUGCUUAAAUUUUGAAUUUAUUAGACCAAUCAAGGUCCUACCUUGUUUGGCCUUUUUCCAAGGAAAAAAGGAAAAAAAAUGAAGAAGAAGAAGAUGACAACAAAGUUCUCUCUUUUUAUAAUAUUUAUUCUCUCCUGCUAGGGUGUGCGCAUGUAUGGAUGCAUAAACCUCUCUUCAAAAACUUCUGAGUCUCCCUUAUUGACUAUCCCAAUGUAGUUUCUUUGUGAACUAGACUUAGUCACCAGAUUUUCACUCAUGCCCUUCCCGGUUCCUUCCCCCUUUUACUCACCCCUCAUCCCUUGCUGUGCUUUCGCGUGGCCUUCCCCCAUUUCUCUCUCUUCUUCAAAAGUUUCCACAAAUAUUCCUCCCCUAUACCUUGUUUUUUUUUUUUUUCCUAUUUUCUCAUAAAGAUGAUAUUUAUUAUUGAAUUUGGAUUAAAUAAACAUUAUGAUGCAUGCGUAUUUUUCAUCUGUGAUAUAUCAUCUUCAUUCCACUAAUUUGUACGUUUCUUUUGCUAUAAUUUUGAAUUUAUUAUACUAAUCAAGGCCUAACCUAAUUUGAACUGGUUCAAGUCCUUUUUUCUAGGCAAAAGAAGAAGAAUUCUCUCUUUCGAUCAUAUUUAUUCUCUUCUACAAGGCUUUGCGUAUGUAUGGACACAUAAACCACUCUUCAAAAACUUCCUCAGUCCCCAUUAUUGACUACACCUCUGAUAGUGCUAGUAUUAACAAAAUAAAGGAGUUAAGGAAGAGAAUAAGAACACAAGAUUUAUAGUGGUUCGGCUUAAUCCAAGCCUACGUCCACUCUCCCACGAUAACAGCCUUCUUGGCUGGAUUCCACUAUGUAAUCAACAAGAGAUUACAACUUCGAGUGCAAACACUUAGUAGUAGAUCACACCAACUCACUAAGUCACUCUCUUGGUAUUUCUCUCACGAUUACAAACGUUUAAGCUCUCCAAAGACAAGUGUAUGAUCGAAGGUCGCUCAGACUUUGGAAUUAUAAAUUCUACGCUCCGUCUCUCUUACUUGCUCAUCGGUCCAUGAUCUCCUUAAAUACUCCUCCACUUCCAAACUACCGUUGGAUAGUAUCCCGGAGAAUCGUCUUCCAAUAUACCCAUUGGACAGCUCUGUAUUUAGAAGAUUUAGUAGCCGUUGAGUGACAAAGGUAAAAUCCCAAAUUGAUUCCGAUCGCCCAUACAAACGAAAUCUUGGUUUCCAUAAGUAAAGCUUCUUCGUAUAUAAAGUUCUUGUCUUCAAUCAAAUCAAUCUUGAUGUGGAAUCCAAACCAGAUCACUAGCCGUUGUAUGAUUGGGCUUGAGUUACGAUUCAUCGUAAUCUGGAUGUAAAGUCUGAGUCUUUAGACUUUACGAUAUAAGUCUUGAGACUUUACAAUCUGGGUCUGUAGACUUUACAAUCUGAGUCUGUAGACUUUACAAUCUGAGUCUUGAGUCUGGCAGUCUUCAGACUUUGAGUCUCGAGUCUGGCAGUCUUCAAACUUUGAGUCUCGAGUCUGGCAGUCUUCAGACUUUGACACAGAAGUCUGGAAAUCUUCCAAAUAUACUUUGGACAUGUGUUACAUUCAGUCUUCUGGUCGUCUUCUGACUUUGAUAAUAUCAUCUACAUGUUCUAUCAUCUGCAUGGUCUAUUACUCAACCAUCAAACAUGUUAGUAGCCUUUGAUUUAUUUUGUCAUCUUCAAAACAUCAUAAGGGAUUUCCCUAACAACCUCUCUCUCUCUCUCUCUCUUCAAUCUCAUUUAUUGAAUUAGACAAAGCCAAAUAAUCUCGAGAGAGAGAGAGAGAGAGUUUCCCCAGGGUCUUAGGGGAGGCUUCGAUGCGACCGCAACAAUGGUUGGACCAUGUGGCAUCAAAUGAUGAUCCUAUGUCCAGGUGCGCGCGUAUGAAAUCUUAAUUAAAGUUGCGAAUUUUUUUAAAAGAAAAUCAAGGCCGAAUGAGAUUAAAAUUAAAGUUGGGCAUCUUUUCUGGAAAUUAGCCCAUAAAAAAGUAAUGCUUCCAUCAACAAUCCAAGGCAUCUUAAACUUAUUUUUGCAAUAUUUCAUCGAAAAGAUAUCCAGCUGCUUCAAAAGUAUUUUAGGAGAAUUUAAUAUAUGCAACAAUCAUAGAUAUAGAUGAGUUCGUGCUUAAAACAUGGCAACAAACAAAUGUUCAUGUCGCAAUAUAUAUAUAUAUAUAUAUAUAUAUAUAUAUAUAUAUAUUGUAAACUAUGCUAGGGGCGAGGAUAGGUCAUGGGGGGGAAAUGUUUGGCCAGAUCAAGGCCUCUUUAAUGGGAAAAAAUGUCGAAAAAGUUUUAAAUCUAUUGCAUUUGUGUCAAUUUAAUCUCAAACCUUUAAAUCAUAACAAUUUGAUCAUAAUUUUUUGCUAAUUCAAUUCUUCAGACUAAUUUUAACUAAAAGUUACUAAUAUAGAUGCUGGUUAUUCAAUGUGAUUCAACCAAACAGGUUACCCUCACGUGGGUGAGGAUCAUUGGCCUAACUAGGUGAGAGCGAUUCUCAAUGAGGCAGCCUUGGCCUGGUCGAGGGGAGCCCUCGCCCUCGCCUAGGCUAAGAUUUGGUGAGACCAGCCUGCUCAGCCAUUGCCUAUGAAUGGCAAAAGGAAGAAGAAAGAAAAAAAAAUUGUAAAAAAUUGUAAAAAUAUUAAAUUUUUAUUAUAAAUUUUUUUACAACCACCCACGUAAGCAAUAUUCAGUCCAAAUUAAUCGAAAUUACUAAAUUGACACAAUUAUAAGAUUUAGGAUUAAAUUUAGAUAAAUGCAAUAGGCUGAUGAUUUUCUUUGGUAUUUUUCUCCCUUAUGAAUAUAACCAAAUAAAAAAUAAAUCCGACAGUUCAAGGCCUUCGUUCACUCCAUGGCGUCGUGAGGGGUGAGGGUAGGGACAUCAUUUGAUAUUUGCUUUUUCAUGGAAAGUGGCACAGGACAUAAUUUUUGUUUUUUUUUGGGUCUGGGCAUAGGACAUUGUUUUUAUUUUGGGUGCUGCGGGGCGUCGUGAGGGAUGAAAAGACGGGACGUCAUUUUAUACUAUUUCUUUUGGGUGAAUUUGAACGCUCUAUAUUUGGGAUGUUGCAAAACAUUUUUUUAGGUCCAAACCAUUGAUGAUAUGCACCCAAAUGGGAUGGAAAAACGGGGACGUCAUUUCAUACUCUUUCUUUUGGAUGAAUUUGAACACUAUAUUUUGGAUGUUGCAAAACAUUUUAUACUCCUUCUAGGUUUAGGGCACUUUAUAUUUUGGAUGUUGUGAAACAUUUCAUACUCUUUCUUUUAGGUUUAGUGUACUUUAUAUUUUAUAAAAUGUUUCGCAACAUGUUUCGCAAUAUAUUUGGCUGUUGCGGAACAUUUUAUACUCUUUUUUUUAGAUUUAAUGUACCUUAUAUUUUAUAAAAUGUUCCAGAUUCCUACAGGAUUAGAUUUAAUGUACCUUAUAUUUUAUUCCGGAUUCCUACAGGAUAUCCGGAAAAUCUGAUAAAAUACAAGGUACAUUAAAUCUAAAAGAAAGAGUAUAAAAUGUUCCACAACAUCCAAAAUAUAGGUUCUAUAAAAUGUCGUCCCCGUCUUUUCAUCCCCUCACGACGCCAUGGAUCUUACCUCCAUCGUCUCUAUCCUGGUCAACAUCGUCCAAGUGGCUUACCAGGGGAAGUCGAUUUCACCCUUGGAAACCCACCCCCUCGCCACCCGCGUCGCCAUCUGCGGCCUCCUCCUGCAUUUCUCUUUGGGGUAUGUCGCUAAUCAGGCACCACCGCCUCGGAUGGAGCAGCGCGCCUCCUCUUCCACUUCACCGGUUUGGCAUCCGUGUUUUUGCUCGCAUGGUUGCUGCUCCACGACUCCUUCCACUCCACCCUCUGGUUCGUGCUGUUCGUGUUGCUUUCCGUGAAUCUGUUGCGCGGCCCCAUUCAAAAACUUUGUCUGUGGUUUUUCCGCAAACGCUUUCUCAUGAUUAUCCGUGAGGGGGGCUCCCGUGUAUGGCACGGUGGAAGAGCGCAGCCACAUUUGCCACGCCCGGUUGUGGAUAUGCGUUUCAUGCUGGAAGUCUGAGUGCCGUAGUUGUUCGACUGACUGCUCUCUCCUUGGAAGAAGUAAUUUUAAUUGUGUGAUCUCUUUAAAUCAAAUUAUUAGUACUUUAGGAAGCUAAGCAAGAUUAGUGUAAGAGGCACUUGGGGCUUUCUUCUCUUUAUCUGAAGCCAUAGCCAUGAGGAAUCCCCAAGCCUUUGGCGUCAAAUUAUCUCCCGAUCAUAAUAAAGGAGAGCAGGGAACAAGUAAAAACCACCUAUAUAUCUUUCCUGUUCCUAGCCAUGAAUGGUGAUGCACCUUGCAGUGACUAGAAAUUGGGAUCUGUCGAAGAGAUUGAAGAUGACCUCAACAAUUGUUACCACGAGUAGAAUGGUCGUUUCUAGCAGCCAUAUAGGGGUAGUAAUUGUUCUUGAGGUUAAAGCUCCUGACCUCUUUGAAAACAUAGUUGAGCGUUGCAGAUUUCCUUCUUUUUUCUCGUAAAUUUCUCUGUAGCUUUCUGUUUGGCCAGUGGGUGGAUAUGUGUCGUUUUUACGUUCUUUGCUGGUGUACUAUGUUCUUGUUCAUUUAUCAAUGGGAUAAAUUGAUGCCUUGGUGACGCGAGCACAGCUACAAUUUUAAAAGCUUCGAUCUAACACUAACAUCAUUGAGUGAUCCAAAUCAAAAUGAAACAUGUCAGCUUUUUCCAUCUCUCGCAUAUACACCAUUACUGCUUACUAGCUAUUCCGAUGAUAAUAUAGGUGGUCUGUCAUUGCAGAAUGUGGGAGUCAUUACAUCAUGUAGUCUUCAUUUUACCUCUGCGAGGCGACAGCUAGAUCUUUGCUGUGGCAAAUGCAUUAACUUGCAAUCAAAGACUAUGUUGUCUCCCUGGCUGAUUAAAAUUCAAGCUGCCGAGGCCAAGGUAAGAAAAGAACGCUGAAAUGUUGAUUUUUUUUUCUGUAGGCUUUAGUUCAAGAUUACUGAAUUUUGGCAGACUGUAGAUGUUAGAACCGAACUUUUCCCAUCGUCAUUUGCUGUAGAAUUUACAGUUCAUGUAUGCAAAGCUAGAUAGAUAGUAUGCAGAUGCUCGAGACAAUUCUGUACAAACUACACUCAUCUGAUGUUCAUAUUUGUGGAAAUAAUUAGACCAGCUAGCUUCCUGACAAUUUGAUUCAUCAUCAAAUUAGGCAUCCCAAUGUUAAUACUUUGAUAAAUGACAGAGCACAAAAGCCUUGCACUUCAAAAAUAUGAUAUUUGUCUGUUUUUACUGCAGAGAACAACAAUCUUGGAUGUCGACUGUAGCAGUGAGUCCAAUUGACUUGCAUAAAAACUUAAGUUGAAACAUCAAACAGAAGGGUGUUCUCCUGACUCCCAAAUUCUUUUUGUCUUGAUAAGGGCAUCCCCAACUCUGCAACUAAAUGCACUUCGCUUGUAGCUUUCGGAGACCAGCAUUACACGUCUUUUCUUGAGUACCUCCAAUUAUGCGCCCACUUUUUCCCGCAGAAUUUCAACUUUUUCAUCUAGUUCAGGCUGUUCAGCAAUAGCAGGGUCUUCAGUUAUUUGCACUAUUCUAGCAACUUGGAUUAAACACUGUUUGGUAUUAGCGCAUUUUCUGCUGAUUAUCACUUAUUGUGUAGAUGAGUCUAUAUAUAUGAUGUUAAAAAGGAGCAUGGCUAUUCACCACAUCACAUGGCAGCAUCUUGUAUCCAGUUUUGGCUAAAGGCUGUUUAGCAAGAGAGCACUACUGGGAUACAAGCGCCCCAUGGUAAACACAUUUGAUAAUGAGUAAUCCAAGGGCCAAGGGCAUUCAUCAUCCAUAAGCACCCAGGAUUUGUGUUCCUUUAUGAUAUUAUGAAGGGCACAAUAGUAUGCUCACUGGUUAUUAUCUUUCGAUGAACCAAGCAUAAAAGUGUGAGUUGAUGGAAUUUAAUGGAAAUUUUUUACUGUAGUGGAAGGCAAUCAGUGAUGAUUAAGAUUGCAUUGCACACAACUGCAAAAGCCGAAGCUGCACAAUUUACCACAGACACUUCAUAGUAGCAUGGUUAGGUAGAUUUAAAAUGAGAAAGUGUAUAUGCUUGCGGAGGUGAUGUUUCGAAGUGGGCCCCUUAAAAGUGCAUGGAGUGUUGAAGUCGUCACUUCCGUGCAGUGAAAGACAGAGCAUCCAUGCUCUUUGUGACAUAUGUCAACAGUGCUCCUCAUACGAGAAGAGAAAGGAUGUGCGGGGUGAGCAGGUCGUUGCAUCUGAGGGCAAUUCAGCACAUAAUUUAUGGAGCAGAGAGGAGCAUCUCUGUGCUGCAUGGCAAUACGCUAAACAUUUGACACAUUCAACACAAGCCUUGCACGCACCAUCCUUCAUAUGCCAGUUCCAGUGGCAGAGAAUGAUAGUGUAGCGGAGAAAGGAGAGGCAAUCAAGACAACUGUGGACCUCACCUAUAUGUUCCAUUCACAAGCUUCACACCCAAUUUUGCAGUCAAGCUGUGUGUGGAAGACCAGUGGAUGCUGAUGGUCGAAAUGGUAAAAAACCGAGUCCUUUGUGCCUCCAGAAGGACAACUAGCUAUUCUGAUGAUAAUAUUGUUUGUGUUUGUUGUUACAGAAUGAUAGAUUGGUUACAUCAUAUAGUCAGCACUUUACCUUUGAGAGGUGAGAACCAGAUCUUUGUUCCGGCAAAUGCAUCAACUUGCUUCAGCAAAUAAGAUUUAUAAAGACAGCGACUUUCUUUUCUGAUGUAUCCUGUUCGUAUCCAGAAGCUCUUGGAUCUGAAUAAUGCAAUCUAAGACUAUGUUGUCUCACUGGUUGAUUGGUUUUCGUCCAGGAGCUAGAAUUGUUGCUUCAGUCAGAAAUUCAAGUUGCCAGGGCCAAUGUGAGAAAAGAAUGCUGAAAUAUAGAUUUCUUUUUUGGGAGGCUUUAGUCCAAUAUAACCGAAUUUUGGUAUACUGCAGAUGUUAGAAUGGAACAAUUCCCAUCUUCAUGUGCUGGAAAAGAAUUUACAGUUCAUGAAUGCAAAGCCAUAUCGAUAGUAUGCAAAAGCUUGAGUCUAGUCUGUACAAACUACACCUGUCUGAUAUUCAUUUUUCGAGGAAAUAAUAAGACCGGCAAGCUUCCUGACGAGUUGAUUCAUAAUCAACUUAUUCAUCCCAAUUUUAGUGCAUUAAUUCAUAACAUGAAGCAAACAAGUCUCACACUCAAAAAUAUGAUAUUUUUCUGCUUUUGAUGCAGAGAAUAACAAUAUCGGAUGUCAAGUGUUAGCAGUGAUUCUGGACUUGCUUGAGAACGUAAAUUGAACCAUCAAACAGGAAGGUUGUCCCCUGCCUUCCCAAUUCCUUUCUUCUGGAUAAGUGCCUCCCCAAUUCUGCAACUACAUGCACUUUGCUUGCAUCUUUUUGAGACCUGCAUUGCCUCUUUGCUUUUCCUGCGGAAUUGCAAUUUUUUCAUCUAGUUCAGCAAUAGUAAGGUCUUCAGGUACUUCCAUUACUUUAAAAAACAUUUGGUAUUACCAUAAUUUCUGUUGAUUAUAACUUAUUGUGGAGAAUGAGUCUAUAGAUGAUGUUAAAGAAAGAAAAAAGAACAGGGCUAUUCACCACAUCACAAGGCAGCAUCUUGUAUCUCUUUGUUGGCUAGUUGUCAGUUUAGUGAGAAAGCACUUCUGUGAUGAAAGCAUACCGUAGGUAAAACACAUUCGAUAAAGUAAUCAAUGCACGGGCAUUCAUCGCAGCUGGAAGCACCUUGAUUCAGGUCUUUUUUCUCUCAAAGGUCACAAUAGUACUCACCGGCAUGAUCUUCGAUGGACGAAGUGUAAAGUGUGAGUUGAUGGAGGUGAUGGUGAUCUUUUAUCGUUGGUGGAAUUGUGGAAGAUAGUACUCACUGGCAUGAUCUUUGAUGGACGAAGUGUAAAGUGUGAGUUGAUGGAGGUGAUGGUGAUCUUUUAUUGUUGGUGGUAGUUAUGGAAGGCAAUCGUGAUUGACAUUAAGACUGCACUUCACAAGAACGUGAAAGUUGAAAGUGCAAAAUUUACCAGACAAUGCAUAGGGAAGCGUGGAUCAGUAGAUCUAAUAUAAGAAAGAGCAUACGCUCUUGGAGGUGAUGUUUCAAAGUGGGCCUAUUAAAAGUGCAAGGAAUGUUGAAGUCAAAGUUGCAUUUUACGCAGAGAAAGACAGCGUCAAUGCUCUUCACAACAUGCGUUAGUGAGCGUUCCUUCCUGAUAUGGGAAGAAGUGGCUGUGCCAGGGUGAACGGGGUGUUGCAUAACUGAGGGCAAUUCAGCACAUGAUUUAUGGAGUAGAUGAGAGCAGCACUGCUCCAUCGGCAGUGGAUGAUCGUGAAUUGGAGAAAGAAGAGGCAAUCCAGGCAACCAUAGACGUGACCUAGUAUGCUUUGCACUCGAUUCUGGUUUCAAGCUUCACGUGGAGGGACACCAGUAGAUGCCGAUGGGCGAAAUGGCAAAAAAACUGGGCCUUUCUUGCCAUCCAGGUCUUGUGAACCUAGACUUAUAGCCGCACAGUCCAUGUCAAGGCUGAACUUGCAUUCGCUGCACCGGAAACUAUAUGGCAGGCAUUACAUUGGAGGUCUACCAAUUGACCGAAAGCAAGAGAGAUGGUGAUCAUGGAGAGACGGGCAUUGCAUCUCUGGGGGGAGAUUUGGCGCAGCUCUCAUGGAGAGAGAAUACACACGUGUACCAUCAAUAGACCUCCUCGCAGGCUUCACAUUUGAUUCUACUUUUUUUGUCUCCGAGAUGAUGGGAUGUGAGCAGAUGCUAAUGAGCAAAACGUUGGAUGGUCGCAUUCUCAGAUUCCUCAUCAGGCUUAGAAUUGUGAGUAGGUAGACGAAGCAAUAUCGGGCUGUGCAGCAACGCUUAACCAUCCGAACGGCAAGAAGGAAGCCUGCUCACACGCAUGGCAACUCCGACAAUCCUCCGCAUCAUUGCCUAGCAGUCAAGUCGGGGCAGCGGGUGAAACGGGGGUCCUAGGGCGGACAGCAUGCCAAAUUCAGUGCAACUGGUGAAAGAAAAAUUGACACGAUUCACGGCAGUGGGCUGAGCCGCGGAGCGAAGACCAGCACGCGAGACAUUCCAAGCAACUACAACUUCCGCGUAGGUUCCGGAGACUCAAUGCAUGAUUGCCAAGGCAAAAUUAGGAGAUAAAAAAAACAUUUUGAAUGGAGUUAUGUCAACACGAAGCAAAUGAGGUGACAUGAAUUGUACCCCACUCCCAUAUUAUUUGAUGUUGUAUUUCAGUGUUCAUCCGUCCAUUUUUAUUUUAGUUUAUUUAUGCUUCAACGCAAUAGUUAAUAAAACUAAAGUGGCCCAUGAAAAGUUUUAUAUCUUGUUCAUUUAAAGUCAGCUGCAAUUAUAUGAGGUCUUAAAAGUGCAUUCACCCUGGGCUAGUCUAUACAUUCAUCAGAGUUCUUAUCCAACUUUUUUCUAAAAGUAACUUUUGCGUAAGACAAUUUUGUGAUAACAGUUUUGUGGUAAUCGUUUAAAAAGCCAAAUUCACAAUUUUUUUUAAAAAUUUUACGAGUUAUUUUUUUAAUUUAUUAUUCGAUUGCAUUUACAUGUAAAAGUAAUGUUUACAUUUGCCAUUAAAUACAAUUCGUACAAAUAGUAUGAGGCGAAUCUACUUUUUUUUAGUUAUCAAUGUCUAUAAAUGCACAUGUUCUGCAGCACCCUUGAUUUGUAAGCUAUGUCCAUAUGGCUCAUUGAAGCAGUAAUUGUAAUUAAACUUGUAAUUUUCUUUUAAAUCUUUGAAUAGAACUCGAUUUUAUUUUCAAAAACUAAAUAAUUAUCUGUAUUGGUUAUUUAAAAAAAAAAUACAGAUUGAAGUUGUUACAGACCCAAUUCACAUAUACAACCUACAACUUCAACUAAUUAAAUUGAAUUUAGAUCCACGGAUAAAAAGUUGGCAUUUGUAUAAACUAUGAAGACUAAGACUGAGGAGAAUAUUUCUAGAAAGAGCAAAACAAAAUAGAGAGGUGCUCUUCCGAGUAAUUACAAGUAAACCUAUCCAAAUGAUAAAAUGAACUACAUUGGGAUGAAAUAAAGAUUAUGAUGCAUGUACAUUUUUCAUCUAUGGUGAUCAUCUGCUUCUUUUGCUAAAAAUUUGAAUUUAUUAUACUAAUCAAAGUAACGAUUGGUCCGACCUUGAUUUUAAACCGGUUCACAUCCUUUUUCUAAGGCAAUAAAGAAAAAAAAAAAGACAAGAUGCUCUCUUUUGUCAUAUUUAUUCUCUCCUGCUAAGGUGUUCACGUGUACAUAUAGACCUCUUUUCAAUCUCCUUUAUUGACUCUUACCACUUUUCAAUCUCCUUUAUUGACUCUCUCUCUCUCUCUCUCUCUCUCAUAGAGAGUUACCAAAGGGUCUUAGGGGAACCUUUGGUGUUCACCUUGCAAAGGUUGGACUAUGCUGCGUUACAUGAUAAUCGUAUGGCCACUCAUGGGUGGAAAUGGGGCCUUCAUGAAACUUGGGAACUUUUUAACAACAAAAAACCAAUUUGAGUAGAAGCGCGAUUAAAAUUAAAAUUUGAGAUUUUUUUAGGAAAUUAGCAAAAUUCAUACUUCCAUCAACAAUCCAAGGUGUCUUAAACCGAAGAAAAUGCAAUCUUUUGUAAGUUAAAAACCUAUUUUUGCAAUAUUUCACCAAGAAAAAAUCCACGCUGCUUCAAAAGUAUUUUAGUAGGAUUUCGUAUAUCCAACAAUUAUAGAAAUAGGUGAGUUCGUGCAUAAAACAUGGCGACAUGAGGAUGCUCAUGUUGCGAUAUAUUAUUUGCACAAUAAAUGUGUAAUCAUAGAAAGGGAGGGGCGGCUAUUAUUGCAAUAUGAAAUUAGUAAGAUUAUAAUGAUACUCCUUACCAAAAACAAAGAAGAAGAAGAUUAUAAUGAUAUUGAGAAACAAUAAUGAUAUAUUAAUGUAUGUUUUCAUUUUAUUGACUUUGUGAAUAAGAUUUCAUUUAUCUAUUGUCACACCCCAACUCUAUAAAAUAAGGAAAACAACACCACCAUGGUCUUGCCCAAAGGAUGCAACUUCAUAUUAUCAAAUAUAUAUAUAUAUAUAUAUAUAUAUAUAUAUAUUCAUCUAUAUACUUGAUAAAUAGUGAGUUGGUUACAAAAUCAAGGGUUCUGAAUUUUUUUUUUUUAAAAUGUGUGAGUGUAUCUCCAAACUCAAUUAAACCCCACAAAUAUCAUCCUAGACAUAUAUGAGUAUCUAAACUCACAUCCAAAUCCAAAUGCAAAAAAUUUCUCGCCAAUAAUGCUUGCGUCCUAUUUUAGCUUACCUGAAAAAAGAUUUGGAAUGAAUAGUGUGAGUAACCACAGCUUAGUGACUAAUCCAAAUCUCUUCUAAGUAGAUCAAGCAUCUAUUGUGAUAAAGCAAUAACAAAGAUUCAUCUAUCCAAAUCCAAUAUAUAAUGUACAAUAAAAUCAAAAUAUGAGGAAUCACUUUAACGCAACUUUAGACUAAUCAAUUAUAUUCAUUCAAAUUUCAAAUACCAAAAGGGUGGUACACGCUCCAUCUGGUUUUAUGCAACAAAUAUAUUUUAAACAUUACUUUUUCGUUUAAAAAAAUCAUAUGGUGCAUUGUUUUUCACAACUUAUAAUAUUUCAAUUCACAAUCACUUUCAAGACACGAGCUUACAAAUUUGUAGAGGAUAACAACCACCCCUAAAUAAAAUCCAAAUUGAAAGUUCGCCACUUAAAAAGUUUCAAAGUCAUAUCAAAGAUUAACUAAAUGUCAAACUUACAUGUGAACUAACCUCAACUAAAACUUUAGUAGGCGAUACCGUAUUCUUGAGUCAAAUCGUCCACUUGACAAAAGAUCUUCAAACAAUUACUUUGCAAACAGAGUCAACCUCAUCUUAAAACUCCAAUUCAAGCGAGCUUACUUUUAGUAGAAAACUCUUUUGAAUUACUAAAAGACCAUAAAGCCAAAAGAUGAUUGGAGAAGGGUGAAAUCCAUUGCCAAAUACAGUAAUUUGAAAACCAUUUUAGUAGCAUGCAAAAUUUUAAAAAUUUAUCCCAAUCAAAUUGCAAACCUAAAUUGACUUUCCUGAAGUCCUACUUUGCACUACCCUAAAAUUUCUUUACAAUAUAAUUUCAUAGCUUAAAAACCUCUAAAAUCAACCUAGCAACAUAGAACCCAUACCAAACCUAAUUUAUAGUUUAAUUACGAAAGCUCCUUUAAUUAGAUAAAUAAAAGUUUCAAAUCCUUACCAAUUGCUAAGAAACAGAAUUAAUCCGGUGCAUACAGCAAGAGCUCCCUUUAUCUCCUCUGUCUUUUUCUCGGUCUCUCCAUACUCUACUUUCCUUCUCUCUUUUUUUCGUGUUCUUCUUGGCCAGACUGUUUUCAAUUUUUUUCACUCUUUUUGCUCUAGUAAUUCCCUUACCACCACAGCAACUGAAGCAAGACCAAAGAAAGGCCUUUAACGAUACACUUGGGCUUGGCCUUUGUGUUUUGCUCUUAUUUAUUAUUUUUUGCCAGCCCGGUUAUUGAAACUUUAUUCUUGUACAUGAAUCUUCCAGGUAUUACCUAUUGAUGUAACUAUGCGGACACACUGUACCGAGGAAAGGGAAAGGGGAAUUCAAUUGGCACCGGACAAAGUCUAUUUUUUUUUUUUUUUUGGAAAAAAUCACUAAAAAUCCAAAAUUUUGACCAAAGUGAUAAAUUUAUCCUAAGUUUUUUUUUUUUUUUUUGUGAUAUGAAAUAUCCCAAACUUUACCAAUCGUGAUACAUUUAUCUUAAAAAAAAAAAUUAUGACACAAAAAAUCAUGAACUUGUAUCAGUGUAACACAUUUACCCUUAAUUAUAGAACAUUUUGAUAUUUUACUUUUCUUUUUUUCUUCUUCUUCUUCUCUAGGGAAGAGAGUAGAAGAAAAAAGGGCAAAAAAAAAAAAAAAGGAAAAGCAGAAAAAAAAAGAAAAAGAAAAGAAGAAGAUGAAAAUGUCUUUAGUGGGGUAAAUGUGUCACGAUUAGUAAAGUUUGGAGAUUUUCAUGUCAUAAAAAAAUUUGAGGUAAAUUUGUCAUUUUAAGUAAAAUUUGAAGUUUGUGGCGGUCUUUUUUUUUUUUUUUUUUCCUAACACAAGAAAAAAUAAAUAGGAAAGUUCAGGGACAUGCUUCGAAGAGCGAAACCAAGAAUCUCAUGAAUGAUAGCCACGUGGUUCUUUCAUGCAGAGUGGCAUUAUUGUUAUUAGGUGAAGGCUUAUGAAGAGCGAAAUCAAGUAGGGGCAUCAUUCGUCUUCUCUUGUGAAGAGCAUAAGCGAAAUCCCUGGUUCCGAGAUCUCUUAUGAAGAGCGAAACUUAUGAAAGGCGAAGUCCCUGAUUCCGAGUUCUCUUACGAAGAGUGAAGCUUAAGAAAAGCGAAAGAGCACUCGCUCAUCUCAUCGCUUUUCAUGAGAUCACUCGCUCGGAUUCAUAUUCAUGGCUUUUCAUAGAGCACUCGCGCGGAACCAAUUCAUCGCUUUUCAUAAGAGCACUCGCUCGGAACCAUGAGUUGCGCUUUUCAUAAGCUUCGCUCUUCAUAAGAGAACUCGAACCACCAACGAUGUCCGCCAUGGAUUUUACCUCCAUCGUCUCUAUCCUGAUCAACUUCAUCCAAGUGAAAUUCCAGGGGAAGUCGAUUUCACCAUUCGAAACUCACCCCGUUGCCACCGGCGUUGCCAUCUGCAGCCUGCUCCUGCAUUUCUUGUUGCUGCAUCUUGCUAAUCUGGCACCCCCGUCUAGCGGCCGCACUCCUUGCGAUGGAGCAUCGCACCUCCUCAUCGACUUCACUGGUUCGAUAUUGGUGGCUUCGCUCGCGUGGUUGCUGCUCCACGACUCCUCCCACUCCGUCCUCUGGUUGUUCGUACUGCUCCUGUUGCUUUCCGUGAGUCUGUUGCGCGGCCUCUUUCAAAAACUUUGGCUUUGGUUUUAUGGCAAAAUCUUUGCCAUGAUUUUCCAUGUGGCGCCAUCUCGUCUAUGGCAUGGUGGAAGAGCGCUGCCAUAUCCGCCGCGCCUGGUUGUGGAUCUGCAUUUGUUGCUGGAAGUCUGAGCGCCCUAGUUGUUCGACUUACUGUUUCCUGUUUGGAAAAACUAAUUUUAAUCGUAUGACUACUUUAAAUCAAAUUAUUAGUACUUUAGGAAGCUAAGCUAGUUUUGUAUAAGGUGCACUCGGGCCUUUCUUCUGUUUAUCUGAAUACAUGUCCCCAAGCAUUCGACAUCAUUGAAUUAUCUCCAUUGGCCGUAAGAAAGGAGAGCAGGGAACAAGUAAAAACCACCAGUGUAUCUUUUCUAUUCCUAGCUGUGAACGGUGAUGGACCUUGUAGCGACUAGAUCCGAUUAAGAUAGGCUUAUUCCUAAAAAGAAAUUGGGAUCUAUUGUUAUCAAAGAGAUUGACGAUGAUAAACAAUUGUUAUGACAUAGUAGAAUGGUCUUUUCUAGUAGCCAUAUAAGGUGUAGUAAUUGUUCUUGAGGUUAUAGCUUCUGACCUCUUUGAAAGCAUUGCUGAGUGUUGCAGAUUUCCUUCUUUUUCUCUUUGUAGCUUUCUGUUUGGCCAGUGGAUGGACACGUAUCAUUUUACAUUCUUUGCUGGUGUACUAUGGUUUUGCUCAUUUAUCCAUAUGAACUGGGAUAAACUGAUGCCUUGGAGACGCGAGCACAGCUACAAUUUCAAAAGCUUUGAUCUGACACUAACAUCAUUGACUGAUCCAAAUUAAAAUGAAAGAUGUCAGCUUUUUCCAUCACUAUCACAUAUACACCAUUACUGCUUACUAGCUAUUCCGAUGAUAAUAUAGUUGUAGUUUGUCAUUGCAGAAUGUGGGAGUCAUUAUAUCAUAUAGUCUUCAUUUGACCUCUGAGAGAUGACAACUAGAUCUUUGCUGUGGCAAAUGCGUUAACUUGCAGUCAAAGACUAUGUUGUCUCGCUGGCUGAUUGCUGCAGCCAAGGUGAGAAAAGAAUGCUGAAAAGUUGAUUUUUUUCCAUAGGCUUUAGUUCGAGAUUACUGAAUUUUGGCAGACUGUAGAUGUUAAAACCGAACUUUUCCCAUCUUCGUGUGCUAUAGAAUUUACAGUUCAUGUAUGCAAAGCUAGUUGGAUAGAAUGCAGACGCUCGAGACAAGUCUGUACAAACUACACACAUUUGAUGUCCGUAUCUGAGGAAAUAAUUAGACCAGCAAGCUUCUUGACAAGUUGAUUCAAAAUCAAAUUAUGCAUCCCAAUGUUAAUACUUUGACAUAUGACAGAGCACACAAGUCUUGCACUUCAAAAAUAUGAUAUUUAUCUGCUUUUUCUGCAGAGAACAACAAUCUUGGAUGUCAACUGUAGCAAUGUGUCUAAUUGACUUGCAUAAGAACGUGAGUUGAAACAUCAAACAGGAAGGUAGGUUCUCCUGACUCCCGAAUUCUUUUUUUCUUGAUAAGGGCCUCACCAACACUGCAACUACAUGCACUUCACUUGUGGCUUUUAGAGACCAGCAUUGCACAUCUUUUCUUGAGUACCUAUUACGUGCUCAUUCUUUUCAGGUCUAUCCACAAGCCUAAAUGUUUAUUGCCGAAAACGAUUCCCUGGAGAAUUAUCAUGAUACUAAGUCAAAUAAUGAAGCUAAGUAGGUAAUGUACAGUGUAACUUAAGACUGCAGGACUGUCAAAAGCUUCUUCUAAUUCAGUAGCAGAUACUUCAAAAUGUUAAUGUUAAAUGGAGGCCAAAUGUUACUGAAGAGACUGAAAAUAAUUCACCAAUUAUUAGAGAAUAAUGGGGAGAUGUUUAGCCUUUUUUUUUUCGAGGUUACUUAAGAUUCCACUAGACCAAAAGAUUUGGAAGUUUCUUCCCUACUGGAGAGAAACAGAGGGAUGCUCAUGAAAAAUGGCACUUCUACUAGCAUUUUCAGACACCAAUUCUUCAUUAUCAAAUUGCCACCUGUCAAACGUUGUCAUAUGGUCGUUUUAGUCUACAAAAUAAAGUCAAAAUUGUUUUUGAGACUAAAGCUUCUGAACUCUUUGAAAACAUCACAAGCAUCACAGUUUUGCUUUUCUUUUUCUGGCGAGUCUCUUCGUGACUUUCUGGUCAGCCAGUGGAUCUAUAUGUGUUGUUUUACACACUUUUUGAUGGUAUACAAUGGUUUUGCUCAUUUAUCCAUAUGAACUAGGAUAAAUAGAUGCCUUGGAGACACGAGCACAGCUGCAAAGCAGAAACUUUGUUCUAUCAUCAUGGAGUUAUCCAUAUCAAAAUGAAAAAUGAUAGUUUUUGAUCUCUGUCCCAUAUGCAUGGGUACUGCUUACUAGCUAUUCUGAUGAUAAUUUUGUUUGAGUUUGUCAUUGCAGAAUGACAAGUGGUUACAUCAUAUAGUCAGCACUUUACCUCUUAGAGAUGACAACUCGAUCUUUGUUGCUGCGAAUACAUCAACUUGCUUCAGCAAAUAAAAUUUAUGAGGGCAGCGAAUUUUUUAGUGAUGUAUCCUGUAUGUAUCCGGAAGCUCUUGGAUCUGAGUAAUGCAAUCUAAGACUAUGUUGUCUCACUGGCUGAUAGGUUUUCGUCCAGCAGCUUGAUUUGUUGCUUCAGUCAGAGAUUCAAGUUGCCAGGGCCAAGGUGAGAAAAGAACACUGAAAGAUAGAUUUCUUUUUUGGGAGGCUGUAGGUCAAUAUAACCAAAUUUUGGUGGACCGCAGAUGUUAGAACCAAACUUUUCCCAUCUUCAUGUGCUGGAAAAGAAUUUUUACAGUUCAUGAAUGGAAAGCCAUAUAGAUAGUAUGCAAAACUUGAGACUAGUCUGUCUUGAGGCUAGUCUGUACAAACUACACACACCUGAUAUUCAUUUUUCGAGGAAAUAAGAAGACCAGCAAGCUUCCUGUCAAGCUGAUUUAUAAUCAAAUUAUGCAUCCCCAUGUAGUACUCCAACUCAUAACAUAAAGCACGUAAGUCUCAUACUAAAAAAUAUGAUAGUUAUCUGCUUUUGCUGCAGAUAACAAUAUCGGAUGUCAAGUGCUAGCAGUGAUUCCAAUUGACUUGCCUAAGAGCAUAAGUUAAAACAUCAAACAGAAAGGUGGUCUCCUGCCUCCCCAAUUCUUUUCUUCUGGAUAAGUGCCUCCCCAACUCUGCAAUUCUGCGCACUUCAUUUAGUUCAGCCAUAGUGGGGUCUUUAGGUACUUCCAUUACUUAAAAAAAACAAAAAAAUUGGCCUUACCACAUUUUCUGUUGAUAAUAACUUAUUGUGGAGAAUGAGUCUAUAUAUAAUGUUAAAAAAAGAAAAAAGAACAGGGCUAUUCACCACAUCAUAUGGCAGCAUCGUGUAUCCAUUUGUUGGCUAAAGUCAUUUUGGCGAGAGAGCACUUCUGGGAUGAAAGCAUACUGUGGGUAACACAAAUUCGAUAUGAGUAAUAAAUGCUCAAGGGCAUUCAUUGUAGACAGGAGCACCCAGAUUCAAGUCUUUUUCCCUAAAAAGUUACAAUAGUACUUACCGGCAUCAUCUUCAAUGAAUGUAGCAUAGAGCGUGAGUUGACGGAGGUGAUGGCAAUCUUUCAUUGUUGGUGGUAAUUGUGGAAGGCAAUCAUGAUUGACAUUAAGAUUACACUGCACCAAAACGUGAAAGUUGAAUGUGCAAAAUUUACCAGACACUAUACGCAGGUCAGGUGAUCUAAUAUAAGAAUGAGCAUAUGCUCGUGGAGGUGAGGUUUCAAAGUGGGCUUUUUAACAGUGCAUGGAAUGUUGAAGUUGAAGCCGCAUAUUGCGCAGAGAAAGACAGCAUCAACGCUUUUCACAACAUGCGUCAGUGAGUGUUCUUCCCUGAUGCGGGAAGAAGUGGAUGUGCCAGGGUGAACGGGGUGUUGCAUAACCGAGGGCAAUUCAGCACAUGAUUUAUGGAGCAGAUGAGAGCAGCCUUGCUCCAGCAGGUCAGUAGAUCUAAUAUAAGAGUGAGCAUAUGCUCAUGGAGGUGAUGUUUGAAAGUGGGCCUUUUAAAAGUGCAUGGAAUAUUGAAGUCGAAGUCGCAAUUUGCACGGAGAAAGACAGUGUUAACGCUCUUCACAACAUGCAUCAGUGAGUGUUCCUUCCUGAUACAGGAAGAAGGAUGUGCCAGGGUGAACGGGGUGUCGCAUAACUGAGGGCAAUUCAGCACAUGAUUUAUGGAGCAGAAAAGAGCAGCUCUGCUCCAGGCAGUGAUACCUUUGGACUUAUUCAUCACAAGCCUUGCACACAACAUCCUUCAUGUGACCCAGCUCCAGCGGCAGCGGAUGAUUGUGAAUUGGAGAAAAGAAGCGGCAAUCCAGACAAGCAUAGACCUCACCUAGUAUGCUCCAUUCACAAGCUUUGCACUCAAUUCUGGUUUUAAGCUUCACGUGGAAGGACCCCAGUCGAUGCUGAUGGGCAAAAUUUUAAAAAACUGAGCCUUCCUCGCCCUCAGAUCUUGUGAACAUAGAAUUAUAGCCACAGAGUCUAUAUCAAGACUGAAAUUGCAUUCGCUGACCAUAUGGCAGGCACUACAUUGGAGGUCUACCGAUUGAUCAAAAGCAAGAGAGAGGGUGAUCAUGGAGAGACGGGCAUUGUGUCUCUGGGGAGAGAUUCGGCGCAGCUCUCAUGGGGAAAGAAUCUACACGUGUAGAAUCGAUAGACCUCCUCACAGGCUUCGCAUUUGAUUCUACUUUUCGUCCCAAGAAGAUCGUGUGAGGGGAUGCUAAUGAGCAAAAUGUUGGAUGGUCGCAUUCUCAGAAUCCUCAUCAGGCUCUGUUGUGACUAGGCAGGUGAAGCAAUAUCGGGCCGUGCAGCAACGCUUAACCAUCCGAAUGGCAAGAAGGAAGCCUGCUCACAUGCAUGGCAACUCCGACGAUCCUUGUCAUCGUUGCCACCUAGGCGGUCCAGUCGGGGUAGCAGGUGAGACGGGUGUCCUUGGGCGGACAGAAUGCUAAAUUCAGUGUGACUAGACAAUUCACAGCAGUGGGCUGAGCUGCAGAUCGGAGACCAGCACGCGAGACAUUCCAAGCAAGUGCAACCUUCUUCGCUCAGGUUUCGGAGAUUCAAUACAUGAUCACCAGGGCAAAUUAGGAAAUAAAAAAGCGUUUUGAAUGGAGUUAUAAUUACCGACCAGAAAAAGAAAAGAAAUGAGUUAUAAUUGCUGAGUUACAUCAACACGAAGCGAAUAAUGUGAAAUGAAUCGUACCCUACUUCCAUAUAUUAUUUGACUUUUGUAUUUCAGUGUUAAUCUGUACAAUUUUUUCUACAUAUAUGCUUUAAUGCAAUAGUUAAAAAAAACUAAAGUGGCCCAUGAAAAGUUUCAUUUCAUUUUUCAUUUAGUAGUCAGCUGCAAUUAUAAUAUAAUUAUACAUAAAUAACCGAUAAAUAAAACUCCAAACAUUGGAUAAGGUCAUAAAGGUGAAAUGCACCUUCGGCUUGUCUAUACAUUUAUUAGAAAGUUCUUACCCAACUUAAUAUAAAAGUAAAUUACUUAAGACAAUAUUGCGAUAACAGUUUUCUAUGUUGCUAAUUAUUUAUUAAUCUAUAAAAAUACAUGUUUGGCGGCAAUCUUGAAUUCCAGGAUAUCGAAAAAGAGUUAUAUUGAUGCUCCAUAAGCUAUGACGAUAAGGUUCACCAAAGCAAUAAUUGUAAUUAAAUCUGUAAUUUUCUAUUAAAAUCUCUUAAGAGAACUCGAUUUCAUUUGCAAAAAUUAAAUAAUUCUACCCAUUGGUUAUUCUUGAAAUCAAAAUAUAGAUUGAAGUUAUUAUAGACCCAGUUUAUAUGUUUCCAUCCUACGAUUUCGGCUAGUUGAACCAAAUUUAGAUCCGGGGUCAAAAUUUGGCGUUUGGAUAAACUAUAUGAAGACUAAGACCCAAGAGAAACUUUCUAGAAAGAAAAAACAACACAAAGAGGUACUCUUCCGAGUAAUUAUAAGUAAACCUAUCCAAAUGAUAGAAUGCAUUGCAUUUGGAUGAAAUCAAGAUUAUGAUGCAUGCGCAUUUUUCAUCUAUGGUGAUCUCUUCAUUCCACCAAUUUGUACAUUCCUUUUGCUAAAAUUUUGAAUUUAUUAUACUAAUCAAAGUUACGAUUGGUCUAACCUUGAUUUUGAAUCGAGUCACGUCCUUUUUCUGAGGCAGCCAAAAAAAAAAAUGAGGAGAGAAUGAUCUCUUUUCUCCUACGAGGGUGUUUGUGCGUACAUAUUACGAGGGUGUUUGUGCGUACAUAUAAUCCUCUUUUCAGUGUCUUUUAAGGUGUUUGUGCAUACAUAUAAUCCUCUUUUGAGCGACUUUUCAAUUUCCUCUCUCCCCUCAAACCCCACUCCCCCCUUCCUUGUGAUGGAGUUUCCAAAGGGUCUUAGGGGAGGCUUCAAUGUUCACAAAGAUAUGGUUGGACCAUGUAGCAUUAUAUGAUAAUCCUAUGUCUACUCGUGGGCAAAAAUGGGAUCAUUGUGAGAGUUGCGGAUUUUCUGUUAAACAAGAAAAAAAAAUUGCCGUGAAAUUGAGAUUUUGUUAAAGUCAUGCUCUGUGACACUCUAAAAUUUCAUUACAACAUAAUUUAAUGGCUUAAAAACGUCUAGAAUCGACCCAGCAACAUAAAAAUCCGUACAAAGCCUAUUUUACUGUUUAACUACGGAAACUCCUUCAAUUAGAUAAAUAAAAGUUUCGAAUCCUUAUCGAUUGCUAUGAAAUAGAAAUAAUCUGGCUUGACCAAGCCUCUCAAACAUGCACGCAGUGAGAGUCCCCUUUUGUCUCCUCUCUGUCUUUUUCUCAGUUUGUCCAAACUCUGCUUUCCUUCUUUUUUUGUCUUUUGGGUUCUUCUUGGCCAUACUCUAUUUUCUCUCUUUCUGUUCUUGCAAUUCCCUUGCGACGGCAUCAACAGAAGCAAGAUCAAAGGAAGGGCUUAAACGAGACACUUGGGCUUGGGCUUCAUGUUUGGCUCUUAUUUAUUAUUUUUUGCGAGCCCGGUUAUUGAAACUUUAAUCUUGCACAUAAAUCUUUAUAGGUUAUUACGUAUUGAUGCAAACUACGCGGAUUGAGAAUAAGGUCUUGGGUCAUCUUGCGCAGCAGCCCUAAUCCCCUCCCCUCCUCGAGCUCGCGUCCGUGUUGCGCCCGCUUUAGUAGAAAUCUUAGCAGCAGCGCAAUCACCCGGUAGCUACCCAUUGGAAGACCGAGUUACCCAAGUCGUCUUCUCACUUUCCAAUUUUGCGAUAUGCAAAUGUUCAGUAAUGGGUCUGGUGAGACCUCGGGCCUUGCCAACCUCUAGCGAAGUAUACUCAUUGAAUUUUUUUGAUAAUUUUCCUCUGAAAAGUCAAAUUAGAGUUUUCGCACCAACGGCGGAGCACGUUUUUUAAUGCAUAAGUUUAUAACCACCCCUGACUCCUCUCUCUCUCUAUCUUUUCAAUAUUAUUUAUUAUUUAUUUGUCUAAGAUAAUAAUAAAUUGAGAUUUCUACUUUUUUUCUAGUUAUCAAUUUAUCCAUAAAUGUGCAUGUUCUACAACAAUCUUGACUUCCACAUUAUUGAAAAACAAUUACAUAUGAUAUGAUGCUCUGUAAGGCAUGUGGAUAAGGUUCCCCAAAGUAGUAGUUACAAUUAAACUUGUAUUUUUAUUAUCUUUGAAUAAAACUCAAUUUCAUUUUCAAAAAUUUAAUAAAUGUCCACAUUGUUUAUCUUGAAAACAAAAUAUAGAUCUAAGUUGUUAUAGACCUAGUUCACAUAUACAACCUACGACUUCCACUAGUUAGGCUGAAUUUAGAUGCAUAGGUCAAAAGUUGGCAUUUGUAUAAAUUAUGACGAGUAAGACCCAGGAGAACAUUUCAAGAAAGAACAAACAAAAUAGGGAGGUACUCUUCCGAGUAAUCAUAAGUAUAAUAAGAAAUGAUAGAAAGAACUACAUUUGGGAAAAGGAAAACCACAUCGGUGUAGAGCUCAUAUAAAAAGGUUCUUGGAAGUCUUUCUAUCCUAACCUAACUUUACUAGGAGCUAUAAUGGUAAGAUUGUGAACUAAGUAGCAUCACCAUUGACACGCGACACGCAACACAUCAUUUCUCAAAAAUAGAGAAUUUUCACAUGUUGGGACAUGUUGUAUGUAAAAUGAUAAUUUUUUAUUCAUUAUUUUAAUUUGAUAAAUUCAAUUGCAUUCCAUUCCAAUAAUCCAUAAAAGUUGAAGGAAGAAAAAACAAACAAUCCACAUUCUACUAUUAAAUUUAACAUUUAACAAAAUGUCAAAAUAAUAAUAAUAAUAAUAAUACACAUUCCACCAUCAAAUAUAACAAGAAGUCUUUAUUUCCCCUUUUAUUUUUAUAUUUAUAUUUUGACCUAUCAUUUAUUGAAAUUUUUGAAAUUAACCCCAGAAUCACGUGUCGAAAUUCCAUACUCGUAUGUCAGGAGAGUUGAUUACGUCUCAGAUUUUUCGACACUCAUUCACCACAUGUUAGAACGUGUCGUAGUGUCGGACAAGACACAAAUGCUUCAAUGCUUCUUAAAUUGUGAACCAAAUUAUAGUGGUACAAUUGCUUUUGCUGCCAAUGUCAUCUCAGUAGCAAAAAAGCCAUGGAAAGAUCAUGAGGUACAUUACAUACUUCAAAACACCAACUUACCCGAAACAAGUAAAUUGCAACGAAUAUCAGAACUCCUGGGUCAAAUUAUUCCCCUCUGACUUAUCAGUCAUGAGGAAAUGAAAGGCAUGAGGAGAAUCAGAAAUGCAAUGUGGUCAUAGCAAAACCAAUCGCAUAAUGACAAGUUAACAGGGAACAUGCAAGAGCAAUUUAGCAUAAAUAUUGCAGUACUUUCAGCUAGUUUCGGGAAACGAAACACAUUACAGAGAACAUGAAGCAUCCCAGAACGUCUCCUUCUGUUUUGUUGUCUACACUGCAUAAUCUGAAUAAUCAUAAUUUACGGCUUCAUUACGAAAAUUCCUGCACUUAGAUAAAUAAAAGUUGUUGCUACCAAAUAGAAGUAAUCCGUCUUGUCGAGUUCUUCCAAGCGUGCAUGGAGCGAAAGCCCCCUUUGUUUCCUCUCUCUUUUUCUCCGUUUCUUUCCUUUAUUUCUUUUCUUUUCUUUUCUUUUUUUGUUCUUCUUGGCCAGGCUCUGUUUUCUCUCCUUUCUGCUCUUGCAAUUUCCCUUGCAAUGAAGCAAAGACUAAAGAAAGGGCUCAAACAAAACACUUAAGCUUGGGCUUAAGCUUGGGCUUAAUGUUUUGCUCUUAUUUAUUAUUUUUUGCAAGCCCGUUUCUUGCAACUUUAUUCAUGAAGAUACAUAUUUUAGGUUACUAUGUACUGAUGGAUCCUAUGUGGAGUGAGGAUAAGGUCACUCGAAAUUAAAGUUAGCAUAUCACUUUUUCGAGAAAAAUCAUAAAUCUAUUAUAUUUGUGUCAAUUUGAAUUAGUGUCAAUUCAGUCUCUCCCCCCCCUUGGGUCAAAGAAGACCAAGAAAAUCUCGAUUCAACAUAAGCUUGGGGUGCUAAUAAGGAGGACCUUGCUGGGUUCGUUCAAUCAACAAGCCUUAACGCCCUUGAGACGGGAUCAACUCCUUUUAUAAAUAUGAUACCACCAAAGUCAAGCAACACUGACUUCUUCCUAUUACUACGCUCCGUACCCUGGCUAGAGAGCAUGAAUGACUCUUCCCAGGAACGAUCAGAUGCAAACCUGUUAAAAGCGCCUUUCCCAUGUGGAAGAAGUUACUUGUGUGCCUUAUCCUUUUAACUAAUUUUGAUCGAAAAUUACUGAUAUGGACAUUAGUUGUCCUACAUGGCAUGCUUAGCCCUAAUAUGGAUAAUUUUUUAUUUAUAGUAAUUCAAUUUUUUUAUUUGUUAUUAUUAUUUUUUUCUUUAUUUCUUUAUUCUUCCUUGGCCAUUGCCUGGUGGGUUGGCCUCACCUAGGUGAGGGUCGCCAUUGCCCACCACAGGCUAGGCUAGGCUAGGCCAGGCGAGAGCAAUCCUAGGCAAGGCCACCUUGGCUUGGGUGAGGCCUUACGAGGGUUAGCCUCGCCUAGGCUAGAUUUGGUGAGGCCAUCACGCUCAGCUAUUGCCUAUGAUCAACAGAAGGAGGAAGAAAGAAAAAGAAAAAAAAAUUAGAGAAUAAAAAAAUAUAUUAAAUUAUUAUGAAAAUUUUUCCAUAGCCGUCCAUAUCAAUAUCUAGUCAAAAUUAAUUAGAAUGAUUAAAUUGAUACAAUUAUAAGAUUUAAGAUUAAAUGAAUAUAAAUGCGAUAGGCUUAUGACUUUUCUCUCUUGUCAAAAUAACCAAAUAAAAAAUAAAUCCGAAAGUUUAAGGCCUUCGUCCUCUCCAUAGUGCGGUGAGAAGUGAGGGUAGGGACAUCAUUUGAUAUUUAUUUUUUCAUGGAAGGUGGCACGGACAUCAAUUUAAUAAUCUUUCUUUUGACAUCAAUCUAAUACUCUUUAUUUUUGAAGUCCAUUCCAAUCAAGGACGUCCAAAUGCCCUUUUUCCAAGUUCCCUUUCAAAAAUUCUAAGGACGCAACAGUUAUCUUCCUUUGAAAAAUGUUAAGGAUCCUUAACAUUUUUCCAAGGGAGUCAUGAUUAAAGGACAUCCUACUCCAAAAGAAGUCGGAAAAGGAUGUCGGGAUGUCCUUUAAUCAUGACUCGAUGUCCUUUAAUCAUCACUCUCUUUCACAUAGAUGGAAAGUAUAAAUAAUGUCCCCGUCUUUGCCCCUCCUCACGGCGCCAUGGAUAUCCCCUCCAUUGUCUCUGUCCUGGUCAACUUCAUCCAGGUGCAAAACCAGGGGAAGUCGAUUUCACCCUUUGAGACCCACCCCGUCGCCACCCGCGUCGUCAUCUGCAGCCUCCUCCUGCAUUUCUUUUUCGGGCGUGUCGCUAAUCAGGCACCACCUUCUCGCGGCCGUGCCCCUUCUUGCGAUGGAGCAGCACGCCUCCUCUUCCACUUCACCGGUUUGACAUCGGUGUUUUUGCUCGCAUGGUUGCUGCUCCACGACUCCUUCCACUCCGUCCUUUGGUUCGUGCUGUUCCUGUUGCUUUCCAUGCGUCUGCUGCAGGGCCUCAUUCGAAAACUUUGUCUGUGGUUUUACCGCAAACUCGUUCUCAUGAUUAUCCGUGCGGCGUGGUCUCGUGUAUGGCAUGGUGGAAGAGUGCGGCCACAUUUUCUGCGCCCGGCCGUGGGUCUCCGUUUCACGCCGGAAGUCUGAGCGACGUAGUUGUUCGACUCUUCCCUGCUUGGAUUCAAUAAAUUUAAUUGUAUCACUGCUUUAAUACAAAUUAUUAGUACUCUAGGAAGCUAAGCUAGUUUUGUAUAAGAGGCAACUCAAGUCUUUGUUCUCUUUAUGGGAAGCCUUAAGGAGUCCCCAAGACUUCGACAUCAAAUUAUCUCUCGACCAUAAGAAAGGAGAGCAGGGGACAAGUAAAAAUCACCUAUGUAUCGUUCCUAAUCCUAGCCAUGAACGCCGAUGGACCUUGUAGCAGCUAGAUCCAAUUAAGAUAGGCUAAGCCCUCAAAAGAUAUUGGGAUCUAUUGUUAUCGAAGGGAUUGAAGAUACCUCAACAAUUGUUACGAAGAGAAGAAUGGCCGUAUCUAGUAGCAUAUAAAGGGUAGAUAUUGUUCUUGAGGUUAAAGCUUCUGACCUCUUUGAAAGCAUUGCGAGUGUUGCAAAGUUUCCUUCCAUUUCUGGUGAAUCUCUUUGUAGCUUUCUGUUUGGCCAGCUGAUCAAUAUGUGUCAUUUUACAUUCUUUGCUGGUAUACUAUGGUUUUGCUCAUAUAUCCGUAUGAACUAGGAUAAAUAGAUGCCCUGGAGACACGAGCGCAGCUGCGAUUUCAAAAGCCUUGUUCUAACAUCAUUGAGUGAUCCAAAUCAAAAUGAAAGAUGUCAGCUUUUUCAUCUCUGUCCCAUAUGCACCACUACUGCUUUCUAGCUAUUCCGAUGAUGAUAAAGUUGUAGCUUACCAUUGCAGAAUGAGAGUUGUUGCAUCAUAUAGUCUUCAUUUUACCUCUGAGAGGUGACAAUUAGAAAUUUGCUGUGGCAAACGCGUCAACUUGCAAUCUAAGGCCACGUUGUCUCACUGGCUGAUUGGUUUUUGGCUGGGAGCUUGAAUUGUUGCUCCAGUUGGACAUUCAAGUUGCCAGGGCCAACGUGAAAAAAGAAUGCUGAAUGUAGAUUUUUUUUUCUUUCAAGAGGCUUUAGUUCAAGAUAACUGAAUUUUGGCAGACUGUAGAUGUUAGAACAGAACUUUUCGCAUCAUCAUGUGCUGGAAAAGAAUUUCCAGUUCAUGAAUGCAAAGCUAGAUAGAUAGUAUGCAGAAGCUCAAGACUUGUCUGUACAAACUACAGACAUCCAAUGUUCAUAUUUGGAAAGAAUUAGACCAGCAAGCUUCCUGAUAAAUUGAUUCAUAAUCAAAUUAUGCAUCCCAAUGUUUGUACUUUGAUGUAUGACAUAAAGCACAAAAGUCUUCCAGUUCAAAAAUAUGACAUUUAUCUGUUUUUACUGCAGAGAACAACAAUCUUGGAUGUCAACUGUAGCAGUAAAUCCAAUUGACUUGUAUAAGAACGUAAGUCAAAACAUCAAACGGAAAAGUAGGUUCCCCUGACUCCCAUAUUCUUCUCAUAUUGGUAAGUCCCUCCCCAAUUCUGCAACUGCAUGCACUUUGCUUCCGGUUUUUGGAGACCAGCAUUGUGCGUCUUUUCUUGAGUACCUCCAAUUAUGUGCUCACUUUUUCCUGCAGAAUUUUCAUUUUUUUUCAUCUAGUUCAACAAUAGCAGGGUCUUCAGGUACUUGCACUAUUCCAGCGACUUGUAUUAAACACUAUUUCGUAUUAGCGCAUUUUCUGUUGAUUCUUACUUAUUGUGGAGAUGAGUCUAUAUAUGAUGUUAAAAAGGAACAGGGCUAUUCACCACAUCGCAUGGCAGCAUCUUGUAUCCAAUUUUGGCUGAAGUCUGUUUAGCAAGAGAGCACUACACUGUGAUACAAGCGCACCAUGGUAAAACGCAUUGGAUAUGAAUUAUCAAUGGUCCGGGGCAUUCAUCACAGUCAUAAGCACCCAGAUUUGUGUCCCUCAUUGCAAAGGGCACAAUAGUACUACUCACUGGUAUUAUCUUCGAUGAACAAAGCAUAAAGCGUGAGUUGAUGGAAGUUAAUGGCAAUCUUUUACUGUAGUGGAAGGCAAUCUGUGAUGAUUAAGAUUGCAUUGCACACAACUGCAAAUGCCGAAGCUGCACAAUUUACCACAGACACUUCAUAGUAGCAUGGUUAGGUAGAUUUGAAAUAAGAAAGAGUAUAUGCUUGUAGAGGUGAUGUUUCGAAGUGCACCUUUUAAAAGUGCAUGAAGUGUUGAAGUCGUCACUUCCGUGCAGUGAAAGACAGAGCAUCCAUGCUCUUCACGAAAUAUGUCAACAGUGCUCCUGAUACGAGAAGAAAAAGGAUGUGCAGGGUGAGCAGGUCGUUGCAUCUGAGGGCAAUUCAGCACAUAAUUUAUGGAGCAGAGAAGAGCAUCUCUGCUCUGCAUGGCAAUAGGCUAAACAUUUGACACAUUCAACACAAGCCUUGCAUGCACCAUCCUUCAUAUGGCAGUUCCAGCGGCAGAGAAUGAUAGUGCAGUGAAGAAAGAAGAGGCAAUCAAGACAACCAUAGACCUCACCUAUAUGUUCCAUUCACAAGCUUCACGCCCGAUUUUGCAGUCAGGCUGUGUGUGGAAGACCAGUGGAUGCUGAUGGUCGAAAUGGUAAAAAACCAGUUCCUUUGUGCCUCCAGAAGGACAACUAGCUAUUCUGAUGAUAAUAUUGUUUGAGUUUGUCGUUGCAGAAUGACAGAUUGGUUACAUCAUAUAGUCAACACUUUACCUUUGAGAGGUGAGAACUAGAUCUUUGUUCUGGCGAAUGCGUCAACUUGCUUCAGCAAAUAGGAUUUAUAAAGACAGCGACUUCUUUUGUGAUGUAUCCUGCUUGUGUCCCGAAGCUCUUGGAUCUGAAUAAUGCAAUCUAAGACCAUGUUGUCUCACUGGUUGAUUGGUUUUCGUCCAGGAGCUAGAAUUGUUUCUUCAGUCAGAGAAUCAAGUUGCCAGGGCCAAGGUGAGAAAAGAACGCUGAAAUAUAGAUUUCUUUUUUGGGAGGCUUUAGUCCAACAUAACCGAAUUUUGGUAUGCUGCAGAUGUUAGAACGGAACUUUUCUCAUCUUCAUGUUCUGGAAAAGAAUUUACAGUUCAUGAAUGCAAAGCCACAUUGAUAGUAUGCAAAAGCUUGAGUCUAGUCUGUACAAACUACACCUGUCCGAUAUUCAUUUUUUGAGGAAAUAAUAAGACCGGCAAGCUUCCUGACGUGUUGAUUCAUAAUAAACUUAUGCAUCCCAAUUUUAGUGCAUUAAUUCAUAACAUGAAGCAAACAAGUCUCACACUCAAAAAAUAUGAUAUUUAUCUGCUUUUGAUGCAGAGAAUAACAAUAUUGGAUGUCGAGUGUUAGCAGUGAUUCUGAUUGACUUGCUUGAGAACGUAAGUUGAACCAUCAAACAGGAAGGCUGUCUCCUGCCUCCCCAGUUCUUUUCUUCUGGAUAAGUGCCUCCCCAACUCUGCAACUACAUGCACUUUGCUUGCAUCUUUUUGAGACCAGCAUUGCCCGUUAUUUUUUUUUUUUUUUUUCAGUACCCUCAGUUGUGUGCUCACUCUCUCUGCUUUUCCUGCAGAAUUGCAAUUUUUUCAUCUAGUUCGGCAAUAGCAAGGUCUUCAGGUACUUCCAUUACUUUAAAAAACAUUUGGUAUUACCAUAUUUUCUGUUGAUUAUAACUUAUUGUGGAGAAUGAGUCUAUAUAUGAUGUUAAAGAAAAAAAAAAGAACAGGGGCUAUUCACCACAUCACAAGGCAGCAUCUUGUAUCUAUUUGUUGGCUAAUUGUCAGUUUUGUGAGAAAGCACUUCUGUGAUGAAAGCAUACUGUGGGUAAAACGCAUUCGAUUUGAGUAAUCAAUGCACGGGCAUUCAUCGCAGCUGGAAGCACCUAGAUUCAGGUCUUUUUUCUCUCAAAGGUCACAAUAGUACUCACCAGCAUGAUCUUCGAUGGACGAAGUGUAAAGUGUGAGUUGAUGGAGGUGAUGGUGAUUUUUUAUCGUUGGUGGUAAUUGUGGAAGGCAAUCAUGAUUGACAUUAAGACUGCACUGCACAAGAACGUGAAAGUUGAAAGUGCAAAAUUUACCAGACAAUGCAUAGGAAGUGCGCAUCAGUAGAUCUAAUAUAAGAAAGAGCAUAUGCUCGUGGAGGUGAUGUUUGAAAGUGGGCCUCUUAAAAGUGCAUGGAAUGUUGAAGUCAAAGCCGCAUUUUGUGCAGAGAAAGACAGCGUCAAUGCUCUUCACGACAUGCAUCAGUGAGCGUUCCUUCCUGAUACGGGAAGAAGUGGCUGUGCCAGGGUGAACGGGGUGUUGCAUAACUGAGGGCAAUUCAGCAUAUGAUUUAUGGAGCAGAUGAGAGCAGCACUGCUCCAUCAGCAGUGGAUGAUCGUGAAUUGGAGAAAGAAGAGGCAAUCCAGGCAACCAUAGACGUCACCUAGUAUGCUUUGCACUCGAUUCUGGUUUCAAGCUUCACGUGGAGGGACACCAGUAGAUGCUGAUGGGCGAAAUGGCAAAAAAGCUGCGCCUUUCUUGCCCUCCAGAUCUUGUGAACCUAGACUAUAGCCGCACAGUCCAUGUCAAGGCUGAAAUUGCACUCGCUGCUGCAGCGGGAAACUAUAUGGCAGGCAUUACAUUGGAGGUCUACCAAUUGACGGAAAGCAAGAGAGAUGGUGAUCAUGGAGAGACGGGCAUUGCAUCUCUGGGAGGAGAUUUGGCGUAGCUCUCAUGGAGAAAGAAUACACACGUGUACCAUCGAUAGACCUCCUUGCAGGCUUCGCUUUUGAUUCUAUUUUUCGUCUCUGAGAUGAUGGGAUGUGAGCAGAUUCUAAUGAGCAAAAUGUUGGAUGGUCGCAUUCUCGGAUUCCUCAUCAGGCUUAGGGUUGUGAAUAGGUAGACGAAGCAAUAUCAGGCCGUGCAGCAACGGUCAACCAUCCAAAUGGCAAGAAGGAAGCCCGCUCAGACGCAUGGCAACUCCGACAAUCCUCCGCACCAUUGCCUACUGGGCGGUCAAGUCGGGGCAGCGGGUGAAACGGGGGUCCUAGGGCGGACAGCAUGCCAAAUUCAGCGCAACUGGUGAAAGAAAAAUUGACACGAUUUACGGCAGUGGGCUGAGCCGCAGAGGGAAGACCAGCACGCGAGACAUUCCAAGCAACUACAAGACUUCCGCUUAGGUUCCGGAGACUCACGAUACACAUGAUAAAAUUUCUAUUUCUCUUUCUCUGUUUCCCGGAAUAGGUUUAGAGCAGAAAUCCUUUGGUAAUGCAAUUUGAUUUUUUUAUUUCUGGAACAGAUUUCUAUUCCAAAAAUAGAUUUGAAGAAAAAAUCAAAAGUUAAAAUUUUUAAUUUUUUAAUUUCUGAAAUAAAAACUGAGAAAUCAAUUUCUCUUAUAGAAAUUUUGUUAUGCGCACCCUUAAUGCAUGAUCGCCAAGGCAAAAUAGGAGAUAACAAAGCGUUUUGAAUGUAGUUAUAGUUACAUGAUGUCAACACAAAGUAAAUGAGAUGACAUGAGUUGUACACUACUCCCGUAUUAUUUGAUGUUGUAUUUCAGUGUUCAUUUGUACAUUUUUAUUUUAUUUUAUUUAUGCUUCAACGCAAUGGUUUAGUAAAACUGAAGUGGCCCAUGAAAAGUUUUAUAUCUUGUUCAUUUAAAGUCAGCCGCAAUUAUAUGAGGUCUUAAAAGUGCAUUCACCUUGGGCUAGUCUGUACAUUCAUCAGAGAGUUCUUCUCCAACUUUCUCUAAUUAAAAAAAAAAAAAGUAACUUACGGCUUUGCGAUAACAGUUUUGUCAUAGUUAUUUAACUUCACCUAUUUUUAAGUUUACAAGUUAUUUUUUUAAUUUAUUAGUCGAUUGCUUUUACAUGUAAAAGUAAUAUUUACAUUUGCCAUUAAAUACAAUUCAUACAAAUAGUAUGAGCGAAAUCUACUUUUUUUUUCUAGUUAUCAAUUUCUCUAUAAAUGCACAUAUUCUGCAGCACCCUUGAUUUGUAAGCUAUGUCGAUAUGGCUCAUUGAAGCAGAUAUUGUAAUCAAACUUGUAAUUUUCUGUUAAAUCUUUGAAUAGAACUCGAUUUCAUUUUCAAAACUAAUAAUUAUCUGCAUUGGUUAUUUUUAAAAAAAAUACAGAUUGAAGUUGUUACAGGCCCAAUUCACAUAUAUAACCUACAACUUCAACUACUUAAACUGAAUUUAGAUCCAUAGAUAAAAAGUUGGUAUUUGUAUAAACUAUGAAGACUAAGACCGAGGAGAACAUUUCUAGAAAGAGCAAAACAAAAUAGAGAGGUACUCUUCCGAGUAAUUACAAGUAAACCUAUCCAAAUGAUAGAAUGAACUACAUUUGGAUGAAAUAAAGAUUAUGAUGCCCCACAUUUUUCAUCCAUGGCGAUCAUCUGCUCGUUUUGCUAAAACUUUGAAUUUAUUAUAUGGUUGGUCCAACCUUGAUUUUAAACCGGGUCACAUCCUUUUCUGAGGCAAAAAAGAAAGAAGACAAAAUGCUCUCUUUUUUGUCAUAUUUAUUCUCUCCUACUUGGGUGUUUACGUGUAUAUAUAAACCUCUUUUCAAUCUCCUUUAUUGACUCUUACCACUUUUCAAUCUCCUUUAUUGACUCUCUCUCUCCCUCUCUCUCUCACUGAGAAAGUUACCAAAGGGUCUUAGGGGAACCUUCGGUGUUCACAUUGCAAUUAGUAGACUGUGCGGCGUUACAUGAUGAUCGUAUGGCCACUCAUGGGUAGAAAUGGGGCCUUCAUGAAAGUUAAGAACUUUUUUAAACAAAAAAUCAAUUCGAAUAGAAUCGCCAUUAAAAUUAAAAUUUGAGAUUUUUUUAGGGAAUUAGCAAAAUUCGUACUUCCAUCAACAAUCCAAGGUGUCUUGAACCGAAGAAAAUGCAAUCUUUUGUAAGAUAAAAACCUAUUUUUGCAAUAUUUCACCAAGAAAAAAUGUCCAUUGCUUCAAAAGUAUUUUAGUAGGAUUUUGUAUGUCCAACAGUUAUAGAAAUAGAUGAGUUCAUGCAUAAAACAUGGCGACACAAGGAUGCUCAUGUCGCGAUAUAUUAUUUGCACGAUAAAUGGAUAAUUGUAGAAAGGGAGGGGUAGCUGUUAUUGGAGUAUGGGAUUGGUAAGAUUAUAAUGAUAUAGAGAAACAAUAAUGACAUAUUGAUGCAUGUUUUCAUUUUGUUGACUUUGUGAAUAAGAUAUGUCAUUUAUCUAUCGUUACACCCCAACUCUAUUAAAUAAGGAAAACGACACUACCAUGGUCUUGCUCAAAGGACGCAACUUCAAAUUAUCAAAAUAUAUAUUCGUCUAUACACUUGAUAAAUAGUGGGUUGGUUACAAAAUCAAGAGUUUUGAAAUUUAUUAAAAAGAAAAAAAGUGUAAGUGUAUCUCCAAACUCAAUUAAACCCUACAAAUAUCAUCCCAAAUAUAUACAAGUAUCUAAACUCACAUCCAAAUCCAACCGUAAAAUUUUUUUCGCCAAUAAUGCUCACUUCCUACUUUAGCUGACGUUAAAAAGAUUUAGAAUGAAUAGUGUGAGUAACCAUAGCUUAGUGACUAAUCGAAAUCUCUCCUAAGCAAAUCAAGCAUCUGCUAUGAUAAAGCAAUACCAAAGAUUCAUUUAUCCAAAUUCAAUAUAUUAUGUACAAUAGAAUCAAAAUAUGAGUAAUAUCACUAUAAUGCAACUUUAUACUAAUAAAUUAUAUUCAUUCAAAUUUCAAAACCAAAAGGGUAGUCUAUCCGAUUUUAUGCAACAAAUAUGUUUCAAACAUUACUUUUUCAUUUAAAAAAAAAUCAUUUUCUGCAAUGCUUUUCACAACUUAUAAUAUAUCAAAUCCCUAUCACUUUCAAGACAUGAGCUUACAAAUUUGUAGAGGAUAACAACCACCCCAAAAUAAAAUGCAAUCGAAAGUUACACCCUUGGAAGAGUCUCCAAGUCCUAUCAAAGUUUAUCUAAAUGUCAAACUUACAUGUCAACUAACCUCGACUAAAACUUUAGUAGGCAAUACCAUAUUCUUGAGUCAAAUCGUCCACUUGACGAAAGACCUUUGAACAAUUACUUUACAAAUAGAGUCGACUGCAUCUUAAAACUCCAAUUCAAGCGAGCUUAUUUUCAAUAGAAAACUCUUUCGAAUUACUAAGAGAUCAUAAAGCCAAAAGAUGGUCGGAGAAGGGUGAAAUUCAUUGCCAAACAUAGUAAUUUGAAAACUGUUUUUAGCAAUGUGCAAAAUUUUAAAAAUUUAUCCCAAUCAAAUCAUAAACAUAUAUUGAUUUUCCUAAAGUCCUAUUAUGCAAUACCCUAAAAUUUCUUUACAACAUAAUUUCAUAGCUUAAUAAUCUCUAGAAUCGACCUCGCAACAUAAAAUCCAUACAAAACCUAAUUUACAAUUUAAUUACGAAAACUCCUUCAAUUAGGUAAAUAAAAGUUUUCGAAUCCUUACCGAUUGUCAAGAAACAUAAUUAAUCUGGUGCAUACAGCAAGAGGCCCCUUUUGUCUCCUCUGUCUUUUUCUCGGUUUCUCCGGGCUCUGCUUUCCUUCUCUCUCUCUCUCUCUCUCUCUCUCUCUCCCUCUUUUUCGUGUUCUUCUUGGCAGACUCUGUUUUCAUCUUUUUCUCUCUUUUCGCUCUAGUGAUUCGGUUUACCACGGCAUCAACUGAGGCAAGACCAAAGAAAGGACUUUAACGAGACACUUGGGCUUGGGCUUACUGAUUUGCUCUUGGUUAUUAUUUUUUGCCAGCCCGGUUAUUGGAAUUUUAUUCUUGCCCAUGAAUCUUCCAGGUUAUUACGUAUUGAUGUAUCUAUGCGGACACACUGCCGAGAAAAGGGGAAGGAGAAUAAGGAGAAUUCAAUCAGCACCGAACAGUCUUUUUUUUCUGACACAAGAAAAAUUAAAUAGGAAAGUUCAAAGGCCUUCUUCCUCCCCGCCAGUGGUGGGUUGAAGCAGGGACAUCGUUCGUGGUUCUUUUAUGCAGAAUAAUAUUUUAAGGGUGAACUUCGACGCAUAAUUGAUUCUGGUUAUUUUAUGGAAGAGACAACUUUGAUCGGAGAGUGGGUUCUGGAAGUUCGCCCUUCCAUAAAAGAACCACGGACGAUGUCCCUACCUUCACCCCACCCGGCGCCAUGGAUUUUACCUCCAUCGUCUCUAUCCUGAUCAACUUACUCCAAGUGAAAUACCAGGGGAAGUCACCCUUUGAAACCCACGCCAUCGCCAUUGGUGUUGCCAUCUGCAGCCUGCUCCUGCUCCUGCAUUUUCUGUUGCUGCAUCUCGCUAAUCGGGCACUCCCGUCUAGCGGCCGCGCUCCUGCUUGUGAUGGAGCAUCAUCGCACCUCCUCAUCGACUUCACUGGUUCAAUAUCGGUAGUUCGCUCGCACCUCCUCAUCGACUUCACUGGUUCAAUAUCGGUAGUUCGCUCGCGUGGUUGCUGUUCCACGACUCCUCCCACUCUGUCCCCUGGUUGUUCAUGCUGCUCCUGUUGCUUUCCGUGAGUCUGUUGCGCGGCCUCUUUCAAAAACUUUGGCUUUGGUUUUACGACAAGAUCUUUGCCAUGAUUUUCCGUGUGGCGCCAUCUGGUCUAUGGCAUGGUGGAAGAGCGCAGCCACAUCUGCCGCGCCCGGGCGUGGAUCUGCGUUUAUUGCUGGAAGUCUGAGCGCCCUAGUUGUUCGACUGACUGUUCCCUGCCUGCUUGGAUAAAGUAAUCUAACCACUUUAAAACGAAAGAAUAAGUACUUUAGGAAGCUAGCUAGUUUUGUUUAGGAGGCGCUUUGGGCUUGUUGCAACUAUAUCUGAAUCCAUAAGAGAAUCGCAAGCCUUUGGCAGGGAAAGUAAAAACCAAUUGUUAUUGAAGAGAUCAAAGACGACCUCAACAGUUGUUACCAAGGGAAGAAUAGUCGUUUCUAUAGCCAUAUAAGGGGUAGUAAUUGUUCUUGAGGUUAAAGCUUCUGACCUCCUUUAAAGCAUUGCUAAGUGUUGCAGAUUUCCUUCUAUUUUUGGUGUAUCUCUUUGUAGCUUUCUGUCUGGCCAGUGGAUCCAUAUGUGUCAUUUUAUGUUCUUUGCUGGUGUACUAUGGUUUUGCUCGUAUAUCCAUAUGAACUGGGAUAAAUAGAUGCCUUGGCAACGUGGGCACAGCUACAAUUUUCAAAGCUUUGAUCUAACACUAACACCAUUGAGUAAUCCAAAUCAAAAUGAAAGAUGUCAGCUUUCUCAUCUCUCUUGCAUAUACACCGUUACUGCUUCCUAGCUAUUCCGAUGAUAAUAUAGUUGUAGUUUCUCAUUGCAGAAUGUGGGAAUUGUUACAUCAUAGUCUCUAUUUGACCUCCAAGAGGUGACAACUAGAUCUUUGCUGUGGCAAAUGCGUUAACUUGCAAUCUAAGACUAUGUUGUCUCGCUGUGGAUUGGUUUUUGGCCAGGAGCUUGAAUUGUUGCUUCAGUUGGACACUCAAGUUUCUGGGGCCAAGGUGAGAAAAGAAUGCUGAAAUGUAGAGUUUUUUCGGCUGGCUUUAGCUCAAGAUUACUUAAUUCUGGUUGACUGUAGAUGUUAGAACCGAACUUUUCCCACUCUUCAUGUGCUAAAGAAUUUACACUUCAUGUAUGCAAAGCUAGAUAGGUAGUAUGCAGAUGCACGAGACAAGUCUGUAUAAACUACACCCAUCUUAUGUUGGUAUCUGAGGAAAUAAUUAGACCGGCAAGCUUCCUGCCAAGUUGAUUCACUAUCAAAUUAUGCAUUCCAGUGUCAACAAUUCAUUUCAUUACAGAGAGCACUCAAGUCUGGCACUUAAAUAAUAUGAUAUUCGUCUGCUUUUACUGCAGAAAGCUACAAUCUUGGAUGUCGACUGUGGCAGUGAGUCCAAUCGACUUGCAUGGGAGCAUAAGUUGAAACAUCAAACAGAAAGGAAAUUCUUUUUGUCUUGGUAAGUGCCUGCCAAACCCUGCAACUAAAUGCAAUAUUUUCAUGGAGUUCAGAGUAGCAGGGUCUUCAGGUACUUACACUAUUCCAGCAACCUGUAUUAAAAAAAUGUUUGGUAUUGGAGCAUUUUCUCUUGAUUAUUACUUAUUGUGGAGGAUGAGUCUAUAUAUAUGAUGUUAAAAAGGAACAUGGCUAUUCACCACAUCACAUGGUAUUGUAUCCAUUUGUUGCCUAAAGUCUGUUUAGUAAGAUAGCACUUGUGAUGAAAGUGCACGGUAGGUGAUACACAUUUGAUAUGAGUAAUCAAUGGAUAGGGGCAUUCAUUGCAGACAUAGGCACCCAGAUUCAGGUUCCUUAUCUUCUCACAAAGGUCACAAUAGUACUCACUGGUAUCAUCUUUGAUGAACGAAGCUUAAAGUGUGAGUUGAUGAAAGUUAAUGGCAAUCUUUUACUGUAGUGGAAGGCAAUCUGUGAUGACUGAGAUUGCACUGCACACAACCAUAAAAGUUGAACCUGCAAAUUUUACCAGAGACACUGCAUAGGAAGCACAGUUCUGUAGACUAAAAUAAGAAAGAGUAUAAAAUGCUCGUGGAGGUGAUUUUUCAAAGUGGGCCUUUCAAAAGUGCAUGAAAUGUUGAAGUCGUAGUCACAUUCCAUGCAGUGAAAGACAGAGCGUCAACGCUCUUCACGACGUAUGUCAACUACUCUCCUUCCUAGUAUGAGAAGAAAAAGGAUGCGUGGCGUGAACAGUUUGUUGCAUAACUGAGGGCAAUUCAGCACGUGAUUAGAAAAGAGCAGCUCUGCUCCAGCCAGCGAUAGGUUAAACGUCUGAUGGAUUCAUCACAAGCCUUGCAUGGACCAUCCUUCAAAUGACAGUUCCAGCAGCAGAGGACGAUCGUGCAGGGAUGAAGAGGCAAUUAAGACAACCAUAGACCUCACCUGGUAUGUUCUCCACAAGCUUUGCACCUGAUUCUGCUUUCUAGUUUCAUGUAGAAGACCAGUGAAUGCUGAUGGUCAAAAUUGUAGAAAACCAAGUCCUUCUUGCCCUCUAGGUCUUGUGAACAUAGAGUUAAAGCCGCGCAGUCCAUGUUGAGGCUGAAUUUGCAUUCACUGCAGUAGGAAACCAUGGCAGGUGUUACAUUUAGCUCCUCCAAUUGAUUGAAAGCAAAAGAGAGAGAGGGUGAUCAUGGAGAGACAGGUGUUGCAUCUCUGGGGAAAAUUCGGUGCAGCUUUUGUGGAGAAAGAAUAUGCAUGCAUAGCAUCCAUAGACCUCCCCCAAUAUUGCUUGCUCACAGGCUUUGCAUUUGAUUCUAUUUUUCGUCCCGAGAUGAUGGGAUGUGGGCGGAUGCUCAUGAGCAUUUGUUGGAUGGCCACAUUCUGAGAGUCCUCAUUGGGAGGACAGGCAAUCUUGGGCUGUGCACUAAGAAUUGAUGGAUCCGACUGUUAAGAGAAGGUUGUCAAAUAUAUAUAUAUCAAUCGCACGUAUUUCCUUGUGACCAAGUUUGUUAGGAAUAUGGAUGAGCCUCGAUAAGCCAUUCCCUCUUGGGUCCAUCCAUCGAUCACCUCUUACUUCUACCACAUUAGACUUAGUGUUCCACACAAUGAGUGACUAAGUUUGUCAGGAAAUAAAAUGAUAGCACAGCUUCAAGAUGAGUAUUUAUAGAUACGUCUUAGUGAUUUUAGAGCGCUCAAAAUGAGCAAUUUCUCAAGAACAGAUCAGAGAAAGCAUAUAACCUUGGAGCAUAAUCACAUAUGUCAUUAUCUGAAGAGCUAAAGAGAAAUAUGCAAUGUGAUUUGAGGAUUGAACCUAUGAUUUAGAUGCAGAUGGUAAUAAAUUCUUCUCUGGACUCUGAAGGUUAGCCAUUUUGUAUGAGAUAUGCAGGAUUGCAGGUAUCAUAAAGCAAAUCAAAUUAUGUUAGCAAAAAAGUUGGUACCGUCAUCUCCAAUGAAAGCAAAAUGUGUGAUAAAUGUUGUUGGCCAUGAAAACUGGAAGGAGCAAUAGAUGAUUCAUCUUCAGUCAAAGCAUGUGUCACAGAGAACAGCAUCUUUCUCUUCUUGGUUGACCAUUCUUCCUUGUCGGGCAAUUGUUUCUAUCUACUUCAUCAAUUAUGUAUGCUAUCCUUUAAUCCAUAGGAACUUCUCAUCAGUUGCAGGGUUUGGUUGCCCAAAAUCGGCUUGGCUUCGCCAAAACUCCUCUUCUCUAGAAGCCUGGCUGGCAUGGCAUCCCACUGGCAGUAGGGUGGUCAACCUUGCCUCGGCUUCGUGACAUGCUAUCUUUCCCCUCUGCAUUCCAUAGUCAAGGGUGAGUCCCAAGUGUCAGUUUGUGGAUAGCGGUCUCACACACAAAUCCCUACAGAUUCCUCUAGGUAGUCCAAAUUAUAUCUAAUUUAUUUUGAUGUGGUUCGUUCAUCAUUUGAUUUGACCUUGGAAGUUGGUUUUCUUCUUAUUUAUUUACAAGCCUAAAUGCUUAUUGUAAAAAACGAUUCCCAGGAGAGUAUCAUGAUAAUAAGUCAAAUAAUGAAGCUAAGUAGGUGAUCGACUCGAUAAAUUAAGAUGGCAGCACUGUCAAAUGCUUCUGCUAAUUUGGUGGCAGAUACUUAAAAUUGUUACCGACAAUGGAAGGGCAAAUGUUAUUGAAAAGACCAAAAAUACUUUGACAAUUAUUACGAGUAGAAUGGGGAGAUGUUUCAUUGGUUGUUUCAAGGUUACCUAAGAUCCUACUAGACCAAAAUACUUGGAAGUUUUUUCUUUACUGAAGAGAGAAAAAGAGGGAUGUUCAUGAAAAAUGGCACUUUUACUAGCACUUUCAGAUAGCAGCACCUUAUUAUCACAUUGCCACAUGUCAAACGUUGUCAUAUGGUCGUUACUAGUUGCCAAAAUAAAGUCAAAAUUGUUCUUGAGGUUAAAGCUUCUGAAUUCUUUGAAAAUAUCGCAAGUGUCACAGUUUUGCUUUUAUUUUUCUGGCAAAUCUCUUCGUGACUUUCUGCUUGGCCAGUGGAUCUAUAUGUGUUAUUUUACAGACUCUUUGCUGUUAUACGAUGGUUUUGCUCAUUUAUCCAUAUGAACUAGGAUAAAUAGAUGCCUUGGAGACAGGAGCACUGCUGCAAUAUCAGAGCUUUCUUCUAUCAUCAUAGAGUUAGAAGAAUCAAAAUGAACAAUGUCAGUUUUUUCAUCUCUGUCCCGUAUGCACGGGUAAUGCUUACUAACUAUUCUGAUGAUAACAAUUUUUGAGUAUGUGAUUGCAAAACGACACAGUGGUUACAUCAUUUAGUCAGCAUUUUACCUCUGAGAGGUGACAACUAGAUUUUUGUCGCCGCAAAUGUAUCAACUUGCUUCAGCAAAUAAGAUUUAUAAAGACAAACUUCUUCAGUGGUGUAUCCCACGUGUCCGGAAGCUCUUGGAUCUGAAUAAUGCAAUGACUAUGUUGUCUCCCAGGCUAAAUUGGUUUUCGGCCAGGAGCAUGAAUUGUUGCUUCAGUGGGAGAUUCAAUUUAGGGCCAAGGUGCGAAAAGAACGCUUGAUUUCUUUUUUUGGGAGGCUUUAGUUCAACAUAGCUGAAUUUUGGUAGACUGCAGAUGUUAGGUCCACACUUUUCCCAUCUUCAUGUGCUAGAAAAGAAUUUACAGUUAAUGAAUGCAAAGCUCGAUAGAUAGUAUGCAAAAGCUUGUGGCUAGUCUGCACAAACUACAUAAACCUUAUAUUCAUUUUCAAGGAAUUAACAAGACCGGCAAGCUUCCUAACAAAUUUAUUCAUAAUCAAAUUAUGCAUCCCAAUGUUAAUACUCCUAUUCAUAACACAGAGCACACAAGUCUUACACUCAAAAAUAUGAUAUUUAUCUGCUUUUGCUCAGAAGAUAACAAUAUCGGAUGUCAAGUGUUGGCAGGGAUUCCAAUUGACUUGCGUAAGAGCAUAAGUUGAAACAUCAAACAAAAAGGCGGUCUUCUGCCUCCCCAAUUCUUUCCAUCUGGAUAAGAGCCUCCCCAACUCUUCAACUACAUGCACUUUGCUUGCAGCUUUUUGAGACCAGCAUUGCAGGUCUUCUUUUGAGUACCUCCUAUUGUGGGCUCAUUCUGUCCACUUUUUCCUGCAGAAAUAAAUCUAGUUCAGCAAAAUCGAGGCUUCAGGUACUUCCAUUACUUUAAAAAAAAAUUGGUAUUGCCAUAUUUUCUGUUGAUUGUAACUUAUUGUGGAGAUUGAGUCUGUAUAUGAUAUAACAAAAGAAAAAAGAACAGGGCUAUUCACCACAUCACAUGGCAGCAUCUCGUUGCCAUAUAUACGUUAAAGUUUAGUGAGAGAGUAUUUCUGUGAUGAAACCAAACCGUGGGUAAAACGUAUUUGAUAUGAGUAAUCAAUGGACAAGGGCAUUCAUCAGAGACGGAAUCACCCAGUUUCAGGUCCGUUUCUCUCAAAGAUUACAAUAGUACUCACCAGCAUCGUCUUCAAUGAACAUAGCGUAGAGUGAAUUGAUGGAGAUGAUGGCGAUCUUUAUUGUUGGUGUUAACCAUGGAAGGCAAUCAUUGUUGACAUAAAGAUUGCAUUGCACAAGAACGUGAAAGUCGAAUGUGCAAAAUUUACCAGACACUGCAUAGGAAGCAUGGGUCGGUAGCUCUAAUAAAAGAAAGAGUAUAUGCUUGGGUAGGUGAUGUUUCAAAGUGGGCCUUUCAAAAGUGCAUGGAAUGUUGAAGUCGAAGUCGCAUUCUGCGUAGCGAAUGACAGCGUCGAUGCUCUUCACGACAUGCGUCAGUGAGCCUUCCUUCUUGAUACGGGAAGAAGUGGGUGUGCCAGGGUGAACAGGGCGUUGCAUAACUGAGGGCAAUUCAGCACAUGAUUUACGGAGCAGAAAAGAGCAGCUCGGCUCCAGGCAGGCAUGGGCUAAACCUUUAACAUAUUAAUCACGAGCCUCGCUCGCACCAUCCUUCAUUCGACCCAGCUCCAGCGGCAGCGGAUGAUAGUGAAUUGGAGAAGAGGCAAUCCAGACAAGCAUAGAACCCACCUAGUAUGCUGCUCUAUUCUCAGCUUUACACCCAGAUUCUGGUUUCAAGCUUCACGUGGAAGGACACCAGUAGAUGCUGAUGGGCGAAAUGAUUAAUAAAAAAUAAUAAAAAAAACUGAGCCUUUCUUGCCCUCCAGAUCUUGUGAACAUAGAGUUAUAGCCACGUAGUCCACGUCAAUGCUGAAAUUGCAUUCGCUGGAGGGGCAAACCAGAAGGCAGACAUUACAUUGGAGGUUUGCCGAUUGAUCGAAAGCAAGAAAAAGGGUUGAUUAUGGAGAGAGAUGCGUCGCUUCUCUGGGGUCGAUUCGGUGCAGCUCUCGUGAACUAAGAGUAUGCACCGUGUAGCAUCCCUAGACCUCCUCGCAGGCUUUGCAUUUGAUUCUACUCUUCGUCCCAAAAUGGAGGGACGGGAGCAGACGCUAAUGAGCAAAUUGCAGGAUGGAUUCUCAGAAUCCUCAUCAAGCUUCCUCAUCAAGCUUAGUUGUGAUUAGGCAGAAGCGGUAUCCGGCCGUGCACUAAUGCUCAAUCGUCCGAAUGGCAAGAAGGAAGCCUGCUCACACGCAUGGCAACUCCGAUGAUCCUCCUCAUCGUUGGCAGCUGGGCAGUCAAGGCGGGGCAGCGGGUGAGACAGGUGUCCUAGUGUGGACAGCAUGCUAAAUUCGGCAUGACUCGUAAAAGAAGAAACGACACGAUUCACAGUGGUGAGCCGAGCUGCGGAUUGGAGAUCAGCACGCAUGACAUUCCAAGCAAGUACAGGCUUCUUCGCUCAGGUUUCGCAGAUUCAAUACAUGAUCACCAAGGCAAAUUAGGAAAUAAAAAUGCGUUUUGAAUGGAGUUAUAGUUGUUAUCAACACGAAGUAAAUGUGGCGAAAUUAAUUGAGUUAAUGCUUUAAAAAACCCCAAAUUGAUACGUCUAUGACAAAUUUAUGCUAAAAUAAUUUUUUGAUCAUAAAAAACUUCAAACUAGUAUACAUUUGAUAAAUUUACCUCAAAUUUGUAUAUUUGUGAUAAAUUUACCCUAUGUUAGUUUCCGUUAAAUUUUACUAUCGAAUUACUAAAUUAAAGGACACGUGAAAGUUGACUGGUGUAUCGAUUUGGAAUUUUAUUCUCCAUUUUUCACAGUUAUAUAAUUUUUGUAAUUUUUUGUGGUAUUAAUCCAAUUUAACAUAGGAUAUAUUUAUCACAAAUGUAUCAGUUUUAGGUUUUUGGCGAUCAAAUAAGUUAAUUUAGAAUAAAUUUGUCACAGGUGUACCAGUUUAGAAUUUUUCAUGGUCAAAAAAUUAAUUUAAGAUAAAUUUGUUAUACGUGUAUCAGUUUGGAGUUUUUCAGGAUAUUAACCCAAAUUAAUUUUACCCCACUCCCACAUCAUUUGAUGUUGUGUUUCAGUGCUAAUUUGUACAAUUAUUUUUUUUAAUGCUUUAAUUCAAUGGUUAACGAAACUAAAGUAGCCCAUGAAAAGUUUCAUAUCUUGUUCAUUUAAAGUCAGUUGCAAUCUAACCAAAAAAUAAAAAUCAGCCACAACUGUUAUGAAAUACAUGAAUGAAUAGAAUACAUAAAUAAAUAUUCAUUAUAUUCAUCUUAUUUAAUGUACUUAUUAUGGUACAUUUGUAUCAUAUAUUCUAAGUACAUCUCUCUAUACAAUGAAUGUCCAUCUCCUUUAUCCAGUACAUGUAUCAUUCGAUACAUUGAUAUUAAUGAUAAGUACAUUUUUGUUUUUCUAUAAAUAGGAGUUUAGUUUUUAUGUACAAUACACAAUCACACAGAAACACAACAGUGAGAUACUAGAAAUAAAGCUCUCUCAUCUUGCUACUAUCUCUAGUGUUCACUUGCUUUCUCUUCUUUAAUCUCUUCUCUAUUAUACAUUCACCACGCGAUAUUUUACAACAACAACUAUAAUUUAAUUUUCCAUAAAUUAACCAAUAAAUAAAACUCCAAACAUUGGUUAAGAUCAUAAAGGUGCAUCACCUUGGGCUAGUCUAUACAUUUAUUAGAAAUUCUUAUCCAACUUACUAUGAAUGCUACUUACUUAACACAAUAUUGCGAUAUGACUUUUUUAUAAAUUACUAAAGUGGAAUUAACUUGACAUGACUUUAUAGUUUAUAAAACUAAAUUCACCUUAUAUGUAAAAGUAACCCUUACAUAUGCUGGGUCAUGUCCUUUUUCUGAGGCAAAAAAAAAAAAAAAAAAUUCUCUCUCUCUCUAUGAGAGAGUUUCCAAAGGGUCUCAAGGGAGGCUUCGAUGUUCCCGCAAAUAUGGUUGGAUCAUGCGGUAUUACAUGAUAAUCCUAUGUCUAAUCGUGGGCAGAAAUGGGACCAUGAAAGUUGGGGAUUUUUUUUAUAAAAAAAAAAACCAUUUUUGGCAAAAUUAAGAUUUUCCUGAAGUUUUGCUCUGCGACACUUUAAAUUUUCUUUACAACAUUAUUUCACAGUUUAAAAACCUCUAGAAUCAGCCCAACAACAUAAAAUCCAUACAAAACCUAAUUUACAGUUUAACUAAGAAAACUUCUUCAAUUAGAUAAAUAAAAGUUUAAAAUCCUUAUCGAUUACUAAGAAAUAUAAAUAAUCCGGCUUGACCCAGCCUCUCAAACGUGCAUGUAGCGAGAGCCCCUCGUCUCAUCUUUGUCUUUUUGUCUGUUUCUCCGGAUUCUGGUUUCCUCCGUUUUUUGGGUUCUUCUAUCUGCACUCGUAAUUCCUUUGCAAUGGCGUCAACUGAACCAAGACCAAGGAAAGUGCUAAACGAGACACUUGGGCUUCUGCUUAAUGUUUUGCUCUUUUGAUAUGUGUUAACAAGUAGCACCCAAAUUUGGGUCCCUUAUCUUCUCACAAAGGUCACAAAAGAACUCACUGGUAUCAUCUUCGAUGAACGAAGCAUAAAGUGUGAGUUGAUGGAAGUUAAUGGCAAUCUUUAGUGUAGUUGAAGGCAAUCUGUGAUGAUUAAGGUUGCAAUGCACACAAUUGUAAAAGUCAAACCUGCAAAAUUUACUACAGACACUGCAUAGGAAGCACAGUUCGGAAGAUCUAAAUUAAGAAAGAGUACAUGCUCGUGCAGGUGAUGUUUCAAAGUGGGCCUUUCAAAAGUGCAUGGAAUGUUGAAGUCAUAGUCACUGUCCAUGCAGCGAAAGACAGAGCGUCAACACUCUUCACGGCAUAUGUCAACACCGCUCCUUCCUGAUGCAAGAAAAAAAAGACGUGCGGGGUGAACAGGUUGUUGCAUGAGUGAGGGCGAUUCAGCACAUGAUUUAUGGAGCAAAAAAGAGCAGCCCUGGUUCAGCCAGCGAUAGAUGCACGCACUACGAGCCUUGCACGCACCAUCCUUCAUAUGACGGUUCCAGCAGCAGAGGAUGACCGGGCAGAGGAGAAAGAAGAGGCAAUCAAGCCAACCAUGGACCUCACCUGGUAUGUUACUUUCACAAGCUUUGCACCUGAUUCUGCUUUCGAGCUUCGUGAGGAAGACCAGUGGAUGCUGAUGGUCGAAGUGGUAGAAAACCGAGUCCUUCUUGCCAUCCAGAUCUUGCGAACAUCGAGUUAAUGCUGUGUCCAUGUCAAGGCUGAAUUUUGUAAUCGCUACAGUAGGAGACCAUGGUAAGCAUUAGAGUGUCAAAAUGGGUCCAUCACCCAUUUUUUGACUCAUAUUCUGAGAAGUGGGUCAUACAAGUUAUUCAAACUUUUAAGGGCCAGGCCUAAAUGGAUUUAAAAAGACUCAAAGUUUGGCGGGACGACAAAAUUUGGGUCCUCGACGGUGGCAUUGUGGGGCUGGGACAGAGGUGAGACUGUAUCGACUGAGUUGGACAUGCAACGAGGUAGAGUUCAUCUUCCUUCUCUCAACACAGCAACUGGUUGAUGGUCAGGCCUCCAAUCAAUGUGAACAACACCACCUUGUUUCUCUCCUGUCCUUGUGCUUCUAGAUCUACUCCGCUUCUCUGCACGCUUUGCACUUCUAGAUCUUCCUUCACUUCUCAGUCUCUGUAUUGUGUUAAGAGAGAGCCUUGAGGUCGAACUAUUAUUGAGAAUUAAAGAGGUAGCUCGUUCAUUUGAGACCCAAUUUGUCUCAAGCCCAAUUUGUCUCAAGCCCCAAUUCUAAGCCCAAUAAAAAACUGCCGAUGGGCUGUUCUUUGUUAUCGAUAUGGCCGAAAUUACCCCCAAAAAGAAAAAUAUAUAUAUGUCAGCAAAGCGAGUUGGGUUGGGUUGGGUUACGUUGGGUUGGAUCCAGUGGAGGUUGAAUAUGGGUUUGGAAGCGCACUGGUUGAUGAGAGCAAGGAUAUUGCUUGUCAUCGAGUAAGAUUCGUCAUCCUUCACCUCGUAAAAAUAUCAAAAAAUAGCGAUCCACGUAGAAAAUUAGAAAGAGUAAAGCAAAUAUAGGAAAACAAAAAUUAAUUAUACGUAUAUGCAUCGUAAAUAAUGGCUACUAAUGAGCUUUAAAUGAGUGGAUAUGAAUUUUCAUAGAUUUAGUUAAAUAUAGACGUGCUUUAAUAAUUUAGGUAUAGGUCAAGUUUGGGUCACUGGAUUUAUACUGCAUGUAAAUGAGUCAAAACGGAUUAAAUGGGUCGAUUUGAAUCGAACCAUUUUUUGACUCCCAACCUACCUAUUUGACAGCCCUGGUAAGCAUUACAUUUAGCUCCUCCAAUUAAUCAAAAGCGAGAGAGAGAGGGUGAUCAUGGAGACGAGUGUUGCUUCUCUAUGGAAGACUCGGUGCAGCUUUUGUGGAGAAAGAAUAUGCACGCAUGGCAUCCAUAGACUUGCCCCAAGAUCGCUUGUUCGUAGGUUUUGCAGCUCUUGAGCAUUUGUUGGAUGGUCACAUUCUGAGAAUCCUCAUCGGGGCUUAGUUGUGGCAAGGCAGAUGAAGCUAUAUUGGGCUGUGCAAUAACAAUCGACGUGUCCAAAUGACGAGAAAAUUUUCAUAUAUAAAAGCGAAAUAUUGAUUGGAAUGUACAUUACUAGAUUGGUGAGGUCACGUAUUUUCUUGUGUCAUGACAAGUUUGUUAGCCAUCGCCUAAGACCCACCACUGGCGAAAGGAAACAAAAGCUAAAAAAAAAAAAGGAAAAAAAAGGAAAAAAAAAGGAUGAAAAAUUCAAAAAUAAAAUAAAAUGUUGUCAACAUUAGCGCCAGUACGCCACAGGACGACUAGUUGGGACUAGCGUUUUCCAAUCAAAAUUGACUGAAAAGAUUAUUUGAUAAAUUGUCUUAAGUUUGAGGACUAAAUAAGUAAAAUUGAAAGGUUUAGAAUUAUUAUUAUUAUUAUUAUUUUGCCUAUAAAGUUUAGGGUUGAAUUAGUACAAGUGUAAUAGAUUUAGAAUUUUUUGGGAUUUUUCCUAAAAAAAAUGGAGGAAAGUAUCAUUCGGAAAUAAUUUGUAACGACAAUGACCUAGUUAAUGUAAUUUCUUUGUAACAAGACUUUUAGAGUGCGUUUGGCAACGUUUCUGUUCAAAAAUUGUUUCAGGGAACAGAAAUAGAAAAAACUAUUUCUAUUCCGGCGAACAAUUUUUGACCAGAAAGAUGCGUUUGGUAAACUUGUUCCGGGAAUAAAAAAUGAAUAGAAAUACGUUUGGUAAAUUUAUAUUCUUUUUUUUUUCUUUUAAAUUUUUAAUAUUUUUAUUUUAUUUUUUUUCUUUUUUCCUUUCUUUUUUUCUUCUUUUGGCCGAUUGCCGGCCUCCGGUGAUCGGCAGACGGGGGCUGACAGUCGAGCCUCGCCUUGGCUGGGCGAGCUCGGGCUCGCCUAGAUCCGGCGAGGCUUGGCCUGGCCGGUGGCUGGGCGAGCUUGGCCUCGUCCGGAUCCGACGAGGCCGAGCGUCGCCGGCCCCCGGCGUGGCUCAGCCUCGCCGAAUCUGGGCGAGCUCGAGCUCGCCAUGCUGGCGAGGCUCGGCCUCGCCGGAUCUAGGCGAGCUCGAGCUCACCUAGCCAUGGCGAGGCUUGGCCUCGCGAAUUUGGGCAAGCCCGAGCUCACCCAGCCAUGGCGAGGCUCGACCUCGCCGAAUCUGGGCGAGGCCAAGCUCGCCCAGCCAAGGCAAGGCCGAGCCUCGCCCCGGCCCCUCUCGGCCAUGCCGGAUUUGGGUGAGCUCGAGAGGCGAGGCCGAGCCUCGCUAGGGGCCGGCGACGCUCCGGCGAGGUCACCGACCCUCGCUGGCCAUGGCCGAGGCCCGCGACCGGCCAAAGAAGAAAAGAAGAAGAAAAGAGAAGAGAGAGAAAAAAUGUUCUUCAAAAGUGUUUCUGGAACAAAAAUAUAAUUUUUUUUUGUUUCUCAUUUCCGUUCCAAUUUUGUUCCGAGAACAAAAAAACAGAUUUUGAACAAAAACACAAACAAACGCGUUUCUAUUCUUUUUUUGUUCCCGAAAACAAAAAAAAAAAACAAAAUUUUUGUUCAUAAACAAUAAAAAAGAACAUUACCAUGCAGGGCCUUAGUCAUCAGAUGUUUCCACUUAUGCCCUUCUCGUUCCUUCCCUUUUUCACUAAUUUCUCAUCAGUCAAUCAAUCGUUGUCCCUUUCACAUGCCCUUUCCCAAUCUCUCUCCUCGUUAAAAGUUUCCACAAAUAUUCCUCCUUAAUAACUUUUUUUUCCUCUUUCUCAAAAAGAUGACAUUUGUAUAUUCCUUAUGCUAAAAUUCAAAUACAUUAUACUAAUCAGGGUCUAACCCUCAUUUGAACCGGGUCAAAUACUUUUUUUGGGAAGAAAGAAGAAGGAGAUAGAAUUCUUUUUUUUUUUAUGUCAUAUUUAUUCUCUCCCGCUAGACCUCUCUUCAACAACUUCUCAGUUUUCUUUAGUCUCCUUUCGAUUCCAUCUCUCUCUCUGAGAGUAAGUUUCCAAGAGGCUUCGAUGUUAACGUUGCAAUGGGACCAUGAGGAGUCACGUGAUGACCCAUACCAUAUGGAUAUAUGUGGGACCGUAGUGAAAGUUGGGACAAAAAAAGUUCAAAAUAGAACUGAAAUUGAAAUUAAAGUUGGAUUUUUUUUUUUUAGGGAAUUAACCCAUAAAAAUUCAUGAUUCCAUCAACAGUCCAAGAUAUCUCAAAUCAAAGAAAAUGCGAUCUCUUAUCAAGAUGGGAACCUAUUUUCAUAAUAUUUCACCAAAAAAGGAAAUGUUCAACUGCUUUGAAAGUAUUUUGACAGGAUUUAGUACAUCCAACAAUUACAAAAAUAGGUGCGUUCGUGCUUAAAAUAUGUUGCACUAUAGAUGUGUAUUUAAAGAAAGGGAUGAGUAGCUAUAUUGAAAUGGAGAAACAAUAACUAUAUAUUACUGGAUGUUUUUAUUUUGUUGAUUUUGUGAAUAAGACCUGUCAUUGACAUUUGUCAUCCCCCAGCUCUAUAAAAAUAGGGAAAACAACAUCAAGGUCCUCCUGCCUAGAAAAGAUAGCCUUAAACAUAAACCAACGUAAACAUGUUAUCAAAAUAUGUCUUCAUCUAUAUACUUGAUAUAAAGGUGAGUAGGUUACAAAAUCAAGAUUCUGAAAUUCAUCAAAAAAGUAAGUGUAUAUAAUAUGUAUUUCCAAACUCAAUUAAACCCUACAAAUAUCAUUUGAGACCUAUACGAGUAUCUAAACUCAUAUCAAAAUCCAACUAUAAAAUUUUAUUGCCGAUAACUCUCACAUCCUACCUUAGUUGAAGAAUUUGAAAAAGAUUUGAUAUAGAUAAUGUGAACAACCAUAAUUCAGUGACUAACACAAAUCUCUUCUAAGCAAAUGGGCAUCCGCCGUGCAUAUUAUAAAGUACUACUACAGACUCAUUUAUCCAAAUCCAAUAUAUAAUGUAUAGUAAAAUCCAAAUAUGAGCGAUAUCACUUCAACUCGGUUUUAUACUGAUCGGAAAUAUUCAUUCAAAUUUCAAAUACCAAAAGGGUAGUAUACACUCCAUCCGGCUUUAUGCGAUAAAUUUGUUUUAAACUGUACUUUUUUGUUUUAGCAAAAUCAUAUCAUGCAAUGCCUUUCUUAACAUAUAAUUUAUUACUUUUAAAACAUGAGUUUUUACAAAUUUAUAGAAUAUCACAACUUACCCUUAACCAAAAUCCAAAUCGAAAGUUACACCAAUCAAAAAGUUUCAAAAUCCUAUUGAAGGCGAUGCCAUAUUCAAACUUACGUGUCAACUAACCUCGACUAAAACUUCAGUAAGUGAUGCCAUAUUCUUAAGUCAAAUCGUUCACUUGAGAAAAGAGCUCUUAACAACUACUUUGCAAACAGAGUCAACCUCAUUUCAGAACUCUAAUUCAAGCGAGCUUACUUUCAACAAAAAAACUCCUUUGAAUUAUUAAGAGACCAUAAAGCCAAAAGAUGGCCCGAGAAGGGCAAAGUCCAUUGCCAAACACAGUAAUUGGGAAAUUGUUUCCAACAGCAUGCAAAAUUUUAAAAAUUUAUCACGACCAAACCAUAAACCUAAAUCAACUUUCAUGAAGUCUUGCUAUGCAACACCCUAAUUUUUUUUUUUUUUACAACAUAAUUUCACAACUUGAAAACCUCUAAAAUCAACCUGGCAACGUAGAAUCCAUACAAAACCUAAUUUAUAGAUUAACUACAAAAACCUAUUCCAUUAGAUAAAUAAAAGUUUCGAAUCCUUACCAAUUGCCAUGAAACAAAUAUAAUCGGGCUUGACCAAGCCUCUCAAAUGUGCAUGCAUUGAGAGUCCCCUUUGACUUGAGAAAAUAUUGGGUAUACUAGGGAGGCUAUCUCAACAAAUCACCAAUCCAUUCAUUGGGUGAUACAUGUCGCGUUAGGCUUAUCUUCCAUUAAUUUUCCCCUUUGACUUGAGAAAUUAUUCCCUCCGACUUAUUAUUCAUGAGGAAAUGAAUGGCAUGAGGAGAAUCACAAAUGCAAUGUGGUCAUAGCAAAACCAAUCGCAUAAUGACAAGUUAACAGGGAACAUGCAAGAGCAAUUUAGCAUAAAUAUUGCAGUACUAUCAACUAGUUUCGGGAAACGAAACACAUUACAGAGAACAUGAAGCAUCCCAGAACGUCUCCUUCUGUUUUGUUGUCUACACUGCAUAAUCUGAAUAAUCAUAAUUUAUGGCUUAAUUACGAAAAUUCCUGCACUUAGAUAAAUAAAAGUUGUUGCUACCAAAUAGAAUUAAUUCGUCUUGUCGAGUUCUCCCAAGCGUGCAUGGAGCGAAAGCCCCCUUUGUUUCCUCUCUCUCUCUCUCUCUUUUUCUCCGUUUCUUUCCUUCUUUUCUUUUUUGUUUUUCUUGGCCAGGCUCUGUUUUCUCUCCUCCGUUCUGCUCUUGUAAUUUCCCUUGCAAUGAAGCAAGACUAAAGAAAGGGCUAAAAUGAAACACUAGGCUUGGGCUUAGGCUUGGGCUUAAUGUUUUGCUCUUAUUUAUUAUUUUUUGCAAGCCCAUUUCUUGCAACUUCAUUGAUGAAGAUAAAUAUUUUAGGUUAUUAUGUACUGAUGGAUCCUAUGUGGCGUGAGGAUAAGGUCACUCAAAAUUAAAGUUGGACAUAUCUCUAUUUAAAGAAAAAUUAUAAAUCUAUUAUAUUUGUGUCAAUUUAAAUUAGUGUCAAUUCAGCCAUUUCGACUAAUUUUAAUUGGAAAUUACUGAUAUGGACAUCAGUUGUCCUAUAUGGCACAUCCAGCCCUAAUAUAGAUAAUUUUUUUUUAUAGUAAUUCAAUUUUUUAUUUUUUAUUAUUAUUAUUUUUUCUUUAUUCUUCCUUGGCCAUUUCCAUUGCGGGUUGGCCUCGCUUGGGUGAGGGUCGUCAUUGCCCACUACAGGCUAGGCUAGGCUAGGCUAGGCUAGGCUAGGCCAAGCGAGAGCGAUCCCAAGCAAGGCCACCUUGGCUUGGGCGAGGUCUUACGAGGGUUAGCCUCACCUAAGCUAGAUUUGGUGAGGCCAGCUUGCUCGGCUAUUGCUUAUCAUCAGCAAAAGAAGGAAGAAAGGAAAAAAUAAAAAAUAAAAAAAUUAGAAAAAAUAAAAAAAUAUUAAAUUAUUAUUAAACGUUUUCCAUGGCCAUCCAUAUCAGUAUCUAGUCAAAAUUAACUAAAAUGACUAAAUUGAUAUAAUUAUAAGAUUUAUGACUAAAUAAAAUUAAAUGCGAUAGGCUUAUGGCUUUUCUCCCUUGUCAAUAUAACCAAAUGAAAAAUAAAUAAAAAAGUUUAAGGCCUUCGUCCUCUCUAUAGUGUGGUGAGGAGUGAGGGUAGGGACAUCAUUUGAUCUUUAUUUUUUCAUGGAAAGUGGCACGGACAUCAAGUUAAUAAUCUUCUUUUGACAUCAAUCUAAUACUCUUUAUUUUGGACGUCCAUUCCAAUCAAGGACAUCCAAAUGCCCCUUUUCCAAGUUUCCUUUUAAAAAUUUUAAGAUGCAACGGGUAUCUUCCUUUAAAGAUAUCCUUAACAUUUUUCAAGCAAGUCGUGGUUUGUUUUUUUUGUUUCUGGAACGAAAUAGGAACAGAAAACAGAAACGAAAAAAAGUCGUUUCUUUUGAAAAGGAACACUUCUUCGAUGGAACAAAAGAACACAAACCCAAGGAACAAAAGAACAAAAUCAGAACAAAGGCGAACUCUUCUCCUUCGUGCGUGCUCGUCGCUCCUCUCGUCUGCUGAAGGCUUCCUUCUUCCCUUUCCGGAGUCUCUUCCCUUCUCUCCGGGGGCUCCCACUCGGCUGACUCUACCGGCGACUCCUCACUACCGGCAAUUCACGGUACGUUUCUAGGUGGUCCUCCUUCUCCGGGUAGCUUUGCUCCCCCUUCGGGNNNNNNNNNNNNNNNNNNNNNNNNNNNNNNNNNNNNNNNNNNNNNNNNNNNNNNNNNNNNNNNNNNNNNNNNNNNNNNNNNNNNNNNNNNNNNNNNNNNNGAUCAACUAUGAGCACAACCCUAUAGGCGCCUUGAUAAAAUGCCUGAUUUAUGAAAUGAAAAGCAAAGUCGAAAUCUAGGAUGUCAUAACUCUUCCUCUCUUAAAAAAAUUUCGUCCUCGAAAUUUAAACCUUUACCAAAUCUUUUAAUAAAAAUGUGGGGGUAUCAUAGUCUCAUCGAGUCUCACUUUUUCCGGUUACUUCUUUAGUCCCGCAGUGUUGUUAGAUGACUUUGACCAAGGGGAAUGUCCUUGAACCACGACUUGCUUGCGCAUAAAUGAAAAGUAUAAAUAAUGUCCCCCGUCUUUGCUCCUCCUCACAGCACCAUGGAUCUUCCCUCCAUUGUCUCUGUCCUGGCCAACUUCAUCCAAGUGAAAUUCCAGGGGAAGUCGCCUUCACCCUUUGAAACCCACCCCCUCGCCACCCGUGUCGCCAUCUGCAGCCUCCUCCUGCAUUUCUCGUUGGGGCGUGUCGCUACUCGGCUACCACCGCCUCUCGGCCCUGCUCUUUCCUGUGAUGGAGCAGCGCGCCUCCUCUUCCACUUCACCGGUUUGACAUCGGUGUUUUCGCUCGCGUGGUUGCUGCUCCACGACUCCUUCCACUCCCUCCUCUGGUUCGUGCUGUUCCUGUUGCUUGCCGUGCGUCUGUUACGGGGCCUCAUUCUAAGACUUUGGCUGUGGUUUUACCACAAACUCGUUCUCAUGAUUAUCCGUGCGGGGGGCUCCCGUGUAUGGCACGGUGGAAGAGCGCAGUCACAUUUGCCACGCCCGGUCGUGGAUCUGCGUUUCAUGCUGGAAGUUUGAGCGCUGUAAUUGUUCGAGUGACUGCUCCCUGCUUGGAAGAAGUAAUUUUAAUUGUAUGACCACUUCAAAUCAAAUAAUUAGUACGUUAGGAACCUAAGCUAGUUUUGUAUAAGAUGCACUUGGGGUUUUCUUCUCUUUAUCUGGAGCCAAAGCCGUAAGGAAUCCCCAAGCCUUCGGCGUCAAAUUAUCUCCCGAUCAUAACAAAGGAGAGCAGGGAACAAGCAAAAACUACCUAUGUAUCUUUCCUAUUCCUAGCCAUGAACGGUGAUGGACCUUGUAGUGACUAGAUCUGAUUAAGAUAGGCUAAGCCCUCGAAAGAAAUUUGGAUCUAUUGUUAUCGAAGAGAUUGAAGACGACCUCAACAAUUGUUAUGACGAGUAGAAUGGUCGUUUCUACUGGCCAUAUAAGGGGUAGUAAUGGUUCUUGAGGUUGAAGCUUCUGACCUCUUUGAAAACGUUGUUGAGUGUUGCAGAUUUCCUUCUUUUUUCAGUGAAUCUCUUUGUAGCUUUCUGUUUGGCCAGUGGAUGGAUAUGUGUGAUUUUACGUUCCUUGCUGGUGUACUAUGGUUUUGCUUAUAUGAACUGGGAUAAAUUGAUGCCUUGGAGAUGUGAGCACAGCUGCAGUUUCAAAAGCUUUGAUCUAACACUAACAUCAUUGAAUGAUCCAAAUCAAAAUGAAAGAUGUCAGCUUUUUCAUCUCUCUCGCAUAUACACUGUUACUGCUUACUAGCUAUUCCGAUGAUAAUAUAGUUGUAGUUUGUCAUUGCAGAAUGUGGGAAUGGUUACAUCAUAUGGUCUUCAUUUGAGCUCUGAGAGGUGACAACUACUAGAUCUUUGCUGUGGCAAACGUGUUAACUUGCAAUCUAAGACUUCAUUGUCUAGCUGGCUGAUUGACAUUCAAGUUGCCAGGGCCAAGGGGAGAAAAGAAUGCUGAAAUGUCGAUUUUUUUUUUUCUCUGUAGGCUUUAGUUCAAGAUUACUAAAUUUUGGCAAGACUGUAGAUGUUAAAACCGAAAUUUUCCCAUCUUCAUGUGCUAAAGAAUUUACGGUUCAUGUGUGCAAUGCUAGAUAGAUAGUAUGCAGAUGCUUGAGACAAUUCCGUACAAACUACACACAUUUGAUGUUCGUAUCUGAGGAAAUAAUUAGACCAGCAAGCUUCUUGACAAGUUGAUUCAUAAUCAAAUCAUGCAUCCCAAUGUUAGCACGUCAUCUCAUUACAUAGAGCACUCAAGUCUCGCACUUCAAAAAUAUGAUAUUUAUCUGCUUUACUGCAGAGAACAACAAUCUUGGAAGUCGACUGUAGCAGUGACACCAAUUGACUUGCAUGACAUCAAACAGAAAGGAAAUUCUUUUCAUAUUGAUAAGUGCCUCCCCAACUCUGCAAGUACAUGCACUUCACUUGCAGUUUUUCGAGACCAACAUUGCACGUCUUUUCUUGAGGACCUCCAAUUGUGUGCUCAUUCUUUUCACUUUUACCUGCAGAAUUGCAAUAUUUUCAUCUAGUUCAGCAAUAGCAGGGUCUCAGGUACGUCCACCAUUCCAGAAACCUGAUUUAAAAGGUGUUUGGUAUUGGAGCAUUUUCCGUUGAUUACUACUUAUUGUGGAGGAUGAAUAUAUAUAUACGAUGUUAAAAAGGAACAUGGCUACUCACCACAUCAUAUGGCAUUGUAUCCAUUUGUCGCCUAAAGUCUGUUUAGUAAGAGAUCAUUUCUGUGAUGAAAGCGCACUGUGGGCAAAACACAUUUGAUACGAGUAAUCAAUGGGCAGGGGCAUUCAUGGCAGAUGUAAGCACUCAGAUUCAGGUUCCUUAUCUUCUCACAAAGGUCACAAUAGUACUCACUGGUAUCAUCUUUGAUGAAUGAAUCGUAAAGAGUGAAUUGAUGAAAGUUAAUGGCAAUCUUUUACUGUGGUGGAAGGCAAUCUGUGAUGAUUAAGAUUGCACUGCACACAACCAUUGAAGACAAACCUGCAAAAUUUACUAGAGACACUGCUUAGGAAAUACAGUUCAUUAGAUCUAAAAUAAGAAAGAGUAUAUGCUCGUGGAGGUGUUGUUUCAAAGUGUGCCUUUCAAAAGUGCAUGAAAUGUUGAAGUCAUAGUCACAUUCCAUGCAGUGAAAGAUAGAGAGCCGACGCUCUACGACAUAUUUCAACAGUGUUCCUUCCUAAUAUGAGAAGAAAAAAGGAUGUGUGGGGUGAACAGGUUCUUGCAUGACUGAGGGCAAUUCAGCACAUGAUUAAUAGAGCAUAAGAGCAGCUUUGCUUCCACCAGCAAUAGGCUAAACAUUUGAUGCUUUAUCACAAGCCUCACAUGGACCAUCCCUCAUAUGACAGUUCCAGCGGCAGACAACUAUAGACCGCACCUGGUAUGUUCUGUUCACAAGCUUUGCACCUGAUUCUGCUUUCGAGUUUCAUGUGGAAGACCAGUGGAUGCUGAUGGUCACAAUUGUAAAAGACCAAGUCCUUCUUGCCCUUCAGGUCUUGCAAACAUAGAGUUCAAGCCAUGCAGUCCAUGUCAAGGCUGAAUUUGUAUUCACUGCAGUAGGAAACCAUGGCAGACGUUAUGUUUAGCUCCUCAAAUUUAUUGAAGAGAGACGGUAAUUAUGGAGAGAAGCAGGAGAGACAGGGUUAUUAUGGGGAGACAGGUGUUGCAUCUCUGGGGGAGAUCCGAUGCAGCUUUUGUGGAGAAAGAAUAUGCAAGCAUAGCAUCCAUAGGCCUCCCCCAAGAUUGCCUACUCGCAGGCUUUGCAUUUGAUUCUAUUUUUCAUCCCAAGAUGAUGGGAUGUGAGUAGAUGCUCAUGAGCAUUUUUUGAAUGGCCACAUUCUGAGAAUCCUCAUUAGGAGGACAAGCAAUCUUGGGCCGUGCAGUAACAAUUGAUGGAUCCAACUGGCAAGAGAAGGUUUUUAUAUAUAAAUGCAAAAUACUGUUUGGAAUGUAUAUAUCACUAGACUGGUGAGGUCACGUAUUUCCUCGUGACAAGUCUGUUAAGAAUAUGGACGAGCCUUGAUAAGCCAUUCCCUCUUGGGUCCAGCCGUCGAUCACAUCUAACUUCUACCAUAAGACUUAGUGUUCCAGACAAUGAGUGACUAAGUUUGCUAGGAAAUAAAAUGAUAGUGCAGCUCCAAGAUAAGUAUUUAUAGAUACCUUUCAGUGAUUUUAGAGUCCUCAAAACGAGCAGUUUCUCAAGAACAGAUCAGAGAAAACAUGUAACCUUGGAGCAUAAUAAUACAUGUCAUUAUUUGAAGGGCUGAACAGAAAUAUGGGAUGUGAUUUGAGGACUGAACCGAUGAUUUAGAUGCAGAUGGUAAUAAAUUCUUUUAUCCGGACUCUGAAGGUUACCCAUUUUGUAUGUGAUGUGCAGGAUUGCAGGUAUAAAGCAAAUCAAAUUAUGUUAGCAAAAAAUUUGGUACCAUCAUUUCCAAUGAAAGCAAUAUGUGUGAUAAAUGUUGUUGGCCAUGGAAACUGGAAAGAGCAAUAGAUGAUUCAUCUUCAGUGAAAGUAUGUCUCACAGACAACAGUAUCUUUCUCUUCUGGGUUGACCAUUCUUCCUCCUCAGGCAAUUUUUUCUAUCUACUCCAUCAAUUAAGUAUGCUACCCUUUAAUCCAUAGGAACUUCUCAUCAUUUGCAGGGUUUGGUUGCCCAAAAUCGAAUUGGCUUCACCAAAACUCCUCUUCUCUAGAAGCCUGGCCAGCAAAGUGUCCCGCUGGCAGUAGAGUGCUAAACUUCACCUUGCUUUUGUGACAUGCAUUCCAUAGUCAAGGGUGAGUCCCAUGCAUCAGUUUGUGGAUCGUGGUCUUAAAUGCCAAUCUCUACAAAUUCCUGUGGGAGGUCCAAAUUAUAUGCAUUUUAAUUUUCAUGUGGGUUCGUUCAUCAUUUGAUUUGACCUUGCAGUUGAUUUUCUUCUCACAUAUAUCUACAAGCCUAAAUGCUUAUUGUGAAAAAUAAUUCCCAGGAGAGUUAUCGUGAUACUAGGUCAAAUAAUGAAGCUAAGAAGUUGAUCAGCAGUAUGACUUAAGAUGGCAAGACUGUCAAAUGCUUCUGCUAAUUCAGUAGCAGAUACUUCAAAUUGUUACCAUCAACGAAAGGGCAAAUGUUAUUGAAAAGACAAAAAUAAUUUGACAAUUAUUGCGACUAGAAGAAUGGGGAGAUAUUUCAUUGUUUGCUUCCAGUUUACCUAAGAUCCUACUGGACCAAAAGAUUUGGAAUUUUUUUUUUUUUUUUUUUACUGAAGAGAGAAAAAGAGGGACAUUCAUGAAAGAAGGUACUUUUACUAGCAUUUUCGGAUACCAACUCCUUAUCAUCAAAUUGCCACGUGUCAAGCGUUGUCAUAUGGUUGUUACUAGUUGCCAAAAUAAAGUCAAAAUAAAGCUCCUGAAUUCUCUGAAAAUAUGGCAAGCGUUGUAGUUUUGCUUUUCUUUUUCUGGCAAAUCUCUUCGUAACUUUCUGUUUGACCAUGGAUCUAUAUGUGUUAUUUUACAGAAUCUUUGACCAUAUGCAAUGGUUUUGCUCAUUUAUCCAUAUGAACAAGGAUAAAUAGAUGCCUUGGAGACAUGAGCACAGCUGCAAUGUCAGAGCUUUGUUCUAUUGCCAUAGAUCUAGCAGAAUCAAAAUGAACAAUGUCAGUCUUUUCAUCUCUGUCCCGUAUGCACGGGUACUGCUUACUAGCUAUUCUGAUGAUGACAUUGUUUGAGUUUGUAACUGCAGAAUGACAAAGUGGUUAUAUCAUAUAGUCAGCAUUUUACCUCCGAGAGGUGACAACUAGAUCUUUGUUGCAGCGAAUGCGUUAACUUGCUUCGGCAACAAGAUUUAUAAAGACACUUCUUCUGUGGUGUAUCCUGUAUGUAUCAAGAAGCUUUUGGAUCUGAAUUAUGCAAUUACUAUGUUGUCUCUCUGCCCGACUGGUUUUCAGCCAGGAGCUAGAAUUGUUGCUUUGGUUGGAGAUUCAAGUUGCCAGGGCCAAAUUGAGAAAAGAACGCUUGAUUUCUUUUUUGGGAGGCUUUAGUUCAAUAUAACUGAAUUUUGGUAGACUGCAGAUGUUAGAACUGAACUUUUCCCAUCUUCACUUGCUGGAAAAGAAUUUACAGCUCGUGAAAGCAAAGCUAGAUAGCUAGUAUGCAAAAGCUUGAGACAAGUCUGCACAAACUGCACACAUCUGAUAUUCAUUUUCAGGGAAAUAAUAAGACUGGCAAGCUUCCUAACAAGUUGAUUCGUAAUCAAGUUAUGCAUCCCAAUGUUAGUACUCCUAUUCAUAAAUAACACAGAGCACACAAGUCUUAUGCUAAAAAAUAUGAUAUUUAUCUGAUUUUGCUGCAGAAGAUAAAAAUAUCGGAUGUCAAGUGUUAGUGGUGAUUCCAACUGACUUGCAUAUAAGUGGGUAAGCUGAAACAUCAAACAGAAAGGUGGUCUCCUGCCUCCCCAAUUCUUUCCUUCUGGAUAAGAGCGCCCAUGCACUUCGCUUGCUGCUUUUUGAGACCAGCAUUGCAAGUCUUUUUUUGGAGUUCCUCCAAUUGUGUGCUCACUGUCCACUUUUUCCUGCAGAAUUGCAAUUUCUUCAUCUAGUUCAGCUAUAGCGGGGCUUCAGGUACUUCCAUUACUUCAAAAUAAAUUUUGUAUUACCAUAUUUCCUGUUGAUUAUAUUUUAUUGUGGAGAUUUGAGUCUGUAUAUGAUGUAACAAAAGAAAAAAGAACAGGGCUAUUCACAUCAUGGGGCAGCAUCUUGUAGCCGUUUGUUGGCUAAAGUCAGGUUAGUGAGAGACCACUUCUGUGAUGAAAGCAUACCGUGGGUAAAACACAUGUCGAUAUGAGUAAUCAAGGGCAUUCAUUGGCAUUCAUUGCAGCCAGAAGCACCCAGAUUCAGGUCUUUUUUCUCUCAAAGGUCACAGAGGUACUAACUGGCAUCAUCUUUGAUGGACGAAGUGUAAGGUGUGAGUUGAUGGAGGUGAUGGCCAUCUUUUAUUGUUGGUGGUAACUGUGGAAGGCAAUCAUGAUUUACAUUAAGAUUGCACUGCGCAAAAACGUGAAAGUCGAAUGUGCAAAAUUUACCAGACACUGCAUCAGUAGUGCAGGUCAAUAGAUCUAAUACAAGAAUGAGUAUAUGAUCGUGGAGGUGAUGUUUCAACGUGUGCCUUCCAAAAGUGCAUGGAAUUUUGAUGUCGAAGUUGCAUUCUGCGCAGCAAAAGACAGCGUCAAUGCUCUUCACAAUGCGUCAGUGAGCGUUCCUUCCUGAUACGGGAAGAAGUGGAUGUGCAGGGUGAACAGGGUGUUGCAUAACUGAGGGCAUUUCAGCACAUGAUUUAUGGAGCAGGAAAGAGCAGCACUGCUCCAGCGGCAGCGGAUGAUUGUGAAUUGGAGAAAGAAGAGGCAAUCCAGACAAACAUAGACCUCACCUAGUAUGCUUUACACUCUGAUUCUGGUUUCAAGCUUCACGUGGAGGGCACCAACUAGAUGCUGAUGGGCGAAAUGGCAAAGAAACUGGGCCUUUCUUGCCCUCCAGGACUUGUGAACGUAGACUUAUAGCCGCACAAUCCAUGUCAAGGCUGAAAUUGCAUUCGCUGCCGCGGGAAACUAUAUGGCAGGCAUAACGUUGGAGGUCUGCCAAUUGAUCGAAAGGAAGAGAGAUGGUGAUCCCGGCGUUGCAUCUCUAGGGGGAGAUUCAAUAAUUAUAAAGCUGAGUUGAAAACAAAAUAAAGAGGUGCUCUUCUUAGUAAUUACAAGUAAGCCUGUCUAAAUGAUGGAAUGAACUAUAUUUGGAUGAAAUAAAAAUUAUGAUGCAUGCACAUUUUUCAUCUAUGGUGAUCAUCUUCCUUUCACUAGUUUGUACGCUUCUUUUGCUGGUACUUUGAAUUUAUUAUACUAAUCAAAGUAACGAUUGGUCCGACCUUGAUUUUGAACCGGGUCAAAUCCUUUUUUUGAGGUAUAAAAGGAAGACAGAAUGCUCUCUUUUUUAUCAUAUUUAUUGUCUCAUGCUAAGGUGUUUGCGUGUAUAUAAAAACCUCUUUUCAAUAACCACUGGGAUUUGCCCCAGUGGCCACCCUUCCAAUAUGGAAGGGGGAGGUGAGAGGUUCAAAUCCCCACUCUCAGGGGGGGAUGGGGUGGGGACGCAUAAGUUUCAAAAGUGGGUUUCGACUUCCACGCCCUGCACGAGGCAGAGCAAGAGUCUAAAAGUAAGUGUAAAGUAGGAAUAGAAUAGGACUGAUAACAAAAAAAAAAAAACGUGCAGGGCAAGAGUCUAAGAGUAAGUGUAGAGUAGGAAUAGAAUAUGACUGACAAAAAAAAAAAAAAAACUACUUUUCAAUCUCCUUUAAUGACUCUCUCUCUCUCUCUCUCUCUCUCUCUCUAAGAGAGUUUCCAAUGGGUCUCAGGGGAAGCUUCGGUGUUAACAUUGCAAUGGUUGGACUAUGCGGUGUUACAUGAUGAUCCAAUGGCCACUCAUGGGCAGAAGUGGGGCUUUCAAGAAAGUUGGAAAUUCUUUUUUAAAAAGAAAAAUCAAGGUAGAAUUGCGAUUAAAAUUAAAAUUUGAGAUUUUUCUAGGAGAUUAGCCCAUAAAAGCCCAUACUUCCAUCAACAAUUCAAGGUGUCUCAAACCGAAGAAAAUGCAAUUUUUAGUUAAGAUGGAAACCAUUUUUAGCAAUAUUUCACCAAGAGAAAAUGCUUGCUGCUUCAAAAGUACUUUAAUAGGAUUUUGUAUAUCCAACAAUUAUAGAAAUAGGUGAGUUUGUGCAUAAAACAUGGGGACACGAGAAUGCUCAUGUUGUGAUAUAUUAUUUGCACAAUAAAUGGAUAAUUAGAAAAAAGAGAGGAGCGGCUAUUAUUACAAUAUGAAAUUGGUAAGAUUAUAAUGAUAUAGAAAAACAAUGAUGAUAUAUUGAUGUAUGUUUUCAUUUUGUUGAUUUUGUGAAUAAGAUUUCUCCUUUAUCUAUUGUCACACCCCAAAUCUAUAAAAUAAGGAAAAUGACACCACCAUGCUCUUAUUCAAAGGAUGUAGCAUCAAAUUAUCAAAAUAUAUAUUCAUCUAUAUACUUGAUAAAGAGUGAGUUGGUUACAAACUCAAGAAUUCUAAAAUUCAUUAAAAAUAAAAGUAUGACUCAAUCUCCAAACUCAAUUAAACCCCACAAAUAUCAUCCCAGACAGAUAUAAGUACCUAAACUCACAUCCAAAUCUAACUGUAACUAAUUUCCCGCCGAUAAUGCUCAUGUCCUACUUUAGCUUACCAGAAAAAGAUUUGGAAUGAAUAAUAUGAGCAAUCACAGUUUAGUGACUAAUCCAAAUCUCUCCUAAAUAGAUCAAGAAUUUGCUAUGAUAAAUCAAUACUAGAGAUUGAUUUAUCCAAAUCCAAUAUAUUAUGUACAAUAAAAUCAAAAUAUGAAUAAUGUCACUUUAACGCAACUUUAUACUAAUAAAUUAUAUACCAAAAGGGUAAUAAAUGCUCAAUCUAAUUUUAUGCAACAAAUAUGUUUCAAAUAUUACUUUUUCAUUUAAAAAAAAUCAUUUUGUGCAAUGUUCUUCACAACUUAUAAUAUAUCAAAUCCCUAUCACUUUCAAGACAUGAGCUUAUAAUUUUUUAGAGGAUAACAACCACCCCUAAAUAAAAUGCAAAUCGAAAGUUACGCCACUCGAAGAGUCUCAAAGUCCUAUCAAAGUUGAUUUAAAUGUCAAACUUACAUGUCAACUAACCUCGACUACAACUUGAGUAGGCAAUACCAUAUUCUUGAGUAAAAUCCUCCACUAGACAAAAGAUCUUUGAACAAUUACAUUGCAAAUAGAGUAGACCUCAUCUUAAAAUUUCAAUUCAAGCGAGCUUACUUUCAAAAGAAAACUCUUUCGAAUUAAUUAUAAAGCCAAAAGAUGGUCGGAGAAGGGUGAAAUUCAUUGCCAAACAUAGUAAUUCGAAAACUGUUUUUAGCAAUGCGCAAAAUUUUAAAAAUUCAUCCAAAUCAAAUCAUUAACCUACAUUAACUUUUUUAAAGUCCUGUUAUGCAAUACCCAAAAAUUUCUUUACAACAUAAUUUCACAGCUUAAAAAUCUAUAGAAUAGACCUGGCAACAUAGAAUUCAUACAAAACCUAAUUUACGAUUUAGUUACGAAAACUCCUUCAAUUAGAUAAAUAAAAGUUUCGAAUCCUUACCGAAAUAGAAUUAAUCCGGUGCAUGUAGCAAGAGCCCCCUUUUGUCUCCUCUGUCUUUUUGUCGGUUUCUCUGGACUCAGCUUUCCUCAAUUUCUUUUUUUUUUCCGUGUUCUUCUUGGCCAUACUCUGUUUUCAUUUUAUUUUAUUUUUAUCUCUUUUUGCUCCAGUAAUUCCCUUACCCCGGCAUCAACUGAAGCAGGACCAAAGAAAGGGCUUUAACGAGACACUUGGGCUUGAGCUCACUGUUUUGCUCUUAUUUAUCAUUUUUUGCCGGAGGUGGUGGUGUAGGGCUGGCCGUAGCCGUAGUUGGGCGGCGCGUGGGGGUAGCCUGACAUUUUUCCGGGAGGAGCGACGCGCGAGGAUAUAUUUUCUUCCGGUCAAACUUCUAUUUUUUUUUUUUUUCUGGGAGGGGGCAAAAAGAGGCGAAGCUUUUCCGGGGUUCGCUUUGGGGGAGGGCUUGACGCGUAUAAAUUAGACGAGCGACACCGCCUCGCGUUGCGAAUUGGGGGUUCGGAUAGGAGGUAAUUUACGAGAUUGCCAUUAUUAUCCGGGGAACCGUGCCGAAUUUCGAAACGGAAAUUUAGGGUGCGUUUGUUUGCGUUUCUGUUUAAAAAUUGUUCCAGGAAACAGAAAUAGAAAAAAGUGUUUCUGUUCCUGGGAACAAUUUCUGAACAAAAAAACGCGUUUGGUAACUGUAUAAAAUUUCUGUUUCUGGAAUAGAAAAAGAACAGAAACACGUUUGGUAACUGUAAAAAAAUUUUGUUUGCGUUUCUGUUUAAAAAUUGUUCCAGGAAACAGAAAUAGAAAAAAGUGUUUAUGUUCCUGGGAACAAUUUCUGAACAAAAAAACGCGUGUGGUAACUGUAUAAAAUUUCUGUUUCUGGAAUAGAAAAAGAACAGAAACACGUUUGGUAACUGUAAAAAAAUUCUGUUUCUAGAAUAGAAAAAGAACAGAAACACGUUUGGUUAUGUACAAAAUUUAUGUUCCAAUUUUUUUUCAAUUGUUUUUUUUUUAAUAAAAUGUGAACUUGGUAUUGAAUUAUCAUUCUCAUGAAAUGCUUAUCAAUUUAAUUUUGUUCAUAUUAAGUGAAAACAAACAUUCUAAACUUAAUCAUAUUUGCUUAGUCGGAAUAAAUUUUUUUAAGUUCAUACCAAAAUUUUCCCAUUUGUUUUUUUUUUAAAAUAAAGUGUAAACUUGACUUUGAAUUCUCAUUAUCAUAAAAUGCUCAUCAAUUUAAUUUUGUUCAUGGUUAGUAAAGUCAAACAUUUUGAACAUGGUUAUAAGUGCAUACUCUGAAGAAAAUUUUAUAAAUAAACUUUGUUCCAAAUUUUUCUCACGUGCCUUUUUUUUUCAAUAAAGUGUAAACUUGGUAUUGCAUUAUCACUCUAAUGAAAUGCUCAUCAAUUUAAUUUUGUUCAUGGUUGGUGAAGACAAACAUUUUGAACAUGAUCAUGUGCAUACUUGGAACAAAAUUUCAUAAGUAAAAAUCCCAUAAUAAGAGCUACCUAAAAGAAGAAUACUUCAUAGAUCUCUACGUAGACCCUUUCAUACAUAACAUCACAAUAAUGAAGUAAUAUAGUUCAUUGUUCAACUUCAUCAUAUUAGAUUUGAUAAGUGAAUACUUAAAAACAAAAUUACAAAAGUCGGAAACACAAAGUCAUGAAAUUUAGGCAUAUUAUGAUCCAUCGCCAUUUUAUUUGCAAUCCUUGUCCUAAGCAUGUUUAUUCCAGGUGCAUCAUGCAAUGUAUCAUCUGCAACCUCCAAUUCUAUAGGUCCGCAUGGAACUUUGGAUGGAUCCACCGAAGUUCUCAAAGCAUCAGCGUUCACUUGAGAAUGAAUCAACCAAUUGAGGAUGUACCUUAAGUAAAGAAAAAUUCAAGACAAUAAGCAAUAAGGCAACAACGAAACAGCACCCUCCAUUCUCGCAAAUCCAUAACUUAAAGAGAAAAAAUCGAAGCAUUAUAGCCAUAAGAUAUGAAGGAUCUCGCAUAAUGUAUAAUCCCCAACAUUCCUACAAAAAAAAGUCAAACAACGUUGUUCUUAUAGAUUCACAAAGAAUGUACUAAAUGAACAAGUCAACAACGUUGUUCUUCUCACGUGCCUUUUUUUUUCUGUUCUUUUCUUUUCUUUCACUUUUAUUUUUCUCCUCCCCUUUAGUCUACCCCUCUACACGUUCUCUUCUUCGGGCGUCAUCUUCUUCCUUUUGUCUUUCUCACUUUUAACACCCAUUUUUUCCUUUUUCUUCCUCGACUUCCGAUUGGAUCAAAAUGUGGCUGAGUCGCAAGGGUUCAUAGAGACACACAGAAAAUACUAAUAUUAGACCAAAUCCAAGCAAUACGGGACAAAACGCAAAUUGAGAAGCUUUAACACAAAGGCAGAAAAAUAAAUAACAAUAACUUCGACAUUGAUUCACAUCACUUUGAUAUAUUCAGCCACAAAUCCAUAGAUCUACAUGAUGUCAUAGAGAUUGAGACAUGAUGUCAUAGAGAUUGAGAUUAAAGAAACAAUAAUGUAUAGAACUCUGAGAGUGAUAAAAGGCUAUUUUGUCAUGCCCGAUGUUGUCAAUUGACAGUCCACACACAAUGAAAAGUGUAGCAGCAGUAAGCAGACGCUCGCUUGGCAACAAUAACUUCUAUGCUCGCUGUUGCGAGCGCUCGAGAGAGCAGAGCAGGGCUCGUUGCUCUGCUCGCUUGAUUCAGGCAUUUGCAUGAUUCUUGCUAACUACUUUGAUUGACAUUAAUAGAUCAAUAAAUGGAGAAAGACUAGGAAAAUACCCACUGGAAGAUAUUGGCCUAGAUAGGGCAUCGUUUUUUUUGCCACAGAACAACAGGAUCGCGGGACAAAGAUCAACAGAACAGCAACUCGUCAUGGUGUCGAGGAACGCCAGCAAAGGCCAGAUAUUUGCCCCGUUUCGUGCCCUUUCCCCCAUCACCAGUGCCAGCACCAUUGGGCACGGCAGAAGAGCCGCCGAUGGUUCCAGUUCCGACACACAGCGGGCGGCUCGCUGGAGCCUGAGCAGCAGCGACGCUCGCUGCUCUGCUCGCUCGAGCCGAGCCUGAGCAGCAGCGACGCUCGCUGCUCUGCUCGCUCGAGCCUGAGCAGCAACGACGCUCGCUGCUCGAGCAGCAACGAUGCUCAAUGCUUUGCUCGCUCGCCCAGAUCUCGAGCGAGCAGAUGAGCUGCUGUCGCAAAUCUGGGUGAGCAACGCUCGCCCAAAUCUGCGAGACUCGCUCAAGCAAGCGGCUCGCAGAUCUGGGCAAGCGCUGGCUCGAGCGAGCCCUAACACUCGAGCUCUCGUCGAAGUGAAGACAAUCAGUGAAGGAGGAGCAGUGACCACGUUUACCUGGUGAAGGAGCAGCGGCUGUCGAGACAGAGGCCGCUGUUGGCGCCGGAGAAGACGAUGGAAUUCUCUGCUCGCAGGAGGAGACGCUCGUUGCAGGAGGAGACGCUCGUCGCAGGUCGCAGGAGGAGAAGCUCGUCGCGGGGGGGAGAGAGGCGUUGUUUGAGCACUAUCCAAGAAAUAAAAAAGGAACACAAUUUUGUUCCUUUUUUGUUUCUGAUUUGUGUUUCAGAAACAAGAAACACAAAAUUUGGCUGCGUUUGGUUGUAUUUCUUUUUUUUUGUUUUUAAACACUUUUUCUGUUUUUUGGUUCUUUUAUUCCCAGGAACAAAAAAGAAAUAGAAACAAGAAACACAAAUUUUGUGUUUCUUGUUUCUGAAACACUUUUGAGAAACACUUAUUUUUUUUUCUUUUUUCUCUUAUUUUCUUGUUCUUUUUUCUUUUGGCCGGACGCCGGCCUCGGUCAUGGUCGAGGACCGGCCGACGAGGGCCGGCGGCCUCGANNNNNNNNNNNNNNNNNNNNNNNNNNNNNNNNNNNNNNNNNNNNNNNNNNNNNNNNNNNNNNNNNNNNNNNNNNNNNNNNNNNNNNNNNNNNNNNNNNNNUUGAAAGAUAGAAAAUAUAUUUUCAAAUUUAGAAGGUUUUUAUUAUUGAUGAAAAAUGCAUUUUCUAUCGGUUCAUUUUGUGAAACGAAUAUUGAAAAAUGCGAGAAUUUUGUUUCCGAAAGUUUUUCUUCGUGAAACGAAGGAAGCUUGGCAAUUUGGACACAUCAAGAAAAAAAGCGACCUUCCUUUGAUUAUUCGUUUUAUUCCUAAGUACGGUCUACUUUUUGAGUUCCUAUUCUGUCGAAACAAGACCGUCAUUUUCCAGAGGAAAAUCAGCCAAUCACCGACCGUCCUUGGCACGGGCCUGGGUGUGGUGGGGGGCGGGGAUCCAGCGGUUCCCCACGUGCGGGCCCUACCAGGAGUUCCCGCGAGUCGUGGGGGCCACGUGCGGAUUCCGCACCGUUUUUUCUUUUUGAAUUUUGGGAACCUCGAAAAACGGAUAAAAGGAGUGCAGGCCCACUUCGCAAAAUCAAUUUCGGAAAAGACGUGACGGGUGUUUUUUUUUAAAAAAAAAAUACAUUCGUUUAUCAAAUUAGAGUUUCAUCGAGAAAGAAAAGAAAAAGAGAGCAGAAAUUAGAGAAUGCCUAGUGCCAACUCCCGCACACCGACAGAGCACCGGCCAAAAGAAGAAAAAAAAUAUGAAAAGGAAAAAAAGGAAAAAUAAGAGAAAAAUAGAAAAAAUAAAAGAAAUAAAAAAAAUUAUCCAAAAUUACCAAACAUGUUUCUGUUUAUUUUUUAUUCCCGGAACAAGUUUACCAAACGCGUUGUUUUGUUCAAAAAUUGUUCCCCGGAACAGAAACACUUUUUUUUAUUUCUGUUCCCUAGAACAAUUUUUAAACAGAAACGCAAACAAACGCACCCUUUGUGUUUCUUGUUUCUGUUUCUUUUUUGUUCCUGGGAACAAAAGAACAAAAUAACAGAAAAAGUGUUUAAAAACAAAAAAAAGAAAUACAAACAAACGCAGCCUUACUAGUAAAGGCGACGACCUUUUCGAUUUUCGCAGGCAGUGGGCGAGUUCAAAUUUGACAGGCCUCUUUGCCCCCUCUGAUAACGUCAAAAUCGUCGUCCGACCGACAUGUGGAAAUUCAUUUAAAAAAAAAAAAAGAUAAGUGCUUCGACAUCGACUAAGAAUAUGCCUCGUAAGCUUCGUAGGCCUUAUGUUACAAGUGUUAAGUAAGGAUGAAGGGUUCCAAAUUCCUUAUAAAUUUUGUCUAAAUUCUAAAACCUACUUUUGGGUAUAAAUUUUUAAUUUUUUGGAACCUAAAACUUCAAUUCUAGAAUUCAAUGGAAUUUCGAUCUUGAGGUCUCUACAAUAAAGUGGCCAAAACUGAAUCAAUUUAGUUGCCCAUUGAUGGGUAAGAAAGUCUCUUUUUCUAACACAAGAAAAAAUAGAUGGCAAAGUUCAAAGGCCCUUCCUCCUCUCCAGUGGUGGGGUGAAUGCAGGGACCUUGGCGGACCCCCCGUGGGGAAGGUAUCUUUUUCCAGCCCCUUACCUCUUAGAAUAUUCCUGGCUUAUGUGACGCCAAAUCACUUAUGAAAGUACCAGGAAACAGGAUCGCUUUUGCUUUCUUGUCCUUUGGCUCGCUACUAAGAUGUUUCAGUUCAAUGUACCUAUCUUCACCACAACCGGCGCCAUGGACUUUAGCUCCAUCGUCUCUAUCCUUGCGGCGCACUCCCGUGUAUGGCAUGGUGGAAGAGCGCAGCCACAUCCGCCGCGCCCGGGCGUGGAUCUGCGUUUAUCGCUAGAAGUCUAAGCACUGUAGUUGUUCGACUGACUGUUCCCUGCUUGGAAGAACUAAUUUUAAUCGUAUUUGACUUCUUUAAAAUUAAAUGAGUAGUACUUAAGGAACCUAAGCUAGUUUUGUAUAAGAUGCACUAGGGGCUUUCUUCUCUUUAUCUGAAGCCAAACCCAUAAGGAAUCCCCAAGCCUUUGGCGUCAAAUUAUCUCCCGAUCGUAAGAAAGGAGAGCAGGGAACAAGUAAAAACCAUCUAUGUAUCUUUCCUAUUCCUAGCCAUGAAUGGUGAUGCACCUUGUAGUGACUAGAUCUGUUUAAGAUAAGCUAAGUCCUCAAAAGAAAUUGGGAUCAAUUGUUAUUGAAGAGAUUGAAGAUGACCUCAACAACAGUUACGACGAGUAGAAUGGUCUUUUCUAGUAGGCAUAUAGGGGGUAGUAAUUGUUCUUGAGGUUAUAGCUUCUGACCUCUUUGAAAGCAUUGCUGAAUGUUGCAGAUUUCCUUCUUUUUUUCUGGUGAAUCUCUUUGUAGCUUUCUGUUUGGCCAGUGGAUGGAUUUGUGUCAUUUUACAUUCUUUGCUGGUGUGCUAUGGUUUUGCUCAUUUAUCCAUAUGAACUGGGAUAAAUUGAUGCCUUGGAGACACAAGCACAGCUAAAAUUUCAAAAGCUUUGAUCUAAUACUAACAUCAUUGAGUGAUCCAAAUCAAAAUGAAAGAUGCCAGCUUUUUCCAUCUCUCUCGCAUAUACACCAUUACUGCUUACUAGCUAUUCCGAUGAUAAUAUAAUUGUAGUUUGUCAUUGCAGAAUGUGGGAGUGGUUACAUCAUAUAAUCUUUAUUUUACCUCGAGAGGUGACAACUAGAUCUUUGCUGUGGCAACUGCGUGAACUUGCAAUUUAAGAUUACGCCAUCUCGCUGACUCAUUGACAUUCAAGUUGCUGGGGCCAAGGUGAGAAAAGAAUGCUGAAAUGUAGAUAUUUUUCAGGAGGCUUUAUUUCAAGAUAACUGAAUUUUGGUUGACUACAGAUGUUAGAACCGAAAUUUUCCCACCCUGCAUGUGCUAAGAAUUUACAGUUCAUGUACGCAAAGCUAGAUAGAUAGUAUGCAGAUGCUUGAGACAAGUCUGUACAAACUACACACAUUUGAUGUUCGUAUCUGAGGAAAUAAUUAGACCAGCAAGCUUCUUGACAAGUUGAUUCAUAAUCAAAUCAUGCAUUCCAACGUUAGUACUUUGAAAUAUGACAGAGCACACAAGUCUUGCACUUCAAAAAUAUGAUAUUUAUCUGCUUUUUCUGCAGAGAACAAUGAUCUUGGAUGUUGACUGUAGCAGUGAGUCCAAUUGACUUGCAUAAGAACGUGACUUGUCAAUCAAAAAGGGUAGGUUCUCCUGACUCCCGAAUUUUUUUUCUUCUUGGUAAGUGCCUCCCCAACACUACAACUGCAUGCACUUCAAUUGCAGCUUUUAGAGACCAGCAUUGCAAGUCUUUUCUUGAGUACCUCCAAUUAUGUGCUCGUUCUUUCUGCUUUUUCCUGUAGAGUUGCAAUUUUUUUCAUCUAAUUCAGCUAUAGCAAGAUUUUCGGGUACUUCCACUAUUCCAGCAACCUGUAUUAAAAAAUGUUUGGUAUAAGCGCAAUUUCUGUUGAUUAUUAAAAAAAAAGUUUGGUAUUGUGGAGGAUGAGUCCAUACAUAUGACGUUCAAAAAGGAAUAUGGCUAUUUACCACAUUAUAUGGCAGCAUCUUGUAUCCAUUUGUUGGCUAAAGUCUGUUUAGUAAGAGAGCCCUUGUGUGAUGGAAGUGCAUCGUGGGUCAAACACAUUUGAUAUGAGUAAUCAAUGGGCAAGGGAAUUCAUUGGAGUCCUAAGCACCUAGAUUUGGGUCCCUUAUCAUCUUGCGAAGGUCAUAUUAGUACUCACCGGUAUCAUCUUUGAUGGACAAAGUGUAAAAUAUGAGUUGAAGGAAGUUGAUGACAAUCUUUUACUGCAGUGGAGGUUAAUCUGUGAUGAUUAAGAUUGCACUGCACACUACCGUAAAAGUCAAACCUGCAAAAUUUACCACAGAUGCUCCAUAGGAAGCAUGGUUUGGUAGAACUAAUAUAAGCAUGGUUCUGUCCCCUCUGCAUUCCACAGGCAAGGGUGAGUCCCAUGCAUCAGUUUGUGGAUCGCGCUUUCACACACUAAUCCCUACAGAUUCCUGUGGGAGGACCAAAUCCUAUUGAUUUGAAUUUUCAGCAGGUUCCUUUAUCAUUUGAUAUGAACUUGGAAGUUAAUCUUCUUCUCAGGUUUAUAAAAGCCUGAAUGCUUAUUGUGGAAAACAAUUACCAGGAGAGUUAUCAUUAUCCUAAGUCAAAUAAUGAAGCUAAGUACAUGAUCUACAGAAGAACUUAAGACUGCAGGACUGUCAAAUGCUUCUGCUCAUUCAAUAGCAGAUACUUAAAAAUUGUAACCUUUAACUGGAGUGUGAAUGUUACUGAAGAGACCAAAAAUACUUUGACAAUCAUUACAACGAGGAGGUUGGGGAGAUGUUUCAUUUUUUGUUUCAAGGUUACUGAAGGUCCUACUAGACCAAAAGAUUUGGAAGUUUUUUUCUUUACUGAAAAGAGAAAAAGAGGCAAGUUCAUGAAAAAUGGUGCUUUUACUAGCAUUUUUAGAUAUUGACUCUUUACUAACACAUUGGCACGUGUCAAAUGUUGUCAUAUGGUCGUUUCUAGUUGCCAAAAUAGAGUUAUGAACUAGGAUAAAUAAGAUGCCUUGGAGACGCGAGCACAGCUGCAAUAUAGAAGUUUUGUUCUAUCGUGACAGAGUUAUCCAUAUCAAAAUAAAAAAUGUCAGUUUUUUCAUCUCUGUCCCAUAUGCACGGGUACCGCUUCUUAGCUAUUCUGAUGAUAAUUUUGUUUGAGUUUGUCAUUGCAGGACGACAAGAGUGGUUAUGUCAUAUAGUCAGCACUAUCUCUCAGAGGUGACAACUAGAUCUUUGUUGCUGCAAAUGUGUCAACUUGCUUUGGCAAAUAAUAUUUAUAAAGGCAGCGACUUCUUUUGUGACAUAUCCUGUUUGUAUCUGGAAGCUCUUGGAUCUGGGUGAUGCAAUCUAAGACUAUGUUGUCUCACAGGCUGAUUGGUUUUCGUGGGGACCUAGAAUUGUGGCUUCAGUCAGAGAUUCAAGGUGCCAGGGCCAAGGUGAGAAAAGAAUGCUGAAAUAUGGAUUUCUUUUUUGGGAGGCUUUAGUUCAAUAUAACCGACUUUUGGUAGACUGCAGAUGUUAGAACUGAACUUUUCCCAUCGUCAUGUGCUGGAAGAGAAUUUUUGCAGUUCAUGAAUGCAAAGCCAUAUAGAUAGUAUGCAAAAGCUUGAGACUAGUCUGUGCAUACUACUUACAUCUGAUAUUCUUUUUUUUUGAGGAAAUAAUAAGACCCACAAGCUUCCUGACAAGUUGAUUCAUAAUCAAAUUAUGCAUCUUUUUGUUAGCACUCCAACUCUUAACAUAGACCAAACAAGUCUUACACUCAAAAAUAUGAUAUCUAUGUGCUUUUGCUGCAGAGAAUAACAAUCUCAGAUGUCGAGUGUCAGCAGUGAUUCUGUGUAACUACAUGCGCUUUGGAUGCAUCUUUUUGAGAUCAGCAUUGCUCAUCUUGUUUUUAGUACCCCCAGUCGUGUGCUCGCUCUGUCCUCUUUUUCCUGCAGAGUUGCAAUUGUUUCACCUAUUUCAGCCAUAGCAGGGUCUUCAGGUACUUCCACUAUUCCAGCAACCUGUAUUUGGUACUAGCAAGUUUUCUGUUAACUAUUACUUAUUGUGGAGGAUGAGUCUAUAUAUGUGGUGUUAAAAAGGAACUAAGCUAUUAAAUGGCACUGGCGGCAUCUUAUAUCCAUUAGAUGGCUAGAGUCUGUUUAGUAAGAGAGCACUUCUGGGAUGAAAAUGCACUGUGAGUAAAACACGUUUGAUAUGAGUAUUCAAUGGGCAAGGGCAAACAUUGCAGUUGUAAGCACCCAGAUUCAGGUCCCUUAACUUCUCGCAAAGGUCACAAUAGUACUCACCGGUAUCAUCUUCGAUGAACGAAGCGUAAAGUGUGAGUUAAUGGAAGUUAAUGGGAAUCUUUUACGUAGUGCUAGGCAAUCUGUGAUGAUUAUAUUGCAAUGCACACAACUGUAAAAGUCGAACUUGCAAAAUUUACUGCAGCAGACACUGCAUAGGAAGCACAGUUCGGUAGAUCUGAAUUAAGAAAGAGUACAUGGUCGUGGAGGUGAUGUUUCAAAGUGGGCCUCUCAAAAGUGCAUGGAAUCUUGAAGUUGUAGUAACUUUCCAUGCAGUGAAAGAGCGUCGACAAUCUUUACAACAUAUGUCAGCAAUGCUCCUUCCUGAUAUGAGAAGAAAAAGGAUGCGUGGAGCAAACAGGUUGUUUCAUAACAGAGGGCAAUUCAGCUCAUGAAUUAUGGAGCUGAAAAGAGCUGCUCUGCUCCAGCCAGCGAUAGGCUGAACAUUUGACGCAUUCAUCGCAGUCUUGCACAGACCAUCCUUCAUAUGACAAUGCCAGCAGCAGAGGAUGAUUGUGAGAGAAGAGGCAAUAAAGACAAGCAUAGACCUCACCUGGUAUGUUCUCUUCGCAAGCUUUGCACCAGAUUCUUCUCUUGAGCUUUGUGUGUAAGACCAGUCGAUGCUGAUUGUUGAAAUGGUUAAAAACCGAGUCCUUAUUGGCUCCAGAUCUUGUGAACGUAGCCGUGCAGUCCAUGUCGCGGCUGAAUCUGCAUUCGCUGCUGUAGGAAACCAUGGUAAGCAUUACAUUUAGCUCCUCCAAUUGAUCGAAAGCAAGAGAGAGAGAGGGUGAUCAUGGAGAGACAGGUGUUGCAUCUCUGUGGGGGGAUUCGGCGCAGCUUUUGUGGAAAAAGAAGAUGCACGCAUGGCCUCAAUAGACCUCCCCCAAGAUCGCUUGCUCGCAGGUUUUGCAUUUAUUUCUACUUUUCAUCCUGAGAUGAUGGGAUGUGAGCGGCUCUUGAGCAUAUAUUGGAUGGCCAUAUUCUGAGAAUCUUCAUCGAGCCUUAGUUGUGACUAGCCAGACGAAGCUAUAUCGGGCUGUGCAAUAAUAAUCGACCCAUUCGAAUGGCAAGAGAAGGUUUUCAUAUAUAAAAGGCGAAAUAUUCAUGGAAUAUAUAUAUAUAAUAUCUAUAUCACUAGACCGGUGAGGUCGUGUACUUCAUGGUGUCGUGAUCAACUUUUGCUAGGAAAAUAAAAUGAUAUUGUUUAUGUAUGCGCGUUACGGUUGGGUGAAUCAACCCAGCGACAUAGAUGGAUGAAAAGCAUCUCUGAAAGACGACACGUAAGCGGUGACGACUUUAUGCCCUUCUCAUUCCUCCCUUCUUUUACUCAUUUCUCAUCCCCCGUUUGUCCCUUUCACGUGGCCUCUCCCCAUUUCUCUCUCCUCUCUAAAAGUUUCCACAAAUAUUCCUCCUCAAUUCCUCGUUCUUUCUUUGUCACGAAAGUUGACAUUUAUGAUGCAAUUUGGACGAAAUAAAGAUUAUGAUGCAUAGGCAUUUUUCAUCUGUGGCGAUCAUCUUCAUUUCACUAGUUUGUAUGAUUUUUUUGCUAAAAUUCGAAUUUAUUAUGGUCCGACAAACCGCAUAGGGUUGGAUCAUGCGGCGUCACAUGAUGAUCCUAUGUCCCCGGGGGCACAUAUGAGAUCUCAAUUGAAUUUGGAGAUUUUUGUUUUUUAACAAAAGAAAAAAUUGAAGUAAAAUUGAGAUUAGAAUUAGAGUUGUGCAUCUUUUUAGGAAAUUAGCCCAUAAUGAAUCUUCCAGGUUAAUUGCGCACACUGCUGAAACACAGGAACAAAUAAAUAGGAAAGUUUAAAGGCGUUUCCCCGCUGUCCACCCCGGUGGUGGGGUGAACGCAGGGACAUGAUUGAUGUUUCUGCUUCUUUUAUUCGAGGUGACAUUUGCACCUAUUCAUGCUGUGAAUAUUAAUGAUGUCCAAAUUUCACUUCGAAUAAAAGAAGCAGAAGCGAAGCAUCAAUGAUGUCCCUGCCUGCGCCCAACACGGCGCCAUGGAUCUUACCCCAUCGACGAGGAUCCCAUCGUCUCUAUCCUCGUCGAUUUCAUCCUAGUGAGAUAUAGGGGAAGUCGACUUCGCCCUUUGAAACCCACCCCGUCGCCAUCGGCGUUGCCAUCUGCAGCCUGCUCCUGCGUUUCUUGUUGCUGCGUCUCGCUGAUCGGGCACCACCGUCUAGCGGCCGUGCUCCUUCUCAGGAUGCAGCAUGGCACCUCUUCAUCGACUUCGUCGGUUCGAUAUUGGUGGCUUCGUUCGCGUGGUUGCUGCUCCAUGACUCCUCCCACUCCGUCCCCUGGUUGUUCGUGCUGCUCCUGCUGCUUUCCGUGAGUCUGUUGUGCGGCCUCAUGCAAAAACUUUGUCUGUGGUUUUACGACAAAAUCCUCAUGAUGAUCAUCCGUGCCGUGCAGCGUGGUCUCCCGGCCGUGGAUCAGCGUUUAAGGCCGCAUCUCUAAGCUAGUUUUGUAUAAGAUGCACUCGGGCCUUUCUUCCGUUUAUAUGAAAACAUAAGGAGUCCCCAAGCCUUCGGAAAAAUCAAAUUAUCUCCCAACCAUAAGAAAGGAGAGCAGGGGACAAGUACAAACCACCUAUGAACGGUGAUGGACCUUGUAGCGACUAGAUCUGAUUAAGAUAGGCUCAGUCCUCAAAAGAAAUUGGGAUCUACUGUUAUUGAAGAGAUAGAAGAUAACCUCAGCAAUCGUUUUGACGAGUAGGUCUACUCUAGUAGCCAGGUAAGAGAUAGUAAUUGUUCUUGAGGUUAAAGCUUCUGACCUCUUUGAAAAUGUUGUUGAGUGUUGCAGAUUUUCCUUCUUCUUCUGGUGAAUCUCUUCGUAGCUUUCUGUUUGGCCAGUGGAUGGAUACGUGUCAUUUUAUAUUCUUUGCUGGUGUACUAUGGUUUUGCUCAUUUUUCCAUAUGAACUGGGAUAAAUUGAUGCCUUGGAGAGGCGAGCACAACUACAAUUUCAAAAGCUUUGAUCUAAUGCUAACAUCAACAAGUGAUCCAAAUAAAAAUGAAAGAUGUCAGCUCUUUCAUUUCUGUCCCAUAUACACCAUUACUGCUUAAUAGCUAUUCUGAUGAUAACAUAGUUGUAGUUUGUCAUUGCAGAAUGUGGGAGUCAUUACAUCAUAUAGUCUUCAUUUGACCUCUGAGAGGUGACAACUAGAUCUUUGCUGUGGCACAAGCAUUAACUUGCAAUCUAAGACUACAUUGUCUUGCUGGCUGAUUGACAUUCAAGUUGCCAGGGCCAAGGUGAGAAAAGAAUGCUGAAAUGUUGAUUUUUUUUUCUGUAGGCUUUAUUUCAAGAUUACUAAAUUUUGGCAGACUGUAGAUGUUAAAACCAAACUUUUCCCAUCUUCAUGUGCUAUAGAAUUUACAGUUUAUGUAUGCAAAGCUAGAUAGAUAGUAUGCAGACGCUCGAGACAAUUCUGUACAAACUACACAUCUCUAAUGUUCGUAUCUGUGGAAAUAAUUAGACUGGCAAGCUACCUGACAAGUUGAUUCAUCAUCAAAUUAUGCAGCCCAAUGUUAAUACUCCGAUUCAUAAAAUGGAGCACACAAGUCUUGCACUUCAAAAAUAUGAUAUUUAUCUGCUUUUACUGCAGAGAACAACAAUCUUGGAUGUUGACUCUAGCAGUGAGUCCAAUUGACUUGCAUAAGAAUGCAAGUUGAAAAAUCAAACAGAAAGGUAGGUUCCCCUGACUCCCAUAUUCUUUUCAUCUUGUUAAGUGCCUUUCGAACUCUGCAACUGCAUGUAAUUUGCUUGUGGCUUUUGGAAACCAGCAUCGAACAUCUUUUCUUGAGUACCUCCAAGUAUGUGCCCACUUUUUUCUGCAGAAUUUUAAUUUUUUUCAUCUAGUUCAGCAAUAGCAGGGUCUUCAGGUACUUGCACUAUUCCAGCAACUUGUAUUAAACACUGUUUGGUAUUGGUGCAUUUUCGGUUGAUUAUUACUUACUGUGGAGAUUAGUCUCUAUAUAUGAUAUUAAAAAGGAACAUGACUAUUCACCACAUUGUACGGCUGCAUCUUGUAUCCAAUUUUGGCUAAAGUCUGUUUAGCAUGAGAGUUCUACUGUGAUACAAGCACACCAUGGUAAAACAUAUUUGAUAUGAGUAAUAGAUGGGCAAGGGCAUUAAUCACAGUCAUAAGCACCCAGAUUCGUGUCUCUUAUCUUAUUACAAAGGGGACAAUAGUACUGCUAACUGGUAUUAUCUUUGAUGAACAAAGCAUAAGUGUGGGUUGAUGAAAGUUAAUGGCAAUCUUUUACUGAAGUGGAAGGCAAUCUGUGAGGAUUAAGAUUGCACUGCGCACAACUGCAAAAACCUAAUUUACAGUUUAACUACGAAAACUCUUUAAUUAGAUAAAUAAAAGUUUCAAAUCCUUACCAAUUGCUAAGAAACACAAAUAAUCUGGCUUGACCAAGCUGCUCAAAAGUGCAUGCAGCGAGAGCCCCCUGUCUCACUUUGUCUUUUUGUCUGUUUCUCCGGACUCUGCUUUCCUCCUCUUUUGGGGUUCUUCUUGGCCAGACUGUUUAUUUUUAUUUUCUCUCUAUCUGCUCUAGUAAUUUCGUUGCAAUGGCAUCAACUGAAGCAAGACCGAAGAAAGUGCUUAAACGAGACACUUGGACUUGGGCUUACUGUUUUGCUCUUAUUUAUUGUUUUUUGCCAGCCCGGUUAUUGAAACUUCAAUAGGAAAGUUAAGUUCAAAGGCGUUCCUCCACUCCAGUGGUGGGUUGAAGGCAGGGAUAGCAGAGUGGCAUAAAAGAUGACAGUCUGGAACUGGGAGGAUCACUGCCACUGUCAGUUUGGAGUUUAGUUGCUACAAGGUGCAUUCCCAUUCAUGGCUAGGUAUUGGCACGAUACAUGGGUAGUUUUUACUUUCUUAUGGUCGGAAGAUAAUUUGAUGAUUCCAAAGGCUUGGGAACUCCUUAUGUUUCAGAUAAAGAGAAGAAAGCCCCAAAUGCCUCUUAUAAAAUACUAGCUAGCUUCCUAAAGUACUUGUCACUUGUUUUAAAGUGGCCAUAUAGAACAAGAGUACUUUUUCCAAGCAGGGAACAGUUGAACAACUAUGGCACUCAGACUUCCAACAUGAAAUGCAGAUACAGGACUGUGCGAGGUGAAUACGGCUGCACUCUUCCACCAUGCCAUACAUGAGACUGCACCGCAUGGAUUAUUAUGAGAAUGAGUUUGCAGUAAAACCAUAGCCAAAGUUUUUGAAUGGGGCCUUGCAACAGACUCAUGGAAAGCAACAGGAGUGGCACGAACCAGGGAACGGAGUGGAAGGAGUCAUGGAACAGCAACCAAGCGAGUGAAGCCACCGAUAUCGAACCGGUGAAGUCAAUGAGGAAGGAUGAUGCUCCAUCACAAGAAGGAGCAUGGCUGCCAGAUAAGCGAAACGCAGCAACAAGAAAUGCAGGAGCAGGCUGCAGAUGGCGACGAUGGUGGUGACGGGGUGAGUUUCAAAGGGUGAAGUCAACUUCCCCUGGUAUUUUAAUUUAAUGAAGUUGACCAGGAUAGAGACAAUGGAGGUUAAAUCCAUGACACCAUGAGGGAUGAAGGCAGGGACAUCAUUUGUGGUUCUUUUUAUGGACAUUGGCCCUCAAAAGAAAUUGGGACCUAUUUGUUAUUGAAGAGAUCAAAGAUAAUCUCAAAAAUUGUUACAAGGAGUAGAAUAAUCGUUUCUAGUAGCCAUAUGAAGCGUAGAAAUUGUUCUUGAGGUUAAAGCUUCUGGCCUCUUUGAAAACAUUACGAGCAUUGCAGGUUUCCUUCUUUUUCUGGUGAAUCUCUUUGUAGCUUUCUGUUUGGCCCUUUGAUCAACAUGUGCCAUUUUACAUUCUUUGCUAGUAUACUAUGGUUUUGCCCAUAUAUCCGUAUGAACUAGGAUACAUAGAUGCCUUGGAGACACGAGCACAGCUGCAAUUUCAAAAGCUCUGUUCUAACAUCACUGAGUGAUCCAAAUCAAAAUGAAAGACAUCUGUUUUUUCAUCUCUGUCCCACAUACCCCAUUACUGCCCAAUGAUGAUAAAGUUUUAGUUUGUCAUUGCAGAAUGAAAGUGGUUAUAUCAUAUAGUCUUCAUUUGACCUCUUGAGAGUUGACAACUAGAUCAUUGUUGUGGCGAAUGCAUCUACUUGCAAUCCAAGACUACUUUGUCACUAAUCCCUGCAGAUUCCUGUAGGAGGACCAAAUCAUAUUGAUUUUAAUUUUCAGCGGGUUUCUUCAUCAUUUGAUAUGAACUUGGAAGUUGAUAUUCUUCUCGGUUUUAUAAAAGCCUGAAUGCUUAUCGUGGAACUUGCAAUCUAAGACAACUAGAUCAUUGUUCUCAGGACUGUCAAAUCCUUCUGCUAAUUCAGUAGCAGAUGCUUAAAACUUGUAACCUUUAACUGGAGUGCAAAUGUUACUGGAGAGACCAAAAUACUUCAACAAUCACUAUGACAAGGAGGAUGGGGAGAUGUUUCAUUGUUUGUUUCGAGGGUAACCAAGAUCCUGGUAGACCAAAAGAUUAAGAAGUUUUUUCUUUACUGAAAAGAGAAAAAGAGGCACGUUAAUGAAAAAUGGCGCUUUUACUAGCAUUUUCAUAUAUUAACUCUUUAUUAUCGCAUUGGCACGUGUCAAAUGUUGUCACAUGGUCGUUUCUAGUUGCCAAAAUAAAGUCGUGAACUAGGAUACCUUGGAGACGCGAGAACGGCUACAAUAUAGAAGCUUUGUUCUUUCAUGAUAGAGUUAUCCAUAUCAAAUGAAAAAUGUCAGUUUUUUCAUCUCUGUCCCAUAUGCACAGGUAUCGCUUACUAGCUAUUCUCAUGAUAAUUUCGUUUGAGUUUGUCAUCGCAGAAUGACGAGUACUUACAUCAUAUAGUCAGCACUUUUCCUCUCAGAGGUGACAACUAGAUCUUUGUUGCUGUGAAUGCGUCAACUUGCUUCAGCUAAUAAUAUUUAUGAAGGCAGCGACUUCUUUUGUGAUGGAUCCUGUAUGAAUCUGAAAGCUCUUGGGUCUGAGUAAUGCAAUCUAAGACUGUUGUCUCACUGGCUGAUUGGUUUUCGUCAGGAGCUAGAAUUGUAGCUUCUGUCAGAGACUCAAGUUGCCAGGGCCAACGUGAGAAAAGAAGGUUGAAAUACAGAUUUCGUUUUCCGGAGGCUUUAGUUUAAUAUAACUGACUUUUGGUAGACUGCAGAUGUUAGAAUUGAACUUUCCCAUCUUCAUGUGCUGGAAAAGAAUUUUUGCAGUUCAUGAAUGCAAAGCCCUGUAGGUAGUUUGCAAAGGCUGAGACUAGUCCAUGCAAACUAUUCACAUCUGACAUUUAUUUUUCAAAGAAAUAAUAAGACCGGCAAGCUUCCUGACAAGUUGAUUCAUAAUCAAAUUAUGCAUCCCUAUGUGAGUAGUCCAACUCAUAACAUUGAGCACACAAGUUUUACACUAAAAAAUAUGACAUUUAUCUGCUUUGCUGCAGAGAAUAACAAUCUCAGAUGUCGAGUGUCUGCAGUGAUCCCUGUAAGUUGAAACAUCAAACAGGAAGGUGGUCUCCCGCCUCCGCAAUUCUUUUCUUAUCGAUAAGUGCCUACCCAACUCUUCAACUACAUGCACUUUGGUUGCAUCUUUUUUAGACCAGCAUUGCACAUCUUUUUUUUUAGUACCCUCAGUUGUGUGCUCGCUCUGUCCUCUUUUUCCUGCAGAAUUGCAAUUGUUUCAUCUAGUUCAGCCACGGCAGGGUCUUCAGAUGCUUCCACUAUCCCAGCAACCUGUAUUUGGUUCUAGCAAGUUUUCUGUUAAUUAUUACUUAUUGUGGAGGAUGAGUCUAUCUAUAUGAUGUUAAAAAGGAGCAAGGCUAUUCACCACAGCAAAUGGCGUUGGCAGCAUCUUGUAUCCAUUAGAUGGAUAAAGUCUAUUUGGUAAGAGAGCACUUCUGGGAUGAAAAUGCACCGUGGGUAAAACGCAUUUGAUAUGAGUAAUCGAUGGGCAAGGGCUUACAUUGCAGUCAUAAGCACCCAGAUUCAGGUCCCUUGUCUUCUUGCAAAGGUCACAGUAGUACUCACUGGUAUCAUUUUAUCGAAGCGUAAAUUGUGAGUUGAUGGAAGUUAAUGGGAAUCUUUUACUGUAGUGGAAGGCAAUCUGUGAUGAUUAAGAUUGCAAUGCAGACAACUGUAAAAUUCGAACCUGCAAAGUUUACAGCAGAGCAUCGACACUCUUCAUGACAUGUCAACAGUGCUCCAUCCUGAUAUGAGAAGAAGGUAGGAUGUGCAGGUGAACAGGUUGUUGCAUAACUGAGGGCAAUUCAGCACAUGAUUUAUGGAGCAGGAAAGAGCACCUUUGCUCCAGCCAGCGAUAGGCUAAACAUUUGAUGCAUUCAUCAGAAGCCUUGCACGGACCAGCCUCCAUAUGACAGUUCCAGCGGCAGAGGGUGAUCGUGCAGUGCAGAAAGAAGGGGCAACCAAGACAACCAUGGACCUUUGCACCUGAUUCUGUUUUAGAGCUUCAUGUGGAAGACCAGUGGAUGCUGACGGUCGAAAUGGUAGAGAACCGAGUCCUUAGUGCCUCCAGAUCUUGCGAACAUAGAGAUAAAGCCAUGCGUGCAAUCCAUGUCGAGGCUGAAUUUGCAUUUUUUGCAGUCGGAAACCAUGAUAAGCAACUAAGGACGGAUUUUGGUAAUGUUGCUGUUUUAGGAAACAGUUUUUUUUCGGAAGCACUUUUUUUCUAUUUUUGUUCUUGGGAACAAUUUCUGAGUAUUUUAAGAUGUUUGGUAAAUAUUUAAAAUUUUUGUUCACAAAACAAAAAUACGUUUGAU
This 334091-nucleotide long non-coding RNA is filed under the name Eucalyptus grandis. Its description in RNAcentral is "long non-coding RNA (EGRA_LNC002205)". The record is from RNAcentral. Lineage: Eukaryota; Viridiplantae; Streptophyta; Magnoliopsida; Myrtales; Myrtaceae.